ACUCAAUGCAGGGGGUGUUGGGCGUAAAGCCUCAUGUUCCAAGAACAAAAGAGCUCGAAAAUUUCAGAGUCCGAUGGAAAAGGAAGUUCCGGCAAGAUCAUCCCUGAGCUGAACAUUUUUGGAUUAUGGGCUUAUGACGCUGCUUCUGCACUAGCCAUGGCUGUUGAGAAAGUUGGGGCAACAAACUUCAGCUUCCAAAAGACUAAUAUUUCCAGCAAUUCGAUGGUUCUUGACACCAUUAGAGUCUCUCAAAUUGGUACAAAUCUUCUCCAGUCACUGUUAAGUACCAAAUUGAAAGGUCUCAGUGGAUAUUUUCAAAUAUUUGAUGGGCAACUUCACUCGACAGCCUUUCAGAUAGUUAAUGUGAUUGGGAAAGGGGAAAGAGGGGUAGGAUUUUGGACUCCGAAAAAUGGAAUUAUAAGAAGACUGAAUUUCUCACACACAAAUUCAAAGACAUAUUCCACUUCUAAGGAAAACCUAGGAACAAUUAUAUGGCCUGGAGAACCUACUUAUGUCCCUAAAGGUUGGGUGCUUCCAGUAAAUGAGAAGAAGUUGAGAAUAGGAGUUCCAGUGAAGAAUGGUUUUAGUGAAUUUGUAAAUGUGACAUGGGAUCCUAUUGUGAUCCAUGCAACGAUUUAAUGGAGAAAAAUAAGGAAAGCGAGAAAGAAGAACACGCAGAUUUAGCGUGGUUCGACUAAUUGCCUACGUCCGCGGGAAUAGGGAAAAAGGAUUUUCACUAUGUAUCAAAUUAGGGUUACAUAAAAAGGGUAUUUAUACUAACCCUUAGGAAUGAAAAUUCCAAAAAUACCCCUGAACCAUACCGCGGGGGGCCUUGCCCCCCACACCCCCCCCCAAUCUAUCGUUCACCCACAACAAUCUCCAAUAUGAGCCACAUACUACAACAAUCUAUGUGUUUGGUUCUUUCAUGAUACACUUGGUUCUUUGCCAAAUAAAUGGCACCCUAACUAUCAUAAUAUAAUUGAACUCUACCUUGCUGAAUACCCAACUCCUUAACUAAACCUAUAUGCCAUAAUGAGUCAUUUACAACCUCAGCUAUUAUCAUAUAUUCUAACUCAGUAGUAGAUAGUGCAACUAAAGACUGUAUCAUAAACUUCCAACAAAUAGGUCCCCCACCAAGAGUGAAUACAUAACCUGUGGUAGACCUCUUGUCAUCCAAGUCUCCUGCAUAGUCUACAUCAACAUAUCCUCUAAUUGAAGAAUCACUCUAUUGUUUGCUGAACAUAAUGCCAUAAUCACCACACUAACAGCAUGCACCAAAUCUGGUCUUGUACAAACCAUAGCAUACAUCAAGCAUCCCACUGUACUUGCAUAUAGAACCUUUAACAUGUCUUUCACUUCAUCAUCUGUCUUUGGACAUUGAUUAGUAGACAACCUAAAAUGAUUUGCCAAAGGUGUAUGUGAACCCGCAUUUUUCACGUGCGCCCCCACUCGAUCGGCGAGACUCGCUUUUUAUUUGUGAAAAAUUAAUUUUUGGAAAAAGUUGGAGUCGCCACUUAUUUUAUUUUUAUUUUAAAGGGAAAAUAAAACAAGAAAGAAAAACCCUAAAAUGUGACUCCAUAAUUUUUGGAAAAAGCAUGUCUUUGAAAAACCCAAGUCUAAGUCCGGGGAUCAGGUUACCUAUUGGGAAGGUACCUUUAAAAGGUAGCACCCCUCUAAGCCCUCUAAAGGUCUCUACUAACUAAGUUAAGGGGAAUGUGGCAAUUAAUCAGUUUAAUUAUGGAUACCUAAGUAGGCUAGAUGAUUUCGAAUAUUGCAUGCCUAACAAGAUCGAAUAACAAUGAAGGAAAGUUAAGGAUGCGUACCUGGACGGCUUCCCAAGCGCUAUCAUAAAACAUGAGAGAUUAGUUUGGAAAUAUGACACAUAAUAUGUGUUUUGUCAAAGAUGAUCAAACAAGCAUCAAGGCAAUCAAUCAUGCCACCAAACAGGAUCAUAGCUCAUGAUAACGUACACAUUCAUAGAAUUUUAGAGUUGUAAGGUGAGAAGAGCAUACCUGAUUAGCGAACAUCCACACGUCUUAUGGGAAAAGGGUAUCUCAACAAUAAAUAUUAAGUGAAUUCAAAUAUUUCAUCAAGAAGAAUCAAAAAUCAACAUAUCAAGCAAACAAUAUUGAAGAAGGUAUCAUGAAUGUCAGGCCCCCACCAAAGCCCUAAUUAAUUUCGCAUGAGUUGAUUCCAUAAAUUCCAUGACUUGGAAUUAUGGAAUUUGUUCAUGCUUGAGAAAAUCGAAAAAAACAAGAAAAUGGUUGAAAAUAAAAAUAAAAAUAAAAAAAUAGUGAAAACUUGUGCCAGAAGGAAAAUGGUAGCUUAAAAGGAUUGGAAAUGAUGGAAACUGCAAUUCCAAAUUGCUGAAUUAUGAUUUACCCAUUUUUAGUUAUAUCACUACAUUUACCAAUUUCAUAUGAAUUACAUCAAAUCAAUUACUUUCGUAUAGUUAGUUCAUAACCACCUAAUUGUCAAACUUUAACCACAUUUUCCUUUAAUUAUAUCCGGAUGCGCAACUAUUUUUUGGACAUGAUAUAAAUGAAUCGGUUUCCCAUUUCACCAAUCAUUUUACCACUUGUUAUCAAUUAAAUUAUAAAUCUAGAGGAUAAUGCAUUCUAUCAAUCAACUUGACUCUUGUUCGGAAUUCAAACUUUUCAUUAAAUACUUGGUUUAAAAGUACAUAUCAGCCAAAGUGAUAACGUCAAAUGAUAGAAACACCAAUUUAAUGUCUGCCAUCCCUUACUCUGUUAAGGAAUAACAAAAAGGUUGCAUAUCCUUUUCAUUUGGAGUAUUGUUUGGAUCUCCACCUUCACAUGGUGUUGUAAUAAUUUGUUCAUGUUACUGAAAUCCUAUUAUCUACACAUGCACAUUCCAUGGUUAAAAUUGAGUCGUCCAAUUCCAACUUCAAAAAAAUCAUUAAGUAAUGCAUAGUUAAAAUUCAUGUCCAAAAUGUUUUCAAUUCCCGAACUUACAUUGCCAAGUACACCAAAAUCUAUAUACAUAUCAUAUGGGUCAUUCCACAAAUGUUCCUCUCGCAUUCCCUACAUUUUCAAAGAUUAAGUGUUGUCAAUUACUAUUGAAUUAGAUGUUAUCAAAGUUUAUGUUGUUAUAUAACAAGCCUAUUGUACAUGAGGUAAGGUUGCAAACAUGUCAACUAAUGAAUUUGUUCAAGACAUCUGUAGACCCUCAAUUUUGUCCCUUUAGCACAUGUCUUUAAAUUUUGUUUUUAGUAUUCCAUAGUAGUUCCUUGGUGGCCCAUUACUACUCGUGCAAUUUACCUUUUUCUGAGUCACCUCGGAAACUCUGGUUGAGGGAUUGCCUAACCCCUUAUUGUGACCCUUGGUAGUUUUGAUUUAGACUCAGGUUUUUCCUUUCUUUUUAGGAUAGCUCUUAGGCACCCUAGGCCCAUUUAAGCACUCUAGGCCCAUUUAGGCACCCUAGGUCCACUUUAGGACACUUAGUUCAUUAGGCACCCAUGUAGGGCCAUUUAAACGCUUCAUUAGGCUUAACUUUUUAUAUAAUCUUUUUAUUAUUUUUGCAUGAAUUCGAUAAUUACAUUUAUUCUGUUUAUUCAUUUUCAUUUUUUACUUUUUAUUUGUUUAUUAUUAUUUUUAUUAUUAUAUUUAUUUAUUUAUUUAUCUAAUAGAAAAUUGCUUAAAUUGUUUAGACUUUAAAUGCGCAUACGACCCCUUAUUAAAUUAUGGAAUUAUAUAAUACGGUCUCUUUUGUUUCCUUUUCUUUUAAUCAUCUUUUAUUUUAUUACCAAUCUCGUAAUUUUCAUGAGUUACUUUUCUUUUAAUUUUUUUUUUUAACCUUAUUUUAUUCUGUUUUGGCAUGAGGAAACGGGCUGCCAUCUAUUUGGAAUGAGAACUUCUCUUUUAGAAAGUAGUUCACGGUCUUUGGAGGCAAGAGAGGAUAUUCAUGGGAUUUUUUAGAGGAUUCUCCAUGCGUGAAAAUGAAUAGAAUUCAUGCCUUAAAAGAGGAACAACUGUCCAUUAGAGGAUGCAGCAGCCACAAUUGGGGAGAUUUUCCAACAAGCAAUAUAGAAAAGGUGAUCAUGCAGCCACAUAUGGAAGGAUGAGGCCACUUUCCAAAGACUGGACACACCAAAAAAAGGAAUAGAUCUCCACGCAUUCUCUGGGGGGAUCACACGUUGCUAAUGGGAGUCUUUUUCUCAUAUUUUUAAGAAAGGAAACAAGGCGCACAAAAGGAAGAUUAGGGAUGCGCAGGCGAGGAUGAAGGGAGAACCACCAAAUUUCUAAAGAAAAAGGCGCAUUCCAUAAAAGAACCACCAUUAGAAAGUGAUAACCGGCCACUUAAAAUCGAGAACAUACAUUCACCAUUGGGGGGGGGGGGGGGGGGGGGGCCCCCCCCUGGGGGGGAAAAAAAGGGGGACCCCCCUUUUAUUUUCUAAAGAAACCCCCCAAAAUUCCCUUAAAAGGGGGGGCCCCUUUUCCCCCCCCUUUGGGCCCCCCCCCCCAACCCCCCCAAAAAAAAUUUUUUUUUUUGGAAAAAAAAGAAAGAAAACCUUUUUAAAAAUUCCCCCCCCGAAAAAACACCCCCAAAUUUUUAGGGAGGGGCCCCCCCCCCCCCCGGAAAAAAAAACCCAAACCCCCCCCCCCCACCGGGGGGUUUGAAAAAAAAGGGGCCCCCCCCCGGCCAAAAAAACCCCCCCCCGGGCGGCCUUUGGAAAAAAAAACCCCCCCCCCCCCCCCGGGCCGGGGGGGCCCCCCAAAUUUUGGGGAGGGGGGGGCCCCCCCUUUUUCCCCUUUUUCCUCCCCCCCCCCCCCCNNNNNNNNNNNNNNNNNNNNNNNNNNNNNNNNNNNNNNNNNNNNNNNNNNNNNNNNNNNNNNNNNNNNNNNNNNNNNNNNNNNNNNNNNNNNNNNNNNNNNNNNNNNNNNNNNNNNNNNNNNNNNNNNNNNNNNNNNNNNNNNNNNNNNNNNNNNNNNNNNNNNNNNNNNNNNNNNNNNNNNNNNNNNNNNNNNNNNNNNNNNNNNNNNNNNNNNNNNNNNNNNNNNNNNNNNNNNNNNNNNNNNNNNNNNNNNNNNNNNNNNNNNNNNNNNNNNNNNNNNNNNNNNNNNNNNNNNNNNNNNNNNNNNNNNNNNNNNNNNNNNNNNNNNNNNNNNNNNNNNNNNNNNNNNNNNNNNNNNNNNNNNNNNNNNNNNNNNNNNNNNNNNNNNNNNNNNNNNNNNNNNNNNNNNNNNNNNNNNNNNNNNNNNNNNNNNNNNNNNNNNNNNNNNNNNNNNNNNNNNNNNNNNNNNNNNNNNNNNNNNNNNNNNNNNNNNNNNNNNNNNNNNNNNNNNNNNNNNNNNNNNNNNNNNNNNNNNNNNNNNNNNNNNNNNNNNNNNNNNNNNNNNNNNNNNNNNNNNNNNNNNNNNNNNNNNNUUUUGAUUUUCAUUGAGAACUUUGACUAAAUAAUAUUAAUUAUUAUAUUCGAUUCGAAGUUUCUUUUUCUUCUUAGUUGAUUGAGUUUAAAUUUAAGAAUUUGUUUAAUUGUAUGGAUUAUCAUUGUCUUGAUUCCAAGUUUUGAUUUUUCUAGGUUGUUAUGUUUUUAGAAUUAUAGUUUAUUAUUCCUAUUGAACCACUUGAUUAAAUCCAUGUUUUAAUUUUUUAACUUUAGUUUUGAUUGAUCUUAUCUAGCUUAUGUGUUUUUAGAAUUUUAGUUUAUUAUUCCUAUUGAACCCAUGUGAUUAAUUCCAUGUUUAAAAUUGUUAACUUUAGUCUUUGAUUGACCCUAUUUAGUUUAUGUGUUUUAGAUUUUUAGUUGAUGAGUCUAUUACUUUCUCAUGUCAUUAUAUCCACGUUUUGAGCUUGUUCGUUUUAAUUCUCGAUUGAUCCAAUUUUAUUUUGUGUGUUUUUUAGAGUUUUAGAUAUUUAAUUUAAAAGUUACUUUUCUCAUGUUGUAAGUUUGUUAAUUUUAAUUCUUGAUUGACCUAAUUUUAGUACGUGUGUUUUUUAGAGUUUUAGUUAAUUAGUUUAAUCGAUGCUCAUGUUUUAAAAAAAGUUUGUUAAUUUUGAUUUUUGACUGAUCUUGUCCUAGUUUAUAGUUUUUCAAAAUUUUAGUUAAUUAGUUUUAUCCCAUGUUAUUAUACUCAUGUAUUAAAAAUAGUUAAAUUUAGCUUUUCUACUUAGUUGAUGUGUCCUUUUUUUAAAUUUUGCUUAUCAUUUUGCUUAAUCCCUUGUUACUUAGUUUUGUUUUUGUUUUGGAAGUUAUUAAUGUCUAGUUGUUGAUUAGUUAAUAUGUUUUAGAAUUCUAUGUGCUUAUGUUACUAUAUUCACAUUCUUAUAAUUACAUGUUUAUGUGUUUGGUUGAUUUUAAAUUAGUUCUUGAUUGUUUAUCUCAAUUUAUGUGUUUGAUUGAUCCUUAUAAAUUCCCGAUUAAUAUUUCGUUAGUUUUAUUUGAUCUAAAAGUCGUUUGGUUUGUUGCUUUGAUGAAUAUUUAUUAAAUUUGACUUUUAGAGGCCAUUGGAAAAUCAUGAAGAUUGGCCUCUACCAUCACCAUUAUCAUUUUUGUUAAUUACUAAAAAAGUUUACUUUGAGGUUUCAUUUUUGUUUUGUUUGGUAUUUUUCUUAUAUUUUAUUUUUUCCCAAAUUAAUUCCUUUUAUUUUAAAAUAAAAUACUUUUCUCAAAAAAUCAUUUUAAAAAUCUAUUUCAAAAACUCAUUAGAGUCCUCAGGAUCAAAAUCUCCUUUUUUUUAAUUUAAAAAUAAUAUGCAACCAUAUCUUGUUCGGUUUGCAUCCUUCUUGGUUUUCAACAAAAACUUUGGUUUUGAACAAAGACACGAAUCAAAGCUUGCGGUCCCACAUAAAUGGGAUAAUUCUGAGCUAAACUCGUGUAUAUCAAUUGGGGAAUUGGUGAAACCCCUACAUAAGAAAAUCUUUUCAAAAAUUAUUUUUGUUGCCACUUUUGUCACUUGUUGAAAUUAUGUCUAUCUUUUUUUUAGGAAUUGUAUAAAAGAUGAGUGUGAUAAUUAGUGUUUUCAUAUACUUUGAUAAUUUCUGCUAUGAUAAUUAGAUAACGCGCAUGCUAAGAUUUCUAUAUUUCAUUAUUUAUUAUCUAACCCCUUGCAACUUGAGGAAGCAUGUUACAAAUUAUCUAUGCUAUCCAAGUAUGUCCUCUAUCACCUACUUUCUGAAUUAUGUGAAUAUGCUUGUCAUUGUGAAAUAAUGCUUAUGUCUAAUAAUGCUUGAGUGUUCUGAUAUACAUAUUUCAUUGUUUGAUUAUUUCCAGUAAAAUACAUGUUGGAUGAUAUAUUGUUUAAAUUAACCGUUUAUGUUUUAUGAUAGCGCUUGAAGAGCGGUUCAGGUACGCACCCUAACUCUCUGUUUUUUGUGAUUUGAUCUUGUUUAGCAUGCAAAUCUUUUGAAAUCACCUAGCCUACUUAGGUAUCCGUAAUUAACCGAUUAAUUGCCAUAUUCCUCUUAACUUAGUCAGUAGAGACCUCUUUAGGGCUUAGAGGGGUGCUACCUCCUAGAGGUACCUUCCCGAUAAGUAACCUGAUCCUCGGACUUAGACUCGGGUUUUUCAAAGACACGUUUUUCCAAAACUUAUGGAGUCAUUUUUUUUAGGGUUUUAUUUCUUGUUUUAUUUUCCCUUCAAAAAUAAAAAUAAAAUAAGUGGCGACUCCAACUUUUCUUCAAAAAUCAAUUUUUCACAAAUAAAAAAAAACGAGUCUCGUUGAUCGAGUGGGGACGCACGUGAAAAAUGCGGGUCCACAACAUCAUUUCCAUUUGAAUGUCACAUUGGGAAGACAAAUUAGUUUCCUGCAACAUACUUAUAAUGCAAUGGAAACAAUUAUGUUAGUUAUUUAUGUAAGUACACCUAAAAAGCUUCGGAUUAGCGGCAAAUUCUUAUUCAAUCUCACAUACCAUAUCACGCUAAUUACCGGUAUGAAGGAUUGUAGCUUCUGGACACUUUCGAAUUGUGUGACCUACUCUUUUACAACGACUACACUAUCUCCCCUUUUGAAAAUUUGAUGCAAAUUUGCCUGGAUUUCCUUUAGUCUUUACUAUAUUUGGAUCACGAACUUGGUGAGGACUUGUGGCUCCAUCUGCUGCUACUUUCUUCCCUUUCAAAUUACUCUUAUAGAGUUCCUCCAUUCUCAUUGUUAAAUUUUCUAUUUCAAUUUUCACUUCUAUAAAUGAAGAUGACGUAUAUAACGCAUAGUAGGGGAGCUUGUUGCACAUCGAACACAAUGAACCGUAUCAUGCAAACCGAUCCAUGUCAUUAUCCGUCUCAUUCACCGAUGCUGAUCUUGGAUGCACCUUUGCUAACUUUGUCCACCUCUUCAAAAUACAUGAAAGAGGAAUCUCUUCCAAAUGCCACACCUUCAUAACAACAACCAUGUGGCAAAAAGGGAUGCCAAUUGACUCAAACAUCAUGCAUGAGAAUUUUAAUGUUACAAUAUUCGGCCAAAAUUGGACUUCCCAUUUUAAGUUCGGUUGUUUAAACUUGGAUAAUGUGUAUGCCCGCAUUGAAUCAUCACUUACAAGCCCUACCACAAAGAAUAACUCUGUAUUCUUCAUCUCCUCACGAAAUUUAAGUUAGGAUUCUUUCAUGUAUACAAUUAUAGCAUGAUUUUCAAGUGUGGAUAGUUUGGUUGAAAGAAUGGUGAAGAAUUGUUCAGCUCGAACUCUACCUUUGCCUCUUUUGUCGUAUUCUCCUUAUCACCCUAUCAAAUUGUUGUACAAACUAAUACAGUCACAAACGAAUUUUCAAGAAUCUAUUUAGAUACGCAUUCAUACUCUCACACCUUUGUGUGCUUCUCAUCACUCCAAAGAAAUUUCCACAUAAAUAAGCCUUAACCCAUCUUUUACAUUUCCCAUAAAUCUCGGUGACCCAACGAUUCUCAUUAAGAUCCAACUUUUCAACCAUUUCAUGCCAAACCUUUUCGAAUUCUUCUGGAUUCCCUCACAUGAACAUGCAUCUUGCAAAAAUGCUUGUCAAGUCCUUAACAUGCACAUUCGUGAAUGCAUUUCAUUGCAAGUGCCAUGAACACAUGUGAUGAUAUGCAUCGGGAAGGACUUUUUUAAUUGCUUUAUCCUUAUCAAUUACUAUGGAUACGUGUUUCUUAUUCAUCAUUGCAAUAAGAAAUGUCUCCAACACUCAUUCAUAUGUACCAAUAUUUUCAUCCAUCAAUAACGCACAACUAAAUACCACGUUUGGUGAUGAUGAUUAACACCAACUAACAUGACUAGGGGCUUUUUAUAGGCAUUUUUCCUAUAGGUUGUAUCAAAUGUUAAGACAUCUCCAAAACACGCAUAAUUCAUUCGAGCAGUUGAAUCAGCCUAAAACAAGUUAGCUAGUCGACUUUCUUCAUCAAAGUUGAAUUUAUAAAAAGAAUGAAGAAUCCAUUUGUCUUUCCGCACAAGUAAGCCAACGUAACUUCUGCAUCACCAUCUUCAAUUUCAAUUCUAUGCAUUGCAUCAACGUGAUUGUAUACAUCUUUUUAGGUGAAACCAACAUACUGAUGUCCUCCUGAUUGUUUGACCAUAUAGUCCAUAAUUUAUGUUGUUUUAACACCAACUUGAUGCAAAACAUCAACUUAUGCCUUAUCUGGAUUACUUAUUGUUUUAUGAGAGCGAAGGAAUUGUGUGUUGAUAGCAUCAACCAAAUUAUGAUUAUAUUCUCCUAUAAAUUCCUUUACAAUCCACUUUCCAUCUUUUCUAUUGAAGCCUAUACGAAAUGCAGCUUCACAUCCAACUCUAGUCAACGAUCAUGGCUCACAUUGUCGCUCGUCAUUUUGAAUAAACUUUGUCGUUCAAUGUCCUUCUUUGAAACACACCCACUUUCAAGAUAUUAUAUCUCCAUUCUUGUCUCAUUUCAAAUAAGCUUUUCUAAUACUAAAUUCGGUUACUUUGGCAAACAUGUUGUAAAAUGUUUCAGCCUCAUCUAUGCAAUUGAAUUGCAAUUUGUAGACUUUUUCAACUGAAAUACCCUUCAACACCUUCUCUUUCAAACCGUUUCCAUCCAGCUAAUAAGUGCCACUAGUAUAUGUAUCGUCAUUGACAACAUCCUCAUGUUUCACUUUAAACUCUUGCUUGAUUGUUUUCUCCAUCACCAAUUGCAACACCUUCAUUUUAUAAAUCAUGUAAAAAAUCGUUGGAAUAAUACCUUAACAAAUAAUCGUAGCACUUUCGUAUAAAUUAAUUGCAUACUUUCAUAGAAACCUAUAAUGCAUACGUCAUCAAUUAUUCAAGUUUGUUAGUACAGGUUGCCAUCGACAAUUCGACCGGUUUCAAUUUGGUCGACCUAUUGGUCUUUAUAUUGAAAAUGCUCCCACUUUGCAGUGUCUAUUGACUGAAGAAACAAUUCAACCGGUUGAGAAAUUAUUCAACCGGUAUACACUGCACAUGUGUAUUUCCCCAUGAUUUCAAAAUUAAAAAGUCUUUUGAUGCAUAUUACUAACAAUGUGCUAUAGACAAUGAUAAUCUUCACUUUUUAAAAACAUUAUAUAUAAUUUAAAAAUCAGAAUUAGGUUUUGGGAAUAUUUUCCCUAUCUAUUUGAAGGUUGAGGGCAGUCACUUUGAAAAAUAUAUCAUGGAUUUGUUUAACAAAUCUUUAUUGAGUUAAAGACGAUACCUUAACAAUGGAAAAUGCAAGUGUGAUGCAGCUUCAACUGAAGAAUUGUCUUCUGGAUGUUUUUUUGUAAGCUAUGCUCCAAUAAAUAGAAGACCUCGUUCACUCUCCAGCUUCCUUAGAAUAUGUUCCUUUCCAAAUAACUACUAACAUAUCUAUGUGGUUGGUUGCUAAAGUUAUUGCAUAUUUGAAUAGGUUGCUGAUUACUACCAAAAAGUGCUAUUUUGUAGACCUAAUAAUAAUGGUUUUAAGAACCUUUGAGUAGUAAUCAUAUUCAUUUAACCCAAUUAAUUCAUUAAGGUCCUUAGUAAUUGGUUUUAACCAUUUUUGUGGCAAGUUUACAUGUUUUUAUCAGCUUAUGAACCAAUUCAAGCAUGCCAAUUGAUGGAGGAGCUAUUUGGGCGAGUUAAGCAAGGAUUUUGGAUGAUUACAGGCUUGAAUUUCAAGUGGAAACACGAGCACAAGCAAUGGAGAAGAGGAAAACAGAGUAAAGAAAACAGCUGCAGUCUUCUUUCACACUUUUGGAGCACUUCCCGAAGUCCAUUUUCUACAUGCUAUAUACCAUUUGAAAGCUUAGGAAGUCAAGAAUCCAACGCUUCAAACCGUGUAUGAUUUGGAGCUGAAAUGAGGAAGAUAUGGCCUUCGGAAGGCAACUGCAUCAUGCCAAAUGACCAAUUUCGCAAGGUGAAUUUCACAUUGCGAAAAUUUCGCAAUGAGAUUUUCUUCAUGGUGCGAAAUUUUGCCAUUUCGCAAUGUGAAUUUCACAUUGCGAAAAUUUCGCAAGGUGAAUUAACUCAUGAUGCGAAAAUAUGGCACUUCGCAUCAUGAGUAAUUCACAUUGCGAAAAUUUCGCAAUGUGAAAUUCACAUUGCGAAAUUCCUUUGAAUCCUCUGUUUCUCCACGCACGCACCACCGACUUCCCAAAUAUUUUUAGCUUGAUAUUUUCUCAUGUAAAUUCCUUUUGUAACCUUGUAUUCAGCCGACAUAAAUCUUUAUCUUGUAAUUUUGCUAUAUAUAGAGGUGCACAACACCUCCAACAGGGGAGAAUGGGAUGAUUGGUGAUCGAUCCUCUGUACAUUAACUUAGAAAUAUAUAAAGCUUUGUUUUUCUCUUUUCUCCUGUUCUUCUCCAUUUCUAUUUUCUUAGUAGCCAAACAGCCUCUAAGGGCUUUUCCUCAGAGGAUGAUUGGCUAAAACUUUUAGUUUCUCAAAGUAUGGAUGUUAUGUGAUGGCUUGGAUGCAAUCCCAUGGAAAUUUCUCGCACCUGGAAGGUAAGGUAGUCGUUUUUCAUUAAUGGUUCAUUAAUGCAAAGUUUGGUUUUUAUUUCCUUUGGACAACUUCCAACGGCCAAUACUUGAUAAGCUUUUGGAUUUCUAUCCAUUAGUUAUCUCCUACGAGCUAUUGGAAAGUGAGGUUUUCAAUUCCAAGUUUUGCAUUAAUCCGUUAGAACCAAUUUCAAUGGCCAUUGAAAGGUGAGUUUAUCACCUGGAAUGACUUUGAGUUGCCAAUAUUUGGUAAGCUUUUGGCUUUAGACCAUUAGUUAUCUCUUACGAGCCAUUCAAAGGAAGUCUAAGGUGAAUAACCAUUGAUGAAAUUCACUACCAUCUGUUUUGCCAUUUUAAAGGAUUAAAACUUGAUUUGCUAAAUCCAUACCGGUUCGGGAAGCAAGCAUCACCAUAGUUGCAACCCCAACGCGAGGAGCCUAUCCUUAGAUUUCCAAUUUGCAUAAGAGCCAGAGCAUAGCUAUCCUAUCUUUGAGAAACUUGCUUUUACACCCUUUCAUUUUAGUCUUUAAUGUUAGCUUAGAUUAGUUUAAAUCUUUCUAAAAACAUUUGCAUUUUCUUUUAAAGCUAACAUCUAUAAGAAAAUCACCUAUUUUCCUAAUUUGAAUAUCACUUGUGUUUGCGAAAACCCUUCCCAGUGAACGAUCCUAGAACCACUAUGCUAUAGUAGCUUGGCUACUUUAGUAAUAGUAUUUAAGGUAUAAAUUUUGUUGAUACGCCUUUAAAGCUAAGCUACCAUGAGUCGCAUCAGUUGCCACAUGUAGAAAACCAACUUGCACAAUGGUACACUUGGUGGUUGAAAGUUACCUUUCUUGCUUCAUUUUAUUAGGUGAUAUUAAAUAGAACAUUUAGCAGGAGGGAAAAUCAACCUAAUGUGGAUGAUUACACCCAUUUAAAAUGGAUAUAUGUAUAACUUUACAAAAUAUAAAGUGGGGAUAUGGACUUGAUUGAUAAUAUUUAUAUUUCUUAAUGUUGUUUACCCUUUCUAGUUUAAUUAUGUUUUCAUGCCAUUUCCUACUUAGUUUAGAUUUUCAUCAAUUAACGUGUUUUAUUUGUAAUUAAGGCAUCAUACUAUAUCCUACAUAUGAGAAAGGUUAGUUAAUUAAACUUAGUUACUUAAAUCAGCUAUGUUACGAUAUCCUAAUUAUGACAAUUUUUAAUAAAUUAAGCUUAAUUAAUUUAAUUCACUGAUGAUGUUAUAUCCUACUUAUUCAAAAUGUUUGUGAUUUAACCAGAAUUAAUUUAAAUGUUGCUAUCGUACUAUAUGGUAGUUAUUCUAAAUUCUAAUAUAUUAACCUAACUAAAUUUUAAUAAAAUCAUCAUACUUAGUUACUUAAAUCAACUAUGUUACGAUAUCCUACUUAUGACACUUUUUAAUAAAUUUAGUUUAAUUAAUUUAAUUCACUUAUGAUGCUAUAUCCUACUUAUUCAAAAUGUUUGUGAAUUAACCAUAAUUAAUUUAAAUGCUGUUAUUGUACUAUAUGGUAGUUAUUCUAAAUUCUAAUAUAUUAACCUAACUAUAUUUUAAUAAAAUCAUCAUACUAUAUCCUACAUAUGAGAAAGGUUAUUUAAUUAACCUGAAUUAAUUAAAUUAAGUUUUCAUAUUAUAUUGUACUUAAAAUAAUUUUUUUUUAACUAACCUCAAUUAAUUUAAUUAAGCUAGAUCCAAAGAUUUUUUCAUAUAAUUGAUUAUAAACUAAAUGAGUUCAUAUGGAAAAUAUUAAAUUAAUAAUGUAGCAAAUAUAUUGUUUCAUCUAUGUAGAACAUUAAUUUAAUUAAAAUGUAUCAGUUGAUAAACUAUAUGCAUUUCCAUAUAAUAGCAAGGUCGACCGAUCUGGGAAACCCACUCCUAAUCUUGAACCCUUUCGUCUUCUCUUUCCUUCAUCUUCUUCAUCUUCACGAAAUACCUCAAGCCCAAACCAAAUAUCCAUGGCUUCAAAACAAGCACCGGCUGAAGUAAGCUCCACUGGCAGCAAAGGGAAGAGAACGGUGGUAGCAAAGAUGGUCGGGACCAAAGGAAAGAGAUCUGACGCAUAAUGGACCAACGACAGCAAAUAGAAGACCCCGGAGGGAGCACAACGCAGCGACAACAAAGGGAAGCGACCGAUCAUUGAUGAAAAUAUUGAGGUUCAUAAGAAGACCACCUUUGAUCGAGCUUUGUUCACAACCCCAGAGCUAGCACAAAGAUUUAAUCUUCAUUUUUCCAAUUGGAUCGUAAUCCUAGGUAAGAACAUUGAUUUUUCAAAGCUCAGUUAUUUCCAUUUUGAUAUACUUUUUGCAAGAAUGGGUUGGUUUCCUAUUGUGUCCAUGAAAGAGUUUCUUUAUCCUAAGGUUGUGAAAUGUUUCUACUACAAUAUGAAAUUUGAAGAUGAAUGACCUAUUAGUACAACCAUUAAUGGUGUACAAAUCAAUUUUGAUGUCGUUGAACUUUGUCAAAUUUUAGACAUUCCAAAUAAAGGGGUUUGUUUAUAUGAAGCAAAGAAGUGGCCAAAAGUGGAAGGUUUCAAAGAUGUAGAAGCUAUACAAAGGCUCUGUGGUUAUCCGAAAUCUAGUAGACCAACUUCUCAUUCAUUGACUGUGUUGAGUCGCACCCUACAACACAUGAUCUCGUAUAUUUUUAUCCCUAAAGGAGGCCAUCGAGACAAUGUAUCUUUCUUAGAGGCGUUUUUGGUUGAUUGCAUUCUCACAAAAAGAAAGGUUAAUAUAGGUUACAUAAUUUUCCGCCAUAUGAAAGCUUGUUCAUUAAGCGAAGAUUCAGUGCUCCCAUAUGGCAUGUUUAUCACAAAGAUUGUCAAAUACUUCAAUGUGAAUUUGCGGAAUGAGACAGUUGGGAAGAAACUCAAAUCAUUUGAUACAUAUGAUUGGGCUUCACUUCGGCGCAUGCAUUUUGUUCGCAAAAAUAAAAAAGGUUAGUGGAAAGGAAAGUCUUCUAUUGCUUAUUCAGAGGUAGAUGUGUCUUUAGACAAUGGGUUCUCCCAGGAUGAGGAAUAUGAAAAUCAGGAUAUAGAGGGAAGAUCUUCGGAAAAUGCAAAUGUGACACCAAUACCGUCAAAAGAUGGUAUAAGAGCUACAACGGUUGCAGAUCAUCCUUCACAAAAUUGGUAGGAACGAGGCUGGGGCAUUGAAUAACCUAAAUGCCUAGAUUAACUCCCUUGGUACCCGCUUAGAGGAGAUGUCAUUAGCCAAUGAUUGACGUUUCACAUCUUUAGAUAAUUGCAUUGAUGGUUUUCAAGAGGAAUUCAAAUCAGGUAUGCAGGUUAUAUAAGGGCAGCAUAAUGAGAUGAUGGUAUUAUUACAAGCCCACUUCCCGCUUCAUGGCCCAAACCAUAUCUAACCCCUUCUACAUUUUCCACUAGUUAUAUAGUUAGUAAAGUUUCGUUUUUUUUUUUUUUUUUUGGACAUUUGGGUAAUGUAAUUGACACUUUUUAUUUAUGACUUCCUCUAAUGACUUAUUUUGGUACUGAUAGGCUAUUCACAUAAAUGACAUAAAUGUUUUCCCUCAAUGCUGAAGAUGGUAUAUGGAUGAUGUAGUUACUUAUACAUUUAUGGAUUAUAUUAUGCAUCCCUAGAUUUAUCAACUAAUGUCAUUCUUUUACCUUAAUUUGAUAUGUGUCAUGAGAAAAUUGGAAUUUCCAACUCUUUAAGCUUCUUUAACACUUCUUUUCUAUAUUUAAAAUUGUGGGUGGACAUGAUAAAAUAUGGGUUUCCAAUCAGAUGCCAUGAAUUUUUAACUCUUAUGUUAUUGAUUGUCCAAUCCCUAUUGAAGGGUUUUGUCCUCAUCACAUUAGGGUAAUGGUAGUUUGUUAACCAUGGCUGAGCGGGCUUGAUCCUUAAUACUACUAUAUCCUACAUAUCCAAGACUUGAACUCCUGCUUUCAUGUUUGUAAACUACAAAUAUGUUUUCGAUCAGUUGUUAGCACUCAUAAGAAUUGAUGGAUUUUGUCUUCUUUUUUCUGCCUUUACUGCUUAUUUUAUUUCCAUGUGCAUCAAGGUUCUUUUUUAACUACAAAAUAACAGCUCCAACAAGAAUAAAAAGCAGGACUUUGUCAUCUCUAUACGAAUUACAGGAAUACUUCUUUUAAAGUGUGCUCCUAACCUUGUAUGUGCUGAAAAUGAAGAAGCAGCUAAGGAAAGAAGGCAAGUCACAGAUCAUACUGCUGGUAUCACCAUGUGUCUUACUCAUCAGUACUUCCACACCCUCUCUGCUUAUGUCUUACCCAUACAAAAGGACCAAGAGAGUGGCCUAGCUUAUUAUGAUAAAUGUAGAAAUGAUCUAGGCAUGGAAAUAGAUCAAGUUCAUGAUUUUUGUAUAUAAUAUUUAUGCAUUAUAUAAUCUUUCUUUCAAUUCCCCAUCACUCAAGAUACAUAGGACACAAUGCUAUAUGAAGUGAAACCAAUGAAUGUUGGAAGUGUGUAGAGGAAUAAUUAGUUGUUACUGAAAUGUUGUGUAAGAUUUAUGCAUAACUCCAUCAUCACCAGAUCACAUAGCUAAAUGACAAAAAAAGGAAAAUCCUAUUCCGGGUGACCAACAAAUUAACAGGCUGCAUUUUUUUUUUUUGCUACCGGUAGCCACUGCCCAUUUUUGUGCUUUAGGGAAAAAAAAAAAAAGGCAGUGUCUACCGGUUGAGAAUAUUGCCAACCAGUAGCAUAUAACUAGUCGACCGGUUCAUGUAUACUGUUAUAAAUGGGUUAACUACUUGGCUUCCUGCAUAGAUUGUUCUGUUGUUAUUACAUAGUUAUUUUUUUUGGCCUUAUGAUCAGGUAAACCCUGUUAACUGCUUGUAGCCUCUUCUGAUUCUUGUGAUUUGUGUGGUAAGCUUAAUGCUUUUGCUUGUUUCUUGUUAUGUAUUGCUGUCAUUGUAUAGAUUGAACAUAUGGUCUACUUCUAUGUUGAACUUGGCUUGGCUAACUAUGCCACAAUGAUGUACUGCUCAUCUAUGCUAGGUGCCUCAUCAGUGUAUGCUGCGCAGUGUGCCAUGAACAGAAGCCCUGUUUGGGAUGAAAUAGUAAAACCCUACACUAGUUUCUCAUAGGCACAACUACUGUAAGUGAAUGGUACUGCCUUCCUCUCUCUUUAGUUUGUGAAAUACGAAUGUUUUAACAUUUCUCCCCAAAUCAGGGAUUGUGCUAAUCUCUUUGCAAGUUUCCACUCGAUGGGUGCAAAAAACAAGUUGAUCAAGGCAGUGUAUAGGUAGUGUGGGGGAUCAUUGGUCUGUGAUGAUCUGUUUCCAUAAGCUUUUAUGAAAGUGUCUAAAACUCUAAUUUCCAGGUAUUUAAAGUUAUCUCAAUGAUAAGAACUUGCAACUCCAAAUAUUUGCUAGAAUUCUUAUUAUGUGUUUCUCUUUACUAUUAUUUUGUUAGAAUUCUCAUUCUUUAUUAUUCUUUAUGGUUCAUAGAACCUAGUCUUUAUAUGAAUUGAUUUCUAUUACAAAUUUGAUUGCAUAGUCACCUCUGAAUGUGAUUUUAAUUCCUGAUGAGAUUUACUCAUGCAACUUGUUUGCCAUGCUACUUAUUUGAAGGAUUACUCUACUUAUUGAUUGAAAUAUCUCAAGCUGGAAUUUAAAUGCAUUUUGUUAGACCCUACAAAGAGAUGCAUUGGUUGAUUUGAUGGCAAGUUCAUACUACAUUAUAUGGAAAUCAUAUUUGCAUUAAUUUCAUGGGCUACACAUAAUAUAACUUGAUUGAGACUUGUGCCAAAAUUGGUAUGUCUCUAAUGAACUAUUUAGGAAAAUAUGUUCUUCCAUUUCCAUUAUUUUAAUCUUUGGUGUGCCUCUAAUCAAAUUUUGAGGAAAAUAUGUUCUUCCAUUCUUGAUUGGCCAACUUCCACCUAACUAGCCCACCUAAACAUUUUCAACCUCACUUGUUGAGUUAGACCCUAACCCAUUCUGUUGGCCCUCCUAUUUGCUAGUUUUAUCUCACCCUUGUGCCCAACCACCAUCAGAUUACCUACCUCUGAAACAUGGGUCCUCUCUAGCUAUUUAAUGCCAGAAUUCUUGGAAUAACUCAUAUCCUUGUUAGCCAACAAAACACCCUACAAUUAAAGGAAGUAGAUGAAGUUAAGAAUAUGAGAAAAAUGUUGGAAUUGCCUACUCUUCUCUAGGAAUCCUUCAAGGGUCUUAUGAGUGCAUCAAAAGCAAUAAAAUAAAAGGAAUUUGACUUCCUUUCCAAGAAAAUUAGUCAGGAAACAACUUUGUCUCAACUCAAACAUCUUCCCUUCUAGACUCUAAAAUACAUAUAUAAGAUAUUAAAAUAUUUUCUUCACAUGGAUGUAAAAGUUUCCAACUUAUUCUAAAAAUUACUAUAAGAAUAGGAAAUGUUCCAAAAAUUCUAGAACAUUUUAACUUACUAGCCAAUUAAUUAUACUUAGAAGAGAAAAUUAACUUGCUAGCAAAGUAAAAAGGGAAAUGCUUCAUUUCACACAUUUUUGCCACUUCACUAGAUUGUGAACGAUGAUUAGAUAAUUUUUUUUUUCAUAUUAUUUACUUCUUUUCACUUUUUCCUUUUUUUGGUCACCAUGUGCUGUUAGAACAAUGGUAAAAAGGUGGUUAAGGUAGCAUUACUCAAGGGAAAAAAAUGAUAUAUGUCGUUAGGAUGCCUAUAAAACAGGUUUAUAUCAUAUAUUUGAAUUAGGAUUGUGAGUCCAUGUGGAUCCUGUGAUGCUCACAAUUGAGAGAUUUUUCUUUUUUUGACAGUCCUUAAUCAAGAAACUUUUCAAACCUAGUAAAUAAAAAUUAUGAGCUAAGUUGUAGAAAGGCCAUUUAAAUGUUGAAACUCUAGUAUGCUCUGUUAUGUAGGCCAAUUGUAAGACCCAAUAAAUGGUUUGAGAGUUUUUACUUUUAAAAGAUACUAAACUUCCAGUUGUACUCAAUAGGAGUAUCAACUUGGAAGCAAGCAUGACAAUCUUUUUGAAUGAUACACUUGUUUCUUUUGAGCUAUAAAAGUUUUUUGAUCUAGUUACCUCAAAAUGCAGAAAGUAUAGUAAUAUGAUAUUCUUAAUUUUCCUAUCAUUUACAACAUUUCUUCAUUUUUAGAAUAUCAAUCAAUCCUAUAUAUCUUUUUUUCUAGAAGCCGUAAUUUCCUUGACAUACAUUUUUUUUUUUCCAGGUUUCAAUAGGGUAAAGUGGCAAUAGGAUUAGAAUGUAGUUCAUCUUGGGUAGCUGCCAAUGCCCCUUGAUAAUAUAUUUGAUAAGUUUGAAACCUGCAAUUGGGUCCAAGUCUCUCUUAUGGUUGUUAAUAGAUCACUCUGUGAUGUACUGGGUUAAGUCCUGAAUUGCAUCCCAUGUAUAUCGUUUUUUUUUUUUGUUUUUUUAAAUUUCUUAUUACCUCCCGCAUAGCUCAAUUCCUUUUGCAUGAAGUAAGGUUUAAAAGCUUAGAAUUUUAAGUAAAUAUGGACAAGGUAAGGGAAAAAGGGAAAUGCAUCAACCACCACAUGACAAAGAUAAAGAGCAAUAAGAAUCAUUUUUUUACUAUGAGAUGUUGGGUACAUAGAAAAACACCUUUCUAAUUGCCAUUGGAUUAAUCAUCACUUGUAGUUGAGCAUAUCUCCAUGAGGAUUACAUCAUCGACUGAUGCUUUCCUACAUGUAUCAAGCUGAACUACUAGAAGUUAAUAUAAAACAAAAGUAGAAGUAAGAUAUCUAAUAGAAUGGGAAGUUUUAGAAAAGGAGUGGAACAUGAUCUAAUUUCUCUUGCUUUAAAGAGGCCUCAUUUUGCCAAUCCAACAUCCAUAGAAACCAACAUUUAGUUGGGUGGUAGCAGUUAUAUUUAUUAUGACUAGGUGCAUAGAUAAUAAAACUGCCAUUCAAGGCCUUAAGGUUGAUUUUCUGUGCUCCAAGGAAGGAAGUUGAAAUACAGUAGUACACAAGGUAGGGAUAAUCCUGUGGAAAUAGGUAAAAGAUCAUGGUGAAUGCAAUGACACUAGACUGACCUGGUGGUGAACUCUAUCAGUUAAUACAUGCAAAGGGAAUAAAUUUAUUUGGGUUAAAUGGUAUGAAUCUUAUUAUUAAAAAUGUUUGUUCUUCUAUUCGGCAAUCCCUAUUUUAACAUUGUGGUUUUAUUAGAGGCUUUACUCUUUUGUUAGAGCUUUGAGGUCGGCCAUUGUUUAUGUACUCAACCCCAUUCGUAGAUGGAGAAAUUUGUCUUUUGCAUUUUUUUGGACCAUGCCAUUUUAUGGAAGAGUGAAAUUUUUUUACUUAUGGGGAAACUUGUGAUUGAGGUGCUGAAAGUAGUUAUUUACUCCAUUUUAUUUUUACCUGCAUAUCUUUACUUAUGACUGCAAUCUGAAAACAAUAUUAUUUCAUUCAAUUUUUGCUGCCCUACUGGUGACUAUGGACUAAGGUUAUGGCUUUCAUGUAAUUUUCUUCCACAAUAGACAAGAAUGUGUAAAUGUGUUAUAUUAGUAGUACAGGAACUAAAUAUUGAUGGAAGUAUAGUCACAUUAGCAAUGGAAGAGGCAUGUGGGAUAAGCAGGUUUAAAAUAAGGGCCAUGUACAAUAGCUUAGGUGAUUUUGGUAGGAAGAGAUGAUUGCUGUCAUAAAUUUUGAAUUGUUCUGCUAAACUAUUCUCUUUUGAUAAGUUUCCAUAAUGUAAUUAACCUUCUAUAAAGGGGAUGUUGCUCAAGUAUGCCGACAAACACAGUCAUUCUUUCCUCCUCCUUCACCGCUAUUAAUUAAGGAUGUGUUUUCCAUGCUCCGAAACAUAAGGUAUGAACUAUUAAACUUUAGGUCCUUUUCAUGGCUUCACCGCUUCAGGAACCUUUUUUUUUUUUACUAUAUAAUAUUGGGUUACACAGUUCUAUUCACUGCAAAGCUGGUACCAGAAACGAAGGGACGAAUGCUUCAAGAAAUACAAGCAUCAAUGGCUCAUUUUCUCCACUAAAAUAAACUCUUCAUGUUCUAUGGGAGAAAAUAUCAUGUAUUGGAACUUUUUUCUGAUUUGUGUCCUGAAUUGAAGAAAUAAAGUAAGAUUGUACCUAUGCAAUUGAGUUACACGUUUUGAUUAAUAUUUUUGUUACAAAACUACUAAGAAAGAGGAUAAAUUGAUAGUGGACAAUACUAAGCCCAAAUACUAUAUCCCAAACUAUAAUUUUGAGGUCUUAUAUAUUUUGAUUGAUUCAAUCAAAUCAAUUUUUCCUUCUUCAUUACCUCUAUAAGAGAAUUAGUAUAGACUUGAUAUAUCAACAACUUUUCAAUCGGUGUGGGUGUGGGUAGAGACACCAAAUUGGCCUUUCAAUCAACAUAAGGGACAUAAGAUAGACGUGGAAAAUUACUUACAGAGAUUAUCUCAAUAUUUGAAAAUGUAAAAAGCACAAGUCUAUCGGACCAAUAAUCCAUUACAUAUGAAAGAAACAUGCAUGGUUUUACCUAUCUUGGGAGCUAGCUCCUCACAAGUCUUAUAGUGACCAACACCUAUAUGUCUAGAUGUAUAAAGCUUUUUUUCACACACCAAAAAUUAGUUUUUCAAUUCUUUUUAUACCAAAUCCCAAGGUUUUUAGUGGUGUCAAACUAGGAAAACAAAUGACAUUCUCUAAACAUUAACCCACAUAAACAAUUGAUAUGGAAAUAAAAAUGGUAUGCAUUAAAAAAAAUAAGUAGUCCAUAAAUUCAAUAACUUUAUAACCAAAAUUGUUUUAAUGAAUAUGAUAACCCCUUGAGCUGAAGUGCACUUUUGUAUUUGCACGUUUAGGCCUACAUUUUUUUUUACUAGACUUGCGUUUUUAGGCAACUUUUUUUUUUUUUUUUUUUUUUUUUUUUUGUGCGAGUUUGCAUGCUUGAAUGUGCACUUUUAGACAGUUCAUUUUUGGGUUUGAAUGCUUAAGUCUAUACUUUUGGAUUGGACUUGCACUUCUAGGUAGUCCAUUUUUGUUUGAAUGCUUAAGCCUACACUUUUGGAUUGGACCUGCACUUUUGGGCAGUCCAUUUUUGUGUUUGCAAGCUUAGGCCUAUCCUUUUAGAUUGAAUUGCACUUUUGGACAAUUAUUAUUAUUAUAAACAAUAAAAAAAACUUUAAUUAAUGGAAACAAAUAUUUAUUUAUUUCAAAUAAAUAAAUAUAAAUAGAGACAAAAACAAGCAUGAUCUAACUAUGAUACCGAUGUAAGAUAAAAAUUAAAACUAUAAUCCAAAUAAAUACCUAAGAAAGAUCUUUGUAACUUGAAUUAUUGAUCUUAGUAACAGAUUCUAGGUGUAGAUGGGCACCAUGAAGAACUUCAUCAAGAAAAAAUAGAAGAGAUAUGAAGAAACUCAAACCUUCUGAAGAAAAGAUUGUUAGGUUUAGAGCUUACCAUUUAUAGGCAACUUUAUUAGUAAAAGAUAAGAAUUUCAAAUUGAAUGGAUAACUAUUUUCAUUCUAUUUUUAAACAAUUUAAUUCAAAAACAAAUUUUGAAUUUCAUGUAUCUACUUAUUCAUCCUCCUUUUAUUUGACCCACACGAUGAUGAAUUUAAAAGAAGAAAUUAAAUUCUAACCAUGUAAUUAUUGGUUUCUAAUUAUGUGUAUUUGUUAAGAAAAAUAUAACAAUUUUCUAGGUUAAGUUUCAUUUAUUACUUAUUAGGUGUUAUGUGAUUCAUUUUUUAUUUAUGGAAUUGUGAUUGAAUUAUGUGAAUAAUUAUUCAGGUUAAUUAUUUAUUUUUUAGAAUUUCAAUUUGGGAAAAAACAUAAAUUCUAACUUGAAUUUUUCAAAAUUAUUUGAAAUCAUGGGUUUUAUUGGAUAUUUAGAUGACUAUGAAUUAUGUUUUAAAACCAUAAUUUGAGAAAUUCCAUGGGAAUUUAUCAUAGUAAUUAAUUUAUUUUUGUUUUCUUAGUUGGAUUUAAAAAGUUAUGGUAAAUUUAUUUCUAAUUCAAAUUUUAUUAUUUUAGUAUUUAUUUUUUCAUUUUGAAUCAAAGAUGUAUAAAAAUAUAUAAAGUUUAAUUAUAUUGAGAAUUAGAUGAGUUAUAAGAAAAAAAUAUUGACAAUUGUCCCUCCUUUAAGAGGGUUUUUCAUGGUAUAUAUAGUGUCACCUUAUUGAUAUAUCUUUGGAUAAUAAUUGCUUUGGUGAGGUUGUUGUGAUUGUGAUGGAGUAAAUUAGAUCGAUCUAGCAAAAAACUAGUUAUUCUGCUUAUGCAGCUAACUAUCCUUUGCAUCCUUUCUCUAUCCCCUACUUAUUCCUCAGCUCAACACUUGUCGGGACAAGUAUGAGACCAGAUACGAUCCUAUGCAUAACUCGGCACUGAAUCCGUAAGACUUGGUUGGAUCGACUGAGAUUCUGAGUUAACUAUAGGUUGAAUCGGUUGAGUUACAAAAAAUUUUCUAAUUCAAACCAGAGAUAUUUUUCUUUCUUUUAAAUCAGAGUAGAGAGAUCAAAUAUUUUUUUUAUAUAUAUAUAAAAAAAAUCAUAGAUUCACGCAAAUGUUUCUAUAAUGGGUGAAAUGUGCAAUUCUAAGAUUUUUAGUUUCAACCCAUCAAUCUCGUCUUAUGAAGAUUAAAGAAGAAGAAGAAAUAUUCAAGUUUAAUGCAAUCGUGACUUCCAUUGAAGUCUAUAAGGGGAGAGAUUAGAUGGAUGAGAGAUCGAUUACCUCACCACAAUCAAUGGAGUGUGGGAGUUUUGGUGCCAACUGGUGACUCAUCAACGUGUGAUUUGAGUGGACUGAAAAUUACAUUCCUUCUUUGACGAUGGCGACAACAAUGACGACCACUAGGGGAGAGCUUUGGGGGAGAACAUCUUUUGUGGGUUUGCAGUUGGGUGGUUGUUAACCAUAUUUGGUAAAGUAAAAUUGUAAUUAACAUGAGAUUUAAUGGUAAUAAGAUAGAUGUUCUAAAAUGCAUUCUCAUCUUGAUCAACUUCAUAGGCAUGUAUUUAUAUGAUAGAUUCAGCUUACAUUUGAAUCAUUUUUAAUUUAUUAUACCAUAUAAAUUUUUUGUCUUUUAAUAUUCUAAAUUAUAUUAAAAAAUUAAUAAUUAUUUAAAACAAACAUUUUUAAAAGAAUCAAUAAUUUAACAACACAUUUAUAUUAGGAAAUCAAUAAUUAUUUUUGUAUGUUAUAAAAAUUAUAUUUAUAUUUGAAUCAUUUUUAAUCUAUUAUAUCAAAUAAUAUUUUUUUACCUUAUAAUAUUGUAAAAUUAAAUUACAUUAGGAAAUAAAAAGGUGUUAACUAUAAGAUAAUUUUGUUUGAUUAAUUUUUUGAGCUUAUCUAAUUAUACUUAUUUUUCUGAUAACUUACAUCAUAUUUUUAUAAUUUUUUGAACUUUCUAAUUAUCUUAUUUUGUGUAUUGUCCGAUACCGAGCCAAGACGUUGAGACCAAUAUUCUUCAGAAUCCUUCAAGUCAAUAACCAAUAUCACUGACUUUGAACCAUGGUUUAAGAGUCAUAGCUCUUUUAGAGGUGUCCAAGCUGGGAAGUGGUAUAUAUAUAUAUAUAUAUAUUUUUUUUUUUUUUUGCUUAAAAUUUCCUCUGGUCAGUCUCCUUGCAAUAACAAACAGAGAAAAAGAAAAAGAGGAAAAAAGAAAAUACCCAUAUUCAUUUUCUCAUACUCUCUCUCUAUAUCUCUCUUAAGUACAAUUAAUUAAUCUAACAUAUAAUAUACGAUCAAUGCCCUACCAAGACGCCAAGUGAAUCUUAUUUCCAGUUUCUUUUCUCUGAAUGGAACUCAAGUUCAACACUUGGAUCUUAGACCCUGAUAUUUUAUCUAAAGUUCAUGAGUUUCAUAGACCCUGUGCUUCAUCAUCUGGACUAUCCAAUACAAUAUUACAUGAAUUCGAAGAUAUUGAACCCUCAAUUCCAUGCUUAUUACAUGGAGGUCAUCUAGUGUUUUGUCGAAAAAUUAAUAUUCCAAGUUGAUGCGUCUACGGUUUACACUAGGCUUUUGAGUCUUUGAGUUUUGACUGUCUCUGCCUGAAAUGCGGGAAAUGUAGUGAAAUAUUUGCUCUCAUGGUUGUACAUUUGGGACAAAAAUAACCUCAAACUCUGCCAAAUGCUGCCAUCAAGAGCUGGAAAUGUUGAAAUUUCCUACCAGCUAAUACGCGGUUCUCAUGCCAGAAGCUGGAGAUAAAGAUUGAUAGAGAUUCAACCUCAUAUCAUACUACAACUAAGCACCUCCACUAGUUAUGAAGAUUGAAGAAGUAGUCUAUUUUUGACGCGACAAGGAAGCUAUGGCAUGAGUUUCCAUGAAGGAUACCAAUGAUUUUUUGUUAUAAGCUACCCUUUGUUUCUUAAUUAUCAAGGAAACAAUAGCUAAUACUUUAUUAUAUCACAUGUAUUUUUUGAAGUCUUGAUUAAAAUGACAAGACUAUUGUUUAAUCGCCUCUUGGUUUGAUAGGAUUGACUGCGACUUUCUUCAGAAAUUUGUUGUGAAAGGAGCAUCAUCUUCUUUAUGGUUUGUAGAAUGAUGUGAGUCCCACAAAACAUACUUUGAUUUGGUCAAGGUAACUGAAUUCAACACGAGAAAUCUUAUCUAGUUGUACAGUUCCCACUCUUACGGACCACGCUAAAUAUGAUAUUAUAUGGCUGCCUUUGCUUCUAGGACAUGCAAGUUAUAUGGAUAUUUGGUGCAAUCGUUAUGGACUCGGAACAUCUCCAAUAAGAACUUUUCAAAGUUACAACUUUACAUGGUUAAUCUAAAUUUAUAAAUCAUGAAGUAGUUGAAAUAUUUAGAGUUUUAGAAUUGUUUUGGGAAGAAAGAAAAGAAGAAAAUGAUUACCCUUUAAUCUUUGACAAUAAUUAGAGUUUUUUUUUUAUUUUUUAUGUGAAAUAUAUUGGAAUAAAUAUCAAUUCGAAUUAAAAUUGAAUGAAGAUGAAUGUUAUUAAAUAUUUAAUAUAUUUGUUUUUUGUUUGAAUUUGAUUUAUAUCUAAAUAAGGUUUAACAUUAUUGGGUGUUUAGACAAUUUAUUUCUUAGCAAUGUCUAAAUACUACUAAAUGGUGAGUUGUAUAUUUUUAUUAAUGUUUGCAUACUGUUAGUGUUAAUUAAUUCUAUUUAUUUUUACAUAUUAAAAAUAUUUAUUAUAAUUAUUAUUAUGUUUCCUUUUAUUUUACAUAAUUCAUAUAAAAUAUUUUAAAAAUAACAAAGAAAUUGGUCAUUGAAUAAUAAUUAAGAAUUUUUACAUUUUAAAAUGAAUUAAAAAUUGGCAACUAAAUGAUAAUUAGGAUUUUUAAUUGUAUUUGAUUGUUAAGAAAAUAUUAGAAUUUUUUAGGCUAAGUUUCAUAAAUACUCAUUCAUUUAUACCUUGUGUUUAUUCAAAUUAAUGAAUUUGUGAUUAAAAGGUGGAAUUCUUCACUUGGUAACAUUGAUCAUAAGGAUAACAAUGAUACACUUAACUUAGAUAUGAAAUAAUUAAAUCAACCACCAUGGUCCUACUUGCAUAGUCUAAGAGUUAAAUUAUAAGUGGUAUGUUACCCUUACCUUAGGGUUAAAUAAGACAAGAUCAAAUCAAUUUGAGAGGGUCUUUACCCGGUAAUAAAAUCAUGACCUACCCAAUAUAUGAUUGAUUCUUAUGAUACUAGGAUACUUCACAAAAUAUAUGUAGUCCUUAGAGUUCUACAUUUUGCUAAAUGGAUCAUAUAAUUUAUUUUAUGGUGAAUGCUAAAUUAUUAAUGGAUGUUUAAUUUCUAUAUAACAAUCAUGUUGUAUAAUUCAGUCACUUUCAUUUUAACAAGACAUAAAUUGAUCACAUCUAACAAUGUGGAUUACAAAAGAAAUCUAGACAUAGUUCUCACAUAAGAAGAAUUAAAAUGGGUAAAAUGCCCCCAAUGAAUAAUCCUCACAUGAAGAAAGGGAUGUUUAUUAUAGAUGACAUACUGCGGAUCAAAAGGUUAAGUGUAUCAUACUUUGGUCUUUAGAUGACAUGUUGCAACAUCAACAUGUGUCUUAUUCCAUGACUUAUGAUAUCUCUUCAGUCUACAAGAGAUCUUUGGGGACAAGGGUAAGUACAAGCUACUUUAAGGAUUAUCAUGAACACUAGGAUGACAUAAGGAAUUUUUGUUAGAAAUCAUAUGAUACAUAUGAUCAAACUCUUCCAUCUCAAGAUUAACAGGAAAACCAAGAUUGAUUUAGAUGUGAUGUACUUAAAAUUAUUUUAUUAUGAUUCCUUUUUAAAAAAAAAUAUAAAUGAAAAAAACAAAUCAGAGCCAAAAAAAAAAUAGGAGUGACUUUCUUCCAUCUCAAGGAGCAUAAAAGUUCCACGCAUCCGUAGUGUACUGAAGCAGUAUUCCUUUCUCUUCACCAGUCUAGUUGGGUCCUUGCUUACGUUGUAGUGUGGUCUUUCUUGGAUGCUGCUGAUUCCUACUUUUCAAAUUCUAAAUACUAUAAAUAAUAUCUUUAUUCUCCCAAACAUUGUGAAUCCUAAAGCCUCCCAUAAAACUUUAGAAUGAGAAACAACCUUACCAAACUCCCUUUUUGUCUCUUGUGUUGUCUGUCUUUAUGGAUUUUCUUCAUAGAGAUUACCAUAUCACAGAACACAACAAUACCAGUUAAAGUGGGAGUGGUUCUUGACAUGGAUACAUGGCUGGGGAAGAUGGGCUUGAGCUGCAUCUCCAUGGCCCUCUCAGACUUCUAUGCCUCUCAUGGGCACUACAAGACUAGGCUGGCUCUGGAAAUCAGAGAUUCCAAAAGAGAUGUUGUGGGUGCAGCUGCAGCAGGUACUCUCGUUUCAUAAAACUUAGAAUAUUUAUCCAUCCAUUUGGAAAACAAUUGCAUUAUUGAGAAAUAUGGAAGCAAAAGUUUAAACUUGCCCUCUUAUUUUCAAGCAAUUAGAUCUUUUCAAAUAUAUGAGCAGACACAGGUGUGGGAGAUGUUGGGUUUUUAUCGGUUCAGAGUUUCCAAAAAUAGGAUCUAUCAAUUAGAUGAGUGACUGAUCAUUAACUGUAGAAAUAAUUUGACCACCUCAUACCUUUAAGAUAUAAUAUGAUUUCAUUUUUUCUGUAGAGGAAUUAUUUCUUUAAUUUCUUCAUAAUUGCAAAUUAACUUUUCUAUAGUAAAAUUACGUUAUAUUGAAAUAUGAAUAGUAAAAUUUUUCUAUUUAAUUAUAAUGUUAUUAUGGAAUUAUUGUGAAUAGUAUUGUUUUUAAAGAAAAAGAAUGUUAAUAAAAUCACUGAAAUGCAGCACUGAAUUGAACAGUGAAAGAAAUCCAGAAGCGUCCACCCAGAUUAGAAUUAAUUCGAAUUUUUUACAUUAAGUAACUUGAUUUGUAGACCAGUUAAUUAAUUUCUUUCUUUAACUUUAGCUGAUGGGAGUUAUUGUUUGAUAAAUAUAAGUGUAAAGACAUCAUUAAAACAGAAACUGCUGCAGAUUGGGAAUGAUAACUAUAAGAGAAGUUGUUGAGGAAAAAGAGUGUUCACAUUGAACCGAGAUUAGCAUGCCCAUCAAAGACGGCAAAAGGUCUCGUUAAACCACACGUUUUCAGCUAAGCAACAUUUAUUUUCUUGGCUAGGAGGACGUUUCUUUGUUAACCACACGAUGGUUCAAAGACGCAAAAAGUCUCCAUAAAUUUAUUUCCUCCUUUGUUUAAAAGUCAACUGUAAUUUUGUGGCCAUUUUAGAGAAGCAUGGGAAGUUACCAAAAGUGACGCGUAUGACCUAUGGUAUUAAGAAAUAAUGGGAUGUAAAGUGGAAGGUAUAUAAAAAAAUUAAUGUUAUCUCCAAGAAAAUCUCAACAUAUAUGAUCCACCUUUCUGGUUUAACAAGACGAUUGAUAAUUUUUUCACGAAUUCUAGAAACCAUGGGACCAAGGGGAUGUAUUUUCUUUGUUUUUUUGUUCAUACCUUGUUUGAUUGCUGAUAAUAUAGUAGAAAUUGAGUGAAACUUUAGAAUCAUUAAAUUUUAAUUAUCGUGAAAUUCAGCUCUAGAUUUAUUACAAAAUGAGGAAGUUCAAGUCAUCAUAGGACCAGCAACCUCCAUGCAGGCCAAUUUUGUGAUUUAUCUCGGAGACAAGGCUCAUGUGCCCAUCAUUUCAUUUUCUGCAACUAGUCCUUCUCUUUCUUCGCUCCAGAGUCGAUAUUUUGUCCGAGCCACAUUGAAUGACUCAGCUCAAGUACCAGCCAUAAGAGCUAUUGUCCAAGCCUUUGGGUGGAGACAAGUUCUGCUCAUUUACUUGGACAACGAGUACGGAAAUGGAGUUCUACCUUAUCUUACUGAUCCCUUGCAAGAGAUUGACACCCGUAUCUCCUACAGGAGCGUCAUUCAUCCAUUAGCCACUGAUGAUCAAAUCCUCGAAGAGCUUUACAAGUUGAUGACAAUGUCAACCAGAGAGUUUUCAUUGUACACAUGUUUACACCUCUAGGCCCACGGCUUUUCACCAGAGCGUAUGAGAUUGGAAUGAUGGAAGCAGGUUAUGUUUGGAUACUAACUGAUGGAUUAACUGAUAUCUUGAGUACCUUGGAUGACUCGGUCAUUGAUUCGAUGCAAGGAGUGUUGGGUGUAAAGCCUCAUGUUCCAAGAUCGAAAGAGCUUGAAAGUUUUAAAAUCAGAUGGAAAAGGAAAAUCCAACAAGAAUAUCCAACCAAUGAAAGCUUUGAGCUGAACAUUUUUGGACUCUGGGCUUAUGAUGCUGCUUCUGGGCUAGCCAUGGCAAUUGAAAAACUUGGGGCAACAAACUUCAGCUUCCAAAAGUCUAAUACUUCCAGAAAUUCAACUGAUCUUGAUACUGUAGGAGUCUCCCAAAUUGGUCCAAAUCUUCUCCAAUCACUAUUAAGUACUAGAUUUAAGGGCCUUAGUGGACACUUUCAAAUUUUUAACAGGCAACUACGUUCAUCAGCUUUUCAGGUAGUCAAUGUGAUCGGAAAAGGGGAAAGAGGGGUUGGAUUUUGGACACCAGAGAAUGGAACUGUAAGAAAGUUACAUUCCACUUCCAAGGCCAAUCUAGGAACAAUCGUAUGGCCAGGAGAAUUACCCUCCGUUCCUAAAGGUUGGGUCCUUCCAACCAAUGAGAAGAAGAUGAGAAUCGAAGUACCAGUCACCAAGGGUUCUGGUAAAUUCGUAAAGGUGACACGAGAUCCUAGCACUAACGCGAUGGAGGUCACUGGAUUUUCCAUAGCAGUCUUUGAGAACAGAUAUGACCAAUAAUUACUGCAAAAGAGUCUCCAUUAAUUGUGCCAUGUUUAUUUGUUUUAUUGUUUCAACUAGAUAACAUAUCUUGGGGAAAUGACCAAGGGGUUUUCAUAUUCACCACAUGAUAUUUAAGGGGUAGCAAACAGUGUUAAAAAACUAUAACAGUGUCGAUUUUGACAUUAUUUGUGAAUAAAUAUGAAAUUAGUGGAAUUAGGCUAACGGUGAUUGCUCGUUUUCAUAUUCGUGCUGAUUUAUAGAUUUUAAUUUUUUUAAUAGGACUUUUAUUAAUAAAUUAUAAUAACUGUAUUAUAAUUUUGACAAAUUAUUUUAAAAUUUUAUUAAUUUAUUUAAAUCCUUGUUUAUUGUUUGAACCUGCAUGCUCCUGAACUCAGCUGUAGACCUCUUACAAAAUGAGGAAGUGGAAGCCAUAAUAGGGCCGAGAUCAUCGAUGCAGGCCAACUUCAUGAUCGGUCUUGGAAGCAAAGCUCGGGUGCCCAUCAUUUCCUUUUCUGCAACAAGUCCCUCUCUUUCUUGGCUUCAGAGUCAAUAUUUUAUUCGAGCUACCCUAAAUGACUCAGCUCAAGUACCGGCAAUAAGGGCAAUAGUCCAGGCCUUUGGAUGGAGAGAAGUUGUGCUUAUUUACGUGGACAACGAGUAUGGCAAUGGAGUCGUACCGUCUCUGACUAGUGCCUUGCAGGAGGUGGACACCCAUGUGACCUACCGGAGCGCCAUUCAUCCAUCGGCAACUGACGAUCAAAUCGUUAAAGAACUUUACAAGUUGAUGACGAUGUCAACUAGGGUUUUCAUUGUGCAUAUGCUUACACCUCUUGGCUCCCAGCUUUUCACCAAAGCAAAUGAGGCUGGAAUGAUGGAAGAAGGCUAUGUUUGGAUACUAACUGAUGGGAUAACUGACUUCUUGAGUACUUUGGACGCUUCAGCCAUUGAUUCGAUGCAAGGGGUGUUGGGCGUCAAGCCCCAUGUUCCAAGAACCAAAAAGCUUGAAAGUUUUAAAAUCAGAUGGAAAAAGAAAAUCCAAGAAGAAUAUCCAACCAAUGAAAUCUCUGAGCUGAAUAUUUUUGGACUCUGGGCCUACGAUGCUGCUUCUGCACUAGCCAUGGCAUUUGAAAAACUUGGCGCGGGAAACUUCAGCCUCCAAAAGACUAACAUUUCCAGAGAUUCAACCGGUUUUGAGAGUAUUAGAGUUUCCCCAGUUGGUCCAAAUAUUCUCCAUUCACUAUUGAGUACUCGAUUUAGAGGCCUUAGCGGAGAUUUUCAAAUAUUCGAUGGGCAACUUCACUCGACAGCCUUUCAGAUAGUUAAUGUGAUUGGUAAAGGGGAAAGAGGGGUAGGAUUUUGGACUCCGAAAAAUGGAAUUAUAAGAAGACUGAAUUUCACAAACACAUAUUCCACUUCUAAGGACAACCUAGGAAUAAUUGUAUGGCCUGGAGAACCUACUUAUGUCCCUAAAGGUUGGGUGCUUCCAGUAAAUGAGAAGUUGAAAAUAGGAGUUCCAGUGAAUGCUUUUAGUGAAUUUGUAAAUGUGACAUGGGAUCCCAAAACUAAUGCCACAAAGGUCACUGGGUACUGCAUAGAUGUAUUUGAUGAGGUGAUGCGUUCGCUACCAUAUGCUGUUCCUUACGAGUACAUUCCCUUCGGAACCCCUGAUGGCAAGUCUGCCGGUAGCUACAAUGAUUUGAUAUAUCAAGUGUUUCUAAAGGUCAGUCAUACUUUUCACUCUUUCUAGUAUCUUCAUUUUGUUUUUAUUGGAUACACAAAAGAGCACCAACAUUAUCAACCUAUUCAAUGAAAUAUACAAGAAGAUUUCUAAUUCCCUCUUUUUUAUAACAAAUAGAAUUAUGAUGCCGUGGUGGGAGAUACUACAAUUGUAGCGAACAGGUCCAAGUAUGUAGAUUUUACAUUACCCUACACUGAAUCUGGCGUAUCAAUGAUCGUGCCCAUCAAAGACAACAAAAGCAAAAGUGCAUGGAUUUUCUUGAAGCCAUUGACUUGGGACCUCUGGGUGACUAGUGCGUGUUUCUUUGUUUUCAUCGGCUUUGUAAUUUGGGUUCUUGAACAUCGAAUAAAUGAAGAUUUCAGGGGCCCUCAUUCACAUCAAGCAGGCACCAUCUUCUGGUUCUCCUUCACAACUAUGAUGUUUGCACAGAGUAAGUUCUCUUCCCUCAAAUUAACUUCAUUUGCUGAAAUGAUGUUGAUUUUCUGGUUCUAUGUUUGUAGAGGAGAGAAUUAUGAGCAACUUGGCGCGGUUUGUGAUGAUCAUAUGGUUCUUUGUGGUGCUCAUUCUUACUCAAAGUUACACCGCCAGCUUGACAUCAAUGUUAACUGUCCAACAGCUCCAGCCAACCGUUACAGACAUAAAAGAGCUACAAGCGAAACGGGAGUAUGUAGGUUACCAACAAGACUCUUUCGUUCUCGAAUUCCUGAAAAGGAUGAAGUUUGACGAAUCCAAGUUAAGGAUCUAUAGUUCUCCAGAAAAAUUAGCUGAACUAUUCUCGAAAGGAAGUGCAAAUGGAGGUAUUGCUGCUGCCUUUGACGAGAUACCUUACAUGAAGCUCUUCAUUGCACAGCAUUGCUCGAAAUAUACCAUGGUUCAACCAAUAUACAAAUUUGAUGGGUUCGGAUUUGUAAGUGCUCUCUCCUCUCACAAACAAACACUCAUUCCCAAUAUUUAUGUGCAUUUCAUGUGUAAGCUUUUCUUUUUCUUUUUUGUUUGUUUGUUUGUUUAUUGUUGUUUUUUUUUUUUUUUUUGGAAUUUCAGGCCUUCCCAAUAGGUUCUCCUCUGGUACCCGAUGUUUCAAGGGCAGUCUUAAUUGUGACUGAGGGAAAUGAAAUGGUAAGGAUUGAGAAAAAGUGGUUUAGCGAAAAAACUAGUUGUUCAGAUGAUAAUGGAAGCUUACUUUCUUCUAACAAUAUCAGCCUUGAUAGCUUUUGGGGCCUUUUCCUCAUUGCUGGAGUCACUUCAUCUUUAGCUCUGAUCAUAGGUAUUGCCAUGUUCCUGCAUAAACAUAGAGUUGUAGUAAUGGGCAAAGAUUCGGCAUCGACAAAGAUUAAGACCUUGAUGACACUUUUUGAUCAAAAAGACCUCAGCUCUCAUACUUUUAGAAUAGCUGACCAGCCAUACAGCGGUAGCAAUGAGCCUAUAGCUGCAGUUGGAGCCUCUCCCUCAGUGACUAACAGCUCGCCAAGGCCAUCAACCUUUUCCAACCAAACCAAUAAUGAUAUUCCCCUCUCCGGAGAACAAGGAACCUCUUCUUAAUUCAGAGCACAGUGGUUGGAGCUCAAUCACAACUGGUGGGCAAUCAUCGCCAGAGAUAGUAGCUACUAAUUUAAAUCAAGAGAGAACAAAUAUACCUGUAACAUCACAUUAGAAUAAUCGAACUUCAUUGCAGUAGCAUUAUCAUUAUAUUUCACAGCAUGAUAGGAUUGUAAUCUUGCUGAUUGUUGACAGGUUGAAUUUAACUCCUGUACUCCACAUUUUCUAACUGUCAAAUUGGUUGUUAUCUGCUUGUUUAAAUAGUUUAUGAUCAAGGAGGAAACAUUACAUAAAUUAAUAUACUUAUUUUGGAAGUUCAUUUGGUUAUACUGUCAAUAGUACUGUUAAACAGAUCACUCUUUUUAUUGUCUAUAAUUUUCCUUUUCAAUGAAGAUGAGAAUAUGUAAAUAGAAUAGUUAUUUUGGGCUUCAACGGAUUUUAAGUACAAGGGUUUUUUUUUUUUAAUUGAAAUAUAUGUUUUGUAAAGUUUAGACUCAAAACGGUUUUUUAAUAAUUUAUUUUAAAAACAAGUUGUUUUGUCAUAAUGAAUUUAAAUAUAAUUUUAUGUUUUUUAUAGAACAUUGUAAAAGACCAAAGUCCAAAUUAUUGAAAACAUAUUAAGUAAUAAGUAGCUAAAAUAAAUAAAGAAAUAAUAUAUAUAUAAAUUAAAACUCACAAAUAAGAUUGAUAAAAGCUAAAGUUUGCCUUGCUCAUGUGCUUAAAAUUUAGUGACAUUCAUCUCUCAAGAUGCAACAAUAUAAGAAAUGAUAAAUAAUGUUUAUAUUUUCUAUAAAAGCCUGGAUGCUUUCAAAAUAUACACUUAUCACUCAUACAUGACUUGGAAUGGAUUAGCCCACUUAGGAAUGACCUGGAAUGGACCACCCACUUGGAGAUGACUUGAAAAAGAAUGAGAAAUUGAUGUUGUUGGAAUAAAUGAAAUGUCGUGGAAGGGGUCUCUUUUUGUAGGUGGAGAUUUGCCCCUAGAAGAGAUGCUUCCACCAAAGGGUCACAAGGGUCACACCUAUCUAAAAAAGAUGUCUCAUAUCUGUUUUAGACAAUCUGUAUCUUAAAUGGAAAAAUUUUUGUACAAAGAAAAAAAAAACACUUUAUGCCAUUGGGCUUUUCUGGUUAUGUCCAAAAGCAUAUGAGCCAAGGUGAGGCCUGAUUACUACCAAAAAGUGCUAUUUUGUAGACCUAAUUAUAAUGGUUUUAAGCACCUUUGAGUAGUAAUCAUAUUCAUUUAACUCAAUUAAUUCAUUAAGGUCCUUAGUAAUUGGUUUUAACCAUUUUGUGGCAAGUUUACAUGUUUUUAUCAGCUUAUGAAUCAAUUCAAGCAUGCCAAAUGAUGGAGGAGCUACUUGGACAAGUUAUGGCAAAGCUUUUGGAAGCUCAAAUUCAUGAAGAACCAAGCUUUGGAGCCUCAUAUUCCUUUGCCUUAGUCGUUCAAAGUAUGCAAGGAGAGAAGCAAGGAGAGAGGAAAAACAGAGUGAAGAAAACAGAGGAAAGCCAGCUGCAGUCUUCUUUUGCACUUUUGGAGCACUUCCCGAAGUCCAUUUUCUACAUUCUAUAUACCAUUUCAAAGCUCAGGAAGUCAAGAAUCCAAUGCUUCAAACGGUGCGCGAUUCGGAGUUGAAACAAAGAAGUUACAGCCACUGCAAGUCAAUCACUCUAAAGUGUUGCGGAAUCAGCCUUUUGUUGCGAGAAUUUCGCAGCCUUUUUGUACAGUGUUGUGGAUUUCCUCCUGAAGUUGCCCGAUAUAUGCCGCAAGCUGGGAGCUGAGAACCUCAAGGUGGAAGCCAACUUCGCAGCCCUGUGAAGAUAGCUUGAUGUUGCGAAGUGAUUUCGCAGCCCUCUUGGGUGUCUGCGAAAUCUCGUAGACACCAUUUUUCACCUGCGAAAUGGUCCUUAGAGCAUCCCGAUAUUUGUGCACCGACUCUUUUAGAUCUUUUCUUCAGAUAUUUUUGUAUAAAUUUCCAUUUUCUCCUUGUAUUCAGCCACUCAUGUAAUUCCUUAGCUAGGAAGUAUCCAAGGAAGGGUAAAUUACCUUCCUAUAUAAACUCUCUUGUAAACACUCUCAGGAGACGCUCGGAAAUCAUAUAAUGUAAUAUAGAAAUAGAUAUAUCAUAUAUAGAAUCAACGAACAGAGCACUUGCUCUGUUUUUCUUAUAUAUUCUUGUUUUCUCGUUAGUUUUCUUGCUAGCCAAACAUUCUCUAAGGAUUUUUCCUCAGAAGAUGAGAGGCUAGGCUUUUUGUCUCUUGGAGUAAGGAAAGCCGGGUAAGUUUCCACAUGCAUAAAUUGGAAGUUUUGUUGUUUUAGUUUUUAAUGAAGAGAAAGUGUGACCCGUUAAUGGUUUUUAUCUUUUUAGUUAACUUAAAACGCCUUUAAAUCACCUAGGCCAACACUUGGUAAGGCAAGUGAUAUCCGUCCAUGGAGAUUCACUAGUUUACCCCUUGCGAGCCUUUGGGAGGUGGUUUGAAGGUAGGAUUUUCUAGAAUAGCCAACACUUGGUAAGCUUUUGGACUCCAAGGAGACAUCCAUUAGUUAUCUCUUGCGAGCUUUUGACGGGUAAUCCAAGGUUAAAGAUCACCUUGAAUGGCAAGUGCUAGGUGAGAGGUAUGAGUCAUUGCAAGUUGCAUCAGUGAGAGGGAUUUAGUGUUUGAACCCAUUAAUGGGAAGCAUUUGUACAACACCGGUUGGAGAAGGAACUAUAUGUUAAUUCUCUAAUGCGAGGAAAAGAAACAAGUGACCGGAACUCCCUUUUUGUAUGAGGAAUCUGAGCCUAGUGAUCUGAAACUCCAAGAAACAUUUUUCUUUGUAAGUAAAAUCAGUUAUUAUUUGUGGUUAGUUUAAAACCAAACAUUUUCCAACUCAAGUUUAUGUUUUCUUUUAAAGCUAACCUUGAAAUGAAAAGGCACCAAUUCAGCUUUGGAUUAAUAUCAUUUGCAAAGUGAAAACCCAUCCCAGUGAACGAUCCUAGAGCCACUGUGCUAUAGUAGCUUUGUCUUUGCUACCCUAGUAUAUGGUGUAAUAGGUUAUAAAUUUUGUUGAUUACUCCCUCAAUCAAAGAGCACCAACUGGACACGAAUCAGCCGAGACACCAAUUGGGCAUGAAUCAAGGCCCAAGUCCACUCCCAUCUAGUUAAACCCAAGCAUAUAUGAGUCUAGGUUCAAGCCUACACUACAAGGAAAAAGAUAUAUGGUGACAUUUAUAACGAGUCACCAUAAACAUAGGAUGUCACUACAACAUAACGUCACCUUUUCCACUGACACCAUAGAGGGUACCAAUUGGUGACGUAUUUGGAAGUAAUACCAAAGUAGAUAAAUGGUGACCCAUUCGGAAGUGACACCAUAUAUUUCUAGUGAUGAUUGGGUGUCACAUUAAAUGCAUCAUCUUUGAGUUGUGAUGUCACAUUAAAUGCAUCACCUUUGAGUUAUGGUGUCACAUCAUUGUAAAUUACUGUGGAAGAUAUGAUUGCUUUUAGUUGUAGAUUUUUGUAAUGCUUAUGAAUUAAUAAGUAAGAUUAACUUGUUUAUCUUUUGUCCAUAAAUAUAACAAUCAUAUUACAUUUAACUCAUUUUUCUAUAAUAUUUUUAGAAUAACUCAUAAUACAUUGAUCAUCUAAUAAUAUUUGUAUAUCAAAUGUUCACAAAAAGAUAGUACAUCCAAUAUAUCAAACCCAUCAAAACUUAAAAAGAAGAGUGAAUACAUACCAAAACAUGAUUUAGAAAUGUUAAAGAUUCCAAGAUUCAUGUAUACCUCCAUUUCAUAAUCAUAAAAUUGGCUAACUAUAAAAUGACAUAAAAGUCGCAUCUAAAAAUCUAAAAUUCUCAGUACCAAUUAAAGUAACGUUUAUGUCCUACAACGUAUGACAUAAUAGUUGAAUUUAAAAAUCCAAAAUCUUGUUGCCUUCUUCUUUCUUUUUGUUCUCCAUUCCACCAUCCCAAGAGUGUAUACCUGUAUUUCAUAAUUUAAUGAGUUUUAUAGAUUUUUAUUGAAGAAAAUAAACAUGGAUUCAUGUUAUCAUAAAUGAACAAAUCUAAGAACUAUUUUUUUUUUCUUUUUUCAAAUAGAAACAUUAUUCAAAGAAUAAGUAAUACUAUACAAUACCUAUGGAAAAAUUCAUGUAGUAGCUAAGGGACCCACCAUGCAUGGUGAUCAAGAUGCAUCAUGUGUUAUGUGGUUCAUUUUUUGGAUUUAUGGAAUUGUGAUUGAAUUAUGUGAUUAAUUAUUCAAAUUAAUUAAUUAAUUUUUAGAACUUCAAUUUGGAAAAAAAAACAUAAAUUCUAACUUUUAUUUUUCAAAAUUAUUUGAAACCAUGGUUUAUUGGAUAUUUUGUUGACUAUGAAUUAUGUUUUAAAAUCAUAAUUUAAGAAAUUUCAUUGGGAUUUAUCAAAGUUAAUUUAUUUUUGUUUUAUUAGUUGAAUUUUAAAAAAUUAUGGUAAAUUUAUUUCUAAUUCAAAUUUUAUUAUUUUAAUAUGUACUUGUUCAUUCUAAAUCAAAGAUGUAUAAAAAUAUAUAAAGUUUAAUUAUAUUGAGAAUUAGAUUAGUUAUAAGGAAAAAAUAUUGACAAUUAUACCUCCUUUAAGAGGGUUUUUCAUGGUAUAUAUGGUGUUAGAUAUAUCUCUGGUUUAUAAUUGCUUUAGUAAGGUUGUUGUGAUUGUGAUGGAGAAGAUUAGAUCGGUCCAACAAAAAACUAGCUAUUCUGCCUGUGCAGUCAAGGGUCUCCAAAAAGCCAGCGGCCCGCUUUAGGCCCAGCCCGGCCCAAGCCCGCCAGGCCCGAGCCUGGCCCGAGCCUGGCCCGAGCCCGUUUCUGGGCAGGCCGGGCCGCGGGCCUAAUUUUAGGCCCGGCAGGCCAGCCCGGCCCGUAGGCCCGUAGGCCUACCCUUUAAAAAAAAACUACAAAAAUAAAAAGUAUUAAAAAAAAUAUUCAUUUCAAAAUUUUAUUCAUUGAAUGUAUAAUUACAUUUGAAAAUGUGGGAAAAGUUUACAUCACUACAAAAUAAAUACAUCCCAACUAGGUUGGCACCUAUUUAUUUGUCAAUCAUCUGUAUUUUUCAACCACAAAAAAUAAAAAUAAAAAUAUAAUAUACAUUUAGUCAUUAUUUUCUGGCAAUGAUGGCCAACUAUCAUGCAUCCAUGAAGAUCUUGAUAAUUUUAAAGAUUUCAUAUCGACAAGCAUCUCUGUUUCUCAAAUGGAAUCAUACAUCCUUUUAUUUGCUAUUUCCCAAUCUUUCACACAUAUCCCUGCUUCAAUAACAUCUGGCGCUAAGUUGCAUCAUUUUUUACUAACUACUCUUCCACCUGCACUAAAAGCAGCUUCUGAUGCAACUGUACUCACAGGAACUGUUAGUACAUCACAAGCAAUUAUAGAAAGCACAAGAUAUUUGUGUUGAUGUGAUUUCCACCAUAUUAAAAUAUCAAAAUCUUCUUGAUCUUCAAAUGAAAUUAUAUCAGUAUUAAGAUAUUUAUCUAAAUCAGAUGUAUUAUUUGGAGAACUAUUUGUUGUCUUUUUUCGACUUUUCAACAUUUCUAGAGCUCUUUUAUAAAAAGAUGAGGAGUUUGCAGAUGUAGGUGGUAAUUUAAUAGUAUUAAUAUCAUUACCAUAUUUUUCUUUAUAAUAGUUAUAUAAAUUAUAUAAUAAUGAAUUUAUUUCAUUUUUAAUUUCUUCAAUUUUUAUUUGGUCAUUAAAAUAAAUAAUUGUUAACCAUUCAUCCAAAGCUUCAAAUUUCAAUCUAGGGUCCACAAUUAAAGCAAUAUAAAAAAUUAAAGGUAUUUCUCCCCAAUAUUUUCUAAAUUUUUCUAUCAUUGCAAAUAUUGUAUCAUUAAAUAUUUCAAAACUUAAAUAUUUUUUAAGUACAAUAAAAAUAUUAGUUAUUUGCAUAAUAACUCGAUUUGAAGUUGGAUAAUAUACACCACAAAAAAUGUUUGUUGAAGUAUCAAAAAUUUCAAAAAGAUCUCUUAAAAGAUCCGCAAUAUGCCAAUCAUAAUCAUUUAAUGCAUAAAUAUCUACUUCACAAUCAUUGUUAAUUAAUUGUAUUUCAUAUAAUUCGACUACUUUUCUAUAUUUUGUAAUAUUUUGUAAAAGUUUAUAUGUGGAAUUCCAUCUAAUGGCCAUAUCCAAAUUUAUAUUUUUUCUUUUCAUAUUUAACAUUUUGCAAUAAUAAAAAAAUAAUUCAUGUUUUGCUUGAGAACUAUUAAUACUAUAUGCAAUGCCUCUAAUUUUUUCCAAUGUACUAUCAACAUUUUUUAAUCCAUCCUUUACAAUUAAAUUUAAAAUAUGUGCACAACAACGCACAUGAAAUAUUUUAGCAUGAUCUUCUUUUACUUGCCAAUAUUGUUUUAGCCUAUGUAUUGUUGCAUCAUUAUUAGCAGCAUUAUCUAAUGUUAUUGUCAAUAUUUUAUCACGAAUGCCUAAAUCUAUAAUUUCAUCAUUUAUUAAAGAUGCUAUAUUUUUACCACUAUGUGGAGCAUUUAUUAAUUUAAAUGAAAUUAUUCUUUUAUUUAAUUUCCAUUCAUUAUCAAUGUAGUGAGCAGUUAUACAUAAAAAAACCAGUGUGAGUUAAAGAUGUCCAAAUAUCAGAUGUUAAACAAAUAUUUCCUUUAAAAUUUGCAAAAAAAAAAUUUUUAAAUUUCUUUUUGUGUAUAAAUUUUUUUCAUAAUAUCUCUUUUAACUAUAUUUCCAAACCAACCUUUAAAUUGAGGAUUAAUACCUCAUUGAAUUGUUCCUGCAAAAUCAUGAGUUUCCAUCAUGUUGAAAGGUUGUUCUGUUCUUAUUAUAUAAUCAAUCAUUUCUUCACGACAGUUGAAUUCAUCAUAAGAAAAUGUUUUUAAAUUUCCACUUUCAUUUUUACCUAAUUGCAUAUAAUUUCUAAUAUCUACAUUAUUUUUAGUUUUACAAUUUUCAUGAUGUAUUUUUAAAUGACUUGUGCCUGCAUUUGAGCCACCAGUAAGAAAUUUAUUACAAAUUUUACAUUUUGCUUUUAUUUCUUUUUUAUUAUUUUCUAAAAUUAUUUCUAUUCUAUCAAAAAAAUUCCAUAUAUUUGAAGUAAAUUUUUUGUUUGAUGAUAUUUCAUCACAUGGACUAGAUGAAGAAGCACUUGCCAUAUUAUAAUUAUUGAUAAAAUAUUAUGUCAAAAAUAAUAAAUUAAUAAAUAUAAAAAAAAAUGUAACAAAAAAAUAAAGUAGUAGGAGUGAAGUAUGUUACUCAAUUAGAGAACCGAUGCAGAAAUUCCUAGCAAAUUUGAACUCUUGGAGCCACCAAUGCUUGUUUUGCACCACCAACAAUAUUGUAUAAUUUGAGGGAAAAAUAAAAGAAUUCAAAAUAUUGUAGAAUGUGAGAGAAAUAGAGAGAAUUUGAUGAAAAAAUGAAAAGGAAGAAAAUGUAUUUAUAGGAAGGUUAAAAAAAAAUUCAAAUUUCAAAAUAAUUGGCCAUGUGACCGUUGGAGGCUUAGCUCCAACAAUCACAUGGGCUGGAGCUAGGCUCCAACGGUCACAUGACUGAUGGAGCCUUUAAUUUUUUUUAAAAAAAUAAUAUACUUUAUUUAUAUAUAUAUAUAACUAACUCAAUUAAUAAACAUAAAAAGAAUGUAGUUUAGUUGGUUAGAAGCUUAAAGUUUAAACAUGAGGGGAGGGGUUCGAAUCCUCCCCUCUCUCUUUCCUUGGCUUUUUUGAAAGCCAUUUUGGCUUAAUUCAAAAAGCCCGCGUGGCCCGGCCCGCCUGCCAGCUCGCGGGCUCAUAGGCCGAGCCGCAGGCCUAGCAUUUUAGCAUGGCCCGGCCCGACCCAAGCUAGGUCGCGGACCUCCUAUUUACGGCUCGGCUCGGCCCAGCCCGCCCGUUGGAGACCCCUGUGUGCAGUUAACUAUCCUUCACAUCUUUUCUCUAUCCUCUACUAACAUUAGUUAUACUCCUUAUUCAAUCCCCAACUUAGUUUGUAUCUCUCUUUACUAUUAUUGUAUACAGGUUUGGGUGUCAUAACUCUUUUAUAGGAGUCUAGGUUGGAAAAUGGUACAUAUAUAUUUUUCUUAAAAUUUUCUCCUCUCCUCGCAUUAACAAACACAGAAAAAAAUAAAAAUAAAAAUAAAACACCCAUAUUCCUUUUCACAUUCUCUCUCUCUCUACUAUUAUCGUACGCAGGAUUGGAUGUCACAGCUCUUUUAUAGGAGUUUAGGCUGGAAAAUGAUACAUAUAUAUUUUUCUUAAAAUUUCCUCCACUCUCCUCGCAUUAACAAACAAAGAAAAAGAAAAAGAGGAAAAAAGAAGGUACUCGUAUUCCUUUUCUCAUUCUAUUUCUCAUAAGUAUAAUUAAUUAAUCUAACAUACCAUAUAAAAUCAAUGCCCCACCAAGACUAAACCAAGCGAAUAUAAUUUCCAGUUUCUUUACUCUAAAUGGUACUCUAAAUGAAACUCAAGAUCAACUCUUGGAUCUCAGACCAUGAUAUUUUAUCUCAAAUUCACAAGUUCCAUGGAUUAUGUGCUUCCUCAUCUGGACUAUCCAAUACAAUACUACGAAUGCAAAGAUAUUGAACCCUAAAUUCCAUGUUUAUACAUAGAAGUCAACUUGUGUUAUGUAGAAAAAUUAACAGUCCGACUUGAUGUGUUUACAGUUUGCUCUAGGCCGGCUUUUGAGUUUUGAGUUUUGACUGGCUCUACUUGAAAUGCGGGAAAUGCAAGGACAUAUUUGAUCUCAUGGUUGUACAUUUGGUACAAAAAUAACCUCAACCUCCUGCCAUCAAGAGCUAGAAAUGUUGAAAUUUCCUACCAACUAAUACAUCAUUGUCAUGCCAGAAGCAGGAGAUAGAGAUCCAACCCUAUAUUAUACUACAGCUAAGCACCUCUACUAGUUAUGAAGACUAAAGAAAUAGUCAACUUUUGACCCCACAAGGUAGCUAUGACAUGAGUUUCCAUAAAGGAUACCUAUGAUUUUCCGUUAUAAGGUACCCUUUGUUUCUUAAUUAUCAAAGAAACAAUAGCUAGUACCCUAUAUCAUAUCACAUCAUAUUUUUUGAAGUCAAUGGUACAAGGAAACAAAAAAUGCAAAACUUAGAUUUUUAGUAUCUACAAUAAAAAAAAUUUAAAAAAAGAAAAAAAUUUGCCAUUAUUUACUCAUAAUUUGCUUGGCAAGUGGGCUAAAUACUUUCUUGCAAAGGCUUGACUAAAAUGACUAGACUAUUGUUUAAUCGCUUCUUAGGUUUGGUUUGAUAGGAUUGACUGCGACUUUAGAAUUUUGUUUUGAAAGGAGCAUCAUCUUCUAUAUGGUUUGUAGCACGAUGCGAGUCCUGUUGAUGUCGCGACCCACUAGGAUUACUGUGUCUCCUUGACACUAGCACUUGAUCAACUAAGAGUGAUGUUUCCUUCCUCUCUCCUACAAAAGAUGUCCGGACAAGUUGUCCAGACAUACCUUCUGAAGCUCUAGUUAAAUUGAAAGUUCUAUAUGUUUUCUCCUUUUGGGAGUGAUUCCGAAGUCUGUCUUACCUCCUUUUGUUGGGUUCCUUGAAGGAUUUUAUAGUAUCUGGGGUUUUUUGUUGUCACAUCCAGGCUAGUGGGGUCCUUUACUUCCACAACCAUCAUGGCUACUCAUAGGGUAGCAAUGCAAUCAUAACUUUUUAGGCAGUGAAUAGAGAUUGCUAGUGAGGCGAUCAGGCGGCACAUCCAUCACUUCAUUUUGCAGGCAGUAGAGUGCAGAAUAUGGCAUAUGGCCUGAAAAGACAUGAAGAUGUCCCAACUAGCACGCCUUUAAUGGAAGGCGAAUGAUGGAUUGUGGAGUAUGGUCAGAGACAUUGCUUGGAGCAUGUCCUGCAGUCUCGUAAGAGCAUGGGCACCUAGCCAUUGACUGUUAGAUCUGGAUAGGAUGGAUCCGGAGUAUAUGUUCCUAGCUAAUGGAGCAUGUUCGGAUAGAGGCGAAGGGCUACCACGUGUUUAUAAAAGGUUUGCCUAUGAGGUUAAGGCAGGUCGCCACAUGUUAGCUCAAGAGUAGGGUCCUACAAUGCCCCCUUUUAACUUGUUUGGUUUGUCCAGUCAUAAAAGGCAGGUUAAAAUGAUUUCUUCAUAUUUUUCGGGGAUUAUGCGACACAUGGCACUUGAGCGGGAUAUUUAUGACAAGACGUCGUUCUUGAAAUUGUUACUAGGCGGCGUGUCGUUUCGAAAGCAAUGCGGUUGGGUGCUUUGUCGUUUGGGGUUCCUAAGGAUUUUAUCCUAUAAAUAUGAAGCCAAUCCCCCCUGACAGUACUUUUCUCUCAUUUCGCCUUUUGCUUCUCCCUGGACCAUUCCAACUAUCCAGAAGUAGUGGUUUUGGUAUUCACUUAGCAACACCUUCUCUAGAGAUUCCUUAAUUAGUUAACUCAAGUGGUUGUAGUUUGGUUCAUCUUCAUCUUGUAAGCAUUCGCCAGGUUUGCUUCUUCUUUCUCUUCUGCAUCUUCUACUCUUUAUUUUUCAUUGAUUGGAAUGCUUGUUUGUGGUUAGGGGUUUGUGGCGACACUUGAGAGAUUCGGUGAGUCAAGGGAUGACAUUACUAGAUUUUCCUGAGAAGGGCAUAGGGCGAUUCUGGGGUAAUAUACCUCGUCGGGGUCAUCUCCUGGUGGGCCUUGUUAAGGUUUAUGUUAGUUGUUUCUGCGUUUUAAGGCCCUACCGAGUCUGCUAGAUGUGUGCCUUCCUUUGGUGUGCUUGUAAGUCGCAAGGGGUCAAUCCCUAGCUAGGGUUAGGAAUUAGUCAGUGGAACUAGAGUUCCUAAUUUGGGACACAGCUGAAUGGGGCGUAUUACCCAAUAAGAUUUCUUGAGGGCGUUGCUCUUGGGGCAAUAAGGUCGGGUGAUUGCUUUCUAACUAUCGGAAUUGUGCCAUGUAGGUUUGACUCGGCCCAACGUUCCAAGAUGCCUGCAAAAAGGGACACUACCUCAUCCAGUGCAGUUGGGCAAGGUGGGAAGAGCGGUUGAACCUAUGAAUCCCAUAAGGCCCUAUUUGGGGAAGCCUACUAAGCUUCUCAACAAGCGGGAGUUUCACGACCAUUUCUAUUUUCCGAACGGUAUCUCCAUUCAGCUAGUAGAGAGAGAUCCAAUGCUUACAGAAAAGGCAGGACACAACGCUAUUUAUUUCACCAAUGAGCAGUUCAACGCGGGGCUCCGUUUUCCCCUUCCAUCCCUUUUCAAGCAAUUCCUUUACUACACCCAAAUCUCUCCAACCUUCAUUCAUCCUAAUAUCGUUCAGGUACUGAUGGGGUGCUGCAUUCUGAAUAUGCUAUUCCACCUAGACCUUUUCUUACUAGAGGUCAUUUUCAUCUAUACCAUCAAAAAGGGCAAGAAGGAUAUCUUCAGCAUGUUCGCCCAUAUCCCGUCCCUUCAGCUAGUGACGGGCUUCCCUGAUUCGAACAAAGGGGGAGCCAAGGGGCACGAGUUGGUCAGGGGGCUAUGGGUAGGCUUGAUGAAACACCCAGAAAUGGACUUUUGCCCUAACCAUUCUGAUUCACGCCCAAUUAGUGUUCCAAUUGAUUCAACUCAAUUGAUGUGCUUUGUUCUCAAUCCUCAGACGGGAGUAAUCAACAAAAUUUAUAAACCUAUUUCACCAUAUACCGGGGUAGCAUUUAGCUAGCAUAGUAUAGUGGCUCUAGGAUCAUCCACAGAGAUGGGUUUUCACUUCGCAAUUGAUAUUAGUUCAAAAACUGAAUUGGUGCUUUUUCUUUUCUUUGUUAGCUUUAAAAGAAGACAUAAGUUUGAAUGAAAACGAAUGGUAUUAAGCUAACCUAACAUAAAGUAACUAAAAUUAACUAGAAAGAAAGGUGUUUCUUGGGAUUUCAGGUUACUAGGAUCAGGUGCCAACUACAAAGAGGGAGAUUCCGGUCACUUGAAUCUUUUCCUCGCAUUCGGAAUUUGACCUAUAGUUAUUUCCCGAACUGGUGUGAUACAAAUGCUUGCCAUUAAUGGUUUCAAUGCUAAAUCGCUCUCACUAAUACACCUUGCAAUGGCUCUUACCUCUCACCUAGUAUUUGCCAUUCAAGGUGAUCCUUACCAUCGGAUCAUCCUUCACAAGCGAACAAGAGAUAACAAUUAGACCUCCAUAGAGCAAGAUUGCAAGCAAUAAGAAUCCAUGGAAUCCGAAAGCUUACCAAGUAUUGGCUAUUCAUGGUAAUCCUAGUUAACUAAAAAUAUAAAAACCAAAAACGGAUCACACUUUCUCUUCAUUAAAAACGGAAACAACAAAAUCUCACACUUAUGUAGCCGGAACCUUAGCUUCCUUCACCUAAGAAACAAAAAGCCUAGCCACUCAUCCUCUGAGAAAACAUCUUAAAGAAUGUUUGGCUAGCAAGAAAAUGAAAAUGAAAGAGAAGGAAAAACAGAGCAAGGCUCUGUAUAUUUUAUAUAUUGAUCGAUUCUACAUACUUAUCUAUCUCUCUCUUUUACAAUGGAUGCAAGGGAAUAUAUAUAGAGAAGUUUUUCCAACCUUCCUAGCUAAGAAAUCUUAUGGUUGGUGGAUUACAAGGAGAAGAAUGGAAAUUUAUACAAAAAUAUCUGAAGAAAAGAUCUAAAAGAGUCGGUGCACAAAUAUCCCAGUUCGCAUGUAGAUUUCGCACGUUGCAUGGUGACUUGCGAAAAUCUCGCAAGGUGAUUUCGCAACUUGGAAUCCAUUUUCGCAUGUUGAGCUCCAAGUUCACAAGUUGUAAAAUCACUUUCGCAAGUUGGGCUUCUUUGUGACUGUGCGGCUAUAUUCCAUUUCCAUUUCGCAAGGUAGGCUUUAAUUUCGCACGUUGGAGUUCCAAAUUCGCAAGAUGCGAAUUUGUCCUUCAACUGGAUGCAGUUGUCUUGAGAAGGCCAUAUCUUCCUCAUUUCAGCUCCAAUUCGUACACCAUUUGAAGUGUUGGAUUUUUGAUUUCCUGAGCUUUGAAAUGGUAUAUAGCAUGUAGAAAAUGGACUUCGGGAAGUGCUCCAAAAGUGUGAAAGAAGACUACAGCUGCUGUCCUCUGUUUUCUUCACUCUGUUUUUCCUCUCUUCGUUGUUCUUUCCUUGCAUACUUUGAACGACUUUGGAAAAGGGCUAUGGAGCUCCAAAGCUUGGUUCUUCAUGAAUUUGAGCUUCUAAAAGCUUUGCCAUGAACUAUAUACAGCUCUUUCUCAUUCUUGGAUUGCUUUGGUGUAUCUAAAAGCUAUCAAAAACACCAAAACUUAACACAAUUUGAUUAGAAACGAUUGCAAGGGUCCUUAACAUGUCAAUUGAGUUAAAAGGUAAUAAUUACUACUCAAGAGUGUUUAAAAGAGUUAAUUACAAGCUACAAAAUAGCACUUUUUGAAUAGUAAUCAUAUUCAUUGAAGAUUCCGGGUAGGGGUGGCUCCGAACGCCCCCUCCCUAUUAAUAUUUAGUAUUGGGUUAGUACCACUAGGUUUCUAACAUUCUCUGUUUUGGUUGCUGCAGGCUCAAAUUAUAGGGGUCGUUUGGUCGAGUGGGUAGAGAAAGCUUCGUUCGUCCGCCUGAACAAGCUGUUCGAAAUCACUGCCAACGAAAGAAAUUAUCAGAUGCUUCUCUCUACCCGGAAUCUUCUAAUAGUUGUUCAAGAACCUCAACCAUACGUCCUCAAUAUCCUCCCUAGAUGGUUACCUAAGGUUUUGGUACCCGGGGAGCAUUUUUUCUUGCAAGACCUUCCCUUUUACGAAGAGGCACGCGAGGCGGAUAUGAAGGCUCGCCAAAAGUGUCUUGAGCAGCCAGAGGAGAGAAUGUAGGAGAGGACACUACGGAGGGUGCCCGAUGAGAAGGGUCGCGUGCAAUCAUUUGUGGCUCAUUCUCUAGCAGAGAAGAAAAAAAAGAAGACCCUUGUAAAAGUGACCAAGGCCCCAACUCCGGCUCCUGCAUCUCCGUCUACCUCUUCUCUCUCUGCCUUGGAUAGUUCCGCCCACAUUUCCGAGAGUGUUUCUAGCUCCACGAGGCUUGAUCCUAGCGAUCUAGGGACUUGCCCUUCCGAGCCCGAGCUGGAGCCUAUAGCUUUUAGAGUUAUACAUGAGUCAAAAGAAGAAGAAGAAGACAAGUCAAACGACUUGAGAGUCGGCUUCAAAGAAAGGCACUACAAACGCCUCUAUGAAGCCAUUGACAUGGUUCCUCCCCCAACUAAGAAGGUUUGCCCGGAGAAGGCUCGAGAGGAACCCGGGAGGGAGGUUCCUUCAAUGCCAGUGGCUCGUCAGAUGUUAUGGGGCCUAGCAGUGUGCCUGCUGCUGAGAAAGAGGCUGGCUGGGCCCUAAGGGGGGCCUCUGGUGGCGCCACUCCUACUGAGGAAGUCUCAGACCAAAAAGACACUCCUGCACCCACUUUUCCUCCUAGCUGGGAUGAAAUGAUAGAGAUGCUGAAACACGUCCCAUGCUUUACCGAUGUUGAACCGUCCUCUACUAAGAUGUCCGACUUCUUCCUUCUCACCAAGCGGAUAUCAGUGAACCUUGGUGGCGAUCCCCCCUCCUUUGUUUCAACCAAGCUUCCCUUUGGCAUGCCUAAGUUCGCAGUCACCUGUAUUCAACAACUUCAGGACUAUACUGUGUUGAAAAUUGCAAAAGUGGUACUUUUUCAUACUUUGCCUCCUUUCCAGAUUGAUGCACACCCCACUUAACUGAUGCUAAUUUUGUUUUUGUUGUAGUUGGUGGUCAGCAUUCCCAACAUAGUGCGGCAACGCACUCUGUUUUUCAAGCGGCUAAAGAUUGUUGAAUCUAUGCGGUCUUUUAUUCCUCAUUGCCUGGGUGGUAGAGAGGAUUUGCACUCAAGGCUAGAGUGAUCAAAGGCUGAUCUCGCCGCUACCCGGAAAGCUGCUGCAGAUGAAGUUGAGGCUCUAAAAAAGACUGAGAGGGAGAGGGAAGCGUUCUGGAUUGAGGUGGAUAAGUUAAGGAAGGAGGGAAAUUCGUGAAGGCCAACCUUAAGGAGGCUGAGCGAGAGAAUUCUCAAUCGAAGAAGGAGAUAGAAGAGCUUUGGAUAGGGCUCGUGGCUUAGAAAAAAGAAAUAAAGAAGUUACAAGUGGGUUUUGCCUCUCAAAAGAAGAAACUAGAGGCUGAGUUCGUUGCUCAAAAGAAGGAGCUGGAAACGGAGUACCAAAAGCAGGUGGACAAGAUGUAUUUCUUCGGCUACCGUUGUUGUAUGAAGAAAAAUGGUAUCAUGCAUGAUAUUCCCUCUCUUCCGUCUGAUGACGAGAAUGAGAUACCCGGUGGCCCCCCUCAAUGAGACGGUGCCCUCUUUAUGUAAUUUCCUUUUAUAACUUGCCGCGAAGUGGUCUGACUGAAUAUUUGUAAAGAUAAUUUUUAAUAUACUUAAGCUAUGAAUAUAAUAUUGCUCUACUUUCCUUUUUUCCUUUACUGAUAAUAUUGCUUUAAGUUAGCUAUAUUCCAUGGGUAAGGGGUUAUGUCUAGUUUCUACAAGUGAUAGGCUCCAUUCUCACUUACCUUUGACACAAAGUAGGGACCUUCCUAAUUUUCUUGGAGUUUUUCAAAUCCUUUUUCAGCCGUAUUUUCAAAGACCUUCCUAAGGACAAGUGUUCCAACUUUGAAGGCGCGGGGCCGCACCUUACCAUUGUAGUAUGCAGUUGCCCUUUGCUGAUAGGUAGCCAUCCGAAUGGAUGCGUUUCCUCUUAUUUCGUCCACCCAGUCCAAGUGCUUUGCAAGUUCCAGAUCUUCGUUUCUCUUAUCCUGCACGGCGGUCCGAGCCAUGGGCAUGCCUAUUUCUAUGGGGAUAACUAUGUCCAUUCAGUAUGCAAUAGCGAAAAGAGUGUUUCCUGUUGGUCAUCUAGGCGUCAUCCGAUAGGCCCAUAAGACGCCAGACAACUCUUUUGCCCAUUUUCCCUUGGCUUGCUCCAACAUUUUCCUUAAUGCGGAUAACAUGGUUUUGUUGGUUGCCUCUACUUGUCUGUUGCUUUGGGGGUAUCGAGGUGUGGAGUAUAAGUUCUUGAUCUUGAGCUCCAAACAGAAAGCUCUGAAGGUAACACUGUCAAGCUGCAGGUCGUUGUCAACUAUGAUUGUUUAGAGGAUUCCAAAUCGACAUAUGAUGUUCUUCCAAAUGAACUUCGUGACAUCUUUGUCCUUGAUGCUAGCAUAAGCUUUUGCCUCUACCCAUUUGCUGAAAUAAUCAGUGGCAAUGAGCAAGAAUUUCUUUUGUGCGGUUGUGGUAGGCAAGGGUCCCAUUACAUCCAUUCCCCAUUAUGCGAAUGGUCAAGGGCUUGUUACCGAAUUGAGUGUUUCGAAAGGCAUAUGCGGGAUAGGCGUAUACCUUUGGCACUUGUCACACCUCUUGACAUAUGGUUCUGCAUCUCGCUUCAUAGUGGGCCAGUAAUAACCUUGCGAGUGUGCACGAUGCGCUAAAAAUCGGCCUCCUGAGUGGUUGCCACAAACACCUUCAUGUAGCUCUACCAACACAUAUAGAGCUUCCGAUUAGUCUAAGCACCUAAGGUAUGGGCCUCUGAAAUACCUCUUAUGAAGGUUAUCUCUAAUCAAGGUGAAGCGAGCAACUUGUACCCGGGUCCUAUGUGCAUGCUUGGGAUCUUCAGGCAGGGUCCCUAUCCGGAGAUAUGUCAUUAUGGCGCUCGUCUACUCCUGACUUUCCUUGAUAGUGCUGCAGACGGGCGGCUUUGCUAUGGAGGGAGUGGUUUGGACGUAUAUGGGUAGCAAUAUAGAUUCUUUUAAGGGAAGUGAGGUAGUUAUUCCUGCCAAGGCGUCGGCCUACACAUUAGUUGCCCAAAAAAUCUUCUCGAUAGCCCACUCGUCCAAUUGUUGCAAGGAGUCUCACACUUUCAUCAGGUAUUGGGACAUGUGUUCUUCCUUAGCUUCGUAUUCUUUUGGUAAAUGCCCCACGAUGAGCUGAGAAUCACUGUAGAUAUCGAGUUUGGAAGCGGAGAGUGCGGACGCUAGGUUUAAUCCGGACAGAAUGGCCUCAUACUCAGCUUCAUUAUUAGAUGCAAGGAAACCUAGUCGGAUAGUCUGCUUCAAUUGUUCACCAGUUAGAGAUUUUAGGAGGAGGCCCACUCCUGAUCCCGACGACCAGGAGGCCCCAUUGAUCUACAAAAUCCACCAUCCUGCCCUGUCAAACUUUGUGCUUUGGGUAGGCUAUUGGGGAAUCUUGGCUAUGAAGUCAGCCAUGACUUGCCCCUGUAUGGACAGCCUAAGCCGAUACACUCACUCAACUCUAUGGCCCAUUGGAGCAUUCAACUUGAUAUGUCUGGUUUAUGCAAGAUACUCCGAAGGGGUUGGUCGGUGAGCACGACUAUUGGAUGAGGUUGGAAAUAUGGUUGGAGUCUCUAAGCAGCAUUUUACAAAGCUAAAGUCAUCUACUCCAUUUUUGAGUACCUGGUCUCUACAUCAGCCAUCGCUCUACUGAUGUAAUAAAUGGGUCUUUGUUCCUUGUGCAAUAGGAAAUGAAAUAGUACAACGCUGACCGCCUAGUUGGAUACUGCUAAGUACAUGUACAACUACUCGCCAAGUUGGGGGUUGCUCAAAAUGGGGGGUUGUGUAAGGUAAUGCUUGAGUUUCUUGAAUGCAUUCUGGCAGUUGUCCGUCCACCUUGUCGCAUUGGCUUCUCUGAGCACUAGGAAGAAAGGUCGCAGCUUGUCCGUGAAUCGGGCUAUGAAGUGUUUGAGUGCAACGAGCUUGCCGGUGAGGCAUUGUAGCUUUUUUUUGCUCCUAGGCGUGAGUGUAUUGAUGACUGCCUUGAUUUGGUCUGGAUUAACCUCUAUUUCCCUCUAGGUGAGCAUGAAUCCUAGGAAUUUUCCAGCGCUUACACCAAAUGCGCAUUUAGACGGGUUGAGCUUCAUGUCGUAUCUUCUGAGUAGGUGGAAGACUUCCUGCAAGUGUUGGGCGUGCUCUUCCUGGAUUUUGCUUUUGACCACUAUAUCGUCAAUGUAUACCUCUACCAUGUGAUCGAUCAGAGGUAUAAAGAUUUUAGUCAUCAACCUUUGGUAAGUGGCUCUAGUGUUUUUGAGCCCAAAUGGCAUGACCUUGUAACAGUAGAGCCCAUGCGGCGUUAUGAAGGUGGUCUUUUCUUCAUCCGCUGAAGCCAUAGGGAUCUAAUGGUAUCCAAAGAAGGCAUCUAAGAAAGAAAGCAUCCCAUGUCCGGCGGUGAAGUCUGCUAUUUGGUCUAUCCGUGGUAGCGGAAAGCUAUCUUUGGGGCAUGUGUCGUUAAGGUUAGUGUAAUCUAUGCACACUCACCAUUUUCAUUCUUUCUUGGAAACUACCACUACAUUCGCCAACCACUCUGGAUAAUCAACUUCUCUAAUGAAUCCAGCUGCCAGUUCUUUUCUAUCUCAUUUGGAAUGAUCUUCUGUCUAUCCGGAUGAAAUCGCUGAACCUUUUGUCGAGUAGGUCUUGAUGAGGUUAGGACGUUGAGUCGAUGGGAGGCAAUCGACAGGUGGAUUCCAGGCAUGUUGGAAUGCGUCCAUGUGAAAACAUCUUUGUUUUGCUGAAGUGUGCCUUGGAGACGUUGUGCCUCGCCUGGCUCCAAGAGGGAACUGACAUACGUAAAGUGAGUUUCUCCCUCCAAAAUCUGAAUGGUUUGUAAGGGAUCUGCUAUUGGGGGAUCCUUAUUCGUCGAUACUGUAAUUGCUAUUGGUCAACCUUGUCUGACUGCUCAAAGGGAGAUUCGCGAUCAUUGUUGGAUCUAGUUUCCCGUGCAGCUUGGUAGCAUUGAUAGGCAACUAGCUGGCUACCGUAGAGGUCGAUUUGUCCAUCUUUGGUGAUGAAACUCACCAUCUGAUGAUAUGUGGAAGGGAUGACUUUCAUGUUGUGCAACCAAGUACGCCCCGGGAUAGCAUUAGAGGGGGAUAAAUCUCCUACCACAAAUAAUUGCACAUUGAGGGUGACUGGACCUGUUUGGAAAUGUAGUACAAUAUCCCUAAGAAAUGUUGUUGAGGCCCCAUUGAAUCCUGACAGUAUCUGACCCGGGUUCUCGAGGUUGGAGAGCAUAAAUCCCAUUUGUUUAACUACCGAUACUUGUAAGAGAUAUGUCAAGCUACCCAGGUUUACCAAAAUCCUUCUUACGUCAAAGUCACCAAUUCCUAGCGUCAGGAUGAGGGUGUCUCGGUGUGGCUGCAACACCCGGGUAGGGUCCAUUGGAGGAAAGAGGAUUACUCCAUCUAUUAGGUGAACGCUUCUGCUGAUUAGUCUAGGCCGGAUAGAGUUAACACGUUAUCAGACCGUGGUGGCUCGUAGUAGUCUUUGCCUCUUUCUCUUGGAUUUGUAUUCUUCAUCCAAGAUCCACCAUGGAUGUAGUUGAUUAUGGCUCUAGGAGUGACAAGAACUAAGGGGGCUCUAGGGGCCUAAUUGCGGGAAGUUUCUCCACCUCUGGCUCCUGAGCAAACGUACUAUUUUAGAUGUCUUGUUUUUAUGAGUUUUUCCACCAGGUGAUGGAGACUUCUACAUUGCUCCAUGGUAUGUCCAUGCUCUUUAUGAUAAGCGCACUUUUUGUUGUGAUAUCUUUUGGUUGGAUCCGUUUUCAGUGCCUCUAGCCACCUGAAAUCGGAUAGCUCGCGGAUCAAGAGGAAUAGCUUUUCAUAUGUAAUAAUGAGGGAUGUAAGCUAGGGUUGGUUAGGCUGGCGUUACUUGCUUUGUCCCCUGUUGUGAUGCCUACGUUGACUUGAAGGCUUGAGGUUCCUUGUCACGUCGUUUCUGGCCAACUGGCUAGUGACUAAGAUUUGUUGGGUGGUCGUACGGACAUCAUCUUCCAGCAUAGAAUAUUUGUUCGCGCACCAAAACAAAUCAUCUAUAGUUAUGGGGGGUUUUUUGGCAAGGGAUUCAAAGAACAUCGUACCCGAACAUAUGUUACGCUUAAAAAUUUGGAGGACAACAUCCAUGUUGUAUGAUUCUACUUGUAAUACAGCUUGUCCAAAACGCUUCAUGAACUCCCUCAGGGACUCAUGCUCCUGUAUUUUUAUGUUUUGCAGGGUGUUGAUAUUCUGCUUAUGUCGAACUGAGCACAGGUAUUGCCCCACAAAGGCUUCUGACAGAUCCUUCAAAUUGUCAACCGAAUUCAUGGGGAGCCAAUGAAACCAUGAGAGAGCUUGGCCUUGGAGGCUGACGGGGAAGACUUUGCAUAAUAACAUGUCAUUUCCUAUAUCCAGAGUCAUGAGUUGUCGGUAGUGCAUGAUAUGAUCAAACAGAUCACUGGAUCCAUCAUACGCAGAAAAUUUCGGCACGAGGAACCCUCUUAGGGGUUCGUAGUUGAUAAAACGAGAAUUGAAAGGUGUGGAGAGCAUGUCAUCCAAUUGCUUGCUAAUGGAGCCUGGGGGGCUUCAUUUGUUGAAUCUCCUCCAACUCGUUGUAAUGGUUGGUGUGAGAGAUAGCCCUGUGUGAUGGAUACGACUGAGGAACUAGGGUAUGUUCCCUAUGUUAUGGCCAUGUGCGGCCUAUCUUUGCCAGGUGCUUGAGGUCCUAACCUUGGGCGCAUCGUGUCAGAUAACCGGGGCCUUUUAUCACGUUGCCUCUUUGACGAGACACGAGUAGAGUCAGAGCUUUCGUCCUGCGGUGCACGAUACGAAGGUAAAGAUCAUUCGUUAGGCCACACCCCACAUGCAUCAAGGGGAGUGUGGCCCUCAAUUUUGUCCUUUGAAACUUGCAUUUAUCCUAUGAGUGUCACAUGCACCCCUGUUUCCAUGUGGCACCACUAAGGCCUCCUUUUGGGCUUAGUCGAUAUUUGAGUCUUGUUUAGGUUCAUAUGUGGUUCAUUGUGGUGCAAGUAUGGUUCAUUUUGGAGUGCCAUCAUGGCCAUUUUCCUAGUUGUUGGCAUUGUGCCAUAGAAAGGAAGUGGGGUCGUCCCGAAAUUUUAGCUCAGCUGGAGCUCAUUGGAGUGUGUUGAAUUCGGAGCACUCAGGCUUGUUUUGAUCAUAUCUCCCUCAUCCGAACUCAGAAUCACACACCAUUUUUUUUCAUGGACUCCUUGUUCUUUAAAGAAUAUUUUAUCAAAAUUUCAAAAUUUUUCUCAACCAGCUCGACCAGUUCCUAAAGUUUCAGUUUGGGCAGAAUUCAUUGAAGCAUGUUUGAAUUCAGAGCACAUGGGUUUGUUUCGAUCAUAUCUCCCUCAUCCGACCUCGGAAUUGUGUACCAUUUUUUUCAUGGACUCCUUAUUAUUCAAGGAACAUUAUUUCAAAAUUUCAAAAUUUUUCUCAACCAGCUCAACCAGUUCCUAAAGUUUCAGUUUGGGCAGAAUUCAUUGAAGCAUGUUUGAAUUCAGAGCACAUGGGCUUGUUUCGAUCAUAUCUCCCUCAUCCGACCUCGGAAUUGUGUACCAUUUUUUUCAUGGACUCCUUAUUAUUCAAGGAACAUUCUUUCAAAAUUUCAAAAUUUUUCUCAACCAGCUCAAUCGGUUGGCACCUAGUUCAGCCGGUUUAUCGAGUCAGCUUGUAUGGAGCACUGAUUUUGGUGAUUUUGGAGCCCAAUUCCUACAUGGCUUGGGUCCAUAAACUCCAUAUCAGUUUUGGGCUGUAUUUUGGGUCCAUUUUGGGCCUUAGUUAGGAUUCCUUGCAGCCCACCAUGAAUCCAUAUGGAUCCUUGGUGGGGAAGCAAAUUGGAAGCUAAAGAUAGUCAGCUUGCAUGGAAAAUGAGGAGGGGAGUUAAUAGGGGAGCUGAUUUCGAGACUGAUUGGACCUCUUUCCAAAGCUUGAAAGAGAGAAAAACGAAGAGGCUUUGAGGGCUGGAGGUUUGAGACUAUAAAAGAGGAAAAAAUCAGGAUAGGAAGGGACUUCUUCUUCUUUUUUUAGUGAGAGAAAAUUUUGUGGAUUUUUGAGGGAUUUGAGAAGAGGCUUUUGGGAGGGUUUUUGUUUGUGAGUGGUCUGAGGGUGUGGGGGAAGCUGAAGAUAUCCCUGCCAUGCCUUGCAUACAACUAGAGAUGAUAGCAGUCUUGGAAGCCAAGCAGAUCUCUACUUGAGGGGAGUAUAAUUUGGUAAGCGUAAAUUGUGGUUUCAUGCAUGUUAUUCCCUUUCCCAUUGCUCUAUUCUCUCUUUAAUGUGAUGGCCAAAAAUUCCAUGGUUGUUUUGAAUGCUUGGGGAAUGGGGUAUGGUUUUCCUUUGCUUACUCUUGGUUUAUAUUUUAGUCUAAUGUUUUGGUUGAUGUGUCUCACUUUUCAUCGAUUUAGAGUGGCAUGACUCUGUCAUUUAUAAGGAACACUUGGCUUUGUUUUAGUUGGUUUUCACUCGUCCAGACUUGGAAUUGAGCACCGUUGCUUUUUUUAGAUUCUUUAUUCAUUUAGAAAUUUUCUAACAAAAAUUGGGAAUUUUUCUCAAUCGGAUGAACCGGUUCAGCACUACAGCUCACUAAUUUUGUCAGCUAUGAGGAACACCAGACCUUGUUUAAGUUGGUUCUCAGUCGUCCAAGCUCGGAAUUGAGCACCGUUACUUUUUUUAGAUUCCUUAUUCAUUUAGAAAAUUUUUGAAAAAAAUUGGGAAUUUUUCUCAAUUGAAUAUACCAGUUGGGAACCGGUUCAACCGGUUCAGCACUACAACUCACUGACUCUGUCAGCUAUGAGGAACACUUGGCCUUGUUUUAGUUGGUUCUCACUCGUCCGGGCUCGGAAUUGAGCACCGUUGCUUUUUUUUUUUAAUUAUUCCUUAUUCAUUUAGAAAUUUCUAACAAAAUUUGGGAAUUUUUAUCAACCGUAUGAACCCUUUGGGAACCAGUUCAGCAUUACAGCUCACUGACUCUAUCAGCUAUGAGGAACACUUGGCCUUGCUUUGGUUGGUUCUCACUCGUCCAGGCUCAGAAUUGAGCACCGUUGCUUUUUUUUAUUAUUCCUUAUUCAUUUAGAAAUUUUAUGACAAAAUUUGGGAACUUUUUUCAAUGGGUUGAACCAAUUGGGAACCGGUUCAACCUGUUCUGCAAGAGAACUAUUGGCAGCCCUUAGUUUUGGCAUUUUUCGAGCUCGUAUCCAUUGGGGCUCAAACCCAUUCGCUAUGGGGCACUUGUAGGCCAUCUUGAAGGUUGGAGUCUGUGUUUGGUUUUAGUUAGUGUGGGCCCAUUUUGAAGUUAUGGGCGGUGUGGUCUAGGUAAGGCUAGUUUGAUUUGUAUGACAUUUAAGGAGUCACUUACCUCAUUUCAACCAGUUUUCCUUCCCUUUGGCACAAACUUUAAUGCUUGAUUUUGAAUACAUAUUGUAUGGUUGACUCACCAUUUGUUGUAGUGCAUGGCUAGGGACCACAGAUACGUGCUUUGAUUUAAGAUUGAUGAAUUCAUAUGCAUGCAUGGUGCUUAAUCUUGAAUGCUUGUUAUGUGUUUAUGUGUGCUUGACUAAUCUCUUCUGUAGCGCAUGGCUAGGGACCUCAGGUACGCAUCAUUGGUUUUGGUUGAUGAAUUCAUAUGCAUGCUGAUUACUACCAAAAAGUGCUAUUUUGUAGACCUAAUUAUAAUGGUUUUAAGCACCUUUGAGUAGUAAUCAUAUUCAUUUAACCCAAUUAAUUCAUUAAGGUCCUUAGUAAUUGGUUUUAACCAUUUUGUGGCAAGUUUACAUGUUUUUAUCAGCUUAUGAAUCAAUUCAAGCAUGCCAAAUGAUGGAGGAGCUACUUGGACAAGUUAUGGAAAAGCUUUUGGAAGCUCAAAUUCAUGAAGAACCAAGCUUUGGAGCUUCAUAGCCCUUUGCCAAAGUCGUUCAAAGUAUGCUAGGAAAGAACAAUGGAGAAGAGGAAAACAGAGGACAGCAGCUGCAGUAUUCUUUCGCACUUUUGGAGCACUUCCCGAACUCCAUUUUUUACAUACUAUAUACCAUUUCAAAGCUAUGGAAGUCAAGAAUCCAACGCUUCAAACCGUGCACGAUUUGGAGUUGAAAUGAGGAAGAUAUGGCCUUCGGAAGCCAACUGCUCCAGGUUAUGCGAAAAUUUCGCAUAACACAAGGUGUUAUGCGAAAUUCGCAUAACAUUCGCAUAACACCUUCAAAAUUCGCAUAACCCAUGCGUGUUGCGAAUUUUGGUCUGUUUUUUCCGACUCCACUUUAGAUAUUUUCCUUUGUAUUUUGUGAUGUAAUUUCCUUUCUUAUCCUUGUAACUAACCAAUCACAAGCUUUUGCUUUUGUAAAGACUAUAUAAGGGGUGGAAAUCACCUCUUGAUAGAAUAUAGAACAUGCGUGUUACGUUUUACACGGAGCUCUCUCAUUUCUCUUUUCUCUUCCCCAUUUCUAUUUUCUUGGAAGCCAAACAGCCUCUGAGGGGUUUUCCUCAGAGGAUGAUUGGCUAAAACUUUUAGUUUCUCAAAGUAUGGAUGUUAUGUGAUGGCUUGGAUGCAAUCCCAUGGAAAUUUCUCGCACCCGGAAGGUAAGGUAGUCGUUUUUCAUUAAUGGUUCAUUAAUGCAAAGUUUGGUUUUUAUUUCCUUUGGACAGCUUCCAACGACCAAUACUUGAUAAGCUUUUGGAUUUCUAUCCAUUAGUUAUCUCCUACGAGCUAUUGGAAGGUGAGGUUUUCAAUUACAAGUUUUGUAUUAAUCCAUUAGAACCAAUUUCAAUGGCCAUUGAAAGGUGAGUUUAUCACUUGGAAUGACUUUGAGUUGCCAAUAUUUGGUAAGCUUUUGGCUUUAGACCAUUAGUUAUCUCUUACGAGCCAUUCAAAGGAAGUCUAAGGUGAAUAACCAUUGAUGAAAUUCACUACCAUCUGUUUUGCCAUUUUAAAGGAUUAAAACUUGAUUUGCUAAAUCCAUACCGGUUCGGGAAGCAAGCAUCACCAUAGUUGCAACCCCAACGCGAGGAGCCUAUCCUGAGAUUUCCAAUUUGCAUAAGAGCCAGAGCAUAGCUAUCCUAUCUUUGAGAAACUUGUUUUUACACCCUUUCAUUUUAGUCUUUAAUGUUAGCUUAGAUUAGUUUAAAUCUUUCUAAAAGAUUUACAUCUUCUUUUAAAGCUAACAUCCAUAAGAAAAUCACCUAUUUUCCUAAUUUGAAUAUCACUACUGUUUGCGAAAACCCUUUCCAGUGAACGAUCCUAGAACCACUAUGCUAUAGUAGCUUGGCUACUUUAGUAAUAGUAUUUAAGGUAUAAAUUUUUUUGAUACGCCUUUAAAGCUAAGCUACCAUGAGUCGCAUCAAAUGGCGCCGCUGCCGGGGAUCGACCAUGAGUUGAAUCAAAUGGCGCUGUUGCCGGGGAAGGUGCCACAAGCACAGUGAAACAACCAUUAAGGGUAACUUGUGAUCUUCAUCACAAGUUUGGUGAGUUUUCUUAUAAUUUUUUUAGUUUAGUUUUUAUUUAGUUAAUUUUUUUUUUAUUCUCUUUUUUUUUUUUUUUUUUUUUAAUUUCAAUUUGUGCAUUCCUUGUUGGAUUCGAGACCAAGAGGGAACCCUGGUACAAGUUGAAAAAAAGAGCCUUAGUUGAAUAUCAUUUUUUUUAGAAAUGGAAAUUCCACAUGAAGAUCAAAGCUCUCAUUAUGAUCAUGAGAAGGACAAAUUUGCAUACCUAUCCAUGAGGGAUCGGAUUGAAUUAGGGAAAAGGCAAGUUCAACAAAGCCAAUGGGGUAGUAAGUAUGCUUUGAAUGGAGAUGAUUCAUAUGAGCAUACGGUAGGGGAGUGCCCUACCAUUCCAACUAUGAGAGACAUGUACGGUUACCAAAGCUCCUACACCUCAAGUUGGAAUAACCAUCCCAACCUUACAACCCAACCUCAACCUCAACCAUCAAUGAGUACAUCUUCAUUGGAGCAAGCCAUUUUCAAGAUAAGCAAAGUCAUGGAGGACUUUGUAGGUGAGCAACAAAAGAUCAACUCUCAUCUUAAUGAAAAGAUUGAUAAUAUGGAGAGUUCAAUAAAUGUAAGAAUGGAGGGGGUUUAUAAUGAUCUAUCACUAAGGAUAGAAAAAGUUCAAGACUCCAUUGAGAAGCUCACCAAUCUCGACAUAGCAAGGGGGAAAAGGAAGCUUCCUCCUCAACCCCACCAUAACCUUCAAGGAACCAAUGCAAAAAGAUCAAGGAAAGUGUUGAAGAUCAACACUUUGGUGGGGGAUUGCUAUGACAACUCUAUGGACCAACCUUCCAUUGAAAAUCAUAAGGUUCAAGAUGACAAAGGGUUACCUGAACCCUUUAAAGCAUCCACUUCUCCAGGGAAGAGAAUAGAAACGAAUUCCCUUGGACCAAAUGGGAAGGAUGCCAAUUUUGUUUGGGAUCCAGGGGGAAUUCAGCAUGAAGUGGGUGUGUGAGUGAGGAUGAGCUAAAUAGUUCAUCUUCUUUUUGGGGUACAUGCUAUCAGCUUCAUUUAAAUUCUAUGCUUUCUUUAAAUUUAUGCAUGUUUUAAUUUGAAUUUUUAGCUUUAAUUUAGUUUUAAUAUGUUUUUAAGAUGAGUUUUGAAGUGUUCAUGCAGGUAGGAAAGCUUGAAGAAUGAAAUUAUGGUGAAAACAAGGGAAAAUGGUGAAAGCAAGGCAAAACAGGGGAGAAAAAAACCAAGUCUCAGCCAUUUUCGCACAACACUUCCUGUUAUGCGAAAUUUUCGCAUAACACACCCCUUAUGCGAAAAUGCUUUUGUGGCAAUUAAAAAAAAAAAAAAAAAAACAUGCUCUCGGUCCCUUCCCAAAAUCCCUUAUGCGAAUUUCACAGGAAUGCGAACCUUAUGCGAAUUCGUUUUUGGGACAAAUUUUCAAAACCAUGCUCUCUGUCUGGGUACUCAUAGGAAUGUGAAAUUUUCGCAUAACACAAGGUGUAAUGCGAACUUUGCAUUUCCUCUUUAAAGACCGUGUUCUCCUCUUCCCAUGCUCACUUUCUUCUUCAUUUCUCUCAACAUCUCUCUUCCGAUCACCCAAUCCAAGCCUUGCAUUUACCAAACCAAAGCCUCAAGCUAAGGAUUCAAGCCACGUUUUCUUCAAAGGAAACCCAUUUCCGCCGAGUAGAGGAGCUCCAAAUUUCAAAUUCUCUUCAUGAAAAAGCUCCAAUUUCCAAGCCUAACCACCAUGAAAAAUCCUUUUCCUACCUUAGCCAGCAUUUCCCACCCUCAAAAGCCAAAAAUUUUCACCAUUUGAACGAGCUUCAAAAUUGAAAAAAGGCGGGUGAAUAGUGCUUGUGCGAAAAUUUCGCAUAACACCCCCCCUUGUGCGAAAUUUUCGCAUAACACCCCCCCUUGUGCGAAAUUUUCGCAUAACCCUUCCCUUGUGAAAAUUUUUCAAUUUCUUCAUCCAUACCCUUCCCAAUCCCAACCCUUUGAGCCUUGUCCUCAACUGCUUAAAGUGGGACCCACUCAUCAUUUUUGUAAAUAUUUAGUAUAAAUUCCUCUCUCAUUCAAUUUUUGAAUUUUGAAAUAGGUGGUUCAACCUUCUCAACUCCAAGUCCACAUCACAUGAGGUACCACUUCCUUCCUCCUUAUUUUUCGAUUCAAACAUUGAGGACAAUGUUCAUCUCGGUUGGGGGGAGAGAUGAGGAAGUAAGUAUUAGUUUAAAUUUUUAUCAUACUUAGUUAAAUUAGCUACUUUUUGUUUAAAUUUUAAAAUUUUUGCUUUAAACUCCAUGGAUAUUAAGGAUUAACUCUCAAAAUUAAAUGAGAGAAAUCGAGUUUCAACUUGAUUACAUGAGUCUUAGAGUUUGUAUUAUGCUCUUCUAAAAGUUGAUGAAUUGUUGAAACUCCCAUAGCAUGCAAACUUAUCUCUUCCACCUUAAGCUAUUCGCACACACAUACAUUAGAUUUCGGUUAUAAGAUGUGAAACUAUCUCACCCUCUAAGCUUGAGAAAUCAUAAUUUGACACCUUUAACCUCUCUUUAAUAGUGUUGGGACACCUCAUAAAGACCAAUGAGUCUUUAAAAAAAUAAAAUAAAAUAAAAAAAGAAAAAAAAAAGAAAAAAAAAUAGAAUAAACUUCUUUGCUUGCCUUGAAACUUGAGCAUGGUCCGAAGGGGUGGCGAAAGCCUUUAAAGCCUGGUGCCCUAAGCCUUUAUUGGUUGGGAGUCACCGAUCCUCUGCUUGUUACAUGGGUGAAUUGGUUAAGUUUAGUAAGUGAAAAGAAUUGUGAAUAAAAGGUGCGUUCCUAGCCUAUCAAGAGAUGGUUAAUUUUGCUAAGCUUAAAGAAAGACUUAGGUUGGGGGGAGAUGAUGGUUAUCCAUACUAUACUCGGAAGCUAAUCACAUUAACACUUAGCUUUUAGUGGAAGAAUUUGAUUUGGAUCUUUUGAAAGUGGAAAUUCUUUUGAUGCUUAAACUUGCAUAAUAUCCAUUCUUUGUACUCUAUGAUCAAGUGAAUGCUUUGACAACUCUUAUUAUAGGUUGAGUUUCACAUCUUUAUUGAUCCAUGGAUGUCCAUCAUGCCACUCAUAUCAUUUUUUGGAGUGAUUUUCAUGAUCCCUUUUAUGUAUAUUAUUAUAGUUUACUUAGUUUUUAUCUCCUCCAUUGCUAAGGGACUAGCAAUGAGUCGGUUGGGGGGUGUGUCCUGCCAAAUACCAAUUAGGAUUGUGUGAUUCAUGUCAUCUAUUUAGCCUAGGGUUUUGUUGGAUCUUUGACCCAUAUGCUCCUAUGUGCCAAUUCACUAGUAGAGACCGAGUUCCGAGUUUAGAGGGGUGCUACCUCGCAUGAGGUACCUUCCCGAUAGGUAACCUGAUCCCCGAACCUAGACUCAUGUUUCGCAGACAAUUUUUUUCCUAAUUGGAGUCAUUUAGGGGUUUUUGGUUCUUACUUAAUUUUUCCCAUUGUAAAAACAAAAAUAAAAAGUAAGUGGCGACUCCAAAUAACACCGUUCCUCAUCGGGGACGAAUUUUUCAAAACUUGAAAACACAACUUUUCUUUUUUUUUUUCUUUUAAAAGUGAGUAGCACCGGUCUGCGUGGAUGGGGUGAGGGUCCACAAAUUAGCGACUCCUCUGGGGAUCGAACCCAGAAUCUCUGGUUUCAUAAGAGGAUCAAGCUUGAACUUGAGUUAGGUAUAUUGGAGCACAUGGUUCAUUGAUCAGUAGACUCUUAGUCUACAUAGAUGACUAAUGAUUACGUACUUGGUUGGUAUUUGACUUUAACAUGCUUGCUCAUUGUUGAUUGGUAUUUAGCUAUGACAUUUGGGAUUAGGCUUAGAUGAUCAAAUUAUGUGUAGAUGUGUGGUAAGCUAUCUCUUUGUGCAUGACUGCUCAUUCCCUUGCAUGACUGUUUGCUGCUUGUGUUUGUGGGGCACAUGUGUAUCCCCUUACUUCCGAAUCACUAGUCUUGGUCGACUAUUCCUCAUGGAUUGCUUAUGUUGCUUGGGAGUCAUUCCCAAUUGUUCGCCUUCGACCAAGCUAGGGGUUUGGAAUAGGGUCUAGCAUAAGGGCUAUAUCGAUGUUUGGGAGCACUAUGGAGAAGGUGGAUAUCCGAGUAAUGAAGACUUGUAUAGUCCUAAGCUGGAUUUCAUGGAUACAUGCAUGGCCAAUGUGUCACUUUGAUUGUUGGUUAGGAUCUCAGGUUAUGUAUCCUUGUGGGUACAGUCAUCUAGUCUUUUAGGACUUGCAUUUUUUCCUUGUUGGCUUCUGAGCCACCUUACCCUUGAGGUAUUACCAUGUCAGAAUCCCGCUCCUGCCUAUGAAGCCAUAUAUCAGAUUCGCUGUUGACAUCACACAUCAGCUCAUUCCUUUAGAGGAUUUCGUGGAUUGUUGAUUGAGACCGACCUGGGUACCCGAGCUUGGAUUCGGAUCAAAGGUAGACUUGUUAGAGGUUCAGAUCCACAUAGUCAGUUAGAGCAGACGUUAGAUCAUAGAGAUAUGGACCCUCAGUACGCUAGUAUCGACCAGUUGGGUGAGAUUACCGAUACCAUGGCAUCACUCUGGGAUGCUAUAUCAGGACUGGGAUAGAGGAUAGAUGGGCAUCAGGUCCCACCAUUUUCGAUUCUGAGGAGCAUCCCUCAUGACUCUACUGCACCCCCACUUCCACCACCGCCAUCUGGGUCUAUUGUACAACAGGAUUAUACAGUUUUACCUCUACCACCACCCCCAGUUCAGUCAGCCUCACAGGCUAGAGCUUUUGUUCUGCAUGGUCAGAUUGAGACCAUGCCACAUUCUAUUGUGGCUCCUACACCAAUUAUUGAUGACACUCAGGCCAAUAUCGAUAGGAUUGAGAAGAGGAUCAGGUCUCUGCAUGUUUUUGAUGGAGUUAUAGGUUGGGACGGGUACGAAGACCUUCCAGUGGCAGCUUUGCCAGUUGAGUUCUACAUGUCGAACAUUGAGAGGUACACGGGGAUAGGGUGUCCCCGUAUUCACUUAUAGUUGUAUAGCGCUGUUAUGCGCGGGCAUAGAUUGGAUGAGGCAUAGAUGAUCAUGUUAUUCCCUCUGUCAUUGAGUGGUGCCGCUCAGUGUUGGUUUGCCUCAUUGGACCCUUCGAGGUGUAGGACAUGGGCUAAUUUGGGACAGGAGUUUAUUAGACAAUAUUCUUUUAAUAUUGUAGUGGAUGUAUCCCGGAGGGAGCUAGAGGCCCUCAGGCAAAGGCCAGAUGAGUCAGUUACUUCAUUUAUCUCUCGCUAGAGGGAGAAUAUAGCAUAGAUUAUAGAUAGACCCUCAGAGCAUGAUCAGAUCAGCAUGAUUAUGCGAAGUUUGCAACCUCGCUUUGCCAGGCAUCUCAUGGGUUUCCCACAGACAGACUUUGGAUCAUUGGUUCAAGCCUCUAUGGCAUUGAGGAGGGCAUAUCUAGAGGAAUAUAGGUAGACUCUUCCCCUUCAGACUCAAAGGAGAAGAAGUUGGGGCUAGAACCCGGAUCAUCAUAUAUUGGUGCCAUUGGCGCGAUUGAGCACAGGUCCCCUCGUGGCCUUCCGUUUCAGAUACCGUUUUCAGACACUCCUUACCAGAUGAUACAAUAGGAUCAGUACAGACCAACUGCUCCUUUCAGGCCUAUAGGGCCUACUUAUCUACGUCCGCCACCACAACCAGUAUAUGCUACACAAGCGACUCAAAGGCCACUUGUACAGUACCAUCAGCAGCAUAGAGCACCGCCUCCACCGAGAUCGGCUAGGCAGUUCACACAGCUCGGGAUAUCUUUGAGCCGAGCAUUCCAGAGAUUGGUUAAGGGAGGAUUGAUUGCCCCGAUACCACCCAAACCACCACUACAACCUACCCCACCCAGAUUCAAGACAGAUCUUCACUAUGCCUACCAUUAGAGAGUGGGUUAUGAUAUAGACAGUUGUGCAGCACUGAGGCAUGCUAUUCAAGACUUGUUUGAUCAGGGUUUGGUUGAUUUAGGAUGUCUUGCAGUGACUACAGACCCACUACCUGCUCAUGACACUAGAGUUGUACCUCCACCCCCGGGGAGUGUACAUUUGAUUGUGGACCCGCAUUUUUCACAUGCGUCCCCACUCGAUCGGUGAGACUCGCUUUUUAUUUGUGAAAAAUUAAUUUUUGGAAAAAGUUAGAGUCGCCACUUAUUUUAUUUUAUUUUUAAAGGGAAAAUAAAACAAGAAAUAAAACCCUAAAAAAAUGACUCCAUAAUUCUUGGAAAAAGCAUGUCUGUGAAAAACCCAAGUCUAAGUCCGGGGAUUAGGUUACUUAUUGGGAAGGUACCUCUAAGAGGUAGCACCCCUCUAAGCCCUAAAGAGGUCUCUACUGACUAAGUUGAGGGAAAUAUAGCAAUUAACCGAUUAAUCAUGGAUACCUAAGUAGGCUAGGUGAUUUCGAAAAAUAGCAUGCUUAUCACAAUCAAAUCGCAAUAAAGGAGAGUUAGGGUGCGUACCUGAACCGCUUCUCAAGCGCUAUCAUAAAACAUAAAAGUCAGUGUAGAAAUCUAUCACACAACAUGUGUCUUAUCCAAGCAAAUCAAGCAUAUAUUUAAACACCUAAGAAUCACAUCAUGCAUGGAUAUAGUCAUCAAUGGCAUACAUGUCCAUAGAGUUAAAAAAAUUGGGUGAGAAGGAGCGUACUUGGAUAGUAAGCUAAAGCGCGUUUAUAGGAAACAAGUUUGCAUAAUAAUAAGUGCGAAAUAAUCUCAUAUGCCACAAAGAGGAAGCACAAUCAAUCAAAUAUCAAGCAAACAAUAUUGAUGAAAAUAUCAUGGAUGUCGGGCCCCCACCAAAGCCCUAAUUAAUUUUGCAUGAGUUGAUUCUAUGAAUUCCAUUGUUUGGAAUCAUGAAAUUUGUUCAUGCUUGAGAAAAUCGAGAAAAAUUAAGAAAAUCAGUUGAAAAUCAAAUAAAAUAGCAAAAACGCGUGCCGGAAGGAAGAUGGCAGCAAGAGUGUGUUAGAAUAUGGAUUUUAUAUUUAGAAAGGACCUAAGAUGAAUUUUUCAAAGCCAUGAAUGUUUAGUUGAACAAUGGUUCAAAAAUUCAAUUUAAAAUAGUAAGUUCCCAAUCAAAUAAGCAAAUAGAGGAGAAGGUGUGUAUAGCAAGGUUGCCAUGAAGUGAAGCCGGGAGAUUCUGGAUAGAGGGGACCAAUUCACUGCAAAAGUGUUCAAUUGUCAAAUGCUUCAACUUAAAAGACAUCUUGAUUUGUAAGCUCAACUAGAUUCUCCUCAACAUGAGUGAGAUACUGAAUAGAAGGUUUAGAAUUUCCAAUUUUCUACAUUGAGAGGUUUCCUGUAUUCUGCUAGCUUUCAAUUGAUUAAGCCUUUCAACUUUUACCUCAAUCUGCCAUAAUAGAGUUUGAUUCAUGCGGUCUGUGGUCAAAUAAACCAUUUUCUGCAUACUUAAGCUUCCUGUGUGAAGACUUCGUUACUUGGAGAGACAUCCUAACUACUUCGAAUACAUGAUUCAAAUUCUGCUGUUUGCUGAGGGAUUCCAAUGGAGAGCAAGAAUGCUUGGAUAUUGUACUUAACUUCUGACACACACGGAGACCAUCUUAAACAAUCUGCACUGAACUUGGUUUUCAUCUUUAAUGAUGGCGUUUGAUCUGUAUUUUUAUUAAAAGCUCUACUAAUUCCAUAACAGUUCCAGAAUUCUGCAUCAAUUGGUCUCUUAGAUGGACAAACAAACAAAGUCGAUAUGUGCUUCCUAUUUAUUCAUCAAGAGCAAACUAAGGAUACCCUUGAUGUGAUAGGCAGCUAGAUCAGUUUCAAUUUCCACAGGUAUAGAGUCCUUUUGCUGUCCUGAACCCCAUUGCUUUGAGAUCAAUAUGCUUGAUAGCAUUUGAUUUGGCUGUAACUCGAUUUUCAAGUUCAUAGUUUUCUUUUGCUGAAGCCAAGAUUCAUCCGCUUCUCAAGUAUCUCUAGAAAUUAAUCAUGCAACCUCGAAGCUCUAGUUUGUCGUGUGUCUUGCUCUUUCCCCUCCCCCUUCUUCUUACUCUGUUUCUGCCAUGAAUCAAUCGUAAGUGAAGUAUGUCCAGUUCUUCACAAUACUAAUGACUGGUGGGGCAGGCUGAUGUUGAGUGAAGCCUUCUGUAGACAAAGGUAUUAUGUAGAACAAAUAGACAUUACUUCAGAAGACUGGGUGAGAUUAAAUCAUGGCAGUAGCCUGAGUGGAACUUCAAUCCCUGAUUUUUCCACAAUUAAUCAGCAAGCUUCAGAAUUCUCCUUGUUCUAUGAACCGGGAUCAUCACAUAAAAGGCUCAAAGUUGGACGGUCAGAUGGACUUGGAGACAUCAAGUGCUGCAAAAGGGAUGCUUGUUCAGGAAAUUCAGCAACCCAAGAAGAAGGAAGUUCUCCCUCCUACUUCAGAUUAUUAAGAACGAUGCUUCUCUCCAUUGCUAUUCCAAACGAGUGCCAUAGUUCAAAGAAUACAACUCCUAAAGCUGUACAUGUCAGCCUUCUCAUCAAUCUUUGACCACCGGACAGUAUUCCAUCUAUAUAUAUAAAUAUGUUGAUUCAAGCUUAGUCUCAUGCACAUUUAUAUCUGCCGAGUUUGCACCUUUGUUGCAAAUUGACAUAUCUUGCAGAAACAAUUGGCUGUUGUCAUCUGUAUUUGAGCAUGGAACAGCAGCGUGUGAUUGACCAAUUGGAACAAUUUCAGAUAGGAACUCUCGAGAGGGAGCUUGCUUCUAUCCAGACCAUUCCCCUUUUGUUUAUUAUGUGAAACAUCAUUAGCCGAAUCUUGACCAGCACUGUCGUGUGUUAUUGGUGAGCUUGUUGGGAUCUUGUUUUGGGCAAGAUAAUGAGAUCCCUCAGUUAAUUCGAGAUCCAUAUCAAUUAAAACGCCAGAAUUACGGAUUUCCCAUGCUUUCUACUAGGCAGCGGUUGUCAGUUCUUUCUCUUGCUCACUUCUACUGGCAGUGGCCUGACUCCCCAACAAAACCCCUGAUGCACCCUGUAGCUUCUCAUUUAAUUCUGGAUUCUUAUCAGCAUCACUUUCUGUCAUUGAUGAGCUUCUAGGAUGUUUAUUUUUGACAGGAUUCUCUGACUGCUCAUAAUGAGUUACAAAUUCCCCAUAAUAGAAUAUUAUGAUCGUCGGCCUUACAGUAUUGUUCUUUUAAAAUUUUCUGCUCACUGGAUAGUCAUAGUUCAAACCAUCUAUAUCAAAAGGCUUUCCCAGGCACUCAUCUUCAAAACCAUAGAUCCGGCAAGUCUACAACCGUCUGAGCAUACUCUUCAAAAAUCCAGUCUCCCAGCAUGGCAUAUGACACUGAUAAGAUUGAAUUUUCAAAUUUCCGACUUAAAAGUCUUGGGCAUUAGCUGGAAGUUAUGAGGUGGCAUACGUAAACGGGUAAUGGACGAAAUAACGCUUGAAUUCCUUUGAACAUUCCAUUUCAAUAGUUGAAGAGAAAUGUGUCUUCGAAUAACUCUUUUGCACUAUAGAUCAAAUCGACCAAUAUUCUGUAAAGCUGAACAUUUAUCAAUAACUGCAUCGGACGCCUCACAACACUCCACUGCAUUAUGGAACAAACUGGUUACCCCGGUUCUCGUCAUUGACCAUAUCCAAUCAUUGAGACUCCCCGAAUCACUAUGCAUAGGAGAGCCAGCAUGCGCUGAGGACAGCUUCACAUACUCAAUAAUAAAAUUCCUUGCAUUCAGAUUCAUACAUCUUUCUAUAGGACUUGUAAAACUAUUAUUGAAAGUGAAAGGCCCAGGUUGCUUUCAGAUGACGUUAAGGGAACCUCUUCUCAUAGAUCCGGUGGAAAUAUAGUAAUCACUGAGACAAUAUCCAUUUCAGUUGGUUGACUUUCCAGUUCCUGUGAUUGAUGCAGCCUUUGUGCUUGAAAGUAAAGUACCACAAUAUCGCUCAAGUUGAACAUUAGAUAAUAGAAUAGGAAGCCAAUACUCAACAAAUCUAGAAGAAUCUGACUUGCAAUCAUAUGCAGUAAACUGUGACAACCUCUCUUUUAAUUUACUAUCAUGGUCAUCGUAGUCAAUUUUCGUAACAUUGCCACUAUUUACAUUAUCGCCAGAGUCAAGACAUGACAGGAGAUUCACAAACUCCAACGUAUUCUCCUUUAUCUAACCACUGAAAAGAAGAAGCCUUAAAUCAGCCACAAGCAUCUUAUAUUCUGCGAAGUGUGAUAAAAAUUGGGGUGUUUACCUUCAUCAAUUAUGACAGCUUCCCACUUUGAUUCAUAUCUCCAUUCACUCUAUCAUUGACAUUGAAAAUUGGGUGUGAAAUCUUUACAAGGGUAGUAGAUGGCACAUUGGCAAAAUGAUCAAAGUCAAGAAGGUAAGCUGCCACUUUUCUGUUCCGCCUUAAAAAUUUCAACUAUGUGAUGGUGUGAUGUAUUUGAUUCUCUACUAGAGAAAAAGAACAAGAUCUGCUUUAUUAACUGUUGGUCUCUGUCUUGCUAGUACUUUUUCAAAAUUAGUCCUUGAGAUGGGCGGAGGGAGGACCUUUGAAGCAAGGCUUUGCACUUCAAUCUCCUGCAAAGUAACCUGAACAGCUCCGCGUUGAAUAGGGUCACAAGGGACCCAGAUGUUAUUGGAAGUUUUUACAAAGUAAGAAGCAUCCUUAAUUUUUAGAAUAGGUUCAAAUAGUACAUUAUUGACACAAACAUAAAUAUCUGAACCAGAGAAUCCAUCAGUUCUAUAAGCCAGGUGUUCAAAAUCACGUUCAGUCAAGUUAUGAGGAGUGUCUCCCAGAUGAACCUUAAACAUGUGCUGCCUUGCUUUCAAAUCUGGAAGAGGAAUGUAGAUUCGCUUGUCAAAUCGCCGUCAGAUGGCCUGAUCCAGGGAAUAGAGAGUGUUUGUGGCUGUAAGAACAAGAACUUUCUGAUCAUUGUGCCCUACACCCUGCAUCUGAACAAGAAGCUCGGUUUUAAUACAUCGAGAGGCUUCGCUCUCAUUGCCUUCACCUCGUUGGCCAACAUAAGGAAUCAAUUUCAUCAAUGAAAAUGAUGGAAGGAGCACUUUCACGAGCCAUUUGAAACAGAUUUGAGACUAGCUUUUCAUUUUCACCCGUCCAUUUUGAAACUAGAUCAGAUGAGGGCAUAUUGAAAAAUGUUGAGUCUGCUUCUGUUGCAAUAGCUUUGGCUAAGUAUGACUUCCUGUUCCAGGUGAACUAUAUAAUAGAAAAGCCCUCUAGGGCCGUCUCUUCCCAGUAAAGAACUGUGGGAACUUAACAGGCAAUAUGAUAGCCUCUUGCAGUGCCUGCUUGGCGUUCUCAAGCCCAGCCACAUCACUCCACUGCACAUUUGGCUUCUCAGUGAUUAUAGCAGAAUUAAGCCCUACCCUAAGCUUGGCUUGCUCCACAUCAUCCCCAUCUCCAUUCUUGGGCUGUCGUAUUCAUCAUUGUAAAGAUUGCUUCCAGCAUCUCAUUUUGUUCAGCCAAACCAUAAAAUUUACCUUGAAGCUCCUCAUAUUUUCUUUUCAAAUCAUCACUUGGAUUUGAGCUUGCCUGCACAUCAUCUUUCCAGGCAUCCAUAACCACAAAACCAGCAUCAAAGUAUGACCCUCCCACUGAACUUUUCUGAUCUCAAUCAGUCAUAGGCAAAGAGUUCCCAGUAAUUGACCUUGCCAACCAAUCAAUGCAGUCUGGAAUAAGAGUGCUCUGGCAACUCUAGGUCUUCUAAGAUCUCUUCUAUUCUCUGAAGCACAGAAUCUUUCAGAAGGAAUGACUCUCUCAAUGUAGUUGCUGUGUUGCGAAUAUAUAUGAAAGCUCAGAUUCUAGGGCUUCCACAGUUUCUUACGAUCAACUCUUCCUCUCCAUACACACUGUGUGGUGACUGCCGCUUUCUUUAAUCUCGUAUAAUGCAAGUGAGCUAAGUAUUUGCGGCAUUGACUUUGGAUAGCAAUUGCUGCUCUUGUCUACCUCCUGGAGCGAAACUCAUUACGAGCAGCCAAGCCACGCAUACCUCUCUGAAUGCAAAGAGCAGAGGAGCACAAUUCUCUAUAAGCUUUCAUACGCAAAUCUUUCUGGAUCCUUAGAACAGAAACUUCUCUCCGCAUACUCUCGUAAACUUUGCGAGUUAUCAUCUGUAUUGCAGAAUGACGCAUUGAGAUGAAACUUCUGUGAGACAAAUAGGAACAAACUUUCUUCUGGAUAAUGCUGGCAAGUCUUCUUAAAACCCCACUCAUUCAGAACUGCCAUCCAAAACUUCAGGUAUGGUACUAUAACAGUUUGCUGGCAAUCUUAAGAAAUUCUAAAUCACAUCUGCGCAAGGCUCAUUAACCCAGUGAUCAUUUGUGAUCCUUUCAUCAAUAAACUAUAUCCUUUAAUGAAGGCUUCGUUUCUAUAAUCUCCUCAACGUUGUCCUUGUCUUCUAUAACCCCUUGAGCUAAAGACGUCUCCUUCCUUCUAGCCAGAGCCUUUUCCACCUCUGUAAUUCUAUGGCCCUAAGCAAUCCCAGCAAUAGAACACUUGAUAAUUUCUAUUGAGUUGCAGGUCGAGGUUUCUGUUUUUAUCAGGAAAUAUGGUAUCUACUUGGCUAAGCUCCUCAUUCAAUUUGUUUGCGAGAAAAUUGGUAAUCUCAGUCUUUAAGGCCUGAAGUGAUCCAUCAGUAUCCAUCACAUAGUCCAUACAACUGAGAGCAAUCUUCAGAAGGUCAGACACACAAAUUUGGACAUGGGGGAUAAAUUUUGAAACACAUCAGGAAUGGUGUCUGACGCUUGUAGAUGGAGUGGAAGAAAUUGCUUCAACUGCUUUAAAACACAAACUGAAUUAGACUAGCAGCUCGGCUCUCACCAUACAAUCUACCAUGGGCCAAAGUACAAACUGCUUCGAAGAGACACUUAUUAAUUGUAUCCGAUGCUAUUGAAAAUGCUCCGAUUCUCUUCUAAAUUUCUAUAGACCGGUCAUACAGCCUAGCAUCCUGACACUAGUGAGGAGCUCCAAGCAGAAAUUGUUAUCUCGCUUUUACAUCAGUCAGAAAACGAGCCAGUCCACCUUCUUCUCCAGUUCCUCUCAGACCAAGUAAAAGAUAAAUCCCACCAUCCCUUAAUAACAAUUCUGUGAGGAGUGGCUUCAGCAUCAAAUUUCUCUGCCAUUGCUGGUCUAUGUUGCCCCUUCCAGUUCAUGACAACUAUCCACCUCCUUCUGCUACAGCAGCUUAUGUAUAAUAUUCUAAUGCUGUAAAAUAAAAAUAAAACUUCACCAGCAUGUAAAUGCACUGAUCCAUAUUGUCGGAUUAUACUAGAUGCCUCUGCAAAAACAUCCAUCACUCCUAAUUUCUAUCUUUCCAGCUCAGUAAAUCGAACAUAUUGUUUAGACUUUCUAGCGAAACCCUAACAAACCUCCUCAAGAAGUGCGAAGGGAAUCAAAGAUAUCAGAGAUGCCCUUCAGUGCAUUGAAUAUGAAAUCAUAGUGAAAUAGCAGAGCCUUUCCCCGAUUAUAGGUCUGAAACGAUGCUGAAUCUCAACUCAGAGUUUUCAUGAUUCGUUUUUCAGAGUGACCGCUGCUUCAUACCACUGCUUCCUACCGUUGCUGGUGAUGAUAUUGAUGAUAGCAAAUUGAGAAGAAGGAUUAGAGGGCAUAGUAGGCGAUGAAAUUACGGAGAGGCAGAAAGGGACUGAUGGGGGAGGAAUCUUGGCCUCCUCUCUCUCUGUUCUGCUUCUUCCCGAUAAUAUAUAUAUAUAUAUUUUAACACCAGCCCUAGAGUACAAGCCUCUCUUUAAAUUCGAGGCAGAGAUCUCUAUAGCUUACUCUGUUCCUUUAUAAUUUAAACGAUGAGCAUUAUCGAACAUCAUCAAAGUACACAUCUGAUGUAUGUAAACACUCAGUUUAUGCUUCUGACCCCUAACAAAAGUUGCUCUCAAAUCAGCCAUACCCAUAUCCGUUUGCCAAGACAAUCUCCUCCCAACGUGGGUCCUGAGGAGAUAACCUCUAAAUUCGUCACAUCUUUCCCAGAUUUCUACUGGGGGAGCUGCGCAUAUCAAUUGACUGAAUUGACCAAGACCUUCGCGGUAAGAAUCUGGGCAACAAGUGAGGAUUGUCCCCUGUUUCAGCAGAUGAACUCGCAUAGAAACCCUACAUCUUCUUUCUAUCUCAUCCUUCCAAAUUCGAACCCCCACUCCAGCAAUUCUUAGAAGAAUCUCAUAAGCAAGCAUCGGAAAGAGAGAAUGGUAACCGAAAACAGAGUACCAAAUGAGAAGAAGAAAGGAAAGAAAAAUAAAAUAAAAUAAAAUAAGAACAGAACUAGGAAGAGCCACGUUUCAUAUUUCGAAUCAACGGGCUUUGAAAAGGUGAGGCAAGCAUAAAAAAGAGAUAUUUGAUCAACAAACACCAGACUCAAGAAUGAAUCCGACUGCUCAAAAGGAGAAGAAAAAUCCAAAUUCAGCAAACAAGCAGGUUAGUCAUCGUGGCAUUCAUACUGAUACAAACGAUGUUUUGGAAUCAGCAAGAGAAUCAAAGAGAACAAAAUGCGAAUGAGAGUAUAGUAAAUAUCAGGAACCGACCUCAACACAACAAUUUGUGGCCCUUUCCGUCCACACCAAUCAACAAUAUAAGAGUAUUCAGAAACGAACACACGAAAAAAAAUGGCUAAGAAUUCCAAGAGUAAUCAGAAGCAUACCUGGAUGAACUCGAUUAGACUUGCUCCUUUCCCGCUCCUUUGUGCUUUCUCCUCAAAAAUCCUCAGAAUUUCUCUCAAUCCUCCAAUGCGUGCUUCCGCCCCCCUGUUCUUUUCCUUUUCUCCACCUAUAUAUAUCACCCCUCAAGACCUAAAUUUCUUUCCAAAAAGGAAAAUUCUCCUAUCUCCUUUCUUCUUCUCUUCUUUCUUUUAAAUCUUCCAAUCAAAAGCCAUCUUCUCAAUUUCAAAUUCCCCUCCAAAACCUUCCAAUGAGAGUCCCACCUUCCUUAAACUCCAAUGGUAAGUUUCCUUGCAAAAGCAUGAAAUUUUUGAAAGUAAAUAAUUGAAUGAGUAACUAAAUAAGUAAACAAACUAGAGGACAAUAAAAAAAAAAUAUAAUGAAUAAUCAAGUUAAGAAAAAUAAUAUAAAGAGGAAGAAAACAAAUAAAAAUAAGAGUGAUUGAUAAUCAUAAAACUAAAACUAAGAAAUAAAAAUAAACAAAUUAACAAAAACUAGGCCCCAUGAGUCAUGCAACCGUGUAAGUCAUACAAAAAGUGAGUCUAGAAGUGCCUAAUGGGCCAAGUGUGCCUAAGUGGGCCUAGAGCGGUGCCUAAAGGCUAAGUGUAUCUAAAAGCUAUCCUAAAAAAAGACAAGAAAAGCCUAAGUCUAAGUUAGGGCUGCCAGGGGUCACAAUAAGGGAUCAAAUAAUCCCUCAACCAAAGUCUCCGAAGUGACUCAGAAAAAGGUAAGUCGUACGAGUAGUAAUGGGCCACCAAGGAACUACCGUGGAGCACUGGAAGUGAAUUUAAAGACAUGUGCUUAAGGAACAAAAUUGAGGGUCUACAUUGAUUGAGUUUUCAGGAGAUGAGAUAUUUAUGAUGCGAUGGGAUGGGAUGGAGAGGCUCCUCAGCCAAUUAGUCUAUACGAGGACUUAGAUUUUAGUGGAUAUAUCCAUGGACAGUAGGUCCUCAGGCUUUUUAUAUUGAUUCCAGAUGAGGUUCCCCGACAGAUAGCAGUUUCACUAGUAUACUUGCAGCAUGUUCCACCCAUGACACCCUUCAUUUUGUUCCCGAAGGAGUAUGGGCCAGUACAUAGAGAUGUUCAGAUUGUUACGAGAAAUGAGAGGGUAGCUCAGUUCCCACCUGUUGAUAGACCUUUUGUUGGCAUUGAUGCUAAAGAUGAGAUUCAGAUGGAAGAUGAUGAGAUUUUGUGCCAGCUGCGCACCACUCAGGCCCACAUUUCCAUUUGGAGUUUAUUGGCCUCAUCCAGCACACAUAGAGACGCAUUGAUCAGAGCUCUUAGUCAUAUUAGAAUUGAUACUACUACCACCCUAGAGGGACUGAUCCACUUUCUGACAAUGAAUAGGGCUACAUGCAUAGUGUUUUCUGACGAUGAUUUACCACCUGAGGGAUCAAACCAUGUUCGUCAUUUGUUCAUCAAUGUUGCUUGUUUAGGUCGUAGGGUGUCGUCUGUCCUGCUGAACAACGGCUCCGCCCUGAAUGUUUGUCCAUUGGUUACUGUCAUUGCUUUAGGAUUGUCACCAUCCGAUUUUGGGCCCUCCACACAAACCGUUAAAGCUUAUGACGGGACUCAAUGGACAGUUAUGGGUACUCUCGCUACACAUGUCAUGAUAGGGCCGGUCAGAUACUCUGUGUUUUUCCAAGUUCUGAGGAUUUAGUCAUCCUAUAACCUGCUUUUGGGUCGCCCUUGGAUUCAUGGGGCGGGUGUUAUACCAUCUUUCCUUCAUAAGAAGGUGAAGUUCAUACACAAGGGGCGCAUUAUCACGAUACAGUCUGACAGAGACGUUGUUACCUCUUCCGAGCUAGUGUUACAGAUCAGUCACAAUGAGAAUGACCUACAUUUGACCGGGUUCACUUUUGAUGAGGUUCAGGUUGUCAGUUUAGAGGAUGACAGCAGAGACAUGGUACCUAUGUCUUUUGAUUAGUACAACAGCACUUUGGUACUCAUUAUGAUGAGAGACAUGUCCUAUAUGCCUGGCAUAGGAUUAGGUCACCGCCAGUAGGGGUCGUGUGAGUUUGCUUUCACAGUUGAUCAUGACAUACCAUAUGGAUUGGGUUACACUCCUAUGGAGGACGAUGCAUGACACAUGGCGCGGUUAUGCCGGGAUAGGGUAAGAGCUCGCUUGUCCGGGGUUCCAUUUGAUUACCCUCUUCGCUGAUUACUAUUCAAAAAGUGCAUUUUUAUAAGCUUAAACUUAAUUGUACUAAGCACUUUUGAGUAGUAAUUAGACCUUUUUAUCCCAAUUGACAUGUUAAGGACCUAGCGAAUGUUACUAACCAAUUUCUGGUAAGUUUUAGUGUUUUUGGUAGCUUUUUUAUCACCGAAACAGGCCAAGAUUGAGGGAGAGUUUUGUGCAAGCUAUGGCAAGGCAAGUUGAAGAUCAAUCACAUGAAGAAUCCGAGCCUUGGAACACUUCAAAACCCCUUGCCAAACUUGGAAAGGGGUUGGAAAAGCUAUCAGUAGUAAGAUGGAGGAAAACAGAGCAUUUCGCAAGACAAAAUCAUCAAUUUCUCAAGGUAUGCCAAAAUUUUGGCAAGGUGUGCCAAAAUUUUGGCAAAGUGUGCCAAACUUUCGCAAGGUGUGCCAAAAUUUCGCAGGGUGUGCGAAAAUUACUUUGUGCCCACCGACCUUCUGGAUUUUUCUCUAGAAUUGUAAUUUUUCCUUUUUACUCAUUUUGUAAUAGAUAAAAAACAUUAGGGUUUGUUUAGGAACUAUAAAUAGGGGUUGGAAAACCUCUCAUAUGAUGUUAGAUAUUAUGUUUUAGAUCUUUUAUAAAGUCUGGUUUUUCUCGGUCUUUCCUUCUCAUUUUCUCUUCACUUCUCUUUAGCCAAACACCCUCUAAUGAUGAUUUCUCAAAGGAUGAGUGGCUAAGUUUCACGUUUCUUGGAGUGAUGGAAGCUAGGUAAAGGACCCGAAUGCAAAGGUGGGAGUUUUCCUUAUUUUAAAUGAAGGUAGUUAUGUAUCAUUAAUGGUUGUAUUUCAAGUUUCAGCUUUAGUCCCUUAGAAUCACCUUGAAUGUCCAAUACUUGGUAAGCUUUUAGGAUUCUAUGGAUGCUUAUUGCUAGAUCCAUGGAUAUCCAUUAGUUAUCAAGUACGAGCCAUUAGAAGGUGGUUCAAGGUGAGGGUCUUUAGUGUUUAGAGCCAUUAAUGGGAAGCAACUAUCAUUUUUCAAGAAUCCUUUGGAUCAAAACUUAUUUGCUAAAUACAAAUCCGGUUCGGGAGAUAACCAUCCUUUAUGUUAUUAUCCCCAAUGCGAGGAGAAGAUCCGAAAACUUCUCUUUAUAGUAAUUUCAGUUGUUUAUGUUUGCUUAACUUAAAAUCACACCUUCCAAUCAAUCUUAUUUUCAUUAAAAACUAACUUUCAAAAAGGAAAUCACCAUUUCUCCUUUCAUUAAAGUCAUGUGUACAAUGAAAACCCAUCCAUGUGGACGAUCCUAGAGCCACUAUACUAUAGUAGCUUUGUCUUUGCUACCCUAGUAUAAGGUGUUGUAGGUUUUAUAAAUGUUUUGAUAAACACCCAAUUGGGCAUGAAUCAAAUGGCGUCGUUGCUGGGGAUGGUGCCUAAGUACAUAAAUGUUACCCUUUAUGAGUACUUGUGAUCUUCAUCACAAGUUGGUGAUUUUUCUUUCACUAACUCGUUUUCUUUAUUUUUAUUUGAUCUUAUCUUUCAUUUAAUUUUUAGCUAACCUUAAAUAUUUUCCUAGAAUUGUAGUCCUUUUUGUUUUCGUUGUUUUUGUUUCAGUAAUCUCGAGUUGUGUAUGCCCUAUUGGAUAAGACAUGUUGAGGGAAGACUUGUGAAAAUUGAAACUCCUCAAGAAACUGAGUUGGAAGUGUGCUUGAACAUCAUGGAUUGUCCACUUGAAGAUCAGCAUAGCCAACAUGGGCAAGAGGAGAAUCUCAAUGCAUAUCGAUCCAUGAAGGACCGCAUGCAUCCACCUCAAAUGAGUGCACCUUCAUGCAUAGUGCCUCCCACUGAGCAGCUAGUGAUCCGACCUCAUAUAGUGCUGCUUCUACCUACUUUCCAUGGGAUGGAAAGUGAGAACCCCUAUUCCCACAUCAAGGAGUUUGAAGAAGUGUGCAAUACAUUCCAAGAAGGAGGAGCUGCAAUUGACUUGAUGAGACUCAAGCUAUUCCCUUUCACCUUAAAGGAUAAGGCCAAGGUUUGGCUUAAUUCUCUAAGGCUAAGGAGUAUCAGAACGUGGAUUGAUUUACAAGCUGAGUUUCUUAAGAAGUUUUUCCCUACUCAUAGGACCAAUGGCUUGAAAAGGCAAAUUUCGAACUUCUCAGCAAAGAAGAAUGAGAAAUUCUAUGAGUGUUGGGAGAGGUACAUGGAAGCUAUCAAUGCUUGUCCUUAUCAUGGCUUUGAUAUAUGGCUCUUAGUGAGUUAUUUCUAUGAUGGUAUGUCUUCCUCUAUGAAGCAACUCUUAGAUACCAUGUGUGGAGGAGACUUCAUGAGUAAGAAUCCGGAGGAAGCUAUGGACUUCUUAAGCUCUGUUUCUAAAGUUUCAAGAGGAUGGGAUGAACCGAAUACUAGAGAUGUGGGGAGGAUGAAGUCUCAGCCCAAUGCUAAGGGUGGAAUGUAUGUGUUGAGUGAAGACAUGGACAUGAAAGCAAAAUUUGCAACUAUGACAAGGAGAUUGGAAGAGCUAGAACUGAAGAAAGUACAAAAAGUACAGGCCAUUUCCGAGACAUGAGUGCAAGCUAUGCCUUGUUCCAUAUGUCAGUCUUAUGAGCACUUAGUAGAGGAGUGUCCAACCAUUCCGGCAGUGAGAGAAAUGUUUGGUGAUCAAGCAAAUGUGGUUGACUAAUUCAAGCCUAACAACUAUGCUCCUAAUGGAAGCACCUACAAUUCUAAUUAGAGGAACCAUCCAAAUUUCUCAUGGAAGCCAAGGCCACCUCAAUACACACCACUAGCUCAAGCACCUUAACAAGCUUCAAGCCUUGAACAAGCCAUUGUGAAUCUUAGCAAGGUUGUGGGAGACUUUGUGGGAAAGCAAAAGUCAAUCAACUCUCAAUUGAAUCAGAAAAUUGAUAAAGUGAAGAGUACAUUGAAUAAGAGGAUGGGUGUAAUGCAAAAUGAUCUAUCUUAGAAGAUAGAUAAUGUUCAAUACUCCAUCUCAAGGCUAACCAACCUCAAUACUGUACAAGAGAAAUGAAAGUUUCCUUCUCAACCUCAUCAAAAUCCCAAGGGUAUUCAUGAAGUAGAAGCUCAAGAAGGAGAAUCUUUAAAGGUGGGGGAAGUGAAGGAAGGUGAAGGAAGUGAAUCAGAAAGAAGUGAAUCAUGAUGAAGGAAGUGAAUUAGAAAGAAGUGAAUCAUGAUGAAGGAAGUGAAUCAUGAUGAAGGAAGUGAAUCAUGAUGAAGGAAGUGAAUCAGAAAGACAUGGGUGAGAAGAAUUCAAAGGAAGGUGACCAUGAUUCAAGUGUGAAUGAAGAACCAAGGAUAGUCAUCAAGGAAUAUAUGAUGAAAAAACACAUGCCUCCACCUUUCACUCAAGCUUUGCAUGGUAAGAAGGGAACCAAGAAUACAUCAAAAAAAUUUGAAGUGUUGAGGCAAGUGAAGGUCAACAUUCCUUUACUUGACAUGAUCAAGCAAGUUCCAACUUAUACCAAAUUCUUGAAGGACUUGUUCACUGUAAAGAGAGGGUUAAAUGUGACCAAGAAAGCCUUCUUGACUGAACAAGUAAGUGCUAUCAUCCAGUGCAAAUCUCCAAUGAAGUAUAAAGAUCUAGGAUGCCCCACCAUUUCAGUAAAUAUUAGAGGGACAUGUGUGGAGAAAGCUCUUCUAGACUUGAGAGCAAGUGUGAAUUUGCUACCCUAUUCAGUUUACAAACAAUUGGGACUUGGGGGGUUGAAGCCCAUGUCCAUUACUCUCUCCCUAGUUGAUAGAUCAAUGAAAAUCCCAAGGGGGAUAAUUGAGGAUGUCUUGGUACAAGUUGACAAAUUCUACUAUCUAGUAGGUUUUGUUGUUCUUGAUACUGAUCCAAUUGUCACAAGGACAAACUAUGUGCCAAUCAUACUUAGAAGACCAUUCAUCGCUACUUCUAAUGCAAUCAUCAAUUGUAGGAAUGGAGUUAUGUAACUCACGUUUGGCAACAUGACCUUAGAGCUAAACAUCUUCCAUUUAUGAAAGAAGCAUCUCCAUCCGGAAUAAAAGGAAGGGCCAGAGGAAGUGUGCAUGAUUGACACUUUGGUGGAGGAGCACUGUGAACAGAGCAUGGAGGAAGAUUUGAUUGAGAAUCUUGGGGAUCUUGAUGAAAGGUUACCUAAACCCUCAGAUUCGCUAACUACCAUGUCUCAUUAGAGGAAGAUGGAAGAGAUUCUACCUUUGUUCAAUGAGGAGGAGUCACGCAGAGUUGGUAAGGAAGAGCCCCCAAAGCUUACUCUUAAGCUUCUUCCUACUGGGUUGAAAUACGCAUACUUGGAGGAAGACAAGCAGUGCCCUAUGGUGAUCUCUUCAGCUCUCACCAUUCAUAAAGAGGAUUGUCUAAUCGGAGUCCUUAGAAGAUGUAAGAAGGCCAUUGGGUGGAAAAUUUCGGACUUGAAAGGGAUCAGCCCUUUGGUGUGCACCUAUCAUAUCUAUAUGGAGGAGGAAGCAAAGCCAGUUCGCCAACCGUAGAGAAGGUUGAACCCUUACGUGCAAGAGGUGGUGCGAGCUAAAGUUUUGAAGCUACUUCAAGCCAGUAUUAUUUACCUCAUAUAAGAUAACUUAUGGGUGAGUCUAAUCCAGGUUGUCCCAAAGAAGUCUAGGAUCACGGUGGUGCAGAAUGAUAAGGGAGAAGAUGUCUCCACACGCCUUACUACUGGUUGGAGAGUGUGUAUCGAUUAUAGGAAAUUGAAUGAGGUGACAAGGAAUGACCAUUUCUCGUUGCCUUUUAUUGACCAAGUGCUUGAAAGGGUUCCUAGGCAUCCUUUCUAUUGUUUUUUGGAUGGCUACUCUGGCUACUUUCAAAUAUAGAUUGAUUUGGAAGAUCAAGAGAAAACCACUUUCACAUGCCCCUUUGGUACAUUUGCAUAUAGGAGAAUGUCUUUCCGUUUAUGCAAUGCACCCGUAACUUUCCAAAGAUGCAUGCUAAGCAUCUUUAGUGAUAUGGUGGAGUGAAUUUUGGAAGUCUUUAUGGACGAUAUCACCGUUUAUGGAAGUGCAUUUGAGGAUUGCUUAGUAAACUUAGAAGCUGUUCUAAACCGGCGCAUUGAAAAAUACUUGGUGCUUAACUGAGAAAAGUACCAUUUCAUGGUACAACAAGGGAUUGUUCUCGGGCAUAUCAUCUCUAAGGAGAGAAUUGAAGUUGAUAAAGCAAAAGUUGAACUCAUUGUCAAGUUGCCAUCCCCCACCAAUGUCAAGGGAGUAAGGCAAUUCCUUGGACAUGUCGGGUUCUAUAGGAAGUUUAUCAAGGACUUUUCAAAGCUUGCAAGGCCUCUUUAUGAACUAUUGGUCAAGGAUGCCAAAUUCAUAUGGGAUGAAAGAUGUCAAAGAAGUUUUGAGCAAUUAAAGUCAUUUUUGACAACAACACCCAUUGUACGAGCUUCUAACUGGCAAUUACCCUUUGAGGUAAUAUGCGAUGCUAGUGAUUUUGUUAUUGGAGCUGUGUUGGGCCAAAGGGAAGAUGGAAAACCCUAUGUGAUCUAUUAUGCCAGUAAGACACUCAAUGAGGAGUAAAGAAACUACACAACCACCGAGAAGGAAUUGUUAGUGGUAGUUUUUGCCUUGGACAAAUUUUGUGCUUACUUGGUGAGGUCUUUCAUAGUGGUAUUCACCGAUCACUCUGCUUUGAAGUACUUGUUGACUAAGCAAGAUGCCAAGGCAAGAUUGAUUAGGUGGAUCCUCUUACUUCAAGAGUUCAAUCAUCAAAUCAAUGAUAAGAAGGAAGUAGAAAAUGUGGUAGCUGACCACCUUUCAAGGCUUGCAAUUGCACAUAAUUCCCAUGGUUCGCCCAUUAAUGAUGACUUCCCAGAUGAAUCUCUCAUGUUGGUGGAAGUAACUCUGUGGUAUGCUCAUAUUGCGAACUACCUAGUUACAAAAGAAGUUCCAAGUGAGUGGAAAGCAUAAGAUAGGAAGCAUUUCUUUGCAAAGAUCCAUGCCUACUAUUGGGAAGAACUGUUUCUAUUCAAGUAUUGUGCGGAUCAAAUAAUAAGGAAGUGUGCUCCUGAACAAGAGCAACAGGGGAUUCUCUCUCACUGCCAUGAGAAUGCUUGUGGAGGCCACUUUGCUUCUCAGAAGACAACUAUGAGGGUCUUUCAAUCGGUUUUCUAUUGGCCCUCACAUUUCAAGGAUGUCCAUGCCAUGUGCAAGGGUUAUGAUCGAUGUCAGGGGCUUGGGAAGUUGACCCGAAGGAAUAUGAUGCCUUUGAACCCCAUUUUGAUAGUUGAUCUUUUUUAUGUUUGGGGCAUUGACUUCAUGGGACCUUUUCCUAUGUCAUUUGGCUACUCUUACAUCUUGGUAGGAGUUGAUUAUGUUACUAAGUGGUUUGAAGCAAUUCCAUGCAAACACAAUGACCAUAGGGUGGUUAUCAAGUUCUUGAAGGAGAACAUUUUCUCAAGAUUUGGAGUGCCUAAAUCCAUAAUCAAUGAUAGGGGUACUCAUUUUUGUAACAAGCCUUUUGAAACUCUUCUAGCCAAGUACGGGAUGAAGCAUAAGGUAGCUACACCUUACCACCCUCAAACUAGCGGGCAAGUUGAGUUGGCAAACUGGGAGAUCAAGAAUAUAUUGAUGAAGGUGGUGAAUGUGAACAGAAAAGAUUGGUCUAUCAAACUCCUUGAUUCACUAUGGGCUUAUAGAACAGCUUACAAGACCAUUCUUGGGAUGUCCCCUUAUCACUUAGUCUAUGGCAAAGCAUGUCAUCUCCCUGUGGAAUUGGAAUACAAGGCUUGGUGGGCAAUCAAGAAACUCAACAUGGAUUUGAGCAAAGUCGGGUUGAAGAGAUUCUUAAACCUCAAUGAGUUGGAGGAACUACGAAAUGAUGCUUACCUCAAUUCGAAAAUUGCAAAAGAGAGGUUGAAGAGAUGACAUGAUCAGUUGGUGACCCAAAAGGACUUUUCAAAUGGACAAAGAGUCUUGCUCUAUGACUCUAAGCUCCAUAUCUUUUCGGGCAAGUUGAAAUCAAAGUGGUUAGGUGCUUUCACAAUCCACUAAGUGUAUUCGAAUGGAGUAGUGGAGUUACUCAACGCCAACAGCAACCGAACUUUCAAAGUGAAUGGCCAUCAUUUCAAGCCCUUUGUGGAGCAUUUUUCUCGAGACAAAGAGGAAUUCAUCAUCCUUGAUCCUCCUCAGGCUUGAAAAAUCAGAUCGUGGAUGGACUUAGUCUUUCUAAAAACUAUUAAGUCCAUCCAUUUUUUGGUUUUGUUUUUUAUUUCAUGUUUUUCUUGCAUUUGUAUUUGUUUUGAUUUCGAUUUCUUGCUUGAAUUCCAUUUUAGUUUGAUUUAAUUUAGGUUUUUGAUGAUCACUUGUAGGGGAGGGCACUUAAGGAUUCGUUGGCAGAGGAAAAGCUAAGGAAAAAUUAAAGCAGAGCAUUUUGCAUUCCUCCCUAUGAAUUUUUCGCAUGGUGCGUGAAAAGUGCUCUUUGCAUUAGGUGAGCUACUGCCAUUUCGCAGAGCAUGCGAAAAUUUCGCACCCUCUACGAAAUCCUCCUUAUGGUUUUUGAAAAAUUCAAGCUCUUAGUCUUUAACUUCGCACCUUAUGCGAAAAAACACAGGGUAUGCGAAUCCUCCUUGUGAUCAUUUUUGAAAACGAUAUUCACACCAUUUGCAAAUUUCCAGAAGGUUUGCGAACUCAAAGUUGACCCUGCGAAUCAAGUUCGCAGACCACUUUUUCGCACACCCACUUUGUGAAAUUCCAAUUUGCGAAAUUUCGUCACUUUGCGAAAUCCCACUUUGCGAAAUUUCACUUUGCGAAAUUCCACUUUGCGAAAGUGCCUUUGCAAAAUUCCCACUUUGCGAACCAUCUCCACCCCUCCAUCUUUCCUUUUCACAAAAAAAAAAUGUAAUUUUUUUUUAUAGCAUACAUCCUAACUUCAUUUCUCACUUCUCUAGUCUAUUUUGCCUCUUUUGUCAAACUUUUGCAUGACUGUGAAAAUUUUGUUUUUUAAACCAUGUGGUUUCUCCUCUACACUUCUAAGUGCAUUUUCCUCAGGAGGUAUCACUUCCUCCCUUUAUUUUCACUUGUGAUUGAAACAUUGAGGACAAUGUUCAUCUUGGUUGGGAGGAGAGUUGAGAAAGUAAGUAUUGUAAAUAUUGCUAGGAUAUUUUGUUAAUGUAGUUACCUUUUGUUUAAUUUUUUUAAAAUUUUUUUUAGUCUACUCUCCAUGGUUGUCAAGAAAAAAUUCUCAAAAGAAAUGAGAGAAGUUGAGUUCUUGCCCUUUUGCUUAAGUCUUAGAGUUUGUAUUAUGUUUAUUGAGGUUGAUGAAUUAUUGAAGUUCCUAUUGAAUUCAACCUUGUCUCUUCCACUUUAAUCUUACCACACAUUGUGCACAUUAGGUUCCAAUUAUAAGAUGAAAAACUAUCUCACCCCUUGAACUUAGGAAAAUUUUGACUUGGUACCUUUGACCUCAUUUUAAUAGUGUUGAGACACCUUAUAGAAGGCCAAUGAGCCUUCAGAAAAAAAAAAAAAAAAAAAAAAAAAAAAAAAAAAAAAAACCAAAAAAAAAAAAAAAAAAAACAAGUGCUACACUUGCCUUGAAACUCGAGCAAGGUCCUAGAGGUAUAUGGCGAAAGUCUUUGAAGCCUGGUGCCCUAAACCUUAAUUGGUUGGGAGUCACAGACCUUAAUGCUCGUUACAAGGGUGAAUGGGUGAAAUUGAGCAAAUAAAAGAAUUGUGAAAUAAAAGAGGUGCGUUCUUAGCCUAUUAGGUGUUGGUCAGGUUGCUAGGUUUGAGAAAGAACUAGGUUGGGGGGAGAGCAUAGUUUAGCAUACUAUAAUUGGAAACUAAUCACCUUAACACUUAGAUUCUUGUGGAAGAUUAAGAGUUGGAUCUUUGGGAGUGGAAAUUCUUUUGAUGCUUAAAUUUGCAUAAUGCCCACUCUUUGUAUUUUGUGAUUAGGUAAGUGAUUUAAUGACUCUUGUUGAAGGUUGGGUUUUAUAUCUUUGAUUUUCAAUGAGAGAUGCGUUUCUUUUUCUCUCCUUCAUUGCUAAGGGACUAGCAAUGUGUCGGUUGGGGGGGAGUGAUUACUAUUCAAAAAGUGCAUUUUUAUAAGCUUAAACUUAAUUGUACUAAGCACUUUUGAGUAGUAGUUAGACCUUUUUAUCCCAAUUGGCAUGUUAAGGACUUAGCGAAUGUUACUAACCAAUUUCUGGUAAGUUUUAGUGUUUUUGGUAGCUUUUUUAUCAACGAAACAGGCCAAGAUUGAGGGAGAGUUUUGUGCAAGCUAUGGCAAGGCAAGUGGAAGAUCAAUCACAUGAAGAAUCCGAGCCUUAGAGCACUUCAAAACCCCUUGCCAAACUUGGAAAGGGGUUGGAAAAGCUAUCAGUAGUAAGAUGGAGGAAAACAGAGCAUUUCGCAAGGCAAAAUCAUCAAUUUUGCAAGGUAUGCCAAAAUUUUGGCAAGGUGUGCCAAAAUUUCGUAAGGUGUGCCAAACUUUCACAAGGUGUGCCAAAAUUUCGCAGGGUGUGCGAAAAUUACUUUGUACGCACCAACCUUCUGGAUUUUUCUCUAGAAUUGUAAUUUUUCCUUUUUACUCCUUUUGUAAUAGAUAAAAGACAUUAGGGUUUGUUUAGGAACUAUAAAUAGGGGUUGGAAAACCUCUCAUAUGAUGUUAGAUAUUAUGUUUUAGAUAUUUUAUAAAGUCUGGUUUUUCUUUGUCUUUCCUUCUCAUUUUCUCUUCACUUUCUCUUUAGCCAAACACCCUCUGAGGAUGAUUUCUCAGAGGAUGAGUGGCUAAGUUUCACGUUUCUUGAAGUGAUGGAAGCUAGGUAAAGGACCCAGAUGCAAAGGUGGGAUUUUUCCUUAUUUUAAAUGAAGGUAGUUGUGUAUCAUUAAUGGUUUGUAUUUCAAGUUUCAGCUUUAAUCCCUUAGAAUCACCUUGAAUGUCCAAUACUUGGCAAGCUUUUAGGAUUCUAUGGAUGCUUAUUGCUAGAUCCAUGGAUAUCCAUUAGUUAUCAAGUACGAGCCAUUAGAAGGUGGUUCAAGGUGAAGGUCUUUAGUGUUUGAAGCCAUUAAUGGGAAGCAACUAUCAUUUUUCAAGAAUCCUUUGGAUCAAAACUUAUUUGCUAAAUACAAAUCCAGUUUGGGAGAUAACCAUUCUUUAUGUUAUUAUCCCCAAUGCGAGGAGAAGAUCCGAAAACUUCUCUUUAUAGUAAUUUCAGUUGUUUAUGUUUGCUUAACUUAAAAUCACCCCUUCCAAUCAAUCUUAUUUUCAUUAAAAACUAACUUUCAAAAAGGAAAUCACUAUUUCUCCUUUCAUUAAUGUCAUGUGUAUAAAGAAAACCCAUCCACGUGGACGAUCCUAGAGCCACUAUACUAUAGUAGCUUUGUCUUUGCUACCCUAGUAUAAGGUGUUGUAGGUUUUAUAAAUGUUUUGAUAAACACCCAUACACUUUUCAGUUGGCUGACUAUUUUACCAGAGGAUCAGAGCAUGCACCCCGCACAGAGGGAGUUGACCAUGUUUCGGGGAUGGUUGAGAUUUAGGGCAUUCAGCAGGCCCUAGGACAGAUGUGUUUGAGUUUUGAGACCACCGAGCCACCUGAGGCCAUGAUAGUUGCACCCCCAUCACCGGAUCGAACCAGUGUGUUUUCCAUGUGCUUUCCUGAAGAGGUCCCCGACUAUGAUCUACCUAUGGAUUUAGGAGAUGGUUCUGAUGGAAUGACUCUUCCUAAUACUUACCUGGACGAGAUGGACAUGAUCGGCACUGGCCGUAUCCUCGACACAACCCCGUGCAAGCUCCAUUCUUCUUUUGACAUGUUUGGAGUUCCUAUGAUUGAUUCUGAUGAUGUGACCCUUUACAAUGCUUGCAUUGAUGAGAUGGACAUGAUUGGCACUGGUUGUAUUCUGGAUGGUUCCCCACCUGAGCCCCAAUCCACUUUUGAUGUGUUUGGGAUUUCUAUGACUGAGUUUGAUGAUGAUGGACUUGUUGCUACUAAUAUUACUCAUGAUACUAUUUCUGUUGAGGGAGCGUCCGACUCUGUGGACCCACCUUUUUCUUUUGACACUAUGUUCGGGUUUGUCACCCGCUUUGAUGACAUUUCUAAUGGUAAUAAUGACAUGAUUAUUUUUUAGUAUUUACCUGUGUCACAACACUUUCUUUUGAUUGCACCACUAGCACCCACAACACAUGUAUGCGAUGUUGAUGAUGUGGGAGACACAAAUGACCCACUAGGUGGUCAGUUAGAGUGUGAUUCUGAUACAGAGGACAAGAAAGUUACACCCAUUUCUAGUAGCACAGAGUUGAUAGAUUUUAGGGUACUAGAUCAGCCCAAGGAAAUUAGGAUUGACUCUUCCUUAUCUCUUAAUGAGAGGAGUAGAUUGAUUGACCUACUUAGAUCGUACUUGGAUGCAUUUAUAUGGUCAUAUGAGGAGAUGCCGGGCCUUGACCCCUCUAUUGUUUAGCAUCACCUGCCCAUUUUGCCACAUGCUAGGCCAAUUAAGCAGAAAUUGAGGAGACUACACCCUCAAUGGAGUUUGCAGGUUAAGGAAGAAAUUCAGACGCAACUCAAUGUUGGCUUCUUGUCAGUGGUUGAGUAUCCUGAGUGGCUGGCUAAUGUCAUCCCUGUUCCCCAAAAGGAUGGCAAGGUUAGAGUUUGUGUUGAUUUCCAAGAUUUGAACAAAGUCAGUCCCAAUGAUGAUUUUCUCCUUCCACAUAUUGAUAUGCUUGUCAACAGCACUGCAAGACAUUCGAUGUUGUCCUUCAUGGAUGGGUUUUCCGGAUAUAAUCAAAUUCAGAUGGCUCCAAAGGAUAUGGAGAAGACUUCUUUCAUCACUGAGUGAGGUACUUACUGCUACUAGGUCAUGCCAUUUGGGUUGAAGAAUGCAAAAGCAACUUGUCAGAGAGCUGCUACUACUUUAUUCCACGAUAUGAUGCACAGAGAUGUUGAGGUAUAUGUGAAUGACAUGAUAGUGAAGUCUUGAGACAGGGCAGAUCACUUAGCAACAUUACAGAGAUUCUUUGAGAGGAUUCGGCAAUUUAGGUUGAGAUUGAAACCCAAGAAGUGCACCUUUGGGGUGACUUCUGGGAAAUUACUAGGCCACAUCAUCAGUGAGCGGGGUAUAGAGGUCGACCCCAAAAAGAUCAAAGCCAUACUUGACAUGCUUGCUCCAAGGACUGAGAGAGAGGUCAGAGGCUUUCUAGACAGAUUAUAGUAUAUCAGUCGUUUCAUUGCUAGACUAACAGACAUAUGCAAGCCUAUCUUCCGUCUUCUAAGAAAGAAUCAGCCUAUAGUUUGGAAUGAUGAUUGUCAUCAAGCUUUCGAAAAGAUUAAGAAGUGUCUCAUUUAUCCUCCAGUUUUAGUGCCCCCCACACCAGGGCACCAUCUGCUUUUGUACUUAUCAGUUUCAGACAUGGCUUUAGGAUGCAUGUUAGCUCAGCUCAAUGAUUCAGGGAAAGAGCAAGCUAUUUAUUAUCUGAGUAAGAGGAUGCUGGAGUAUGAGUGCAAAUAUAUUCUAAUUGAGCACCUCUGUUUGCCAUUGGUUUGGGCCACCAGGAGAUUGAGACAUUAUGUGACAGAGUAUUCUAUACUAUUGGUCUCAUGAUUAGAUCCUUUGAGAUAUCUGUUUGAUAGGCCUGUUCUGACCGGUAGGCUCAUGAGAUGGUUAGUAUUGCUAACAGAGUUUGAUAUUCAAUAUGUUACUCGAAAAUCGGUAAAGGGAAGCAUUAUUGCAGACCAUCUGGCCUCUUUGCCAGUAUUUGAUGAUAGACCGAUUGAUGAUGAUUUCUCUGAUGAGCAGUUUGUAUCAGUGACUAGUAUGGAUGGAUGGAGGCCGUACUUUGAUGGUGCUGCCAAUCAGUUAUGAUUUGGUAUCAGGGUCUUAUUGAUAUCACCUCAAGGGGAUCAUAUUCCCAGAUCAGUCUAAUUAUCAUUCUCUAAUCAUCACCGGCUGACGAAUAAUAUUGUUGAGUAUGAGGCGUGCAUUAUAGGCCUGAAGACAACACUCUAUCUUAGAGUUAGACAGUUGGAGAUCCACGGUGACUCCAACUUAGUCAUUCAUCAGACUCAGGGUAUUUGGAGGACUCGAGAUGAGAAGCUAAAGCCCUACCACGCAUAUUUAGAUUUAUUGGUUGAUAGGUUUUAUGAGCUGAGAUAUAUACAUCAGCCCAGGGUAGAGAAUCAGUUUGCUGACGCUUUAGCCACCUUGGCUUCUAUGAUUGAGAUCCCUACGGGGGUGACUAUGCGACCAUUGCUGAUUGAGACUAGCUCUACACCAACUUACUGUUGUUUGAUUGGAGAUAUUGAUGACCAGGAUGAGUUACCCUAGUAUUAUGAUAUAUAUAUCAGUUUCUGGCAUAUGACGCUUACCUAGAGUCAGCCUCAGCCAAAGAUAGGAAAGCGUUGAGACAGUUGGCCACCAGAUUUGUUAUUUGCGGGAAUGCACUUUAUAGAAGAUCGCCCGGUGGCCUGUUAUUAUUGUGUCUAGAUCGUUCCUCUACAGAUAGAGUGAUGAGAGAGGUCCAUGUUGGAGUCUGUGGCCCACACAUAGGAGGACACAUGCUAGCCCGUAAGAUCAUGAGGACUGGCUACUUUUGGUUGACUAUGGAGACAGAUUGUUGUCGAUUUGUACAGAAGUGUCCAGAGUGUUAGAUGCAUGGAGACUUGAUACACGUGCCACCUUCUGAGUUGCAUGCACUCACAUUUCCUUGGCCAUUUUCAGUAUGGGGUAUUGAUAUUAUUGGGAAGAUCUCGCCCAAGUCCUCUAGUGGUCAUGAGUACAUCUUAGUAGCCAUUGACUAUUUCACCAAGGGGGUGGAAGCUGCUUCUUAUGCUAGGUUGACAGCGGCCAGAGUGGCUAAGUUCAUCAGAUUGCAUAUUAUCUGCCAAUACGGGGUCCCUCAUGAGUUGAUCUCAGACAGAGAGGUGCAUUUCAAAGGCGGGGUGGAUACAUUGGUUCGGGAGUAUGGCAUUCAACAUCAUAGAUCGUCUACAUAUAGGCCAUAGACUAAUGGGGCAGUUGAGGUUGUGAACAAGAAUAUCAAAAGGAUUUUGAGAAAGAUGGUCGAGACUUCUCAAGAUUGGUCAAAGAAGCUUCUUUUUGCAUUAUGGGCUUACCAUACAUCUUUUCGUACUUCUAUUGGGGCUACCCCGUAUUCUUUGGUGUAUGGUAAGGAGGCAGUGCUACCUGUUAAGAUUGAGAUGAGAUCUUUGAGAGUAGUACUAAAGCAGUAGCUAUCCAAGGCCGAGUGGGCCCAACCUCGUUAUGAUCAGCUUAGCCUUUUGGAUGAGAAGAGAUUGAGGGUAGCAAAUCAUGUUCAAGCCUAUCAGAGGAAGAUGACCCGUGCAUUCAGAAAAAUAGUCAAGCCCAGGAAAUUUCAAAAGAGUGACUUAGUCUUGAAAGUCCUCAGGGGAUUGAUCAAUGACCCUAGAGGCAAGUUUAGACCUACCUGGAGUGGGCCAUAUGUUAUUCGAGAUUUGACCUAAGAGGGAGCCGUCUGGUUGACAGACCUGGAUGGAAAUCAGUUCACGGAGCCAGUCAAUGUGGAUCAGCUGAAGAAGUUUUACACAUGAGAUCAUGGUCAGAGGAUGGAUGGCCAUUGUUUGAGUAGUCAUAUUCCCUAUUGCAUACCCUUACAUUGAUAUAUCAUAUUGAUAGCCUGUUGAGCCUCACGCGAUUCAUUGUGGAUUGUUCAUUCACUUAGCCUUGCAUACCUUUUCUCACCUAGGUUGGGGGCCUCCUCUUUUGCGCUUCGCAUUUAUUGCCUGGAUUGGUGAGUAUUGUGAGUCCAUUGUGUCAUUGCUCGUUUGUGCCAUUUUUGGGUCAUUCAUGAUUUCUUUUUUCCUACAUUGUACAUCUUCACUUUAUCUAUUUGAGUUUUGUUUCUAUCCUUUCAUUUCUUUUCAUUUAUGUUUUCCCUUAUGUGAUGAUGAUACGCUCUCGUCCUAGAGCUACCAGUCAAUUUUGUCACACAUUUCGUUUCGCUUGUAGGCUUUGAUCCAAGAUUCUUAGGUUGAGGGGACCAGUUGGGAUUGGAGGUUUGAGGUUCUUUUGGUUGGACUAUGCUAGUGUGGCAUUCGGCCUACUUUGGUUGUUCAACGCAAAAAAUAAUAAUAAUAAUAAUAAUAAAUAAAUAAAUAAAUAAAUUGUGUUUGUUUGGUAUUCGUUGAUAUACUUGGGAUCAUCAAAGGUGGUUUUGGGUUUGAAAGAUUUCUCUUUUCAUUUGAGAGUCGGGUGAGAGCAUUGUAUGAUCCUUCUCACCAUGGAUCUAGGCAACACAUUGGAAGUGAGGUUUGGGUUUCCUUGGAACUAAGUCCACUGGAUCAUUAUCUAUAUCACCAUUCCCACCAUAUAGUGACUUGCUUCGAUUUGGCAUUCUUGGGAUGAGUUGUUCGUCAGCGUCACAUAUUGUUAUAUUUGUAUCCCAGUUGGUUUCUCCAUUUUCUUUUACACCCAUUCAUCAUUCGUCUUAUCCCUUUUUGUCUGCUUCUAUCCUCGUCGAUCGUCGUCUCGCUUCAUGAACGAUGAGUUCUUUGGUGUACAUCACCUAUGGUUUGAUGUUAUUCAUUUGGAUACAGGGUUGAGUCACCUUGCACAUGUGGUUCUACAAUAUUUGACAUUGCGCACACAAGGGUUUGGCAUUAUCUAUUGGGAAAUUUGGGCCUUUGUUUCCCAUCGUUUCAUUCACCUUUUACUCCUAGCCUACAUUACGGUCCAAGUCGUAAGACCACCCUGAGGCCAUGAGAUCUCGUGUCUGCUUCAACGCGAUUCAUUCGAACAGGCUCCGUCUACUGAUUAAGUAUGGGAUGUCGACAGGUCUCCAUUGUUUCGGGGGAUAUCGAGGGUCACAUAUUGCCUUUCCAUUCAGUUUGCUUGCCUCAGGUCCAUGAUUAGAGACAGAUGAUACAGAGAGUUGGAACCGUUGAGGGCACCUUUGCUCGAUGUUUUGACACGUUCAUACUGGGGCAUGCCCCCAUCCUUGCAUGCUGGCUUUGGUUUUUACACCUGUACGCAGCCAUUCCGUUUCACCUAGCAAUGUUAUGGGCAUCAGAGUUUGAGUAAGCCCCACAUUUAGCUCAGUUUCUUUAUACAACAGAGUGAUUUUGGGAGCUGACCCAAGAUCAAAUUCAUGGUAUUCAUUGACCCAGCAGGGAUGUCCACAACGGGGCAUACCCAUUCAUUGUCCUGUUCAUUAGUUCAGAUAAUUAGGUCUUCAGUGAUGUAUUUAAGAAUUUUCAUUGAGAUAUUUGAGUUUCAGAUGUACACACUAGGGCAUACUCCCUAUCAGUUUUUUGAGGAUAUUGUAUGUUAUGGAUUAGAGUAGAGGGUUUUUCCUCAAGGAUGGAUGUUUGUGAUAUUUUCAGCUCUCUGACUUUAAUCAUAUGUUCGGUUAUGGGAUUCUGACAUGAUAUUGAUAUCUUAGAUUAGGGCAUAACUCAUUCCUUUAACAUUUGGUCACAUUUGUGAGUUUGUCCUAUAGGGGCAUACCCCCUUCUUUCCAUCUAUUAGUGGUGAUUGUGAUUGUGAUUUCUCGCUUGUCAUUUGUUGGCAUUUUCUGGUGUUACACCGGGACAUACCCAUUUCUUUUGUCAUAAUGGAGGUGUUUGAUUUAUGGCUUCUUCGAGUCAUUUGUUGGCAGUCCCUGGAUGCCAUACUAGGGCAUACCCUUUUGUCAUCAAGGUUAAUAUCUCAGCGGUGGCAUCCUGAGUCUCGCCAUUUUGUUCUAAGUUUUGUUUUAAGGCAUCCCCCCUCAGUUUAGGCAUCUAAAGCCUUAGUGUUGGCUUCUUUAUCCUCUUUUAGUUCGAUAGUUCUCCAGUACUCGCCUGGAUUCUACCAUUUCUCAGUACUCGCCCGGACCCUUCUCCAGUACUCACCUAGAUUCUACCAUUUCCCAAUACUCGCCCAGACCCUUCUCCGGUACUUGCCUGGAUUCCACCAUUUUCUGGUACUCGCCUAGAUUCCACCCUUUUCUGGUACUCGCCUAGAUUCCACCAUUUUUCCGACAUCUUGCCCGGAUUCUACCAUUUCCCAAUACUCACCCGGACCCUUCUUCGGUACUAGCCCGAAUUCCAUCCUUUCCCGGUACUCGCCCAGACUCUUCUCUAGUACUUGCCCGGAUUCCACUAUUUUUCGGUACUCGCCCGAAUUUUACCCUUUCCUAGUACUUGCCCGAACCCUUCUCUAGUACUCGCCCGGAUUCUACCAUUUCUCGAUACUCGCCCAAACCCUUCUCCGAUACUCGCCUGAAUUCUACCAUUUCCCGGUACUCGCCCGAACCCUUCUUCAGUACUUGCCCGGAUUCUACCAUUUCCCGAUACUCGCUCGGACCCUUCUCUGGUACUCGCCUAGAUUCCACCAUAUUUUGGUACUCGCCCAGACCUUUCUCUAGUACUUGCUCGGAUUCUACCCUUUCCCAGUACUCACCCGAAUUCCACCAUUUUUCGACAUCUCGUCGGAUUCUUCUAUUUCUCGGUACUUGCCCAGACCCUUCUCUGGUACUCGCCUGGAUUCCACCCUUCUCCGGUACUUGCCUGAAUCAGAUCCCUUAUCUCUCGUAUUCUCCGGUAUUCACCCGGAUUGGAUCCCCUAUCUUUUCCGGCAUCGUGAUCAGGUCUCUUUUAGUUUCCUCUAACUUCGUGUCUGAUUUUCUCCUUUUUUUUCUUGGUAUCGUGUCUAGAUAUUUGAUCUUUCUUGACAUCGUGAUCAAGUCUCCUUUUAUCUUCCCUGGCAUCGUGCCCGGAUCCCCUAGUCAUUCGGCGGCUCUCUGGCAUCAUGCCUAAAUCCCCUAUUUUCCAGCAUCAUGUUCAGUUUCCUUUGUUUUCUCCAGCAUCGUGUCUUGAUCUCCUGAUCUUUUCCGGCAUCACAUCCGGUUUCCUUUAGUCUUCCCUAGCAUCGUGUCUAAAUUCCUUCAGCUUUCUCCGGCAUUGUGCCUGGAUCCCAUAGUCCAUUCGGUCAGUAUGACUUAUUUCCCUUAGCCUUCUUCAUUGUUGGGUGGGGACAAAAUUGUUGGUCAUCCGAAUUCUUCACUAAAGUUCAUUUCACUCAUUCAUCGUUUGCACUUCACACUCACGAUUCACUCGUUCAUUCACUCUACUAAAGAGGGGCAUAUUUGUGGACCCUCAAUUUUGUCCUUUGACACUUGCAUUUAUCCUAUGGGUGUCACAUGCACACAUGUUUUCAUGUGGCACCACUAGGGCCUCCUUUUGGGCUUAGUCGGUUUUUGAGCCUUGUUUAGGUUCAUAUGCGAUUCAUUGUGGUGCAAGUAUGGUUCAUUUUAGAGUGCCAUCACGUCCAUUUUCCUAGUUGUUGGCAUCGUGCCAUAGAAAGGAAGUGGGGUCGUCCCAAAAUUUUAGCUGAGUUAGACCUCAUUGGAGUGUGUUGAAUUCAGAGCACUCAGGCUUAUUUUGAUCAUAUCUCCCGCAUCCGAACUCGGAAUCACGCACCGUUUUUUUCAUGGACUCCUUGUUCUUCAAAGAAUAUUUUGUCAAAAUUUCAAAAUUUUUCUCAACCGGCUCGACCAGUUCCUAAAGUUUCAGUUUGGGCAGAAUUCAUUGAAGCAUGUAUGAAUUCAAAGCACGUGGGAUUAUUUCGAUCAUAUCUCCCUCAUCCAACCUCAGAAUUGUGUACCAUUUUUUUCAUGGACUCCUUAUUCUUCAAGGAAAAUUCUAUCAAAAUUUCAAAAAUUUUCUCAACCGGCUUGACCGGUUGGCAUCUGGUUCAUCGAGUCAGCUUGUAUAGAGCACUGAUUUUGGUGAUUUUGGUGAUUUUGGAGCCCAAUUCCUACAUGGAUUUGGCCCAUGAGCUCCAGAUCAGUUUUGGGUUAUAUUUUGGGUCCAUUGUGGGCCUUAUUUUGGAUUCCUUGUAGCCCACCAUGAAUCCAUAUGGAUCAUUGGUGGGGAAGUAAGUUGGAAGCUAAAGAUAGUCAGCUUGCAUGGAAAAUGAGGAGGGGAGUUAAUGGGAGAGUUGAUUCCGAGACUGAUUAGAGCUCUUUCUAGAGCUUGAAUGAGAGAAAAAUGAAGAGGCUUUGAGGGCUAGAGGUCUAGGACUAUAAAAGAGUAAACAAUCAGGAUAGGAAGGGACUUUUUUUUUUUUUUUUUUUUUUAGGGAGAGAAAAUUCUGUAGAUUUUUUUUGGGGGAUUUGAGAAGAGGCUUUUGGGAGGGUUUUUGUUCAUGAGUGGUCUGAGGAUGUGGGGGAAUCUGAAGAUACCCUUGCCAUGCCUUGCAUACAACUAAAGAGGAGAGCAAUCUUGGAAGCCAAGCAGAUCUCUACUUGAGGGGAGUAUAAUCUGGUAAGCGUAAAUUGUGGUUUCAUGCAUGUUAUUCCCUUUCCCAUUGCUUUGUUCUCUCUUUAAUGUGAUGGCCGAAAAUUCCAUGGUUGUUUUGAAUGCUUGGGGAACGGGGUAUGGCUUUCCUUUUCUUAUUCUUGGUUUAUAUUUUAGUCUCGUGUUUUGGUUGAUGUGCCUCACCUUUCAUCGAUUUAGAGUGGCAUGACUCUGUCAUCUAUGAGGAACACUUGGCCUUGUUUUAGUUGGUUCUCACUCAUCCGGGCUUGGAAUUGAGCACUAUUUCUUUUGUUAGAUUUCUUAUUUAUUUAGAAAUUUUUUGACAAAAUUUGGGAAUUUUUCUCAACCGGAUGAACUAGUUGGGAGCCGGUUCAACCGGUUCAGCACUAUAGCUCACUGAUUUUGUUAGCUAUGAGGAACAUUGAACCUUGUUUAAGUUGGUUCUCACUCAUCUGGGCUUGGAAUUGAGCACCGUUGCUUUUGUUAGAUCCCUUAUUCAUUUAGAAUUUUUUUGACAAAAUUUGGGAAUUUUUCUCAAUCGGAUGUACUGGUUGGGAACCAGUUCAACCGGUUCAACACUACAGCUUAUUGACUCUAUUAGCUAUGAGGAACACUUGGCCUUGUUUUAGUUGGUUCUCACUCGUCUAUGCUUGGAAUUGAGCACUAUUGCUUUUUUUUUUUUUUAUUCCUUAUUCAUUUAGAAAAUUUAUGAUAAAAUUUGGGAACUUUUCUCAACCGAAUGAACUAGUUCAACACUACAGCUCACUGACUCUGUCAGCUAUGAGGAACACUUGGCCUUGUUUUAGUGAGUUCUCACUCAUCCGGGCUCGAAAUUGAGCACCGUUGCUUUUGUUUGAUUGCUUAUUCAUUUAGAAAUUUUUCGAAAAAAUUUGGGAAUUUUUAUCAAUGGGUUGGACUAGUUGGGAACCGGUUCAACCUGUUCUGCAAGAAGACUAUGGGCAACCCUCAGUUUUGGCAUUUUUCGAGCCCGUAUCCAUUGGGGAUCAAACCCAUUUGCUAUGGGGAACUUGUGGGCCAUCUUGAAGGUUUGAAUCUGUGUUUGGUUUCAGUUAGUGUGGGCCCAUUUUGAAGUUAUGGGCGGUGUGGUCUAGGUAAGGCUAGUUUGAUUUGUAUGACAUUUGGGGAGUCACUUACCUCACUUCAACCAGCUUUCCUCCUCUUUGGCGAAAACUUUAAUGCUUGAUUCUGAAUACAUGUUUUGUGGUUGACUCACCCUUUAUUGUAGCGCAUGGCUAGGGACCACAGGUACGCGCUUUGAUUUAGGAUUGUUGAAUUCAAAUGCAUGCAUGGUGCUUAAUCUUGAAUGUUAUGUGUUUAUGUGUGCUUGACUAAUCUCUUCUGUAGCACAUGGCUAGGGACCUCAGGUAUGCAUUAUUGGUUUUGGUUGAUGAAUUCAUAUGUAUAUCAAAUACCAAUUAGGAUUGUGUGAUUCAUGUCAUCUAUUUAGCCUAGGGUUUUGUUGGAUCUUUGACCCAUAUGCUCCCAUGUGCCUAUAGACCCUCAAUUUUGUUCCUUUAGCACAUGUCUUUAAAUUAACUUCCGGUGCUCCACAGUAGUUUCUUAGUGGCCCAUUACUACUCGUACAACUUACCUUUUUUUUUAGUCACUUUGGAGAUUUUUGUUGAGAGAUUAUCUGACCCCUUAUUGCGACCCUUGACAGCCCUAGAUUAGAUUUAGGCUUUUCAUUCUUUUUUAGGAUAGCUUUUAAAUACAUUUGGCCCAUUAGGCACCACCCUAGGCCCACUUAGGUCCACCUUGCCCCACUUAGAUUCACUUGAGCCCAUUAAGGUAUACUUGGCCCUUUAAGACAUUUUUAGCAUGACUUGUAUGACUUGCAUGGCCCGCAUAGAAUUGACCAUUUUAUUUCAUUUUAUCUAAUUAUUUUGUUUUACUUUAUUUAUUUAUUUUUUAUUUUACUUUACCCUUGAUAGGUUAUAAGGUUGCUAACUCUUUUGGUUUUAUUCUCUCUAUUUUCGUUUUUAUUGUUUGACAAUAGAAUGGGGGCUACUAUUCGACUCUCACUAAGGCAUGUACGCUCAAAGAAGGUAAGAAAAAUAUUUUUAGAGGGAAAAGGGAAUUAACGUGGCUGCAUACAUAUUGGAAAGAGAAGAUCUUGCAUGAGAAGAGAUGAGCAUUCUGAUUUUCGAAAAAAAAAAGGGAAAUAGAAGAAAGGAAAGUGGAUUUUCUUUAGCAGAUUUGGUUUGAGAGGCUGAUACAAAUAUAAGGAGAAAAGGAAAAGAAGGGGGUAGCACGCAUUGGAGAAAAGGAAAAGGAGGUGGUGGUCUUGAGAGAAAAGAAGAUUGGGGAUUAUCUUUGUGGAAAAGCACACAAGAGUGGGAAAAUGGUGAUUACAGUCAAGAUUGUCCAGGUACGCUUCUGGUUACUCUCGGUGUUCUUAUCUAUGUUCAAUUUCUUUACUUGGUCGUUUCUGAAUAUUCAAUGCAUUGUUGAUUGGUGUGGACAAAAAGGGCCACAAGUUGUUUCGUUGAGAUUGGUUGCUUGCUUGUUUGCCUUGUUUUGUUUUUGAUCCCUUUACAUGUUGUUGAAGCCUGCCGAAAUGUGUGACUUUGUGCCUAUGUGUAAAUCCUAUUCCCCAUUAUCCCCUUCUUCAGUCCAUGGUUUAACAUGUGAAAUGGAGUUGUCAAUGUUGAUUAAUACCUUCUACUCAUCCUUUCUUUACAUUUAUGUUUUCAUCUAUGUUACAUCUUUCCUUUCUCGUUCCAAUGUCCGAGUCUUGGUGCACUUUGGGGCGUGUUUCAAGAGGACGACAAAAGUGCUGGCAUGAGGGAAGAGGAGUGCGACAAUCUGUCACAAUUCUCAAAAUCCAACCUCCUUCGCAUUCAACGCUUUGAUAAGAGCCCGUUCCAAAAGUGCAGCCCUUCAUCGAAGUUUUCUCUUCUAUAACAGAAUUCUUCUUUCUACUGGCUAUUUGACCUCUAAGAAUUACACUUUCACGUUCUUGGUUUGUAUCUCUGCUCAUCUACUGGCGCAUGGGACUGGUUCGUCUAUACAUGGCGUCGUUGUGAAACAUGGGUUUGAGCAUAAGCCAUGUGUUCAAAAGGGCUUGAUUUACAUGUGCGCGGGAUUGGAUGGCUUGGUCGCUUGCCAUUGGGUGUCUUCAUCAAUUUGUGAGCCAGAUUUGGUGUAUUAGAUUGUAAUGGUCAGUGCAUGUGCCAAGAUGGGAGAUUUUUACCUUUGCUCGGAAGUUGUUUGAUAAAAUGCCCCACAAGAACCUUAUUGCAUGGAAUGCAGUGAUUUUGGGAUAUGUGCAAUGUGGGCAACCAUAUAGCGGGAAUCACCAUUGGAAAGAAGAGUAUCGACCACUUAAAAGAGAGAAGCACCAGAAUUUCAGAGAGAUGAUGAAUGAACACGCAUUCAUGGGAGAAUGACGGCUGCCAAUGCGUACAUUACUAUGGGGACCGGUGAAUCAUUAGUUUUCUGGAAGACCUUUGGAGGGGGGAACACAACUAACCGGGACGACCAAGCAAUAUUCAUGGAGACGAGGUCCUGCCUGUGGUGGUAAGAAGUUAAAUUCUGCAUGUUUAGAGCACUGCAAAAAUACUUGACCUCAAGUAUCAGUGAGCUUUGAGUGUUCAGUUCUUUUACCAUCUAGAGCUUUCACUACCAGUUCGGUCAAACAGAACCUCCAAUGGGUUUGCAGAUUCAUGUGGGUCUGAUGAGAAGAGUGUGAUCCAGACUUGGACUUCUCGGACUUUUCAAGGUGAACCCACGGUUGUGGUUACUAGUGGAAACUCUGUUCUCUGACAACAAGGGCAAACUGAGAUCUUCAAAUUUUGAAAAUGGAUAUACACACUUCAGAAUCUAUUUGUCUUCUUUGCUGAGUCUGAAGCAAAGCAUGUUUUUAAAGAUUAUCUUCAUUCCCUUGUUACAAAAAAUCAUGAUCUAUCCUAUUUGUAACCUAUCCAAGUUCUUUACUGAAGAAGAUUUCUGUUGCGGUUCAGGUUGAGGCACUUCAUUAUUUUUUUGUUCUUUUGUUCACGGUCAGAACAAUGCUUACAUUUUCAACUCCUAAACAAAUUUCCCUCUAUUUUUGUUCCACUGUCCAGUGAUAACCAGGAUGCGCAGCUACCUGCUAUGGAAUGCAUUGAACGGCUAUAUACACUGUUCUCGUGUUGUUUUUCUUUCUAGCAGAAAAAGUGUGAAAUGGCAAGGAACAGAGAAGUUUAGAGUCAUUUUCUUGAAGAGCCUUUCAGCUUAGUCCUUCAACAAAAGAGGCUGAUAUUGUCAAACAGAAAUGUUUUCCCACCUCUUUUUACAUCUUUGCUCGGCUCCUCCUGUCAUAGCCUUUUAGUGCCACAGAAUAUUGGACAGAGGUCUGACCAAUCUACAAGGAAAGACAUAUUACAUUUCAUCUCGGACUUUGCUUUAAAGCUCUCUUCAUAUGCAAAGCUGAAGAUUUUAUCUCUGCUUAAAGGAGUUGGUGGUGAAGUUAUGUAUAUUAAAGAUGUGAAGUUAUUUAUGUCAUAACUUUUAAGAAGACAGUCAAUAUCAUUUUGGGCUGAAUGAACCAUAUCAAAAGUUAUCAAGGAUUGAAGUAGAAAUCCUAUGCCUUCUACUGGAGGGCUGUGCUGUUCAUGCUUCAUCAGUUGGUGGAUAUGGUUUUGAAGAUCAUUUAUUGAAGGCUUUGCAAUUGCCGCUGGAUGAUAUGUCUCUAGAAGACCCUGCUCUUGUACAUCCUUGUAUCACUGUUUUGAGGAAGCUCAACUCUCCUCUGUAUAGUGGUUUGAAGAUUGAGAAAAAGGAGCUGUUGUGUCGAGAUCUUGUAUUUCUGUUCCGGAAUGCUAAUUGCUAUAUACAAAAUGGCAUUGGGAAGGCAUUGUUGUUCAUCUAGAUUACAUGUUCCACUCUAGUCCAGUUGCUUGAUUCUAUUUUUGGACAAGAGGGUUUUAUGAUUGGUUCAGUAUGUGAAAAAAAAAAAAAAAAAAGGUGGUGGCCAUCAAUAAAUUCAGAUGCAGUUGAUAUCAGUAAUGAGUCAUUUGUCCAACCUUCAUCUUUUAUGUAUCUGUUCUGACUUAGAGAAUAUUGAAAAGAGAUCAGAGACUAAAACUGUACUCAAGCUACUGCCAUGGCCUAAUUUUGCCUUGGAAUGCCUAUUGAUUUACACAAUACUAUGGCCUUCAAGGGGCUUUACUCAACGUUUACUUUGUACACCCUCUGCUCCUCCCUUAGCGAUUGCUAGAAAAAAGCUUUAAUUGAAUUUAGCAUUGAUUCGGGCUGCUUUCCUCUGACUCCUAGAGUUUAGAAGUUGUAGCAAGAAUGUCGAUGAUGAAUCUGAUGCAUAUAUAAUUGUUUCAAUUGCAAAUGCUACUCUUGCUCUUUCAAUUGGUGACACAGCUGUUAAACUACUCUUGUGCUUUCAAUUGGUGACACAGCUAGUAAGGAUAACAUAUCGGUUUAUCAACGCGUAGAAGAGAAUCUGAAUUUUGGCAUCACAAAUAGAGUAGCUCAUUUGGAUAAAUCUGGCUCCAAGAGUGGCUAUGUGUAGAAAUUUAGGCUUAUGAGACUUGCUUGAACUUCUGUAUGGUAGGAAGAGACAAGAACAGAACUUGCUGGAGAGUGUAAAUCUGGCUCCAAGAGUGGCUAUGUGCAGAAAUUUAGGCUUAUGAGACUUGCUUGAACUUCUGUAUGGUAGGAAGAGACAAGAACAGAACCUGCUGGAGAGUGUCUAGGUUAAUAGACUAGAGCCCUUUGAUUUGAACAUACUUGAAAACUAUACAAUAUUCUUCAAAAUCAAAUGUUGUGACCUGUUAAAGCGAAUGAAUGAAAGAAACAAGUCAACGGGUGGAUUCAAAUUUAAGGCCUUGUGUAUUUUAUAAUGGUGACAGAGUUGCACAGAUUUAAGUUAAAGGAUUGGGAUUAAAGGAACCUCCCCCUCAUAACUUCAACCAGUUUUCAAUGCUCUGCAAUUUGGGGUUUCAGAGGAACUAUUUCAAUGGCAAAUUGCCUUCUUCUCGCAGAUUGUCUGAAUUGUAAUUCACCUUCUUGGAUUAUAACAAAGUCGACACCAUCUCCGCUGAUUUCUCUGAAGGCCUUGCAACUAUUCGGAUCCUCACUCUAAAUGACAAUCCGUUCAAUUCAACUACUAGUUUAUAUUAUUUGAAGAGAUAAUUAGAAAGCUAUCAGUCACCAAAACAAAAACGUCACAAUGGGAUCUCACUGGCUAGAACCUUGUUGACGGUUAGCUCAGUUUCUCUUGCGAUGGCUCCAGCAGGGACAGCACAGACUGUUGCUAAAGAACUUCUUGAUUCAAUUUUGGACAUUGUUGUUCAGACAUUUGAAAAACCAUGUUUUGUUAGAGCCUUUUAGAAUCAAAAGCCACCCAAGUUAAUAUGAACACACCCAAGUCAAUGACUAUAGAUGCAAACUGGAACCAUGAUCCUGAAGCAUCUCGAGUAAGGAAAAAGCUCCUAAUGGUGGACUUAAGUUACUGAAACAAACAACUGGCCCAAGCUCUGCAAAGGGCGAACCUUUCAAGGGCCUGGCUUCAGGAAAGCCACCUAUGCGUAUGCAUCAUGAUGCAUUAGGUUUUAAAGGAAGUUCACAGGUUUCUGCAUCUGCUUGAAGCCAUUCUCCUUCUAGUGCAAGUAUUACAAAAGAUAAUGAGAAGCCAGUCAAGUUGGAAAGCAUGACUAACUCCAAACCAGAUGGUAAUCAAUCAAGGUCACCAGGAUUGGUAGGCAGAAUGGAUGUUGAGGGGGAGGAGGGCAAUAAUUUAAUGUCUGAAGAGGCAAAGGUUGCCUUUGCCGCGGCUGAAGCAGCCCGUGCUGCUGCUCUUGCAGCUGCUGAGGCUUGUGCAUCUGAAGCCAAGAGCAACACACCACUGCAGCUUCCUAAGAUACCCUCAUUUCACAAAUUUGCUAGAAGAUAGCAAUAUGCACAAAUGGAUGAGAUAGUUGAAUCCAAGAAAAAAAGUUGGUGUUCCUAAAAGAACACACCAUUAGAGGGCCUUUACGAGCCAUUCGGGAAUUUCUGUACGUAAUGCGAAGUAGGAGGUUACUAAAAGGAUCUAACUCAAGAAUAAGAAGAGAGAUGAGGAGAAAUGGUGGCUAAAGAGGCAGUCCAAAUCAGUAAUAGACCAAAAAGUGGGAUACUCCUGAUGGCGUUUACCUUAGAGGUGCCGAACUGAGUUCUGCAACAUUUUAUUCUGUCACAGUCAAUAAGGGACAGCCCAUAAUUCAUGAAGUUGUUCUCAAUAGAUCAGUCUUAAAACAUUCCUCUCAUUUAAUUUCUAACUCUUCCAAUAACUGUCAUAAAGACAAAAUUCUCAAGACCAUUAGAAGAUCAGAUUGCUAAUGGAGUUGUACCGAGUUUUUCAGAAUAAGGAACUUAGUUAGAAGUUCAUGACACUUGUCAGGGAUUGAAGUUCUAUUCAAACUACUAUCGCGACUUAAUUUUUUCCCGAUUUUCCGAAAUAAUGCCUAUUGCUCUACAUAAUAUCUCGGUUUACAAAAGGCUUUACUCAACAUCAUCCAUCAUUAGUACUCCAUAAAACCGGUCAACAAUUCUACAAGUCUCCAAGGCUUCCUUGUUCUCAAUACUAAUGGUGGUGUUGCUAGCUCUGGUUUUUGGUCUUUUUUUUUAGCAUCUCUCUACUAAGUAUUCUAAGAAAGGUGGAAAUUUCAUAUAGGCCAUGUCCCCACAGGUUUCCCUGGGAUUAAAAAUUCAUGAACAAGGACUUUCUGGAACAUCUAAAUUUUCCUAGUCAUAUUCCUAAAGAUUCUAAUGAAAUGGAAAAUGGGAUUUUUCCCAGAUCAGUUGGUAUCUAUAUCCGAAACGAGACUGCUCGAUCAAGUCAGAACAUGCUUGAACUUCUUUGUAAAGCGGAUCAACUAAGGGAUCAAAGUGCAGCAUGCUCAAUUCAGUUCUCAAAGAGGAGUCCAUUAUCUAAAAUAUCAGAAUCAGAAAUUUUCAUGGUUCUAUAGGUCACCUUCAGCGAAAUCAGUCCUUUGCUUCUUAAAUCAGUUAAUUCGCUCAACUCACAUACCUCUCCUGAGAUAGAAGAUAAGAGUCAUGCAUGGCUGACAUCCGCUCUUCCUGUUCGGUCUUUACCUCAUUCCCAUGAAGCGUUCAAAGAGAGUCGAGGUAUAAUGAAUUCUUGGGGAAAAGAGCAUUCGAGACUGUAUGCAAAGCAUUUGAUGAAGUAGAUGGAAUAGAACUCGCAUGGGGUCAAAUGGAAAUUAAGGAUUUAUUACAGUCCCUUCAAUAGCUGCAAAGAUUAUAUUCAGAAGUUCAUCUACUGAUGUCAUUGAAACAUGAUAACAUCAUCAAGUUCUAUAACCCUUGGGUUGAUGAUAUGAAUAGGACUAUUAACUUGAUUACACAGUUAUUCACUUCCGGGAGUUUGAGACAAUAUCGGAUGAAGUAUCAGAAUGUCGACUUCAAAGUUCCCAACUAGUUUCGAGUCCCACGGAUGCCCAAGCUGUCUUUGAAACUCUGACAAGGAGUAGCUAUUCAAACCAUCUCCAACAGUACACCCAGUGCUGAUAGUUUAUGGUGGAUAACAGAGGUCAUUACAAAAAAAAUGAGGAGGGAAGGCUGCUGUUACUUUUUGAAGGUACUGACAAUGUCAUAUUUGAGAGGCUUGCUCAAGAUGGAAGGAGGCUGUUUUGGGGAAGGAAAAUCAGGUCCAUGUGACUGCUCACUUCUAGAUACAAUUUCAUAUUGAAGAUUUGUAACUAAUGACUUCUAAGCCCGAAAAGAGAAGUAAAAUCUGCAGCCAAAGAAUGAGUUUGAAACUAAAGAUAGUAUGAUUAGGAAUGAACGCAUUAAAGACUUCCACUCUGGUUUUCUCGCCACUGAGAUUUACCACUCAUCAGGAAAAUCCGACUAAAGUCUGUCCAACAGAAGUUGACUUAAAAAAAACUUGAAUCACCAUAUUUAUCUCCUCUGUUAUGGCCCCGAGAGGUCUUUAUCUGACACCGAAACGACCUUCUGAAUUUGUAUUUAAGUCCUUUUGUUGAGAGAGAAGUGAUUUCUUUUGGAUCGAUCGCAUACUUAAAAAGUUACUGUUUCAGCUAAAAAUGCUAAUUCCUGAACUGCCAAGCGUGAAGCUUGAAACCUACUGGUUUACAAGAAGCUGGAAGCGCUUAUCUAACAAUUUUUGGGAAGAGGAAGCACUUAUAAGAAUCUGAACUCCUCUUGGAGGCGCUUCUCAAGACAAGAAGUUGCCCCAUUUCUAGCUAUAUUCAUUAGAAGAAAUCAUUUUGAUGAAUGUGGAAUUAUUUAUUGUCUUUCAAGACUGGACUGUGAAGAUGUUACUGAAAGGUUACAGGAAUGUGGACACAAAGCAACAUUUUUAUCACGGUUCCAUGGAUCCCGCUCAGCGUGCCUUCAUUCAGAAGCAAUUAAGUAAAAAAGAGAUUAAUAAAAUUUGUGCAACUGUGGCUUUCGGAAUGGGUAUCAACAAACCAGAUGUCCACUUUUGUGUGCUGUAUUAACUAAAAUACAGCACACAAGAUGAACACAAGAUGUUACAAUGAUUAUAUCCAAGUGAGGCACAUGAUCAAUCAAGGAGCAGUAGAGAAAAGUCUAUUGGCAUAUGGACAAAAAUCAUUCAAAUAUGGUGAGUUCAGGAAAAAUAUUGGAAACCAAUACUAAAAAUCUUUUGCACAAGGAAAGUUAUUGUGAAAAUGAUGUUGAUUGUUUGAGUCCUCUACAACUCAUACAUUUUGGAGAAAAUUUUGAUUCAGCCCAUUGCAAAAAGACAUGUGACAAUUGUUUGAAGAUUAAAAGCCUUGUUGAGAAUAAUGUUACCGAGAUCGCAAAAUAGCUGGUCAAGUUUGUGAAGUUAACACAAGAGCAAUUCUCCUCAUCUCAUAUCCUAGAGGUGUAUAGGGGUUCCUUAAGCCAAUAUGUUAAAGAAACACAAACAUGAAACUUUGAGUUUGCAUGUAGCUGGGAAGCAUUUAGCCAAGGGUAAAGUGUUGAUGGCAAAAUUCCCCUUCUACAGUAUCAAUUGCCAGCAACGGAAUCUCGAUCAACGCAUUCCAGUGAUUCUCCCUUCCUCCUGCAAAAAGAUGUCCGAACGGGUGGUCCGGACACACCCUCCGAUGAUUAAGUCAGCGUUAUGGAAGUUAUAAGGAAACAACUUUUGGCCUGUUUUUGGGAGUGAUGCUCCGUGAUCGUCUUCAAGGAUACUUACCCCCUUUUUGGAGUUUCUUUAGAGCUUAUAUACGAGUCAGAGAGUAUGGCCUUACUGAGCUAAUGGGUCCCAUAGUCAUGAUUGCGACUCAAAGGGGGGCGAGGCAAUCAUGACUCUUCUGGUCCGAGGUGAUGGCUGUCAGAAGAGUCUUCAGACGGCAGUUGUCACCUCAAAUUAUGAUGAUUGGUACCGGGAAUGCGUCAGGCAAUCUGAGAAGAUUUGGAAGUGUCUAGUCAAGCGUAUCUUGUAUUGAAGAGGAAUGAUAGUUCAAGAGACUUGGUCAGCAGUGUUGACGGAGUUGCCUUCCUGAUUAUGGGCUGAAAUGGAAUAGGGAAAUCAUGAGGGUCAUACGAGUUGAUGCGUCCGGGGAAUUCGAAUCGUCGGCUCCGGAUGUGCUCCGGGUAAGCGCUGCCAACGGAUCCGGGCGUGACUGACCGGGGAAGUUGAAUCGCGCUGCUUUUCAUCCGGCGACAAACCACCGGUUGUGAAAUAUCCAAAGAAGGUGGAUCGUCAGCCGUGCAGAAUCCGCCCGGGUGGAAUAGCGAUGCUAAGUGUCGCAAGGGGGGUUGUCUGCGUGGCCAAGGGAGAGGGGGCCACGUGGCACAUUUUAGGGAGGAUCCCACAAUGCCCCCUUUUAUACCGCAUGUCUGGCCCGGUCAAAAAAGGUGGGAUAAAAAUGUCAUCUUUACAAAAAUUUUCUUUCAUAUGGAAACCAAUGGCACGUGGCACUUGCUUGUUGUGGGAGCUAAUGGGGCGUGCCGACUUCGAAAACUCUGCCAGAUGGUGUGUCGUUUCGGAACUUGGAGCGAUUAGGUUUCCUAUCGUUUGGGGAAUUUUGGGGGUUUUGUUCCUAUAAAUAGGGGCCCAGGGCCCUCUGUUGACACUUUUCAGUUUGCUCCCAGCCUCCCAAGUGUUUCCAAAAAGCAUUUCAGAAAAAGAGCGAAAACGCGGCAACUGGUCUUCGACUUUUCCCAGAAACUUUCGAAAGGUUUGUUGUUUCGCUCUUUCUUCCUCUUUCAUCUUGUUGUUUGUGAUGUUGUUUGUUUACCAUUGAGGGGGUGGAUUGGGUUGGUAGAAGUGAGCGCUAUAGGGUGUUUUUGUCAGAGUCAAAGCCUCGAAGAGGCUGUUUUACAUGGGUUGGGUCGCGUUGCGGACUAGCAAGGUGCUCCUGGUGUAUUUUAGGGGUUUUCAAAGGUUUCUUUGAAUGUGAGGUUGCUGAGUGGGUGGUUUGCUCUUGGGUGAAAACGCGCUUUGACUGGUGCCUUUUUGUAACGCAGGUUUUGUGUAAUCGAAGAUGUCUUCAAAGAAGGGAAAUGUGGCGACUGGUGCGUCGGGGCAAGGUGGUUCAGGUGGGUAAGCCAAACAUACUGAGCUUUUAACUGAGCAGGAGUUCCAGGAUUGCUUUGGUAUUCUAAAUGGAGUGUCCGUUCAGCUGCUGGAGGGUAAUGAUGUGUCUACUGUAAAGUCGGGAGACAACUCCAUUUGCUUCACCAAAGAACAAUUCAACGCGGGACUUCGUCUUCCGCUCCCUUCACUUUUUAAGCAAUUCCUCCACUAUACCAAGAUUCCUCCAGCUUUGAUCCAUCCCAACGUUGUCCGGGUACCGAUGGGCUGCAGCAUUCUGGACAUGCUGUUUAUCUUGGGCCUGUCUUUGCUGGAGGUCCUAUUCGUCUACUCCAUCAAGAAGGCCAAAAACGAUAGCUUCAGCCUGGCCGCCAGUAUUCCAUCGCUUUAGUUGGUGACCGGCCUUCCUGACUCGACUAAGGAGGUUGCCAAAGGACAUGUGCUGGUCAAGGGCCCAUGGGCAGGCUUGAUGGUGCAUCUGGAUAAGCAGUUUGUCCCCAACCAGUCAUUGAAGGACCCAGGUAUGAAUAGAUUGUUCCUUAUCCUCCUGCGGUUGCGAGUUAGGUUAGCAUCGUCAGGUGGCUGACAUGCUUGGUUCUCUUGGGUGCAGGCACGGAUAAAAGGGGAAAGUUAGUAGAAUGGGUGGAAAAAGCUUCGUUCGACCGGUUGAACAAGCUUUUUGAGAUAGGGACAGGUGAGAGGAGCUGUCAGACACUUCUCUUCAUGCAGAAUCUCCUCUUGGUUAGCCAAGUGUCCCAGCUGUACGUACCCAAACAUAAUCCCGAGGCGGCUACCCAAGAAGGUGGUGGCCGAAGAACACUUUGUUCUCAAGGAUCUUCUGUUCUAUUUGGAGGCGUGCGAGGCAGACGUCCAGGCACGCCAAGAGCGCCUCAACCAACGGGAGGAAAAGAGGUAAGAGGGAACUUUGCGGAGGGCACCUGGUGAUAAACGCCCGACGCCAUUUCCUCCGGCCCGCACCCCAGUAGACAAGAAGAAGAAGGUUCCCAUAAAGGCAAUAGUAAUAAGAUCCCCAGUUCCCUCCUCCUCUUCCGCUUCUUCAAGCGAGUUAGGCCUUCCUGAACGUAUUCCCGGACAAUACGGAUCGGGGCCUUCCAUGCCUGUGUUUGAACGGUUAGCUCUUCCGGCUGAGGAAGAAGCUUCAGUGGAUCAGCCCGACUCCCCACACCCGGACGCGGAUGGAAUGGGAUUGGUGGUGGCAGUGAACGAGCCGGUGGGUGAAGUAGUUGGGGCUUCUUGUCCUAACCCGAAGCCCCUUUCGGCCACUCCAAUGGAGGAAGCAAGGGUUGAGAGGCAAGAUUUGCCCCCUUAUGAGCCGAGUGCCCUUGCACUUGUACCGGUGAAGGGGCCGACCACGGGGAGGUCACGUCUGCCCCGUGAUUUAACGACCGGCAUCAGCGGGAGGCUUCAGGAUCGCCUCUACGAGACCAUUGAAGUCAACUGUUCAUCCGCCCGGGAAGAUCAUCCGAAGGGGUACCAGACGGAGAUAGCUGGGGAGGAUCCAUCUGAUCUAGUGUUCAUCCCGGAUGAGGACUCGCCAGGAGAUGUUCCGUCGAUUGUGAAUGAAGAGGGUCCGGCUCCGGGGGAGGAGCCACACAAUGAUGACCCGACUAAGGGGGAUCCAUCCGAUGAUGUGGCCUGUGUCUCUGUUAGCCCUUUCAGUUAUGCAGAGUUAGGGGAAAUGCUGAAUCAUAUUUUUUCCGGCUCAGAUGUCGAUUUGCUUUCAGUGAAGAUGUUUGAAACGGCGGAAAUGGUAUAGCUUAGUCUCCUUGAUUUUUCUCGUCAUAUUGGUAUAUUUUUCGCGUGGUAGAUGCUUUGAAUUUGUUGUUGUGGGUUUUUCUACAGCUGGUGAGUGGCAUUCGCGGCAUGGUUCAACAACGUGAGCUUUUUUCAAACUUGUUGCGAAUGGCUAAUCAUGUGAAGGCCUUUGUUUCCCAGCGCAUGGGUGGUGAGGAGUUGCACUUGAGAUUGGAGCAGGCCAAAAUAAACUCAACCGCCGCCCGGAGAGCUUUUGAAGAGAAUGCUGAAGCUUUAAAGAGGUCCCAAGAGGACAAUGAGGCUCUCCGGAUCAAGUUAGAAGAGGCUAAGAGCUGGGAGGAAGCUAUAGAAACACGACUGAAUGAGGCUGAGGAUGGGCUGGCCUAGCUGAGGGGGGAAGUGAGACAGCUCCGGACUGAGGCGUCAAUCGAGAGGAAGCAAAAGGAGAGCUUGCAGUUGCACCUAAUAGCAUAAAAAGAAGAGUUGGAGGCUGAGUUUGCCAUGCAAAGGGAGGAACUCGAAACGGAAUACCAGAAGCAGGUGGACGAGAUGUAUUUUUUCGGCUACCGUUGUUGUAUGAAGAAGAACGGCAUCAAACGAGAUGUUCCUUCGAUUCCUCCGGGUGAAGAGGAAAAGUUACACCGCAAGCCUUCCCAAUGAAAGCUCUCAUUUUGUAAUUCUCACUGCUAUUUCUCUCUGUAUAGAUAGUCCGAAGAACAUCUUUUGUUUAUAAUUCACAGUUAUUAAUAAAACACACUUCUUUUCAUGGUUCUUCCAUCUUUGCUUUCAUUGUUAGUAUUGCUUUAGAUUGGCUACAUUCCAAGGACGGAGUAGGGGGGUUCCAUUUAAAGUUUGUAAAUGGUAUGAUCCAUUUUUGUUGACUUUAAACACUACAUAAGGUCCUUCCCAAUUGGCCUGAAGUUUUCCAGCUCUUUUCUCAGCCGUGUUUUCAAAGACUUUUCUAAGCACCAAUGACCCUUCCUUGAAAACCCGAGGUCGCACCUUCCUGUUGUAAUAUGCAACCACCUUCUGUUGAUAUGUGGCCAUCCGGACGAAUGUUGCUUCUCUAGUCUCAUCCGCCCAAUCCAAGUGCCUUGCAAGCUCGUCGUCCUCAUUUCUUUGUCCUUGGAUGGCGGUCCGGGCUGUGGGCAUACCAACUUCGGUGGGGAUUACGGCAUCUGUUCCGUGUGUAAGAGCAAAUGGAGUAUUCUCUGUCGGCCUUCCGGGUGUGGUCUGAUAGGCCCAUAAGACGUCGAGUAGCUUUUCUACCCACUUUCCUUUGGCUUUUUCCAAUCGCUUCUUUAACACACUUAGUAAGGUCUUAUUGGUAGCUUCCGCUUGACCGUUGCCUUGAGGGUACCGCGGUGUGGAAUACAGGUUCUUGAUGUGAAGCUCCGUGCAAAAAGCUUUAAAGGCCAAGCUAUCAAAUUGAGGCUCAUUGACAACUAUGAUUGCCUAAGGGAUUCUAAAUCGGCACACUAUAUUUUUCGAAACGAACCUCUUGAUGUCCUUAUCCUUGAUGCUCGCGUAGGCCUCAGCUUCGACCCACUUGCUGAAGUAAUUAGUGGCAAUGAGUAAGAACUUCUUUUGAGCGGCUGCGAUGGGUAAGAGCCCCACGAUAUCUAUCCCCCAUUGUGCGAAAGGCCAGGGGCUUGUCACUGAGUUUAAUGUCUCAGCGGGCAUAUGUGGAAUUGGUGCAUGCUUUUGGCAUUUAUCGCAUUUCCUGGCAUAAAUCUCUGCGUCCUGCCUCAUGGUAGGCUAGUAAUAUCCUUGCAAAUGUGCCCGAUGCACCAGGGUUCGGCCCCCCGAGUGGUUGCUGUAAACACCUUCAUGAAGUUCAAAUAGAACAUAUUGGAUUUCCGGCUGGGUCAAGCAUUUGAGAUACAGACCCCCAAAGGAUCGCCUAUAGAGAUCAUCCCCGAUUAGGGUAAAGCGGGAUGCUUGCACUCGAACUUUGUGGGCGCGCUUGAGAUCUUCAGGCAGUGCCCUCGUUUGUAAAUAGACUCUGAUGUCAACCAUCCAAUCGUAUCCCUUUGGGUCUACCUUGCAAACGUUUGAUUCAGCGAUGGUAGGAGUGGUUUGAACGUAUAUGGGCAGCAUUGUUGACUCUUUCACGGGAAAUGAUGCAGUUAUUCCUGCCAAUGCGUCGACUUGCACAUUUUCUCUUCUAGGGACUUUUUCAAUGACCCAUUCUCCCAGCCGACUGAGUGAUUCCUACACUUUCAGUAAGUAUUUGUCCAUGCGUUCGUCCUUGGCUUUGUACUAUUUUCGUAUUUGCCCCACGAUGAGCUGGGAGUUGCUAUGGAUUUUGACUCUCGGGCGUUGAGGGUGAUUGCAAGGUCUAAUCUGGAUAGGAUGGCUUCAUAUUCAGCUUCAUUGUUUGAUGCAGGAAAUCCCAAACGGAUGGAUUACUCUAACUUCUCUCCGGUUGGUGUUUUGAGGAGGAGUCAGACGCCUGAUCCGGACGAGCGAGAGGCUUAAUCAACAUGCAGAAACCACCAGUCGUCCUGAGUUGAUUCUUUGUCCGGGGCAUGCGAUUCAGGUAACUCUGCUAUAAAAUCUGCCAUGACCUGUCCAUUUAGGGAGAGUCUGGGUUGAUAAUCUAUCCCAUAUUCACUUAGCUCUAUCGCCCAUUGCAACAUUCUUCCCGUUAUGUCUGGUUUAUGCAGAAUGUUUCUAAGGGGUUGAUUGGUGAGUACUGUUAUGGGGUGAGCUUGGAAAUAGAGACGCAGUUUCUGAGUGGCCGUUCGCAAUGCUAGGGCAAUUAGUUCCAUCUUCGAAUACCUUGUCUCUGCAUCAACAAGCGCUUUGCUAAUGAAAUACAUGGGUCUCUGCUCUUGGGGCGAUAAGGAAAGGAUCAAGACAGCACUAACAACCCAAUCGGUAACCGCCAGAUACAAAUAUAACCUUUCUCUAGGUUGCAGACUGCUUAGAAUGGGAGGUUGAGAAAGAUAUCGCUUGAUUUCUUCAAAAGCGCUCUGGCAACUUGGUUGUUAUCCGGACUUAUUGACACCUCUGAGUGCCAAGAAGAAAGGCUUCAUUUUGUCUGUGAAUCGAGCUAUGAACCGUCCGAGGGCGACGAGUUUGCCAGUGAGGCACUACAACUCCUUCUUGUUUGUUGGUGGAAGCGUGUUUGCGACCGCUUUCACCUGGUCUGGAUUGAUUUCGAUUCCUCUUUGUGUAACCAUGAACCCCAGGAACUUCCCAGUGCUUACACCAAAUGCGCAUUUGGUUGGGUUAAGUUUCAUGCCAUAAUUUUUCAAUAAAUGAAAAACUUCCUGCAAAUGUUGGGUGUGUUCGCUUCGGGUUUUGCUUUUGACCACCACGUCAUCAAUGUACACCUCCACAACAUCUCCAAUCAGCGGCUUGAAAAUCUUGGUCAUUAACCUUUGAUAUGUGGCCCUAUCGUUCUUGAGUCCGAAUGGCAUGACUUUGUAACAAUAGAGUCCAUGAGGGGUUAUGAAGGCGAUUUUUUCUUCGUUCCCUGGUGCCAUGGGAAUUUGGUGGUACCCGGAGAAAGCGUCCAAAAAGGAUAGCAUUUCAUGUCCGGAGGUAGCAUUUCAUGUCCGGAGGUAGCAUCUAUUAUCUGGUCUAUCCUUGGUAGUGGAAAACUGUCUUUGGGGCACGCGUCAUUGAGAUUGGUAUAAUCUACACACACCCGCCAUUUUCCUCCCUUCUUGGGGACCACCACUACAUUUGCUAACCACUCCGGGUACUCCACCUCUCUUAUAAACCCGACUGCCAAUAAUUUUUCCAUUUCUUCUUGAAUGACCUUCUGCCUGUUCGGAUGGAAUCGUCGAAUUCUUUGUCGAACGGGCUUCGAGGUGGCUAAUACAUUGAGCCGGUGAGAGGCGACGCUCGGAGGUAUCCUGGACAUGUUCGAGUGGGUCCAAGCAAAGACAUCAUGAUUUUGUUGGAACACCUUUUGAAGUUCGAAUUUUUCGGCUGGCGGUAGGAAGGUACUGACGUACAUGAAGCCUUCAUCCCCUUCUGAUGUCUGAAUGGCUUCCGACGGGUCUGCUGUCGGGGGAUCUUUGUCUGCCGGGUGCUGUAAUUGCUAUUGGUCAGCAGAGUUUGCUUUUUUGGGGAAGUGUUCGCGGUCAGUGCUGGGUCCGACUUCGUGAGUGAUUUGAUAACAUUGCCGGGUAGCGAGCUGGCUUCCAUAAAGAUUAAUCUGCCCAUCUUGGGUGAUGAAGCUAACCAUCUAGUGGUAUGUGGAUGGAAUGACCUUCAUCUCGUGCAACCAUGUGCGUCCCAAAAUGGCAUUAAAAGGGGAUAAAUUCUCAACCACAGAAAAUAGAACAUUUAAAAUGACAGGUCCGGCUUGAACCAGCAAUGUUACGUCCUCAAGCGAGUUUGUGGAAGAACCAUUGAAUCCGGAUAGGAUUCUUCCGAGAUUCUCCAGGCUGGCGGGUAUGAAACCCAUUUGUUUGAUGACCGACACUUGCAAAAGAUCCGCGGAGCUACCUGGAUCGACUAGGAUUCUUUUCACGUCGAAGUCCUCAACCCCUAAUAUUAGGAUGAGUGCAUCUUGAUGUGGCUGCAGUACUCAAGCGGGAUCCAUGGCGGGAAAGACAAUGGUUCCAUCUAUGGGGUGGAUGCUUUUGUUGGCUAAUCCCGGCCGAAUGGAACUUAUGUAUUCUCGAACAGUCGCUGCCUGCAGCAGUCUUUGUCUUUUUCUUUUAGAACUGUACUCAUCGUCCAAGGGCCUCUCGUGUAUGUAGUUGAUCACGACCCUAAUGGGAGCUGCUGGGGCGCGUGAGCCCUGACCAUGGGAAGAUUCUUCACCUUUAGGGGUUGUGCGGAUGUAUUGCUUCAAGUGUCCCGCCUUUAGAAGAUCCUCCACCAUAUAAUGGAGACUUCGACACGUUUCUGUGGUGUGCCCAUGAUCUUUGUGGUAUGCACAUUUUUUACUGCAAUCCCUUUCUGAGGGGUUUGAUCUUACUGGUCUCUGCCAUCUAAAGCUGGGCAAAUCUCGGAUGAUAGGAAGCAAUUUUUCAUACGAUGUGGUGAGAGGCAUGCGAAUGAGUGGGGGACGUCGCUCAUCUUGCCCCCUAUUGGAUGACCCGGGAUGGUUUGGUGCUUUGAAGCUUCUGGUGGCUUCACUUCUCAUGGCUUGGCCAGUGAUCAGGACUUGCUGCGUAGCGGCUCGGACGUCGUCCUCUAACAUGGAAUAUUUCCCUGCACGUCGAAAUAAAUUGUCAAUGGAUAUGGGAGGUUUUUUGGCGACGGACUCGAAGAAGGGGGUCCCUAGGCAUAUGCUCCGUUUGAAAAUUUGGACUUAUGUAUUCUUGAACGGUCGCUGCCCGCAGCAGUCUUUGUCUUUUUCUUUUAUAACUAUACUCAUCGUCCAAGGGCCCCCCGUGUAUGUAGUUGAUCACGACCCUAAUGGGAGUCGCUGGGGCACGUGAGCCCUGACCAUGGGAAGAUUCUUUACCUUUAGGGGCUGUGCGGAUGUAUUGCUUCAAGUGUCCCACCUUUAGGAGAUCCUCCACCAUAUAAUGGAGACUUCGACACGUUUUAGUGGUGUGCCCAUGAUCUUUGUGGUAUGCACAUUUUUUACUACGAUCCCUUUCUGAGGGGUUUGAUCUUACUGGUCCCGGCCAUCUAAAGCUGGGCAAAUCUCGGAUGAUAGGAAGCAAUUUUUCAUACGAUGUGGUGAGAGGCGUGCGAAUGAGUGGGGGACGUCGCUCAUCUUGCCCCCUAUUGGAUGACCCGGGAUGGUUUGGUGCUUUGAAGCUUCUGGUGGCUUCACUUCUCACGGCUUGGCCAGUGAUCAGGACUUGCUGCAUAGCGGCUCGGACGUCGUCCACUAGCAUGGAAUAUUUCCCUGCACGUCGAAAUAAAUCGUCCAUGGAUAUGGGAGGUUUUUUGGUGAGAGACUCGAAGAAGGGGAUCCCUGGGCAUAUGCUCCGUUUGAAAAUUUGGAGGACUGCGUCCAUGUUGUAUGACUCCACUUGUAAGACAGCUUGUCCGAAACGCUUUACGAACUCUCUCAGGGUUUCAUUUUCUUGCAUUUUGAUGUUCUGCAAAGUGCUGAUAUUUUGCUUAUGCUUGGCUGAGCACAGGUACUGCCCCAUAAAGACUUUGGACAGCUCCCGAAAAUUGUCAAUCGAGUUCGUAGGUAAUCGAUGAAACCAUGAGAGGGCUUGGCCUUGUAGGCUUGCUGGGAAAACUUUGCAUAAUAGCAUAUCAUUCCCUAUGUCGAGGGUCAUGAGCUGCCGAUAAUGCAUUAUGUGAUCAAAAGGAUCGCUAGACCCAUCAUAUGUGGAGAACUUUGGGACGAUGAAUCCUCUAGGAGGUUCAUAUUUAAUAAUGCGAGAACUGAAAGGCGUGGAGAGCAUGUCGUCCAGGCGCCUGCUGAUAGAGCCUAGAGGGGCUGUAUACGAGGGAUCUUUGCCAACUCGUGACACGAGUGGGCGGGCGAUGUGUCUCUGCGGAAUAGGGGAGUCUGAGGGCCUGGAGUGUGCCUCCAACGAUAUGGUGGUAUGAGGCCUGUUUUUGUUGGGUGUUUGUGGUCCCAGACGCGCGCGCAUUGCGUCAGAUAUUUGAGGCCUUUUCUCACGUUGUCGUUUGGAUGAGACUCGAGUAGAGUUUGAACUUUCCUCCCGUCGGACGUGACGAGUGUGCAUCGGGGCUUCAUUAGGCCCUUCAUGCACCUCGAGGGGUGGGCUAACCUCUCGGGGGUAUGGAGCUUAUUGGUUGUGAUGACGAUCCUGCAUCCGCUGAUAGUGCUGGGGUUCGGAAGAGACUUGGAUCCUCAAGACAUCGUUUUCUUCCCUAAGCCUUCUUGUUUCUUGGAGCAAAACUUGCAUUUUCCGUUCGUUGUCUCGCUGUCGUCUUUCCAUGUUGCUUUGCCAUUCAAAGUAACCUUCGUCACCCCUGGCGAAAGAACGACUCCUCGAGGGUGGAGCCAUCUUUGCAGUUGGAAGGUACAUGAUUUAUUGAGAAGAGGAGUUUCCCACAGACAGCGCCAAUGUUGAUGGCAAAAUUCCCCCGCUACAGUAUUAAUUAUCGACAAUGAAAUCUCGAUCAACUCAUUCCAGUGAUUCUCUCUUCCUCUUGCAAAAAGAUGUCCGGACGGGUGGUCCGGACACACCCUUUGAUGAUUAAGUCAGCGUUAUGGAAGUUAUAAGGAAACAACUUUUGGCCUGUUUUUGGGAGUGAUGCUUCGUGAUCGUCUUCAAGGAUACUUACCCCCUUUUUGGAGUUUCUUUAAAGCUUAUAUAUGAGUUAGAGAGUAUGGCCUUACUGAGCUAAUGGGUCCCAUAGUCAUGAUUGCGACUCAUAGGGGGGCAAGGCAAUCAUGACUCUUCUGGUGCGAGGUGAUGGCUGUCAGAAGAGUCUUCAGACAACGGUUGUCACCUCAAAUUAUGAUGAUUGGUACCGGGAAUGCGUCAGGCAAUCUAAGAAGAUUUGGAAGUGUCUAGUCAAGCUUAUCUUGUAUUGAAGAGGAAUGAUAGUUCAAGAGACUUGGUCAGCAGUGUUGACGGAGUUGUCUUCCUGAUUAUGGGCUGAAAUGGAACAGGCAAAUCAUGAGCGUCUUACGAGUUGAUGCGUCCAGGGAAUUCGAAUCGUUGGCUCCGGAUGUGCUCCAGGUAAGUGUUGCCAGAGGAUCCGGGCGUGACUGACCGGGGAAGUUGAAUCGCACUGCUUUCCAUCGUGCGACAUACCGCUGGUUGUGAAAUAUCAGGAGAAGGUGGAUCGUCGGCCGUGCAGAAUCCGCCCGGAUGGAAUAGCGAUGCUACGUGUCGCAAGGGGGGUUGUCCGCAUGGCCAAGGGAGAGGGGGCCACGUGGCACAUUUUAGGGAGGAUCCCACAUAAAGCAUCUCAAAUUUUUGUGCCAUCUUAUUACAGGGAUUUCCUUAUGGAUACUGAUGAUUGGAAUUCAAAUCAAAACAAAAAGAGGAGUUUUGGGGACGUUUUCUGGCUAUCAGUCUAUCGAAAAUCUUGACGUAUUUGCUAUAUUGAAGGAUAAAACAUAAGUGAAAUUCUUGUGGUAAAUAAGCAAACAAACCUGGUUUUACGCAGUUCGUUAAUGAUUCACAUGAAAGCACUUGAAUCAAAACACCAUCUUGCAGAACUGAAAACGAUGUUAAUGAGAGAAUUGAAGGUUUGGUCUUCUGGUUUGUACUUGGAGGGAAACAUAAUUAAGCACAUAAGAAGAUGUCACAGGAGAUUUCUAAGGAUCUACAAUUAUUCACAUUCUCAUUUAAUCAAGGGAGAUUCGAAGUUGAAGAAAUCUUAUAGCUUUAGUCGAGAUGAUCUGCUGACCCAAGAUAUCUUGGCACUUGAUACAAGUGUUGAAGCUUUUGUUGGUCAAAUUAUUGACCUAAAAAAAAAAAAACUACAAAAUGCUCUUGAAAUCAGUUAGGAAUACAUCGAAAUCGCUGUAUCAUUGAAGGAUUAUGUUGCCAUGAACCUAGUUAAGCAUGUCACCCAUAUUUCCUACACAAUUGACAACUCUAAUGGAUAGAUCCUGACUGCAGAUCCUUAAGAGCUCAAUGGGAUGAAACUUUAUCAAUCUUGGAGCCAUAAAUGAAAACCCCUAUACCGUUCACCAAAUCCUUUUAAAAUGUGACAGUCCUCUUUGAUCCAAUAUUCAGUUCUAAGCAUCCCUAUUUUGAAGAAAGAGAUAGAGAAGUGAUGAAACCUUGGCCCUGAGAAGUCAGAUAUGGAGAUUUCAGAAGUGAGGGGAGUUCAUAAAGAUGCCGCAGGCUGAAAAUACCGAAGAGGUAGAAAAAAAUAUCAAUCAUUUUCCAAAAAGGCAAUGCAAUUUUACUUCAGCAAGAGGAAUUCAAGAGCUGAGAAAUCAUACUGUAGACCCUCAAUUUUGUCCCUUUAGCACAUGUCUUUAAGUUCGUUUUCAGUGCUUCAAAAUAGUUCCUUGGUGGCCCAUGGCUACUCAUACCACUUACCUUUUUCUGAGUCACCUCGGAGAUUUUGGUUGAGGGAUUAUUUGAUCCUUUAUUGUGACCCUUGGCAGCCCUAACUUAGACUUAGGUUUUUCUUGCUUUUUUUUUAGGAUAGCUUUUAGAUACACUUGGCCCAUUAGGCACCACCCUAGGCCCACUUAGUCUCAUCAUAGGCCAUUUAGGCACACUUGGCUCAUUUGGACAUUUUUAGCGUGACUUAUAUAACUUGCGUGUUUGCAUGGCUCGUAGGGCCCUGAUUCGUCCCUAGCAGUGGCAGUGGCAAUGGCACCAUUUGAUUCGAGGUUCGAUCCCCGGCAACGGCGCCAUUUGAUUCGUGCCCAAUUGGUGUCUCAGCUGAUUCGUGUCCAGCUGGUGCUCCUUGAUUGAGGGAGUAAUCAACAAAAUUUAUAACCUAUUACACCAUAUACUAGGGUAGCAAAGACAAAGCUACUAUAGCAUAGUGGCUCUAGGAUCGUUCACUGGGAUGGGUUUUCACUUUGCAAAUGAUAUUAAUUCAAAGCUGAAUUGGUGUCUUUUCAUUUCAAGGUUAGCUUUAAAAGAAAACAUAAAGAUGUUUAAAUGAAAAAAGGUUUGGUUUUAAACUAACCACAAAUAGUAACUGAUUUUACUUAUAAAGAAAAAUGUUUCUUGGAGUUCAGAUCACUAGGCUCGUUCCUCAUACAAAAAGGAGAGUUCCGGUCACUUGUUUCUUUUCCUCGCAUUAGAGAAUUAACAUAUAGUUAAUUCUCUAACCGGUGUUAUACAGAUGCUUCCCAUUAACGGGUUCAAACACUAAAUCCCUCUCACUAAUGCACCUUGCAAUGACUCAUACCUCUCACCUAGCACUUGCCAUUCAAGGUGAUCUUUAACCUUGGAUUACCCGUCAAAAGCUCGCAAGAGAUAACUAAUGGAUGUCUCCUUGGAGUCCAAAAGCUUACCAAGUGUUGGCUAUUCUAGAAAAUCCUACCUUCAAGUCACCUCCCAAAGGCUCGCAAGGGGUAAACUAGUGCAUUUCCAUGGUUGGAAAUCACUUGCCUUACCAAGUGUUGGCCCAGGUGACUCUAAGGUGUUUUAAGUUAACUAAAAACAUAGAAAUCACUAACGGGUUACACUUUCUCUUCAUUAAAAACUAAAACAACAAAACUUCCAAAUUAUGCAUGUGGAAACUUACCUGGCUUUCCUCACUCCAAGAGACAAAAAGCUUAGCCUCUCAUCCUCUGUGGAAAAAUCCUCAGAGUUUGGUUGGCUAGAAAAUGAAAAUGAAAGAGAAGACAAGAAUAUAUAUCAAAAACAGAGCAAGUGCUCUGUUCGUUGAUUCUAUAUAUUGGAUUACAUGAUAUGGUGGUCCGAGAGUCCUCUGAGAGUGUUUACAAGAGAGUUUAUAUAGGAAGGUAAUUUACCCUUCCUUGGAUACUUCCUAUCUAAGGAAUUACAUGAGUGGUUGAAUACAAGGAGAAAAUGGAAAUUUAGACACAAAAAUCUGAAGAAAAAUAUCUAAAAGAGUCGGUGCAAAAAUAUCGGGAAGCUCUAGGAACAUUUCGCAGGUGAAAAAUGGUGUCUGCGAGAUUUCGCAGACACUCAAGAGGGCUGCGAAAUAUUUUCGCAACAACAAGUUAAACUCGCAGGGCUGCGAAAUUGGCUUCCACCUUGAGGUUCUCAGCGUUUCAGCUUGCGGCAUGUAUCGGGUAGCUUCAGGAGGAAUUCCAUAGCACUGUACAAAAAGGCUGCGAAAUUCUCGCAACAAAAGGCUGAUUUCGCAACACUUUGUAGUGAUCUGCUUGCAAUGGCUGUAACUCCUUCGUUUUAACUCCAAAUCGCGCACCGUUUGAAGCAUUGGAUUCUUGACUUCCUGAGCUUUGAAAUGGUAUAUAGAAUGUAGAAAAUGGACUUCGGGAAGUGCUCCAAAAGUGCACAAGAAGACUGCAGCUGGCUUUCCUCUGUUUUCUUCACUCUGUUUUUCCUCUCUCCUUGCUUCUCUCCUUGCAUACUUUGAACGACUUUGGCAAAGGGAUAUGGAGCUCCAAAGCUUGGUUCUUCAUGAAUUUGAGCUCUUCAUUGCUUUGCCAUGGAUUCCAAAUAACUCUCCUCAAUCUUGGAUUGUUUUAGUGAUCAAAUUACUAACAAAAACACCAAAAACUUACACAAUUUGAUUAGAAAUGAUUGCAAGGGUCCUUAACAUGUUAAUUGGGUUAAAAGACAAUAAAUACUACUCAAAAGUGUUUAAAAGAGUUAAUUACAAGCUAUCAAAUAGCACUUUUUGAGUAGUAAUGAGGCCCAUUUUUUUGUUAAUUUGUUUAUUUUUAUUUUAUUUUAUUUUAUUUUCCUCUUUAUAUUAUUUUCCUUAACUUAUUUAUUUAUUUAUUAUUUUUACCAUUUUCUAAUUUAUUUAUUUAUUUAUCUAUUAAUGCAAUUAUUUAACUUCUAAAAUUUCAUGUUUUUGCAAGGAAACUUACCAUUGGAGUUUAAGGAAGGUGGGACUCUCCUUGGAAGGUUUUGAAAAGGAAUUUGAAAUUGAGAAGAUUGCUUUUGAAUUUGAGGAUUUAAAAAAAAAAGGAUAGGGAGGAAAGAGAAAGAAGGGGGCUUUUUUUAGGGAUUGAGGGAGGAGAUUCUUUUUUUGGAGCAGCAUGCAUUGCGGGAUUGUUUAGAGGAAAAGCACAGAAGAGCAGAAAAGGGGCGAUUGCAAGCGAGGUUCUUCCAGGUACGUUCCUAGCUAUUCUCAGAAUUCUUACCCAUGUUCAAUCCUCCAUUAUUCUCUGAUCAUUUUGGAAUAUUAAAUCUUUGCUGAUUGGUGUGGACGCUAAGGGCCACAACUGGUUCUAUUGAGAAUGGUUGGUUGUUUUGUUUAUUUUCUCAGAUUUCUUAUUUUUUUGGACUUCCGUUCUUUUCAAUAUCAUUGAUCUCACAUGCAUUUGGGUAUGUUCUUGAACCUGAUGAUAGAAAUCCUACCUUGUUCGUGAUAAAAAUCUCAUUUUGAAUCACUCCCCUAUUCUAAGCCAAUGGAUUGAAACAUGAAACGUGGCUCCCUUUUUAUUGUCUCGUUCUUUUUUUUAUUUUUUUAUGCUCUGUUUUCGAAUGCCAUUCUCUCUUCCCGAUAUUUGCUUGUGAGGAAUCUUUUGAAAACUGCUGGAGCGUGGAAUUCAAAUUUGGAAAGAUGAGGUGGAAAGAAAAUGCAGGGUUUCUGUGUAAGCACAUUCGCUAAAAACAAAGGACGACCCCACACUUGCUGUCUCGGUUCUCACAGUAGGGCCUUGGCCAAUUCAAUCAAAUGAUAUGUAUAACCCUCCAGUAGAGAUUCUGGAAGUUUGUGAGAAAAUCAUAGGUUAUUAUCUCGGGACCUGCACUGGGAUGAGAUUGUCUUGGCAAACGAAUAUGGGCACGACUGAUUUGAGGGCAACGUUUGUUAGGGAUCAACAGGAAGAUUUAAUAGGACUGCCGUAGUUGAAAUGGAUGAUUUUGGCUUUGGUGGCGGUCCUUGUUCUAUUGCCGUUACUGCAGUGUUAGAUUUUUUUUUGGCAGAAGUGAUUUCUGACUUUAUUACUGAGCAGGUGAAAGAUGCGCAGGUCGUGGAGACAAUUCUGGAAACUACUCCUUCAUACAUGCUAAGUCUAUUUUUAGUUUCCAAGGUCCGUGCCUUAGCAGGCUGAUGAAUUCCCUUGAAAAGCGUCUCUUGCGUGAUGACGAGGAAGAUGAGGAAAAGUUAGAUGAGAGCCGCUGGUCAUCCAAUUCGGAUGCAUUGUGUAUAAUGAUUGCAGAUCAUGCAUAUAUGGGUGCUUUUCUUAGCCUGUCACUGUACUGAAAAUUCUGGAAUUCUUGUUGUUUAUGCUACAGCUUACAAAUCAAGAUGGACGAAUUGAAGGAGUAGUGUCUAGAAAAGGCCUUUAUCCAUCUCCAGAGGGAACAAACAGCUUGAUGCUUAUGUACAAUUGAUAAUUAAGUAUACAAACCGUAUGGUAUUGUUUUGUUUCUUGCCAUCAUUCUUGAUUAGUUUAAAGAAGAUGAUCUUCUUUCACUCUUGGGUUUGCAAAUUGGACCUAAGGAAGAGGAAUCCCUAAACUCUUCAGAGGAAGAUACAGGAAUUAAUAUCUGCACAGAUCUACAGUUAUUAAUUGCUCACAGUCGAAUAAUAUUCUGACCCAGCAAUUCUGAUACUGAAUUAAGUGGUAACCUAAAUUACUGUCUCUGAGUAAAUUUAAUUCCUUUUCUCCAUGAUCAAAGACGAAAUGCUGUGAAUAUGGCAGUUGGUGUUGUCAAGAAUCCAUUGAUGCAUUGCAAGGCUGCACUAGAGGACUUGCUAGUCUCUAAACCAAACCAAGUGAACAGGUUGUUAAAAAAAAAGUAUUGGAGCAGUGUGCUGUUAUUAUGUGGGUGCAGCAUAUUGCUGGAUCAUCAAAGUUAUAUGGAGUGAGGAUGAAAAGAAAUGGUGCUGAAGCUUCCAGAGCAUUUCAUCAAGACCCAACAGCCAUUUAUGCCACAACCUCGUCUGAGACAGCCAUCUGGGUUUAAUGAUAUUCAGUCGGUACAGCAGCACAUCACGUUCAAGCAGCUGCAAGAACUUCAGAGGCAGCAGCAACUUCAGCAGCUGAGUGGUACCAAGCAAAACUCCAUAGUGAAGUGAAGGCAUUAGAAGUUGAAAUAGAUUCUGUGGCAUAUACUAUUUAAUAGGCAAGGAAUGCCGAAAGAAAUGAAAAUCAUGUCUCAGAUGGUAAUGAUAACUGAGCACAAGUCACUUGAAGCGUAAUCAUAUUGCUCAGCCCGGAUCUACUGUUCCAAAAAGUGCUGGAUUAAAAGGCUCCUCAAGUAAAUUCAUAAGUGCCCAAAAUAAUGCAAAACUUCGUCCUGAUUAUGCAUCUUUUUCUGUUAAAUCUUCUGUUCUGCACGCUAGGAGAAAUGUGGUGUCAACUCCACAGGCUAACCCACCUUUGGAAAUAAAUUCAUCAGGCAAUUUGCAGCCUCAGUCAGUUACCAAAGUCAGUAGUAGUUUAAAGGUGAUUCCAGAUAUAAAACUUCCAGCUGUUCCAGCCAACAGAGAGCAUCCAUCAAUUGCAGGCUAUAGUGGAUCCAACAAAACUGCAGUUUCUCUCCCUCAAAAUGCUCGACACAUUGGUAGGAAUCUGCAAUAUGCUCAACCCCAGACAACAAAACCUUCAGGUUUGCGGAUGCCAUCACCAUCACUGGGAUUAUUUAGUCAGCCAAAAGCUUCUGCAUCACAGAGAAAUCAAAUAUGCAACCUUCUGAAGUCCAGUGUUCCUAACUAUCAGAAAUUUCAUGCCUCAAAUUCCAUUCGUGCACCAAGGCCCCUUCAUGAAUCAGGGAAAAUUUCCAGGGUGGUCAAUGACAUUCAAACUGGAAAUAUUACAGCCUUAACCUUGAGUGCAAGAUGCUCCAUUUCAUCCGCUGCUAAACCUGUUUUGCCAGAAACUGUGAAAUUGAAUGUUGAAGUAGAUAAUUUCAACAAGUCAGAACUGAAGUUCCCGUGUGUUCCUAAGAGCUCUGAAGUGGUAAAGAACAACAUUCUUGAUUGUGUCGACAAAAAAUAUCAUGAACAUGCAAAACCACAGAACUUUGAGAUCCCACACGAGGAGGAUUCCGAAUUGCAGAUUAAUGACCAUAAAUUGCUUUUACAAAGUGCAUCCUCCAAAAUGGAAAAUUCCCAUACUUCAUCCCAACAGAACCUUGCAGUACAAGUUAAAGGUGUUUGUGGAACAGAUGGUAUUACCGAGCACCAAUUUGUAGAAGAAAAGCAAGACAAUAUGUCAGUUACAAAUCAGCAUGACACUUCUGAAUCAGAGUCCAAAGAUACCAUUAAUUGUAGUAAACCUGGUACUUCAGUAGUGAGUGAUGGUCAGUUAGUCAAUAUGUUCGAUGCUAGAGAACAAUCUGGGGAACAAGUCAAUCUUGCAAAGUGUUGCACCCAUGAGCCUGAUCUAAUUUCUCUUGUAGAGAAUAAAAAAAGAAAGGGCUAAUGAUGACAUUUUAUUCAAGAAGAGUUUUUUUUUAAGAGUCACGGAAUUAUGUUAAUGGGAAUAUCGUGGAUCCAAAGGUCCAAGACUCUAGUACAAGCACAUUGGAAAGUUGUCAACAUCCAUCUCAAUACGCAAAGAAAUCAGGCAAAGAUGCUAUUGGGGAGGAUGAGAUAAUCAACAGAUCACGUGAACAAGAUGCAUUGAUCCGUGCUCAAAUGGGAAUCUAUUAGUUGAAAGCUGCAGAAAGAACCUGAGUACUUGUAGUCGAUAUUUGAUGAUUGCUGAUGAUGUACAUGAACAAUCUGGAGAACAAGAGCCUCAAAAUCCCAUAGUUGAGCUGUCCCAUGCAGAGGAUGCACCAGCAGUUUCUGUAGAGGUCAACCCAUCAUUCGAAAAUUACAAGUGUGUUAUUGAUACACCAUUAAUGCAUGAAGUUAAGCUCAAUGGUGAAGUCACUUCUAUGGAAUUUGGUUCAUCUUUGAGGGUAAGCAAUGAUCAAACUACAUUUGAAGUAACUACCCUCAAUUCUAUCAUCACCAAUUUUCAUCCAGAAAGUAGAGACUCAAGUGGGAGUGAAUUAGAAGAUCCUCGUUCUACAUCCCUAUUUAGCCCUGCAGUGCAUGUUGAAAGUGUUUGUGGGACAGAAAAGAUGGUUGAGUACCAACAUAUGGAGGAAACAGAAUAUAAAUCACCAGUUAAGAAUCAAGCUGUCAUUACAAAGGCACAAUGUGGAGAUACCAUUGAUGGUAGUAACCAAGUUGCUUCAGUGUUGCAGAAUAAUUGGUUGAGCUGCAUGCAUGUCGUCAAUGAACCUUCUGAAGAACAGGCCCAGCUGAUAAAGUGUUGCACCUCUGAAGCUGAUCAGAUUUCUAACAAUGAAAAUCAGAAGCUACAGACAGAAGAUAGCAUUUCAUCUGAGUCAUCUCAGAAAUAUGAUAGGUGUGUCACAGAUGUUGGUCCAAAAAUCUGUGGUUACAAUGGAAGUGAACUUGAAAGUUCUGAUGGUCCUUCUCAACUUAAAUACAUAGUUCAAGGGGAAGAAGAGGGUUCUAGAAUAGAUAGCACAACUAAGAAAUUAAAUGAGGGGGAUGCAGGAGGGCAUUCCAUAGAUAGUGAUCUAUUAGUUGAAAGGUGCAGAAGUAACAUCAGUUCAGCAGUGCAAAAUCUAUACGUUGUGGGUUCUGAUCUUACAAAUGAACAAUCUGGAGAGCAAGUAAAACUUCAAAUUCCCUGCCUUGUAGUCGAACAAAGUUCCCAAGAUAAACAUGGAUUACGUCCGAAUAAUUACUCAUUACUUUCGAAGGGCAUCUCUUCCAAUGAGUCUUGGGAAGAAAAUGUCUCUGAAAGUUCUGAUUAUGUUGUUCCAGAACAAAGUCAUUUGCAGGAAAGUGUAUCAGAGAUUCCCACUACUGUUGUUCAGCUACCACUUGGAAUACCUGAUGGCUUUGAUGUUGGCAAGAUGGCCAAAAAUUUAAAUGCAGGGGAAAUACUGCCAGAUUCUGGAGAUUUCAAGUUCUUACUUGAAGGCCAUGAAUAUCCUACUGAUACACAAUUCAGGCCUGGCAUAGAGCUCAACAGUCAGGCCACUUCUUUGGAAUCUGAUUCACCAGUGAAGACAAGAGCAUUAACAACAAUGAGUAACGAGGAGCUUAUAUGUUCAAGAAAAUGGCCCUGAGAAGUCAGAUAUGGAGAUUCCGGAAAUAAGGAGAAUUCAUAAGGAUGCAGCAAGCUAAAAAUAUUGAAAAGGCAGAAAAAGGCAACAGCAAGGGUAUGUAUUCUAGAGAAGCUGAUGAAUCAAGCCUUGAGAAUGAGAAAAUAGCACAGAAUGCAGGAAAUAUAGCAAUACAGAAAAGUAAGAAUUUUGAGCUUUAUGUUCAAUGUUUGACCAGCGUUGGGGAGAAUCCAUAUGAGCUUAUGAACCAAGUUAUCUUAUAAAUGGAAAUGUUUCUGAUCACUGAAUACUUUGGCAACGAAUUGGGUCUUUCUAUCCCGAACUCCACUCCAUCAGGCAACCUAAGUAACUCAGUCUCAAAAGCAGCCUAGACGCUAAUCCAGCUUAGCCGCCCUGCCUCACAUCGUACUCCUAUUGUUUCUUUUUUUUUAUUUUUUUUUUAUGAUCUUAUAUGUCUUAAAGCCGGAUUUCAAAACCUUUUUCUAUCAAAAAUGAAUUUGGUUUUCUCUAAGGUUCCUAAGAAGCAUUUAGGUACAAAAUCCAGAUUUUAACAUGCAAUUUGCUGCCACUUUAUUGCGGGUAUGCACUUUCACUGUUUUAUUUGAUUUUUAACUAUUUUUGUGUUUUUCUUGAUUUUCAACAAGCAUGAAUAAAACUUCAUAAUUCCAAAUCAUGGAAUCUAUGGAAUCAACUCAUGCGAAAUUAAUUAGGGUUUUGGUGGGGGCCCGACAUUCAUGAUAUUUCCUCAAAUAUUUUUUGUUUGAUAUUUGAUUAAUUGUGCUUUCUCUUUGAGAUACGUGAGAUUAUUAUGCACCUAUCAUUAAGCAAUCUUGUUUCCCAUAGAGGCAUUUUAGCUUGCUAUCCAGGUACGCUCCUUCACACCUAUUUUUGAGAAUUCUAUUGACACAUAUGUUACUGACGACUAUACCCAUACAUGAUGUGAUUUUUGGGUGUUUUGAUAUAUGCUUGAUUUGCUUAGAUAAAACAAAUGUUAUGUCAUAUUUCCAAACUAAUCUCUUAUGUUUCGUGAUAGCGCUUGAAAAGUCGUUCAGGUAUGCACUUCGAUUCCCUCUCAUGAUUUGUUUUCUUAUUAGGCAUGCAAUAUUUGAAAUCACCUAGUCUACUUAGGUAUCCAUGAUCAACCAUUUAAUUUCCACGCUUCCCUUAACUUAGUCAGUAGAGACCUUUUUAGGGCUCAGAGGGGUGCUACCUCCUAGAGGUACCUUCCCAAUAAGUAACCUGAUCCCCGGACUUAGACUCGGGUUUCUCAAAGACAUGCUUUUUCCAAAACUAUGGAGUCACUUUUUAGGGUUUUUCUUUCUUGUUUUAUUUUCCCUUCAAAAUAAAAAUAAAAUAGGUGGCGACUCCAACUUUUUUUUAAAAAUCAAUUUUUCACAAAUAAAAAGCGAGUCUCGCCGAUCGAGUGGGGACGCACGUGAAAAAUGCGGGUCCACACAUACUAUAGCUAAAUUAAAUAUUGUUAAAUCUUAUUGGUCCAUGGCAACAGCAAGGGUAUGCAUUCUAGCGGAACCGCUGAAUCAAGUCUUGGUGAUGAGAAAUAACACAAAAUGCAAGAAAUACAACAAUGCAGAAAAAUAGGAAUUUUGAGCUUUAUAUUCAGUGUUUGACAAAUGUUGGAGAGAAUCCAUUUGAGCUUAUAGGUCAAGUCACUUUAUAAAUGGAAACGGUUCUGGUCGUUAAAUACUUUGACAAUGAAUUGGGUUCUUCUAUCAUGAACUCCUAGGCCCCAUUCCUUCAUGGCUACCUUGCUACACACACCUUCUCCUCUAUUUGCUUAUUUGAUUGGGAAUUUACUAUUUUAAAUUGAAUUUUAGAACCAUUGUCCAACUAAACAUUCCCAGCUUUGAAAAAUCUAUCUUUAGAUCAUUUAUAGGCAUAAAAUCCAUAUUCUAACACACUCUUUGCUGCCAUUUUCCUUCUGGCACAAAUUUUCAUUAUUUUCUUUGACUUUCAACCAUUUUCUUGAUUUUCCUUAUUUCACGUAAACAUGAAUAAAUUUUAUGAUUCCAAACAAUGGAAUUCAUAGAACAAACUCAUGCGAAAUUAAUUAGGGCUUUGGUGCGGGCCUGGCAUUCAUGAUACUCUCUUCAAUAUUGUUUGCUUGAUAUGUUGAUUUUUUAUUCUUCUUGAUGAAAUACUUGAAUUCACUUUAUAUUUAUUGUUGAGAUAUCCUUGCUUCCCAUAGACGUGCGGAUGCUCGCUAAUCAGGUACACUUUUCCCAUCCUACAACUCUGAAAUUCUAUGAAUAUGUAUGUUAUCAUGAGUCAUGACCAUGUUUGAUGUCAUACUUGAUUGUCUUGAUGCUUGUUUGAUCAUCUUUGAUAAAAUACAUAUAAUGUGUCAUAUUUCCAAACUAAUCUCUUAUGUUUUAUGAUAGCGCUUGAGAAGCCAUUCGGGUACGCAUCCUAACCUUCCUUUAUUAUGAUUUGAUCUUGUUUGGCAUGCUAUUUUUUGGAACCACCUAGCCUACUUAGGUAUUCAUAAUUAACCGAUUAAUUGUCACAUUCCCCUUAACUUAGUUAGUAGAAACCUUUAUAGGGCUUAGAGGGGUGCUAUCUUUUAAAGGUAUCUUCCCAAUAGAUAACCUGAUCCCCGGACUUAGACUCGGGUUUUUCAAAGACACGCUUUUCCAAAAAAUUAUGGAGUCAUUUUUUUAGGGUUUUAUUUCUUGUUUUAUUUUCCCUUUAAAAUAAAAAUAAAAUAAGUGGCGACUCCAACUUUUUUUUCAAAAAUCAAUUUUUCACAAAUAAAAAGCGAGUCUCGCCGAUCAAGUGGGAACGCACGUGAAAAAUGUGGGUCCACAAAUUAGUGCCCAAUUCACUAGUAGAGACCGAGUUCUGAGCUUAGAGGGGUGCUACCUCGCAUGAGGUACCUUCUCGAUAGGUAACCUGAUUCCCAGACCCAAACUCAUGUUUCGCAGACCGUUUUUUUUCCUAAUUUGAGUCAUUUAGAGGUUUUUGGUUCUUACUUAAUUUUCCCUAUUAUAAAAACAAAACUAAAAAGUAAGUGACGACUCCAAAUAACACCGUUCCUCACCAGGGGUGGAUUUUUCAAAACUAGAAAACACAACUUUUCUUUUUUUCUUUUAAAAGUGAGUCGCGUCGGCUUGGGUGGAUCAGGUUAGGGUCCAUAGGGAGGUUCCGCUCUUCCAGGAUAUGUGGCCUCCUGGUUAUGCUGAGAGUUUGUUCCUUGGCCUCUCGGUUGCUGGUCACGAGGAGGUCCUGAGGAUGAAACUUGGAUUCUUAACACCUCGCUCUCUUCCUUAAGUUUCUUCGUUUCUUAGAGUAGGGCUUGUACCUGCUACUCGCUUUCUUGCUGUCGUCUUUCCAUGCUUUUACGCCAGUCAAAAUAACCUCCGUCACCCAUAGGUGAUGAACGACUCCUUGAGGGUGUGGACAUCUUCGUAAACGAACUUCCCACAAACGGCGCCAAUGUUGAUGUUGUGACCCCUUGGGAUUAUUGUGUCUCCCUGACGCUGACGCUUGAUCAACUGAGAGUGAUGUUUCCUUCCUCUCUCUUACAAAACAUGUCCGGACAGGUUGUCCGGACACACCCUCCAAAGCUCUAGUUAGAUUAAUAGUUCUAUAUGUUUUCUCCUUUUAGGAGUGAUUACGAAGUCUGUCUUACCUCAUUUCGUUGGGUUCCUCAAAUGAUUUUCUAGUAUUUGGGGUUUUUUGUUGUCACAUCCAAGCUAGUGGGGUCCUUUACUUCCACAACCAUCAUGGCUGCUCAUGGGGUGGCAGCGCGAUCAUUACUCUUUAGGUAGUGGAUAGAGAUUGCUAGUGGGGCGAUCAGGCGACGCAUCUGUCACUUCAUUCUGCAGGCGGUAGAGUGCAGAAUGUGGCAGGUGGCUUGAAAAGACUUGAAAAUGUCCUAGCUAGCACGCCUUUAAUAGAAGACAAAUGAUGAACUAUGGAGUAUGGUCAGAGACAUUGCUUGGAGCAUGUCCUGCAGUCUCGCAAGAGCAUGGGCACCUAGCCAUUGACUGCUGGAUCCGGAUAGGAUGGAUCCGGAGUAUAUGUUCCUUGCUAAUGGAGUAUGUCCGGAUAAAGGCAAAGGGUUGCCACGUGUCUACAGAAGGUUUGCCUGUGAGGUUAAGGCAGGUCACCACGUGUUAGCUCAAGAGGAAGGUCCUACAAGUCCCACGAAACAUACUUUGAUUUGGUCAAGGUAGUUAAAUUCAACAUGAGAAAUCUUGUCUAGUUAUGUAAUUCCCACUCCCAUGGACUAGGCUAAAUAUGAUAUUAUGUGGCUACUUUUGCUUCUAGGAUAAGCAAGUUAUAUGGAUAUUUGGUGCAAUCGUUAUGGACUCGGAACAUCUCCAAUAAGAAGUUUUCAAAGUUACAACUUUACAUGGUUAAUCUAAAUUUAUAAAUCAUGAAGUAGUUGAAAUAUUUAGAGUUUUAGAAUCGUUUUGGGAAAAAAAAAGAAAAAAAAGAAAAUGAUUACCCUUUAAUCUUCGACAAUAAUUAGACUUUCUUUUUUAUGUCAAAUAUAUUGGAAUAAAUAUGAAUUCCAAUUAGAUUUGAAUGAAGAUGAAUGUUAUUAAAUAUUUCGCAUAUUUGUUUUUUUUUUUUUUUUUUGAAUUUGAUUUAUGCCAAAAUAAAGCUUAGCAUUAUUAGGUGUUUAGACAAUUUAUUUUUGUAUUAAUGUGCAAAUACUAUUAAAUGUUGAGUUGAAUAUUUUUAUUAAUGUUUGCAUAUUGUUAAGUGUUAAUUAAUUCUAUUUAUUUUUUAUACGUUAAAAAUAUUUAUAGCAAUAAUUAUUAUGUUUCAUUUUAUUUUACAUAAUUAUGAUAAAAUAUUUAAAAAUUAACUAAGAAAUUGGUCAUUGAAUAAUAAUUAAGAUUUUGAAUAUUAUAAAAUAAAUUAAAAAUCAGUAAUUGAAUAAUAAUUAGGAUUUUUUUAAUUGUGUUUGAUUGCUAAGAAAAUAUUAAAAAAAUUUUAGGUUAAGUUUCAUUAAUAACUAAUUAAUUUAUAUGUGGUGUCCCUCGAAUUAAUGAAUUUGUGAUUGAAAGAUGAGUUCUUCACUUGGUAACACCGAUAUUAAGAAUAAUGAUUAUACAUUUAACUUGGAUGUGAAGUGGUUGAAUCAACCACCAUGGUCCUACUCACCAGUAAUAAAUUGGUUAAGUCUAACUAUGUGGAUUAGAAAAUAAAUCUAGACAUAGUCCUCACAUAAGAAGAGUUAAAAUGGUUAACUUAAGAAUUUGCUCCAAAUACCCCUAAUGAACAAUCCUCACCGGAAUAGAAGGAUGCUUAUCAUAGUUGACAUAAUUAAGGUGGAUCAAAAGGCUAAAUGUAUCACAAUUGAGUGUUUAGAUAACAUGUUGGAACAACAAUAUGUGUCUCAUGCCACAACUUAUGAUGAUAUCUCUUCAUUUUACAAGAGAUCUUUGAUGAUGACAAGGGUAAGUUAACUAGAUAAGUUGCUUUAAGGACUAUCAUGAACACGAUGACAAAAGAAACUCUCUUUAAAUAUCAUAUGGUAUAUAUAAUCAAACUCUUUAAUGAGAUAAAGAUCCUUGGAGCUAGAAUUGAUAGGAAAACAAAAGUUGAUUUGAUCUUAGAGACCUUGUGAGAUUCCUUUAAGAAAUUUGAGCUCAACUAUUCUAUUCAUGAGUGAUGUGAAACUUGCCAAAGCUUAUGAGGGAUCAAAUUUGUGAAAGUUAGUUUUAAAGACAUAAAUUAAAUUUAUAUUUUUUGUAUAAAAUAUUCUACUCUAUAUAAGAAGUUUUUGUUUUAAAUAAUUGAUUAAAAUAGAUGAAAUACUCCUUAUAUUUGUGAAUUUAUCUCAUAUUUUUGUUUGAAAGUUAACAUAUUUUUUAUAUAAAUAUGUGGUCUUGACUAUUUCAAGUAUUUACAAUAUAUUUUAAAAGAAAUAAUUAUUUUUACAAAAAAAAAAAAAAAAAAAAAAAAAAACAAUAAGUAUAUUUUUGUCAAAGUGAGGUCAAAAAAUAAUGAAGAGUUAGAUUUUCAAAAUUGGGUUUCCAAUGACCCUUUUAAUCAAAUAACCCUUUUUAUUUUUAAAAAUAAAAAUAGAAAAUAUAUCCGAAUAAACAAUCAAUUUUUUCAUCUUUGUUCCACCAACUAUAUUAUGUUCUCUCGCCUUUGUUACAUCAUAAAUGUUGCCAUUUGACCUACACUCAAAAUUGGUUCUCACAUGUGUUUAUUUUAAAGAGCAUCCUCACUCUUAUUUGUUAUUUAUGAUUUAAUUCAAAUUUUAAACUUUGUUAAAUAAGUUUGGUCCACUAAGUAGAAUAUAUCGAGAGAUUCAUUAAAAAUGUGACUUGCUCUAUACUUAUUGUAGUGUUAUUAUUUUGAUUUAGAUGCUAUAUAUUUAUAAUUAUUUUUUAUGAUUCCAUUUAUUUUAUUUUUUUAAAUAUAAAUGAUAAAAACAAAUUGGAGUCGGAAAAUGGGAGCGACUUUCUUCCAUCUCAAGGAGCAUAGAAGUUCCACGCAUCCACGGUGUACUCAAGAAGUAUUCCUUUCUAUUCACCAGACCAGGUGGAUCCUCUUUCCCUACGUUGUACAGUCGUAGUGUGGUCUUUCUUGGAUGCUGCUGAUUCCUACUUUUCAAAUUCUAAAUACCAAAAAUGAUAUCUUUAUUCUCCCAAACAUUAGGAAUCCCAAAGCCUCCCAUAAAACUUCAGAAUGAGAAACAACCUUGCCCAACUCCCUUUAUAUCGCUUCGGCUGUCUAUCUUUAUGGAUUUUCUUCACGGAGAUGGCCAUGUCACGGAACACAACAAUACCGGUUAAAGUGGGAGUGGUUCUUGACAUGGAUACAUGGCUGGGGAAGAUGGGCUUGAGCUGCAUCUCCAUGGCCCUCUCAGACUUCUAUGCCUCUCAUGGGCACUACAAGACUAGGCUGGUUCUGGAAAUCAGAGAUUCCAAAAGAGAUGUUGUGGGUGCAGCUGCAGCAGGUACUCUCGUGUCAUAAAACUUAGAAUACAUUUAGAAAACAAUUGCAUUAUAGAGACAUUUGAAGCAAAACUUGUCUUUGAUUAACUUAAUUCACUGUAAUUUCAUCAUUUUCUUUUACAACCUCACCUCAACAUUAGUUUUGUAUCUUCAAUAUUUAACAGCACCUUCACAAUGAAAAAGAGGAGAAGAAAUCAACAACAUUUUUUGCUUAACAUCUCUAAAAACAAUUAGAUAUUUGCAAAUAUAUGUGCAGACACAGGUGGGAGAUGUUGGGUUUUUUAUCAGUUCAGAGAUUCCAAAAAUAAGAUCUAUAAAAUACUAGUUGUACUAUUACUUUUAUUGCCCUUUUAGAUGAGCGAUUGAUUAUUAACAGAACUUUUAGAAACUUUUAUCAUAUUUUGAUUAGAAAAAUUGAUAAGUGGUGUAAAUGUUCGGCAUUUGAUUAAGGGAUCAAGAUUGGAUAAAAGAAAAUUAUAGUGAAGACAUUAAUUAAGACAAGUUGUUGAGAAAAAAGAGUCAUGAAGUUGAACCAUGCAAGAUUAGCAUGCCCAUCAAAGAUAGCAAAAAGUCUCGUUAAAUUGUAGCACGUGUUUUUAACUAAACAACGUUUCUUGACUAGGAAGACGUUUCUUUGUUAUCCACACGAUGGUUCAAAGAUGAAAAAAGUCUUCAUAAAUUUGAUUUCCUCCAUGUUUUAAAAGUCAACUCUAAUAUUGUGGUCAUGUUCCAAGAGAAUAUACCAUUUUAAAGAAGCAUGGGAAGUUACCAAAACCGAUGCCUAUGAUCUAUGGUAUUAAGAAAUAAUGUGAUGCAGAAGUAUAUAAAAAAAUAAGGUCUCCAUGAAAGGCUCUACUGUAUAUGAUCGAACUCUAUGUUAUGUUUAUAAUAAGAAGAUUGAUAAUUUGUUAAUGAAUUCUACUAUUUAUGGGACCAAGUGGAUGCAUUUUCCUUUUCUGCACCUUGUUUGAUUACUGAUAAUGUAGUAGAAAUUGAAUGAAACUUCAGACUCAUUAUAUUCUAAUUAUUGUGAAAUUCAACUCUAGAUUUAUUACGAAAUGAGGAAGUUCAAGCCAUCAUAGGACUAGCAUCCUCCAUGCAGGCCAACUUUGUGAUUGAUUUGGGACACAAAGCUCAUGUGCCCAUUAUUUCAUUUUCUGCAACAAGCCCUUCUCUUUCAUCGCUCCAGAGUCAAUAUUUUGUCCGGGCUAUCCUCAAAUAUGACUCAGUUCAAGUACCAACUAUAAGGGCAAUUGUCCAAGCCUUUGGGUGGAGACAAGUUGUGCUCAUUUACUUGGACAACGAGUACGGAAAUGGAGUUAUACCAUAUCUUACUGAUGCCUUGCAAGAGAUUGACACCCGGCUACAGGAGCGUCAUUCAUCCAUCAGCCAUUGAUGAUCAAAUCCACGAAGAGCUUUACAAGUUGAUGACAAUGCCAACAAGAGUUUUCAUUGUACACAUGUUUACACCUCUAAGCCCACGACUUUUCACUAGAGCGAAUGAGAUUGGAAUGAUGGAAGAAGGUUAUGUUUGGAUACUAAAGGAUGGAUUAACUGAUAUCUUGAGUACUUUGGAUGACUCAGUCAUUGAUUCGAUGCAAGGAGUGUUAAGUGUAAAGCCUCAUGUUCCAAGAUCGAAACAGCUUGAAAGUUUUAAAAUCAGAUGGAAAAGGAAAAUCCAACAAGAAUAUCCAACCAAUGAAAUCUCUGAGUUGAACAUUUUUGAACACGAGAUCCUAGCACUAACAUGACGGAGGUCACUGGAUUUUCCAUAUCAGUCUUCGAUGAAGUGAUGGCAGCAUUAACAUAUCCUGUUCCUUAUGAGUACAUUCCCUUCAAGAUGCCUGAUGGCAAUCUAGCCGGUGAUUACAACAAUUUGAUUUAUCAAGUAUAUCUCCAGGUUAGUUGAACUUUUUAUCUUUCCUAGCACAUAGAGGUAACUCUAGGUUUUGCUUCAAUUAUGAUGAAUUUUAUUUAAAUAAAACCCAAAACUGCAGCAAAUUUUCCUGUAAUGCAUAACAGAAUGGCCCUAUUGUUUAUUGUGAACAGAAGUAUGAUGCUGUGGUGGGAGAUACUUCUAUCCUAGCGAACAGGUCGUUGUAUGUAAACUUUACACUACCUUAUUGUUAGGGUGAAUUCACAAUAUUCCAACAAACACCAGGAUUUUUCUAUCCUUUCUUUGUGCAAAAUUACAUAGAUAAUAGCAACUAGCAGCAAUAAAUAAAUAAACCCAUGCCACGGAAAAAUAAAUCAAAUGCCCUAAUUUUUACGUGGAAAACCUCCUAAUGCGAAGAGAAAAACCACAGGACCUAGUCCAAUUCAAACUUCCACUAUCAACAAUAAUGGGUUACACUUGUCUUCUUUAGAAUAAUCUAUAGAGGCUACCAAAAUACAUCAAGAGCACAUAUAGCCUUAGAUUAUAUAAUCUCUAUUGGCAAAAAAAAUUAAGGAUAAUUGGAGAAAGAAUACCUAAAAACACGUUGUUACUGUUCAUAGGCAGUAACACCAGUUCUCGAGCUCAAAAUCUAAUCUCCACCGUUCAAAUUGUAGCUACUCGAGUUUUGAAUCUUUCCUCCAAAUUUCAACUCGAUUGGACCAUAAAUAAAGUGGGAUUGACUCUUUGAUGAAAUCUGGGUAAUGAGAUGUGUUUUGCCUUUCUCUCUUCUCUUCUCUCUAUUUUUCCUUUCCCAAUUACUUUCUAUUUUUGUUUAUUUAUUUAUUUAUUUUAUUGUAACUUACUUGGGCCCCAAGCAUAUGGGGCCUACUCCCUCACAUACGAGGGAGCCCAACAAAUCUCCCCCUCCCGACUAUGUGAGGGGCUUUACCAAGCCCGCUUGCUUUCUAUAGAAUUGUAGCUUCUCUGUAGGUAUUGGUUUUGUCAUCAUAUUUGAUCCAUUCUCAUCAAUAUAGAUUUUCUCAAGGCAAAACAAUUUGAUCUCUAGUGCAUCAUGAAUCCAAUGAUAUCUCACAUCAAUAUGCUUGGAUCUAGAGUGAAAAGUUGGAUUCUUACUAAGAUGAAUAGCACUCUAACUAUCACAGUAGAGUAGAUACCUUUCUUGCUAUAAACCCAAUUUUUGUAGGAACUUUUUUCAUCCACAGUAACUCCUUGCUAGCUUCAGUGAUAGCAAUAUACUUAGCCUCUUUGGUCGACAAAGCAACACAUUUUUGCAACCUUGAUUGCCAUGACACUGCUCCCCUGAAAAAGUAAUCAAAUAACCAGAAGUAGACUUUCUGGAAUCAACAUCCCCAGCCAUAUAUGCAUCCGUGCAUCCUACAUAUACAAUUUUGUUAGUCCCAAAACAUAAACAUGUCUUAGAAGUACCCCUCAUAUACCUAAGAAUCCAUUUCACUGCGACCAUGUGUUAUUUGGCAGGAUUAGAAAGGAACCUACUGACAACUCCAAUAGCAUGAGCAAUAUCAGGCCUCAUGCAUACCAUGGCAUACAUCAAGCUAUCCAUGACUAAUGCAUAGGGCACCUUUCGCAUUUCUUUUUUUUCUUUCUCAGUUGAAGGACUUUGUUUGGAACUUAGCUUUAGAUGACUUCCAAGUGGAGAACUCACUGGUUUGGCCUUGCCCAUGUUGAAAUUUCUAAAACCUUUUCAAUAUAGCUUUCUGAAGAUAGCCACAAUUUUUCAUUUGUCCUAUCUUAAGUACACCUGUCUUUUCUAGAAUAAUCUCUAGAGGCUACCAAAAUACAUCAAGAGCACAUAUAGCCUUGGAUUAUAUAAUCUCUCUUGGCAAAAAAAAAACAAGGAAAAUUGGAGAAAGAAUACCCAAAAACACGUUGUCACUGUUCACAGGCAGUAACACCAGUUCCCAAGCUCAAAAUCUGGUCUUCACUAUUAAAUUGUAACUACUCAAGUUUCGAACCUCUCCUCCAAAUUUCAACUCGAUCGGACCAUAGAUGAAGUGGGAUCAACUCCUUGAUGAAAUUUGGGCAAUGAGAUGUGUUUUCCUUUCUCUCUUCUCUUCUCUCUAUUUUUCCUUUCGUCCUUGUAUGUAGACUUUACACUACCUUACAUAGAAUCCGGGUUGUUAAUGAUCAUGCCCAUUAUAGAUAGAAGAAGAAAAAAUGCUUAGGUUUUCUUGAAGCCACUUACUUGUGACCUUUGGGUGACAAGCUUUUGUUUCUUUAUAUUCAUUGGCUUUAUGAUUUGGAUUCUUGAACAUUGAGUAAAUAAGGAUUUUAGGGGGCCUCGUUCACAUCAAGUUGGCACUAUCUUCUGGUUUUCGUUCUCAACAUUGGUGUUUCCUCAGAGUAAUUUUUCUUCCACCUCCUUGAAUUUUAUCUAGCAAUUUAUCUACUCAUGUAAUAUUCAAAUAUCAAGCAUAUCAAGCACAUCUCAAACACAAUAGAAACUAAUUUCUAGUAUGGUCUGCUUGCUUGUUUCCCAUGAUUGCAACCUCUAUUAAUAUAUGGACAUUCCAUACAAUAUGCAAGUAAUUUCAGGAUAAUUUUAAUGUUUCAUAAAUUAUUUGUAUUUGACUUUAUAUUGAUUUUUUGGAGUUGAUUUUCUCUCAUUCUUAAAUUAUGUCAACAAAUGGGAGAAUUGUGAGUAACUUGGCUCGGUUCAUGGCGAUAAUAUGGUUUUUUGUGGUGCUGAUUCUUACUAAAAGUUACACAACCAGCUUGACUUCAAUGUUAAUAGUUCAACAGCUCAACCCAACUAUCAUCGAUAUAAAAAAAGCUGAUAAAGAAAUGGAAGCAUGUUGGUUACCAAAAGGGCUCUUUUGUUCGUGGAUUCUUGAUAGAAUGGAUGAAAUUUAAUGAGUCCAAGCUUGUGAUCUAUGCAUCUUCAGAAGAACUGGAUGAAUUAUUUUCAAACAAAAGUUUAAAAGGUGGAAUUGUUGCCGCAUUUGAUGAAAUCCCUUAUAUAAAAAUUUUCCUUGCAAAAUAUUAUUCCAAAUAUAUUGCAGUUGGACCAAUGUACAAGUUUGAUGGGUUUGGAUUUGUAACUACUCUCUCAUAACACACGUACUUGUAUAAAUUGUAUACCUAGGUUUCUUAUUUUUGAUCAUUUUUCAAGUGUUUCCAAAUGGUUCACCCCUUGUAGCUGAUGUUUCAAGGGAAGUCUUAAACAUGACAGAGGGAACUAAAAUGCUACAACUUGAGAAGACAAGGUUUGGGAAAACACCCAAUUGUCCAGAGCUCAUCAACUUAGUUUCUUCAAACAACAUCGACCUUAAUAGCUUAUAGGGCCUAUUCCUCAUUGUUGGAGUCGUUUCAUUCGUAGCUCUCAUUACAUGCAUCACCACAUUCCUUUAUGAAAAUAAAGACGCUUUAAUAAACUUGAAUCCCUCAUCUUCCAUAUGGAGAAAAAUUAAAGCCAUGGCAACACGCUUUGAUGAUAAAGAUCUCAGGUCCCAUACCUUUAUAAAAAAUGAUAAACUUCCAGACAAAGGGCAUCAAGGCCAUGGAUGUAGUUACAACCUCGCCAGCUACACCAACUUCCCUUCAAGUCCACCAAGCCUUUUGAUCCCAACACACAACAAUUUUGCUUUCUUCGGAGAACAAGGAACACCUUUGUCUAGACAUUGUGAUCCAGUCAAUCCAAAUCGACUAUUGUCUCCACACAUAUUAUUUGAAUAUGAACUUGAUAAUAUAAAUCAUGAGCAAACAAUACCGCUUAAAAUUGAAUAACUGAUCAAUUCGUUUUUCCUGUUUACUUUAUGUUGAUAGCUUCUAUAAUGACCGGGUAUUUUAUGUCAUAUUAGAAUUUCUAAUUUGAGAAGUCUUCUAUUGAAUGGUGGUUGAAAAGUAUAAUAAUAAUAAUAAUUGGAGAACACGUGUCAAUUUUGGAUUGGAAGAAUUUGAAAUAUUUUAUCAGUUAAUUAAGCGAGUUGAAUUUUCAUGCCAUGUCAACUUUAUGGUAGAAAAUUUCUUAGAAUUGUAGAAAUUGAAAAUUUCUGAAAACAAAAAGCGAAAACGAAAAAUGAAAAAUGAAAUAAUUAAAAUUAACUAGAACUAAUUAAGAAAAAAAUUAAAUUAAAUUGCUUAAUAAUAAAUUUAAGAAAAUUAAAAUUUUUGGGAUGGUGUUUAAUAAUUUAUUUUGUGUGUUGUUUUAAAAAAAUGAAAAUGAAAUGGAAUGAAAAAUUAAUUAAGAAAAAAAGUAAAAUGAAUUGAAAAAGAAAAACAAAAGAAAUCAAAUAGUAUUAAGGCUUUUUGAAUGGUGUUGGGUUGUGGGCCACUUAGUGGUUGUGGGGUCAAAAUGCAAAAUGAAUAAGAAAUGAAAAAGGAAAAGGAGAAUAAAAAGAGAAGUGGAGUGGUAGAGGCUCUCAGAUGCAGGGGAGAACAACAACGCCAUCUACUUUUGGCUGACCGUUUUGACCACCAAACGAGCUUAUUUUCGUGUGAAAUUUUGAGGGAAAGUUCUACUCGAUGCAAGAAACAUUUCUACCAUGGUUGAUUUCGUUUUCAAAACUUAGAUUGUUAGAUCUAUGGUAGGAAAUCUUAAUCCUAAAACUUUAAUUUAAUGCACUUUUCUUUUAAAAAAAAAUUAUAAAUCUCAUUAUUGGAAGGUAAAUAAGUAAUAUUUAUGAUUGUGAGAAAGUUUGUUGGGUGAUUUAGGAAUUUUCCUCGGGAUUUUUGUGUGAUAAUGGAAGUGUCUAAUUAUAGAAAAUAACUAUAUUUGAUUAUUGGAAUUAUUGGUGUUGUGGAAAAAUUAUGAAAUUUUGGUAUAGAUUAUGUUUAAUUUUGGUUUGAAUUAUUGGAAAUUAUUUGGUUGUUCUUGGUAAUUUUAUUGUGGAGAAAAUAAUUAUAUUUGAUUAUUGGAAUUAUUGGGGUUAUUGGAAAAUUUUGGAAUUUUGGUAUAAUUGUAAUUUCAAUGAGAUUUGGACUAGUUGGAAUUUUGUUUGAUAUUUGUGAAUGAGGAUAAUUAACCUCAUUGCAUUUCAUUUUCAUCAUGGUUGUGUGAAUGAAAAAUAAAAACUGUGAAAAGUGCAUGAAAUUGAAAAUGAAAGAAAAUAAAAUAGUAAUGAAAAAUAAAGGCCCGUGUGAGGAGAAUUAAGAAGGGAAUAAGAUCCCUAGGGUGAAAAACCCAAAAAUCUACCCCGGGAAGACUCCGAAUUAGGAGUGUAUUUGGAUACGGACGCAUAUCCUUCAAUGAAAGCCCGAAAAUGACAGUGCAUUAUAUGACUAUGUGUCACAUAUACACAUGCAUUUUUAUUUAAGUGUUGAAAAUUGUUGAAUUGUUAUCAUUAUAGAAAUUAAAAUAUGUGGGUUGAUCAAUGAUGAUGGAAUGUUUCUUUUGUGUUCACUUGAAACUUAGUAAUCUCAAUUAACCUCUUGGGUGUAAGGCAUCCUACUAAUCAAUGUGGAAUGCUCACCCCUUCUUAUAUUUUUUUUGAUGCAAAUGUAACUCAUAAGGAUCCACAGAUGGGGCAGGAAGGGCUUUAGGAUGCCUCAGGAGAUUUUGGAGCAGCCUAAUGGAUUGUAGUGUAUUUGUUAUGUUGGUUUAUUUUGGAACUUGUAUUAGCAAACUUUGAAGCUAUAUAUUUGUAAUGAGACUUUAUUCUGAUUAAUUUGCUCAAUUAUGAACUCUUAUUUCUAGACUUUAAUGAUAAUUAUUAUAUCUUGUUGCUCUUGAGUAGUGGUUGGUAUAUUGAUAAAUUGGAUUGUUAGUUGGAGAGAGCUCUAGUGUGAUUUAUGUGUAAAAAAAAAUUUCAGAGAGUUUUGGUUAAUUGCCAACAUAAAUUAAGAGAAACCCUUAGGGUCAAACCUUUGACCUAGGGUCAUGGACCAAAUUCUGGGUCGCUCAGAAUUUUGGGUCAUGACAACACCAUUACCCACAACCAUGGAUUUCAAAAUAAAAAAACGUAUUUGUACUAUAGCUAUAGGCAUUUCAGUUAACACAAUGAUGUACAUUCAAUUUAGGACAGUAUAAAUAUAAGAAGAUCAAGGAAGAAUGGUUGAGCAAAGAUGAUGAGUAUUCAUGUUGAGGCAAGGGAAGAUAAGUUGCUUCAUAGAUAAUCAUUUGGUCAAGUAUGUGAUGUAGGAUUCCAAGAAAGAUUUGUUACCUUUUAGGCAUGAAAUUCUUCUUUCUCAGGAUUAGUAUCCUAAGACAUCUAAGAAGAAAGAGCACAUGUAAGCAGUACCUAAUACCUCCAUAGUGGGUAGCCUUAUGCAUGCAAUGCUAUAUACUGGGUUGGAUAUUUGCUUUGUAGUGGGUAUGUAAGUAGAUAUCAGUCUAAUCUAGGUCCAAAACAGUGAACAAUUGUCAAUCAUAUACUUAAGUAUCUUAGGAGAACGGGAGAUUAUAUGCUUAUAUUCCAAAGUGACGAGUUAGUACCCAAAGGAUAUACAAAUUCAAACUUUCAGUUUGAUAAGGAUUCUCAUCGGUCUACAUCCAGUUUUGUUUUUACUUUUGGUAGUGCAAUUGUUAGUUGGAAGAGUGUGAAACAAUCUUGCAUUAUUGACUCCACUAUAGAAGUUGAGUACGUUGCAACUUCUAAAACAACAAAGGAAGUCGUUUAGCUUAGGAAGUUCCUUAUGGAACUAGGGGGUCAUUCCCUUGGUUAUAUAACUCAUGAUACUUUUUUAUGACAAUAGUGGGGCUAUAACACAGUCUAAAGAACUAAGAAACCACUAGAAAACACAUAAAGAGGAAGUACGAGUUGAUUCAUGAGAUAGUUCAAAAGGGUGAUAUAUUGGUUGAGAAGAUACCUUCUAUAAAUUAAUUACUUGGUAGAUCCCUUCACCUUGCAAUUCGACAAGACACAAGUUUGUGCAUAGUAUCUUGCUAGAAAGUUGGAAACUUUGGAGAAAAACAACCUCCAAAAGUGUAAAGAACAACUCUUGGAUUCUAGGAAUCUAUGGGAAUGCUUGAGCGAUUGGAUUAGUGAUUGAGCAUCUUGACCAAUUGAGCAAUACUGGACUUAAGCAUUGGAAACUGCAUCCAAUAGCUCAACUAGUAGAAUGGUGCAUCCAACACCCUUGGAAAAAUUUUGGUGCUCGAGCGUUCAUGACGAUUGAUGUUGUAAGGAACCCCAUAGCUCUCCAUUCCCUAUCCAAGAUUAAGUUAUGUACAUGAAAAUUUUUGGUGCAUGAAAAUCUUCCUAAGGCUUUCUAAAUCCUAUUCACAACGGAAAAAUAACAUUUUUUAAAAACUAAAUAGGAUUUAGAAUGUGCAACAGAAAACGAUAACUUAGAUUUGGAUAUUUCCAAAUUUGUCAAAAAUAAACUUGAAUCCAAAGGUUUCUAAAUAUUAAAAUUUAAUUUAGAUUUUAAAAUUUUAAUUAAAAUAUUUUUUUUUUAAGUGAUUGAUUUAAUUUUUAUAUUUAAAUAGCUAAAUGUAAAAUGUUUCUACAUUUUUGCUAUCAAAAACUUUAUUUUGUUAGGUGUGGCUAUAUGGGAAAAAUUAGUCACCAAAUUUAGAUUUGUCUUAGAUAAAUAUAAUGCAGAAAAUGCUACUUAUAUUUACUUGUUCCAUAAUUUAUUUUUUUCCAUACUGUUAUUCCAUAGUUUAUUUUUUUUCCCAUAUUGUUACGGAACAAAUUAGUGAAUGCCAUUAACUUUUUUGUAUUAAUAAUGUAAGUUAUUAAAUUGCAAAAUAUUAUAAAAACAUACUUGCCCCAAGAAAUAUAAUGAUUAAAUUUUAUUUUUUUCAAUAAUAUAAACUUUGGGCCCAAAAAUUUUAAAUAACCAGUUUACUAGAAAUAUAUAUAUAUAUAUAUAUAUAUCCUACUUAAAAGUGAUUUUGAUUUAAAAAAAAAUAUAUAUUUACUACAAAUGUAUGUGACUGUUAAAUGCCAUCUAUUUGCUAUGAACAACAAUUCAUCACUGAAAAAUUGUUUUCCUAUGAAAUAAAAUGUUAUUGCAAAAAGCCAUUUCCUCCUAUAAAAAUAUCUUCUUGGCUUAAAGCGUUACGGAAAAUGGAGAAAAUUGUUUUAAUGAAUUAUCGAAAAGCUUGCCGGAUCAGUUUGAUCCAAGAUCGGAUUGAAAAGGAUGAUCGAUUUUUUUUACAGGACAUAGGUGACUACCUUAAAUUCCGUCAAAUUCACGAAUUUAUUGCUGCCUAACACAACAGGUCAACUUCCUGUGUCUUAUCUGUAUAUUUAACAUGAUAAAUAUACCUUAUCAUGUUAAAACAAACACACACCUUAAAUUGUUAUUAUCAUUAUUCUUCCGUAUAUUAAUAAUACUCUUAAGAGUCUAACUCUUAUUUGAAGUUGAAUCAUGGUGUUGAUUGCAUCCCUGAAAAUGUUGAAGAGUUCACCAUGGACUAUGAGGUACUGUAUCGUGGAUGUGAAGAUGAUGUGGGUGUUGAUUAUUGCAAGACCUUUGGGAGAAGCAUCUAGCCCAGGUAAAUCUCUGUACUUAUUCUUUUAGAAUUAAUAAAUUUAUUCUAUGAUCAAUUAAAUGCAAGAAUUUUACAUUCAUAGAGUUUCUAGUAUAUUCUAUAUGCGGUUUUCCAUGUACAUCACAUGGGCAUGUAUGAUUGAAUUUUAUUUUGAUAUUUGAUUAUCGCAUAUUCAUUACAAAAAUUUAUAAAUAGGAAAAGAAAAAUAAAAAUUUUGGGUUUAAAUCUUAAGACUUCUUAUUUACCACUCUAUAAGUAGUUUCAAGAUUCAAGAUAUAUAAGAAGUUUCAAAUUACAUUGAUUAAUCCAUUGAUUAAAAGUAAACUUCCAUACAACUUUCAAAUGGUAGAAUUCACUUGAUAUGGACUAAGGAGGUCAUUGUCUACAAACGCAAGUAGCACUGGUCACUGUUCAUAUGCUCUCUCUUUUAAUACUUUUUUCUUUUGAAAGAGAAAUACUUCUAAUUAUUGCUAUUAUUUUAACUUCAAUUUGGUAUUUGAGUGAUACAAGCAGCUAGCUUUUUAGGUACUAGAGGUAACAAUUCCAUCUCAGCAAUUACAAUUGAUUAAUGAAAUUCAUGUAAAAAAAAGCAUUCAAAGAAACUUAUCAAGCAUUCUUUACUAGAAAAUGUUCAACACAAAAAGGCCCUUUUCCCCCUCAUUUUUCUUAAUUUUGCUAUGUUUCUCAUUUUAUAGAUUUUGUCUUAAACCUAUAUUUUUACUUUUCUAUCUAUAUAUACACAAUACUCAAAAUAAAAAAUUAAUAUGGGAAUUUGAGGAAACAAACAAACUUCCUCUUUGGGGUGGUAAAUUGCUCACUUGUUUUGGACACAGGCUUAUCUGUAUCUAUCAUAAAAAAACUUCUGUUUGAAAAAAGAAUCAUUUCCACUAGGUUUGAAAGAAGAUAACGGAAAAGGGCAAAAACCGAAUCUUUUUUCUUCCUUACUUGUACUUAAGAGAGUUCUUCAUAUGUGAGGGAGGAUUUUUGAUAGGGUUGUUUCUAUCAUUUGAAAAUUUAUAAAAUUUUUGAAGCUAUCUUGGUAAUAAACUUUAAUUGGAUUAUGGGGGCGAUCUUUUUGGGCUUAAUAAAUAAAUCUUCGGCCAUAACUUUUGGGCCGGGUCAAAAGAGGAGUGCGCUCUCUUCAAUAGUUUUUUUUUUUUUUUUUUUUAAAUAUAAAUGUAAGAUAUUUUAAAUUGUCUGUGCCAGUGUCAUAGCUUGGGAUUAUACCAUGGGGGCACUAAAAAACCAAAAUUCUGGGAAAAUAAUAAUAAUAAUUGGGCUACGAAUAUAUGAAUAUGAUGUAUUGGUAUCAGCACAUCAGUACCGGCCAUCAUCCUUAAGUAAUUUUUUCCCUUGAUCAUCUACGUUAAGUCAUACAGGCACAGAUCCUUUAUAAGAUGCACAUGGAGUUGACGUCAAUUCAACACGUCAACUGAAUUGGGCCAGAGUCAUGGUGCUACUUUUCUAUGAAAUACAGAGUUGGGUAUAAUCAGUUAUUCACAUCAACUACUUCAGGUGCUCCUUUCGGCUCUUGAUUUCAAUUGGCAAGCUCGAUACCAAAUGCUGUCUCAGGAGAUGUCUGCCCAUUUGGACUCAUUGGAUCACCAUAUUCGGUAACAGGUCUGGAGAAAGCAAAAUUACUCUGUGUUUGGACUGAAAGGCUUGAUGGACUCGGCGGGUAGUUUGUGGCUGGAGAGGCAGUCACCACAAAAAACCAUAUGAUCAUCACGAACCGAGCCAAGUUGCUGACAAUUCUCUCCCCUAUAAAUAUGAUUUAAUUAAUUUAGAAUGCAAAAGAAAAUCAACAAGAAAACAUCAAUUUUAAGAUUGGCAUACGUAUGGAGUGUUUUCCAAAAUUGAAGGAAUUGGUUCAGUUAUGUUUUCCAAUCUUAUUAUAAAAUUCCAAAAUCUAAUUGGCAUUUCUCAACAUGCUACAUAUAUAUAUUGUGCAUUUAAAUUCAAGGAGGUGGAAGAGAAAUUACUCUGAGCAAACACCAAUGUUGAGAAGGAGAACCAGAAGAUUGUGCCAACUUGAUGUGAACGAGGCCCUCUGAAAUCUUCAUUUAUUCGAUGUUCAAGAGUCCAAAUCACAAAGCCAAUGAAGACAAAGAAACAAGCGCUUGUCACCCAAAGGUCCCAAGUUAAUGGCUUCAGAAAGACCCAUGCAUUUUUACUUCUGUUAUUGAUGAUGGGCACGAUCAUUGAUACGCCAGACUCGGUGUAAGGUAGUGUAAAGUCUACAUAGAAGGACCUGUUCGCUAGAAUAGUAAUAUCUCCCACCACAGCGUCAUACUUCUGUUCAUGAUAAAAGUAGAGCUAAAAUUGGUGAGAUAUUUCAUUGCAAAAGGAUGGCAGUUUCCCUCUAUUUGACAGUUGAUGACCAUAGUUGAAUGAAAAUCGUUGUGUAUUAAGGAAUCUAAAAGUCAUGGCUAACCUGAAAAUAUACUUGAGAUAUCAAUUCAUCAUAGCUACCAGCAGCCUUUCCAUCAGGUGUCUCGAAGGGAACGUAUUCGUAAGGAACAGCAUAUGGUAAUGUUUCCAUUACGUUUUCGAAGAUAGCGAUAGAGUAACCAGUGAUCUUUGUUGUAUUAGUGAUAGGAUCUCGCGUCACCUUCACAAAUUCACUAAAACCCUCCUUCACUGGAACUCCUAUCUUCAACUUCUUUCCGUUGGUAGGAAGCACCCAACCUUUAGGAACAGAAGGAGAUUCUCCUGGCCAUGUAAUGGCUCUUAGAUUGGCCUUAGAAGUAGAAUUCGAUCUUCUUACAAUUCCAUUCUCUGGUGUCCAAAAUCCAACCCCUCUUUCCCCUUCACCAAUCACAUUAACUAUAUGGAAAGCUGAUGUGCGUAGUUGCCCAUCUCCAAUUUGAAAAUCUCCGCUAAGGCCUCUAAAUCGAGUACUUAAUAGUGAAUGGAGAAUAUUUGGACCAACCGGGGAAACUCUAAUACUCUCAAAACCGGUUGAAUCUCUGGAAAUGUUAGUCUUUUGGAGGCUGAAGUUUCCCGCGCCAAGUUUUUCAACUGCCAUGGCUAGUGCACAAGCAGCAUCGUAGGCCCAGAGUCCAAAAAUAUUCAGCUCAGAGAUUUCAUUGGUUGGAUAUUCUUCUUGUAUUUUCUUUUUCCAUCUGAUUUUAAAACUUUCAAGCUCUUUGGUUCUUGGAACAUGGGGCUUGACGCCCAACACCCCUUGCAUCGAAUCAAUGGCUGAAGCGUUCAAAGUACUCAAGAAGUCGGUUAUCCCAUCAGUUAGUAUCCAAACAUAGCCUUCUUCCAUCAUUCCAGCCUCAUUUGCUUUGGUAAAAAGCCGGUAGCCAAGAGGCGUAAGCAUAUGCACAAUGAAAACUCUAGUUGGUAUCCUCAUCAACUUGUGAAGUUCUUCAACAAGUUGAUCGUCAGUUACUGAUGGAUGAAUGGGGCUCCAGUAGGUCACAUGGGCGUCCACCUCCAGGAAGGCACUAGUCAGAGACGGUAUGACUCCAUUGCCAUACUCGUUGUCAACGUAAAUAAGCACAACUUCUCUCCAUCCAAAGGUCUGGACUAUUGCCCUAAUUGCCGGUACUUGAGCUGAGUCAUUUAGGGUAGCUCGGAUAAAAUAUUGACUCUGAAGCGAAGAAAGAGAGGGACUUGUUGCAGAAAAUGAAAUGAUGGGCACCCGAGCUUUACUUCCAAGACCGAUCAUGAAGUUGGCCUGCAUCGAUGAUCCCGGCCCUAUUAUGGCUUCCACUUCCUCAUUUUGCAAGAGGUCAACAGCUGAGUUCAGGAGCAUGCAUGUUCAAACGAUAAACAAGCAUUAAAAUGAAUUAAUAAAUUUUUACACUAAAGUGAGCAAUCAAACUUUAACCAACUGCAAUCAACUGUAUAGAUAUUGUCCAUUAUAGACCAAAAAGGGUGUUUGUCCGUUUGGUCUCGUAAUCUCAUGAGAAAAGGCUGUUUGUGAUAUCUCAUAUUGAAUAAAGGAGAAAGUUUUUGACAUUGUAUAUGUAUAAGUUCUUUAAUCAUAUAGACGUAUUUUAAAGUCAUGAGAGUUUUUUGGGCUUAAAAUUGAUAAUAUUUACACGGUUGGAUAUGAAUAAUUACACAAAUAGGGUACAAAAACCUUGUUUAUCAUAUUUUUUGUCCUAAUAUAAUAGUAAAAUAUGAUAUGAUAUUAUAAUUUAAGAUGAAAAUGACCCAUUUAUUGUAUGCUCAACAAGAUAUAUACAACUUUCAAUCAUUUAAUAAAAUAGGAUCAUUUGGGUUAGAAGUCAUCAAUAAUCCAUUUAAUCCCUGUUAUCACCUACUUUAACACAAUUAAGGUUUAUUUAAAUUAUUUUAAAUUUUAAAUUUAUCUUAAUUAUAUGUUAGCUUAUUUUUGAAAAUAAUUUGCCAAAAGUAUAAUACAGUUAUUAUAAUUUAUUAAUAAAAGUCCCAUUAAAAAAAUUAAAAUCUAUAAAUCAGCAUGAAUAUGAAAACAAGCACUCACCGUUAACCUAAUUCCACUAAUUUCAUAUCGUUUUCGACUUAUGUUCACAAAUAAUGUCAAAAUUGACGCCAUUAUAGUUUUUUAACACUGUUUACUACCCCUUAAAUAUCAUGUGGUGAAUAUGAAAACCUCUUGGUCAUUUCCCCAAGAUAUGUUAUCUAGUUGAAACAAUAAAACAAAUAAACAUGGCACAAUUAAUUGAGACUCUUUUGCAAUAAUUCUUGGUCAUAUCUGUUCUCGUUGAGAUAUUUUCUUAAUUAAUAAAUCACGAGUGUAGUACUAUAAUCACAAGUGUAAUACCAUAUAUCUUGUGGGUUCUAAAUUUUCAAUUUUUUUUCUUUUUUUUUUAAUUUUUUUUGGAUCACUCUAAGUUGAUAUAAACAAUGUUUUGAAAAUCAGAUAUCAAACUAUUGAUGGAAGCUUGGUCCAACCUUUAGAUUGGAGAACCCGUUGAGCCGACCUUGAAACGGACAGACCAUUGAGCUGGUGAAAUAUGCUAUCAGUUCUAGGUUGGCCAAACUUUUUUUUUUUCUCUCAACAAAAGCCUAGCCCACAGUGGAGGGGUGGAAGCCCAACUCAAAGUCAAGGAGUGGCUCUGUUGUGGGCCUUGUGGCAAUUAUGAUUGACGAGGAUGAAAGAAAUUGAGUUAUUGAAAAAUCCAAAAUUCUUAGAAUUUGGGGAUUUGAGCCAUGGACCAUCAGCUCGUGGAUGGGCUAUAACCACUCAUUUAAUAAAAUUUAAAAUAUUAAAAUAUUUAUAUUUAUUUUUAUAAUAUUAAAUAUGAAAAAUAAAUAUUAUUAUUUUUAAUUUUACUUUUAAUUUUAUAUAUAUAUUAAAAUUUUAUAAUUACUUUUAAUUGUAAUAAUAUAUUCAUUAUAUAUUUAUAAUAUUAUCAGUAAAUUAAUAACUUUUCUGAUUUAUGUACCGGUUACGAAAAUAUUGAGGAAACAUAAAAAAUAAACUCUAAUAUUUUAGAGUAUUCUUGCGCUUUCCUGAGAGAAUACUGAAAGCAAAUAUCUUUUACUGUGCUAGUUAAACUGCUCUCAAUUAAGUUUAUUAGUUCUAAGAGAGAUAAGACCAGCGAACUUCCUCGAAACCCAAAUGGCUUGACUUCUAAAAUUAUUUAGACUGAUGAGUUUAACACUUAAAGAAGAAGAUCUAAGGGAUAGUACCUGCUGCAGCUGCACCAACAACAUCUCUUUUGGAAUCUCUGACUUUUGUAACCACCCUGGUUUUGUAGUGGCCAUGAGAGGCAUAGAAGUCUGAGAGGGCCAUGGAGAUGCAGCUCAACCCCAUCUUCCCAACCCAUGUAUCCAAGUCCAGAACCACUCCCACUUUAACUGGUAUUGUUGUGUUCUGUGCCAUGCCCUUUUCUAUGAAGAAAAUCGUGGGAAAGAGAAAGAACAAGAGAGAGGCAAGGAGUUGGGUAGGGUGCCUUCUCAUCUUUGAACUCGUUGGAAGCUAUGGUAGUCAUAAUAUUGGAGAGAAACUAAGAGAUUAUUUAUAGGACUUAGAAUUUUGAAUUUUGAAACCAGAAGCCAGCUGGAAUCAGGACUACUCUGCAGUCAACUUGAGAAGGACGCCCAACUGGACUCUCGUCUCUUUAUCGACAGCAUGCAAGGAAACUGCUGUCGAUAUAUUCUAUGUUUUGAGAGAUAUUUAGUUUUUAAUUAACUUCUUACUUUGUAAUAUAAUUUAUAUUUUAUGGUAUUAAAAUAAUCAUUUCAUUUACUCUUUUUAUUUUUUAACCCAUAAAAACUCUUCUAUGUGGAUUUGACAUGACUUGGAAAUUCCUUUCCUGAACUUGAUCAUAUUGUAUUUAAGACCAGAUAUAUUAAUAGAUGGAUUUAAUAUGAAUUGCUUUACAUCUCAUCCAAGUGUAUUGUUACUUAAAAAUAUGAACCUCAAUGUGUAUAAAACCCACAUAGUGGUGAAAAAAAAACAUUUAGGAAACAAAAUGAUGAUUUUAAUAAAUCUUUUAAUAACUAUUUUUUCACACUAUUAUUAUUAAGAGUGUAUUUGAAAGUGAUUUUAAAAAACGUUUUUAACAUUUUUAAGACUUAUUACUUGCAAAUCUCAUUAUAAUGUUGAAUAAACAUACAUUGGAAAGCGAGAUUAAUUAAAUAGAUCAUAUCACACACAUAGACACCAUCAUAUAUAUAUUUGUAGACCCGCAUUUUUCUUAUGCAUCCCCACUCGAUGACGAAACUCGUUUUUUAUUUAUUUGUGAAAUUUUGAUUUUUAGAAAAAGACUUGGAGUCACCAUUAUUUUUGUUUUAUUUUUUAAAUAUAUUUGUAGACCCGCAUUUUUCUUAUGCAUCCCCACUCGAUGACGAAACUCGUUUUUUAUUUAUUUGUGAAAUUUUGAUUUUUAGAAAAAAACUUGGAGUCACCAUUUAUUUUUGUUUUAUUUUUUAAAGUGAAAAUAAAAUAAGAAAAAAAAACUCUGUGUGACUUCUUAUUUGAAAAAAAACAUGUCUGCAAAAAUCAAGUCUGAAUUUGGAGUCAGGUUACCUAUUGAGAAAAUAUAAUGGUGAGCUGUAGCACCCCUCUAAACUUGUAUACCUACUAUCUCUACUAAACGAAUCAAGAGAAUUGUGACAAUUAAUUAAUUAAUAAUGUAUAUUAAGAUUAAAAGAACAAAUUAAUACACAAAAAUUGGGAUAAAAUCUAAUUACAAGAAUUCACAAAAUAAAUGACAAGAGAAUGAUGCAAAAUGAUUUAUUGAACUAAAUAAAAUAAAAUAAAAAAUUCAAAAGAAUUAGUUCUCGAGAAAUUUUAAAGGAUUUUAUUAAAAACAAUUUUGAAUUAAUGAUUUCAAUUUAUUUAUUUACCAAAAAGAGUCAAUUUAUUUUCUCAAUUUUAUUUGUAUUCAAUUUUCAAAAAAGUUAUUUACACUUAUUGUAUGAAAAGAAUUUAUUACAAAAUUUCAAUUUGGGCAUAAAAAUUAUUUUUACUUACUUUUACUAAAAAUGAAUAAAUUUUUACAAUUUUAUUUAAAAGGUAUUUUGAUUUAUUUUCAUUUAAGAAAAGUGACUUAUACAAAUUAAAAAAAAACUUUAUUUGCAAAAUAAUAAUAAUACUAAUAAUAAUAAUAAUUAAAAAGAAAAAAUUAAAUCCCCUAUUUUUAAAAAUUACUUUUAAUCCCAUUUUAAUUAAGAAAAAAUAAUUUAUUUUAAAAAAAAACAUUUUUUUUGACAAUUUUAUUAAAAAUUAAUUUUUGGGACAACUUUAUUUACAAAACGAUUUUUGGACAAUUUUUAUUAAACAAAGAAAAUUUUGGACAAUUAUUAUUAAAAAAUAAAAUUUCAAAUUCUAUUAAAAACAAUUUUUUUCGAUUUUUCUAAAAGAAUUUUUCUAAAUUUUUAUUAAUAAAAAACUUUAUUUUAUUAAGAAUAAUAUUUUCUAAACUAUUAUUUUGUUAAAACAUGUUUACUGAAUUGUUCCUCUUAUUCAAAUAAAAUUUCUUAUUUGUUCGAUAUUCAAUUAUGUACACAACAAGUAAGUAUAUAUAAACAAAUAUUUAUAGAAACCAAUAAAAAUAAAACAAAAUAGUAGUAGGAAAUAAAAUGUAUACCCAAUAAGCUUACAACAAUCUUAAUAUCUUCCUACAAUUUUUCGAGUCUUACUUUCUUUCAUGAAAUUUCAUACUCCACAUGUCAUACUUCACAUGUCAUGAAUCCAUACUCAGCCAAUAAAAUUAUAGAAUGGGUCCAUACAAAAACAAAAAUAGUCCAAAUGUAAAUAUCCAGAAUUACACAAAGUUCAAAACAAAUAUUCAAGUCCAAAUUCAAACUUCAAAUUAAUCUAAUAAAUUUCAUUAAUCAAAAUGAGUCCAAAUUAUCAAUAUAUACUCCAACAAAAAUAUCUCAUAUGUCAUAGCCCUAUUCAAAAUUUUCAAAUUAAUAACCAAAGUAUAAGUUCAAUUAAUCAAACCCAAAAUAUGAUAAAUUAAAAUCAAUUUCAUUAGGCCUAAACUUAAUAUCCCAUAAUUCCAACCUAAUUUAAUAUGCAAAUUUAAAUCCACAAUCAAAAUAAAACCUGAUUUAUACUAAUCCCAAUUUACAAUUAAAAUCAAAUACAAUUUAAUAAAUAAAUAACUAAAUAAAUUAAGCAAACUUAAAACAUCCAAACCACUAAAUCAAACAAUAAUAAAAAUAAAAAUUUUAACUCGCGUUUUAGAGCCGAUUUGAGUGUUGUAGGAAAAAAAGAAAAUGGGAGAAAAGUGGGAGAUGAGGGAGAUGGUCACCGGCUAGUAGUGGCUGGACGAAGAUGAUUGGUCGGUGGUCCUGUCAGUGGCAAUAAGGAGUGAUAGAUUUUUGGAAAACAAAAAUUAAAUAAAUAAAUAAAAAAGAAAAAGAAAAGGAAGAGUAGAAAUGUGCGCAAAAAUAAUGGGAGAAGAUAAGAGGGAGAGAAGGUUGUGGGGCAAUGUGGAGGAAAAAGAGGAAGAGCGGUUGGGAGAAGAAAAUGGAGAAAAAAAAAAGGGUCGGUUGGUGUGUGCUCUCUGAGGUGUGGUGAGUGGGAAAGAAAAAAAAUGGAGCUAAAAAAAAUGGGACCGACCACCAAAAUGGGAAGAAAAACUAAAAGAAAAAGGGAAAUGAGAAGAAAGAGAAGAGACCUGCAAAAACAUAUUUUUCUCAAAAUUUCCUCCACUUUCCUGCAAAAACAUGAAAAGAAAAAAAAUAGAAAGAAAAUUGCCCAUCAUCCUCUUCCUUCAUUUUCCUAUACUUUUUUAGGUUAAAAUUAACUAAGCUAAGUAUUGAUUUAUACUCUAACAAUGAGUCAAUGCCCCUGCAUCUCAUAAUAUGAGACCUGCAACUUCCUUCCAACACUAAAUUAAGCUUCUGUUCAAUUUCUUCUUGAGAAAGGAAUUCAAAUUCAAUUCCAGACGUCAUGCCGUGGCUUUGCCUCCAGUUAUCUCAAAUUCGUAUGUUUGGAAGACCAUAUGCUCCAUCAUCUGGACUUCUUAUUCAAAUAUUCUUGCUGCACCACAAUACUAGAAUUCAAAGGCAUUGACUUCUCAAUUCCAUGUUUAUUAUUUAGAGGUCAAUUUGUGUUGUACAAAAGAAAAAUAAAAAGAAAUCAAUUUUCCUAUUGUUGACUCAGUCUGCCCUAAGCGCCUACUCUUCAUCAAAGCCAAAAUUAAGGAAAUGCAGGGAAACACCUCUGAAUAUUUGCUGCCAACUAACAUACAGAUGUCAUGGCGGAAGCUGGGGACUGGGUUUGACUGUAUGGUAUAGAGGUAAGCACCUCCACCGGGUAUGAAGAUCGAAGACACAGUCAAUCCUUGAAGCAACAAGGAAGCUAGGACAUAUUUUACCAUGAAGGACUGAUGCUCUUGAUGUAUCCUUGUAAGUUAUCCUGUGAUUCUUAAUAAUUGGAAAAACAAUAGCCAAUAUUUUAUCCUAUAAUAUCUUUUAAUGACUAAGAUAAGAUGGCUUUGGAACUUAGCUAGGUUUUCGCAAAAUUAAAAAGAUUUGAUUGGCUAAGAUGGAAGAUUUGAUUGGCUAAGAUGGCUUAAUUUGAGUUUCAUUGAUAAAUAAGCCCGCUUGAAAAAUGAAGUGCUGACUGAGAUAUAUUUCUUAUUUUUUGUUUUUAAAAAAUAUAAAAUUAGUUUUUAAAUAAAAUAUAAUGAUGUAUAUUAUAUCUUUAAAAAUUAUUUUUAAAAUUUGAAUAUCUUGUCUUUUUUUAAAAAAAAAAAUUUAAAUAGUUAUUUUUUGAAGGUAAGUUUCAAAAAAAAUUUUAUAUUUUAAACAAAAGAGUUUUGGAGUAUUUUGAAUUCAUACAAAUAAUUUUUUGAACUUUUUAUGUAAAGAUAAGCAAAUCUUUUAAAAAGGAAAAAUACUUUAAUAAUUUUUUUUAAAAAAGAAAUGUUAUCACACGAAUGAAUUGCUCUUAUAAAAUUGUUGAAUUAUUAUUAUUAUUAUUAUUAUUUUAAAAAAGUCAACUGAUGUUGCUGCAUACUCUCUCGUUAAAAAUGUAAAUUAUUUGGAGAAUCAACUCAAAAGAAGAAUUUUGCCAUUAUUUAGUGGUAAUACGUGUACUUGGCAAGUGGUGGAAUAGUUUAUUGUCAAAUCCUUUAUUAAAGGUUACAAGAUCCAUUAUUUAAUUACAAGUUCGUUUGACAGGAUCCAUUGUGAGUUUCUUGAGGAGUUUGAUGUUGCAAGAAGCAUAAUCUUUAAUAGAGUGACACAACGUGAAACCCAGUGGUUGGGUCAGGAUGAUAGUCUCUCAACCUCAAUCAAAGAAUCACAUCUAUCAUUAUCACCCUAGUUGAACUUCAUUUAUAUAAUUCAAGUUGUCAAUUUAUGCUUGAACUAAUAUUUUUUUAACAAGCUCGAAUUGAAAUUUAGUUAAGUUUAGGUUGGUUAAGUUAUAUAUAUAAAAAAAAAUGAACAGAUUAAGCUUGACUUGAACAGGUUUAGUGAUCAUAUCAAAGUUUGGUUAACUCAAAUUAGAAAAAAAUAAAAAGUGUUAAAACUCGGGUUGAAUUAGAUUAGGUUAAAUUAGAGGAAAAAUAACAUAUUAGCACAUCAAAAUGAGUUUUGUUCGUGAAAGUUUUCAUCUUACCAUAUGCACGAAUAAACCAUAUUUAUUACUUUCAUCAACAUUAAAUCCAUUAACUUAAUACAACAAUUUGGUAUAAGAUAAACAAUAUAGUUUUAAUAGAUAAGAAGUUGAUCUAUCUAAUUCUACAUAAGAAUUUAAUUAAUAUUUAAAUAUCAAUAAUUAAAGAAUAUAGCAUAAAAUUUAAUUAUUUAUUAUAUGCAAUAUAAUUUCUAAUUAAAAUUAUUAAAUACUCGGUUCAAGUCAUAUUGUUUGGCAAUUUGAAUUAGGUACUCAACCCAAAUUAAAUUAGAAAAGGGGCUGUCCAAACCAGCACAAAUUCGGGUUAGCUUCCUUGGGAUUGGGUUGGAAUGUGUUUAAUCCGUACAAGUUGCAGUCCUAAGAGUGGGUCUGGCUCCACCAAACUAUUUUGAUUUGGUCAAGGUAAACAAAUUAAAUAAGAAAAAUGCUGUCACAAAGAGUGAUGCAACCCUAUAAACAAGACUAAAUAUUAUAUAGCUGCGUUGCUUUCUCAAAAGUCCAGUUGGGUCCUUUUUGCUUACCCUGCAGAGGAGUCUUUCUUCAAGGCUGCUGAUUCCUACCUCACAGUCUAAAUCCUAUAAAUAAUCUCUCUCUCGCCACGUUAUGAAUCUUAAAGCGUCCCCAGAAAAGGUUGAAAGAUGAGAAAGAACCUUACCCAACUCGCUUUAUAUCUCUUCUGCUGUCUCUCUCUCUGGAUUUUCUUCAUAGAAACGGCCAUGCCACAGAACACAAAGAUUCCAGUUAAAGUGGGAGUGGUUCUCGACAUGGAUACCUGGCUAGGGAAGAUGGGAUUGAGCUGCAUCUCCAUGGCACUCUCAGACUUCUAUGCCUCUCAUGGGCACUACAAGACUAGGCUGGUUCCGGAAAUUAGAAACUCCAAACGAGAUGUCGUUGGUGCAGCUGCAGCUGGUACUCUCUCCCUCUCUCUCUCUCUCUCUCAAUACUCUCACACAUAAUGAUUAGAUUAUUAAUCUAUUUAGAAAAUUGAAUUGUAUUACCGAGAAAACUGUAAGCACAUAUUGAAUCUAUGGUUAACUUAACUUAACAUGCCGUACUAAUUUUAAAAUAAGAGAUGCUAUUUUAUCAUUUUCUAUUUUUUUUAUGCUUAUUUUGAGUGUAUCUCUCAAACAACAGAUCAAUGUAUGAUAUUUGGGUUCUUUUUCUUUUAGAGAUCCCAUAAUUGAGACCUAUAACUGGACUAAUUACCAAUAAAAAUACGAUUGUCUUUAGCUAAUUUGGAUUUUUUUUUAAUUAUCACCUUAUUGGCAGAUGGUGAUUAAAAGAGACAAAAUAUGUAUCUAUGUUUUUUAUUUACAUUUCUUCUUCUGUCUGUUGACAUUUACAGCCUUUCUAACAUGGUAAAAGAAGUAGUAAAGCUAUUAAUUAAGCAAAGUUGUUGAUGGAAAAGAGUCCUCAUGUUUAACCACACUGUCAUAUCCAUUAAAGAUGGCAAAUUAAGAGUCUCUAUAAAUUGGAAUCAAAGAUUAUGCAAAAGGUCUUCAUAAGUUUUCCUGUUUUUUUUAUAAAAGUCAACUCCGGUAUUGUGGCCAAGAGCCAUGAGAAUAUUCGAGUUGGAGUUAAUAAAUAUGUGUCUAUUUUUAGGGGAGAAUGGGAAGUAGUUACCGAAAUGAGAUGCCAGUUGCUUGGGAUUAUGAUUAUCAGCGGCUGUUUGGUAGAAAAGCUAGUUCGUCAUGAAAAUAUGUACUAUUAUGUCUCAAUUAAUACAAUAUCAACUAAGUUCUUUUAUUCAUGCAACCAAGGAUGAUUUUUAUUUCUAUUUCUACCUUGUUUAAUUGCUAAUAAUAUACUCCAAAGAUAUAAUGAAAUUUUGGAAUCUUUAAAUCUGAUAAAGUAUUUGAUUAUGUUUCGAACCUCCUGUGAAAUUCAGCUCUAGACUUGUUGCAAAAUGAGGACGUUCAAGCCAUCAUAGGACCAGCAUCUUCCAUGCAGGCCAACUUCCUGAUUGGUCUCGGAGACAAAACUCAUGUGCCCAUCAUUUCAUUUUCUGCAACAAGCCCUUCUCUUUCUUCACUUCAGAGUCAAUAUUUUAUCCGAGCCACCCUAAAUGACUCAGCUCAAGUACCAGCAAUAAGGGCAAUUGUCCAAGCCUUUGGAUGGAGAGAAGUUGUGCUUAUUUACGUGGGCAAUGAGUAUGGGAAUGGCGUUAUACCAUAUCUUACCGAUGCCUUGCAAGAGAUUGACACCCGUAUCGCCUACAGGUACGUCAUUCCUCCAUUAGCCACUGAUGAUCAAAUUGUCAAAGAACUUUACAAGCUGAUGACAAUGUCAACCAGAGUUUUCAUUGUACACAUGUCUACACCUCUUGGGCCUCGGCUUUUCACCAAAGCAAAUAAGGUGGGAAUGAUGGAUGAAGGCUAUGUUUGGAUACUGACUGAUGGGAUGGCUGAUAUGUUGAGUACUUUGGAUGAGUCGGUCAUUGAUUCGAUGCAAGGAGUGUUGGGUGUAAAGCCUCAUGUUCCUAGAUCUAAAGAGCUUAAAAGUUUUGAAAUCAGAUGGAAAAGAAAAAUCCAGCAAGAAUAUCCAACCAAUGAAAGCUAUGAGUUGAACAUAUUUGGCCUCUGGGCUUAUGAUGCUGCUUCUGGGUUAGCCAUGGCAGUUGAACAACUUGGGACAACAAACUUCAGCUUCCAAAAUUCUAAUAUUUCCAGAAAUUCAACCGGUCUUGGGACUAUACAAGUCUCCAAAACUGGUCCAUAUCUUCUCCAAUCACUUCUAAGUACUAAAUUCAGAGGCCUCAGUGGAGAUUUUCAAAUUGUUGAUGGGCAACUACGUUCAUCAGCCUUUCAGAUAGUCAAUGUGAUCGGUAAAGGGGAAAGAGGGGUGGCACUUUGGACACCGGAGAAUGGGAUUGUAAGAAAUUCAAAUCCUACUUAUAAGGCUGAUCUAAGAACCAUCAUAUGGCCGGGAGACUCUCCUUCGGUUCCUAAAGGUUGGGUGCUUCCCACAAACGGCAUGAAGUCCUUGAGAAUAGGAGUACCAGUGAAAGAGGGGUUUAGUGAAUUUGUAAAGGUGACACGAGAUCCUAUCACUAACAUUACAAAGGUCACUGGAUACUGCAUAGCUAUCUUCGAUGCUGUGAUGGCAGCAUUGCCAUAUUCUGUUCCUUACGAGUACAUUCCGUUCGAGACCUCUGAUGGCAAGCCUGCUGGCAAUUACAAUGAUUUGAUAUAUCAAGUAUAUCUUCAGGUUAGUUCAUGAACUCCUUGACUUUCCAAGCAGAUAGAACUAACUCUAGCUUAACUCCAGUUAUAAAACCAACUGCAAUCCUUUCAUGUUAUUCUUUGUGUGCAUAGAAGACGAGCAAACCAGAAAUUCCAACCAAAUGUAUUAACAGAUUGGUCCAAAAUUCUAUUGUGAACAGAAGUAUGAUGCUGUUGUGGGAGAUACUACUAUCGUAGCGAACAGGUCCUUAUAUGUAGACUUUACGCUGCCUUACACGGAAUCUGGGGUGUCAAUGAUUGUGCCCGUCAUAGAUAAAAGAAGUAAAAAUGCAUGGGUUUUCUUGAAGCCACUGACUUGGGACCUUUGGGUGACAAGCGCUUGUUUCUUUGUCUUCAUUGGUUUUGUGAUUUGGGUUCUGGAACAUCGUAUAAAUGAAGAUUUUAGAGGACCUCGUUCAAAUCAAGUUGGCACGAUCCUCUGGUUUUCAUUCUCGACCAUGGUGUUUGCCCAGAGUAAUUGCUCUUCCACCUCCUCGAAUAUACGUGGCAAUGAAAAAACUACAUGAUAGUAAUUUAGAACACUGCAUAUUUCCAUGCUGUCAGAACCUUAAUAUGAUAACACUCAAAACACAACUGAAACCAACUAUUAAUAUAUGGACAUUCCAUACAAUAUGCAAGUAAAGUUCAGGAUAUAUUUUUAUGUUUCAAAAUUUAUAUUUGACUUGAUAUUGAUGUUCUGAAGCUGAUCUUCCUUUCCAUUCUUAAAUUAUGUUUAUAGAGGAGAGAGUUGUGAGUAACUUGGCUCGGUUCGUGGUGAUCAUAUGGUUUUUCGUGGUGCUGAUUCUUACUCAAAGUUAUACUGCCAGCUUGACUUCAAUGUUAACAGUUCAACAGCUGAAGCCGACUAUCACAGACAUAAAUGAGCUCAUAAAGAAUGGGGAGCGUGUGGGUUACCAGACGGGCUCUUUUGUUCAUGAAUUCUUGAAGUGGAUGAAAUUUGAUGAAACCAAGCUUGUAAUCUAUGAGUCUCCAGAAGGGCUGGAUGAAUUAUUUUCAAACAGGAGUUCAGAUGGUGGAAUUGCUGCUGCUUUUGAGGAAAUCCCUUACAUGAAGCUUUUCCUUGCAAAAUAUUGCUCCAAAUACACUGCAGUUCAACCAACUUACAAGUUUGAUGGGUUUGGAUUUGUGAGUCUCUCUCACGUACUUGUGCAUAAAUUUCAAACUGUAUUUGGUUUCUUAUUUUGUAAUUUUCAGGUCUUCCCAAAGCGAUCACCUCUCAUACCUGAUGUUUCAAUGCAAGUCUUAAAUGUGACUGAGGGAGCUAAAAUGGUUCAAUUUGAGAAAGCAUGGUUUGGGCAGACACCCAGUUGUCCAGAGCUCACCAGCUCAGUUUCUUCAAACAGCAUCGGCCUUAAUAGCUUUUGGGGCCUAUUCCUCAUUGCUGGAGUCGCUUCAUUUGUAGCUCUCAUCAUAUGCAUCACCACUUUCUUGUAUGAAAAUAGAGAUACUUUAGUACACUUGGAUCCCCCAGCUUCAGUAUGGAGAAAAAUUAAAGCCAUGGCGACACGCUUUGAUCACAAAGACCUCAGCUCGCAUACUUUCAGGAAAAGUGAAAUGGUAGAUAGAAGUGGCAUCAAUGGUAUGGAUGCAGUUACAGCCUCGCCAGCUACCAACUGCCCCCCAAGUCCAUCAAGCCUUUCCAUCCAAACAGAGAGUAAUUUUGCUUUCUUCAGAGACCAAGAAACGCCUUCUUCUGAAUAUGGCGAUCCAUUCAGUCCAAAUAGGCAGACAUCUCCACAGUAGUAUUUGAUAUUAAUUAAUCUUACUAAUACAAAUCAAGUGCAAAUGAUUCCGCCUCAAGUAGCAGCUGCGAAUGACUGAUUCAUUUUCCUUUUGUAAUUUAAGCCAGUGGAACCAUUAUCCACAAAUGUGGAAUAUUUCAUGAAAAAGUAGCACUGUAGCUAUAGCAAAUUUGGUUAAAAUAUUUGAGGAUAUAUCUCAAUGAUGAACUACACCGAGAGGAGGAGAGGGGCUGAAUAGGUGUUUUUAAAUAAAUUCGAAAAGUUCUCCCAACAUAUAUAUAUUGCUUUCUUCCAACGUCUAUUCAACAAAGAAUAAAAUACGCAAGCAAACAACCUCCUAUAAGGCCACUAAACAAAUUUACUGACUUCAUAGUGGAUAGAGCAAUGCAGGAUUACUUCUUAGUCCACCAAGUAAUAGUGACACCAUUGAGUAAAAAACAUAUCUCAUAGUGGAUUUGCACUCAUCUCAAUCACUAACCCAAUCUGUAUUAUAAUAUCCUCUUAAUCUCAAGUCUCCACCUCGAUAGCAAAGGACAAAAUCUCUACAUCCUUGGAGGUGGCGAAAAAUCCUCUUAAUUGCUCGCCAAUGAAUGGGGUAUGGGUUACUUUGGUAACGAUUGACCAAUUGAACUACGAAGCAUAUGUAGGGUCAAGUACACAACAUAACAUAUAUCAUACUUCCAAUUGCACUCACAUAAGGAACUCUUACCAUAUGUUUCCUUUCUUCAUCAUUCUUAGGGCAUUGAUCAAGGCUUAGGCUGUAACCCUUCUCAAUAGGGGUGUUAAUAGGUUUGCAAUUUUGCAUUCAAAACUACUCUAGAAUAUUCUUAAUAUAAGUCUCUCUUGAGACAAACCAAGAAGUCUUCUUGAGUGAUCCCUUAGGAUCUUAACUCCGAGCAAAAAAUUUGCUUCCCCAUGUCCUUCAUAUCAAACGUGGAGGACAACCAUCCUUUGGUAGCAACAAUUAUGUCCAUGUCACUUCUAGUUAAUAGAAUGUUAUUGACAUACAAAGAUAAAAUGAGGAAGUCUUUCCCUAAUCAUUUGACAUAUACACAAUGGUUCUCUAAAUAAUAUUUCAAAACCAUUAGACAUAAUUGUCUCAUGAAAUCUAAAGUACUACUAUCUAAAUGACUAUUUUAGGCCAUAAAUGGAAUGCUUGAGAUGACAUACUUUGCACUCUUGUCCCUCAACCUCAAAAUGAAUAAGUUGAUCCAUAUAGAUCUCCUCAUUUAGUUUUCCAUUGAGAAAUAUAGUCUUCACAUCUAUUUGGAAGAUCUCUAAGUUCAAAUGUUCAACUAUAGCUGGAAUAAGGCAAAUAGAUGCAAAUCUCACCACUAAGGAGAAUGUCUCUUCAUAAUAUAUAUCCUUUCUUUGGGUAUAUCCUUUCACCAUUAAAUGAGCCUUAGAUUUGUUGAUUGAACCAUUUGUCUUGUGUUUAAUUUCAAACCCAUUUAUUUCCAAUGCUCUUAUGCUCGGGUGUAAGAUCAACUAACUCCCAAAGAUAAUUCAUUGCCAUGGAAUUCAUUUCUUUCCUCAUAGUAGCCAUCCAUUAUACUGAUUUAGAUAAAGUCAAAGCUUCUUCCCAAGAAGCAGAUUUAUCAAGAUCUAACUAUGUACACAUGUAGGUUUCCCUUUUAACCUCAAAAUGAUGUUGGGGAAUUUGACCACGUUUGCUUCUUUGUAACUCAAGACCUUGUGAAGAUCGUCUAGUGACACAUUCCCACCAGGAGAUAAGCACUCCCACUAUCUUUGGUGAUUUCAAGAUGGGCUUGUAAUUCCCUAGCCUCACUCAAAUAUUAUGUUGCUUCCUCUUGCAACUCAUAGAGUUCAAGACUCUUCUUUACUUCACCAACAGUAGGAAAAUCAUUUUCUAUAAAAUCAACAUUGUGUGACUUUGUUUCAGUCAACAUUGUGUGACUCUAUUUCAGUCAAUCCUCUAACCCUUUAAGUAGUCAAAGUAUCUUAUAAAGACAUUUUUAUUUGCUCUAGGGUCUAACUUCUUACAUCUAUGAGAAGUGUUAUGAACAUAACCUAUACAACCCCAAGGUCAUAAAUUCUCCAAAUUUGGUUUUGCAUCAUCCCAUAGCACAUAUGGAGUUGGAGGGACUGAUUUAGAAGACACUCGGUUAAGGAUUAAGGUAGUAAUCAAAAGAGCAUCCCCCUAAAAAGAUAUUGGGAGGUUAGCUUGCACCAACUGUGGACCCACAUUUCUCAUGUGCGCCUCCACUCAAUCGGCGAGACUUACUUUUAUUUGGUGAAAAGUUAGUUUUAAAAAAGUUGAAGUUGUGACUUAUUUUAUUUUUAUUUUAAAGGGAAAAUAAAACAAGAAAGAAAACCCUAAAAAGUGACUCCACAAUUUUUGAAAAACCCGAAUCUAGGUCUGGGGAUCAGGUUACUUAUUGGAAAGGUAGCUCUAGGAGGUAGCACCCCUCUAAGCCCUAUAAAGGUCUCUACUGACUAAGUUGAGGGAAUUGAGGCAAUUAAUUGGUUAAUUAUAGAUACCUAAGUAGGUUAGGUGAUUUAAAAAAUAAGCAUGUCUAACAAGAAGGUUUGAUCAUAAGAGAGAGUCAUAGUGCGUACCUAAACGACUUCUUAAGCGCUAUCAUGAAACAUAAAAGUUAGUAUAGAAAUAUAUCACACAACAUGUGUUUUAUCCACGCAAAUCAAGUAUACACCUAAGCACACAAGAAUCACAUCAAGUAUGGAUAUAGUUAUCAGUAGCAUAUGUGUCCAUAGAAUUCUCAAGGGUAGGUGUGGAGGAGCGUACCUGGAUAGCAAGCUAGUACUCCUCUAUGGGAAACAGAGUUAGUCCAAUAACAAAUUCAAAGUAGUCUCAAAACCAAUUCUCAAACCUGAUCCAUGUAUUAGUGGAUACUCAUCCGUAAAACUGACUGCAUAACUAAAACCGACAAACCUCUAUCAAACAAUUGGGAACAAAUUGGGGACCUUCAUCAUAUAUAAAACUCCAAAUGCUUCCUCAAAAUUGGUAAUGGAGAAAUAUGGGCAGAAUCAGGUGGAGAAUCGGAGGGAUUACAUCUCAAAGUAUUCACACAACUUUAAUUUCCAGUCUUCAGGGACUUACAAGAGAUAGUAUACUAAAUAACCAGAAAAUGGCAUAAAAAAUUUGGAUAGUUAGAUAUGGGAAUUCCAUCCAAACUCAUCGUUCGAAUGUAAGCAAUUCUGCUGGGAUCAUCCCUAGCAAAACCAUGUCACAAGGAAUUGUCUCAUUUGCACAGAUCUUCACCACUUCGCCAACUUGUAUCUUUUUUCAUUUUUUUUUUCUGAAAGUGACCAGCAUAAAGCACUAUAGCCUCAUGACAACCCGACUCUUGGUAGCUUGGCAUGUAAGGGUAUCAACAAAAUUUAUACCUAACGUCCUUACACUAAAGUAGCAAAGCUACUAUAGCAUAGUGGCUCUAGGAUCGAACACUGGGAAGGGUUUUUACUUUAACUGAUGAAGUUCGGAGGAUGGAGUGAACUUUUCUUAAUAAAGAUUAGGUUAAGAUGAAAACAUAAAAAGAUGAAGGUGUUGUAAACUAAACUAACAUGAAAAUAGGUUAAAAGAUGGAAAAAGAAGUUUCUCAAAGCUUUGGAUAGCCAUGCUUAACUCACUGUGUAAAAAUGGAGAUUUUGGAACUUUUCACCUCGAGUUGGGGAAGCAACUAAGGUGAUGCUUACUUCCCGAACCGGUAUGAGUUUAACAACUGAGUUUUAGUCCUUGAAAACUUACAAAAGGGUAGCUGAACCUCAUAAAUGCCCUUUUAAUGAUAUAGGUCAUCUCCUCGACUUGCAAUACAAUGGCUCGUAGGAGAUAACUAAUGAACGUCAGUGGAUCUAACAAUAAGAAUCCACUGAGACCAAAAGAUUAUCAAGUAUUGGCCAUUCAAAGCAAGUCAGAGGGAUUAAAAGCUUUACUUUGAAUGAAAACAUUUAUGACGCUCAGCUACUUACAUUCAUGGCUUGGAAAUCUCCAUCUUGACACGGGAGCUUCACAUGGCAUCCAUUACUUCAAGAAACUAAAAGGUUUUAGCCUCUCAUCCUUGGGGAUUUCAUCCUCCAAGGAUGUUUGGCUACUAAGAAAAUAGAAAAUAGAAGAGAGAAAAAGAAAGCAAAAGAUACUCUGUAUUUAGCUAAGUGUAAAAUUUACAUAAGUUCGUCUCCUGGGGAAAGUUCCCCGACGUCAUAAAAUGAAAAUUACAAAACAAUAUAUAACAGGUUGUUUACCCCUGUAUUCUUGCUUAACAACUAAGGAAUCAUCUAAUUGGUGGAUUACAAGGAGAGAAUUGGGAUUUAGACAACAAAUAUCUGAAGAAAAAUAUCAAAAAACGUUGGUCGCAAAUAUCUGGAAGCACUCAGGAGAAUUUCGCAGGCGCACAAAAUGGCUGCGAAAUUUCGCAGCCAAAGGCUGAUUUCGCAGCCCUGCGAAAUUGGCCUUCAGCUUGGAGUGAUCUGCUUCCAUUGGCUCUAACUUCUUCAUUUCAACUCUGAUUUGCGAACCGUUUGAAGCAUUGGAUUGUUGACUUCCCGAUCUUCGAAACGACAUAAAGCAUGCAUAAAUUGGACUUUAGGAAGUACUCCAAAAGUGGCUGAAAUUACUGUCAUCAAGGAUGCUUCAAGGUAGAUUCUCUCUUUACUUCUCCUCCUUGCAUUCCGGAUUGGUUAUGGCAAAGGACUUUAAGGCUUCAAAGCUCUGAUUCUUCAUGUUUCUGAGCUUUCCAUUGCUUUGCCAUGGAUUCCAAAUAACUCUCCUCCAUCUUGGAUUGCCUUGGUGAUCAAAUUACUAACAAAAACACCAAAACUUACACAAAGUGAUUAGAAGUGAUUGCAAAGGUCCUUAAUAUGUUAAUUGGGUUAAAAGGCAAUAAUUACUACUCAAAAGUGUUUAAAAGAGUUAAUUACAAGCUAUCAAAUAGCCCUUUUUGAGUAGUAAUCACUCCCCCCAACCGACAUAUUGCUAGUCCCUUAGCAAUGAAGGAGAGAAAAAUAAAAAUAAACAUUACUAUAAUUUACAACAUCAUGCUGAUCAAAAAACAAUUCUCAAGUGGCAUGAUGAUCUAACUCUCACAUGGAACAUUAAAGAAAUAAAACUCAAACUUCAACAAGAGUUAUCAAAUAACUUGUCUAAUCACAAUUCAUAAAGAGAAGGCAUUAUGCAAAUUUAAGCUUUUGAAAGAGUUUCCACUCCCAAAGGGUCAAACCUUACUCUUCCACAAAAAUCUAAGUGUUACUUAUUAGUUUCCGAAUAUAGUAUGUUGAACUAAUCUCUCCCCCCAACCUAGUUAUUUUUCAAAGCUUAGCAAACUGAUCAACCUCCAAUAGGUUAAGAACGCACCUCUUUUUUCACAAUUUUUUCAUUGUAGGAGUACAAGGCUUAAAGGUAUUAUUUUUUAAAUUGUCCAUGUAACGGGGGUCCAUCGAUGACUCCCAACCAAUUAAGGUUUAGGGCAUCAAGCUUUAAGGAUCUUUCAACCACUAACUCCUCGGAUUUUACCCCGGACUUUUGAGAAUAUAUUUUUAAUACCCAAGCACCUACAGUAUGUUAAACUCCACCUAUUCACCCUUGUAACGAGCAUUGAGGUCGGUGACUCCCAACCAAUUAAGGCUUAGGGCACCAGGUUUUAAAGAUUUGCACCAUAUACCCCUUAGACCUUGCUCGGGUUUCAAGGCAAGCAAACAUUUUUUUUUUUUUUUUUUUUUUUUUUUUUCUUUUUUCCAAAGACUCAUUAGCCUUUUACAAGGUGUCUCAACACUAUUAAAUAAGGUCAAAGGUACCAAGUCUAAAAUUUUCCUAAGUCAAGAGGGAAAUAGUUUUUCAUCUUAUAAUCGGAACCUAUUGUGCACAGUGUGUGAAUAGCUUAAAGUGGAAGACAUAAGCUUGAAUUCAAUAGAAACUUCAACAAUUCAUCAACUUUAAUAAACAUAAUACAAACUCUAAGUCAAGUAAAAAGACAAAAAUUCAAUUUCUCCCUUUUCAUUUAUUGAGAAUUUUUCCUUAAUAACCAUGGAGAGUAGAGAAAAAAAAACUAAAAAAAUUUAAAAAUUAAGCGAAAAGCAACUAAAUUACCAAAAUAACUUAUCAUUAUUAACAAUACUUACUUCCUCAACUCUCCCCCCAACCAAGCUGAACAUUGUCCUCAAUGUGACAAAAGCGAUUGAAAAAUAGGGGGGAAGUGAUACCUCCUGAGUGACAUGGAGUUUGAGUCGUAUAGGAGAAACCACAUGUUUCAAAGAAAACAUAAGAGUUAGUGAGUAGAGGAAAUAGAAAAAUGCUAAGUUUAAACAAAAAUGAUGUCUAUAUAUGAUGUAUCAUCAGUAAUACAUCCAAUCCCAGAAUAUAAGACAUCAAAAUAUGAAAUUAUUUACACUAAUAUAAUAUGUAAAUACAAAAAAUAAAAAGAUGAUCAAGUAGUGGUAGGGUCAUGUGGAGCUGAUGCGUCAGUGGUGGCCUCUUGAAUGGGUUGGAUCAGGACUUUGGCCUCUAUUCUGGUAGUCUCCUUGGGUAGCAUAGUCUCCUCAGCUGAAGCUAUGGGCUCUGAUGGUUUAAGGAGGUCAGAAAUAGAGUGAGAGGCUUUGUGUGUGAUCUCAGUGAAAGGGCUCUCCUCUUUAGAUGCAUGGUUGCGGGGCUCUCUUUGCAUUUUCACAACUUCCCUUGGCUUUGCAAAGUGUUUUCGCAAACCUCUCUUCAUUUUGCAAGUCAUUUUUAUAGCCUGGAGGUCAUUUUGUAUCUUGGAGAUCAUCUUGCAGCCAAAGGGAAAAAAAGAAAAACAUUUUCGCAGCCCAUGGAAAAAAUAGAAACAUUUUCGCAGCCCAUUUUGAAGCUUGAAAAUCAUUUCAUAGCCAUUUGGAAGCUUGGAGAUUAUUUCAUAGCCAUUUGGAAGUUUGAAAAUCAUUUGGUAGCAAAAGGCCAUUUUCGCAGCACAUGGAGGAUUUGGCAGGGGGUAGCUAUGGGGCUGCGAAAACAUUUCGCAGCCAAAUGGGAUUUUCGCAGCCGGGUGCCAUUUUCGCAGCCCAUUUCGCAGCUGCGAAAUGGGGUUGGGCGGCUGCGAAAUGGCACUCGUGUGCCAAAGGGGUGUUUCGCAGCUGCGAAACACCCUGCGAAAUGAGGCUAUGGCUGCGAAAUUUCCGUUGGUGCUUUGCGCGUUCGUCUUCAAACGGCCAUAACUUCUUCGUUUCAAAUCCAAAUCGCAUACCGUUUGAAGCACUGGACUCCUGACUUCCUAAGCUUUAAAACAAGAUAUAGUAUGAAAAAUUUGAGCUCCAGGAAGUGCUUCAAAAAUGUGUCCAAUGGGGUGCGGAUGCGACAUUUCAGCUCAUUGUUUGCACAGUCUUCAAACGACCAUAACUUCUUUGUUUCAACUCCAAAUUGAGCACCGUUUGAAGUUAUGGAAUCCUGACUUCCCAAGCUUUGAAACGAGAUAUGGUAUGAAUGAAAUGGACUUCAGGAAGUACUUCGAAAUGUGUCCAACAGGGGUGCGGCUUCAGGGUGUGUGCGCUGAAGGAAUAGGGUAUCAACAAAAUUUAUACCUAACGUCCUUACACUAAAGUAGCAAAGCUACUAUAGCAUAGUGGCUCUAGGAUCGAACACUGGGAAGGGUUUUUACUUUAACUGAUGAAGUUCGGAGGAUGGAGUGAACUUUUCUUAAUAAAGAUUAGGUUAAGAUGAAAACAUAAAAAGAUGAAGGUGUUGUAAACUAAACUAACAUGAAAAUAGGUUAAAAGAUGGAAAAAGAAGUUUCUCAAAGCUUUGGAUAGCCAUGCUUAACUCACUGUGUAAAAAUGGAGAUUUUGGAACUUUUCACCUCGAGUUGGGGAAGCAACUAAGGUGAUGCUUACUUCCCGAACCGGUAUGAGUUUAACAACUGAGUUUUAGUCCUUGAAAACUUACAAAAGGGUAGCUGAACCUCAUAAAUGCCCUUUUAAUGAUAUAGGUCAUCUCCUCGACUUGCAAUACAAUGGCUCGUAGGAGAUAACUAAUGAACGUCAGUGGAUCUAACAAUAAGAAUCCACUGAGACCAAAAGAUUAUCAAGUAUUGGCCAUUCAAAGCAAGUCAGAGGGAUUAAAAGCUUUACUUUGAAUGAAAACAUUUAUGACGCUCAGCUACUUACAUUCAUGGCUUGGAAAUCUCCAUCUUGACACGGGAGCUUCACAUGGCAUCCAUUACUUCAAGAAACUAAAAGGUUUUAGCCUCUCAUCCUUGGGGAUUUCAUCCUCCAAGGAUGUUUGGCUACUAAGAAAAUAGAAAAUAGAAGAGAGAAAAAGAAAGCAAAAGAUACUCUGUAUUUAGCUAAGUGUAAAAUUUACAUAAGUUCGUCUCCUGGGGAAAGUUCCCCGACGUCAUAAAAUGAAAAUUACAAAACAAUAUAUAACAGGUUGUUUACCCCUGUAUUCUUGCUUAACAACUAAGGAAUCAUCUAAUUGGUGGAUUACAAGGAGAGAAUUGGGAUUUAGACAACAAAUAUCUGAAGAAAAAUAUCAAAAAACGUUGGUCGCAAAUAUCUGGAAGCACUCAGGAGAAUUUCGCAGGCGCACAAAAUGGCUGCGAAAUUUCGCAGCCAAAGGCUGAUUUCGCAGCCCUGCGAAAUUGGCCUUCAGCUUGGAGUGAUCUGCUUCCAUUGGCUCUAACUUCUUCAUUUCAACUCUGAUUUGCGAACCGUUUGAAGCAUUGGAUUGUUGACUUCCCGAUCUUCGAAACGACAUAAAGCAUGCAUAAAUUGGACUUUAGGAAGUACUCCAAAAGUGGCUGAAAUUACUGUCAUCAAGGAUGCUUCAAGGUAGAUUCUCUCUUUACUUCUCCUCCUUGCAUUCCGGAUUGGUUAUGGCAAAGGACUUUAAGGCUUCAAAGCUCUGAUUCUUCAUGUUUCUGAGCUUUCCAUUGCUUUGCCAUGGAUUCCAAAUAACUCUCCUCCAUCUUGGAUUGCCUUGGUGAUCAAAUUACUAACAAAAACACCAAAACUUACACAAAGUGAUUAGAAGUGAUUGCAAAGGUCCUUAAUAUGUUAAUUGGGUUAAAAGGCAAUAAUUACUACUCAAAAGUGUUUAAAAGAGUUAAUUACAAGCUAUCAAAUAGCCCUUUUUGAGUAGUAAUCACCUCACGAUUGUUCUCCACUUCAUUAUUCUAAAUUAGUCUAAGAUGCCUCCCAAUCUACAGAAAAUCACGAUGGUAUUCAACUUCCCAUUCCUUCUCUCAGCGAUCUCAAUUUCCUUCGAAGUCUGGUAUGUGCCUUUCAGCUAUUACAUGAACACCAUUUAAAUAAUUCAACGACCAAAAAGCUCAAUAAUCCAAGAGGAUUACAUCAGCAACAUCACCCUUACAUGAAACCCAGAUCACACAGCGGAGCACACUGACUUAGGAGAAUACCCAGUAGAUAUGCAAAUUGUCGUGUAGUAAGGAAGGGGUGCCAGAGAAAUAGGAAAAUAUGCAAAUAGAAAGAAAGAAACGAAAAAACAGAGAAAAGAUAGGCAUAGUGUAAAUCAUCAAACAAAGCCACAUUCCAUAACUUCGUCAAUGGGCUUAAAAAUAGGCUUCAAUAGCUGAGAGCAAUGGCUUGAUUUUAAAAUCAUCCAAUUCAAGAACGAGCCACUCAUCAAUUGAAGGGAGUAGUCAUAAAAUCAAAACAAAAUAUGCAAAGAAAAAGAACUCUGAUUCAUCAUAACAACCAAGUGACCACAAGCGUCCACAUCAAGUAACAAAAAUAAAUCUUUAGAGACAGCCAAGGAAUGAGGUGAAAUCGAAAUUAAAUGACAAUAUAGUAAAUAUUUGGAAGCAUACCUGCACGAUCUCCCCUCCAAUUGCUUGGCUUUGGGCUACUGCCCCUUUCUUAGACUAGGAAAUCUUCUCUAAGACUGGAAUCUGCCCACCUAUCUCCUGUUCUUCCUCUCUCCCCACCGUUCUCAAUGUGUGCUGCCAAUUCCCUCUUUUCUCUAUGCAUGCUAUCUGUACUCCUUUUCAAAAACCUUCCCCCUUUUCUUCCCUCCAAUCUUUUCUUUUAUUCUAUCUCCAUUUUUCCAAAAGGAAACUUUCCUUUCUCCUACCAAAAAAAAUUUGCCACUUUCAUUUCUCCAAAAUUCUGGUGAUCUUCCUUCCAAGUAGAUGGCAGCAUGUUUUCUCAUGCCUAAUAAGCCAAGAAAUAUGAUUUAGAAAACUCAUAAUAAAAUAAAAUAAAAUCAAAAUCAAAUCAAAUCAAAUCAAAUCAAAAUAAUAAAGAAAGUCAUGCAAGCCACAUAAGUCAUGUAGGUCAUGCAAUAAUGUAAGUCAUAUAAGAAGUGAGUCUAAAAGUUCCUAAGUGGGCCUAAGUGUCCUAGAUGGGCCUAAAGUGGUGCCUAAUGGGCCAAGUGUGCCUAAGUGUCUAAGUGGGCCUAAGGUGGUGUCUAAGUCUAAAUUAGGGUUACCAAAGGUACAAUGAGGGGUCAGAUAAAUCCUUCAACUAAAGUCUCUGAGGUGGCUCAAAAAAAGGUAAGUAGUAUGAGUAGCAAUAGGCCACCAAAGACCUACUAUGGAGCACUGGAAGUGAACUUAAAGACAUGUGCUAAAUGGAUAAAAUUGAAGGUCUACACCAACAUUGACUUAACCAUAUCUAGUAAAGAAUGAUUUCUUCUUUCCGCUAUACUAUUUUGUUGUGAAGUGUUAAGAAUUGUUAACAAUCUACAUAUCCCUUUGUCUUCACAUAGUUUCUGAAACUGAUAUGACACGUAUUACUGACCUUUGUCAGUUUGAAGAAUAUUUAAAUUAUGAUUCUCAACCUCUACCAAAAAACACUUGAAACAAUUCAAUGCUUCAAAGUGAUGAAGCAUUAAUGAAUGUGAGAAAAUAAGAGGAGUCAUGGUGUACCUUUACAUUCAUAGGUCCAUAGAUAUCUUAAUAGACUAACUCUAAAGGGUAAGAGGCCCUAGGUGCCUUUCCAAAAGGCUUCUUAUAGGCUAUUCUUGCUUGACAAGACUCUACCUAGUCUAAUCAUUCUUUUUUUACUUAUGUGUUCUAAUAUAGAAUGUCAAUUCAAAGAAUCAACUGUAUUACCACAAGCUGCAUAAGAAGAUGAAGAAUCUAAAUUCAACAUGAAUAUACCAUUAGAUAAAAAAAUCUUGUUCAUAUAGGGCCUUAUUUAAAUAGAAAUCAACUUUUAUCCUAAUAAAAUGAAAUUUAAAACCUAAUUCAAGUAGUGUUAUUACUGAAAGUAUAUUAUAAUGGACACUAAGUGUAUAUAACACAUCAUGAAGAAGUAAUGUAUGCCUCGUUUGAGUUGGUAUGUUCCAACCCCUAAAACAUCUACCCUUGAUUCGUUACCUAGAGUAACAUAGUGUCUUCCAAUAGGUAUCCUUUUUUAAUCUUUGAAUCCCACUUGAUCCCUUGUAGUGUUAUUAUUUAAAUAGAAUUCAACUUUUAUCCUAAUAAAAUGAAAUUUAAAACCUAAUUCAAGUAGUGUUAUUACUGAAAGUAUAUUAUAAUGGACACUAAGUGUAUAUAACACAUCAUGAAGAAGUAAUGUAUGCCUCGUUUGAGUUGGUAUGUUCCAACCCCUAAAACAUCUACCCUUGAUUCGUUACCUAGAGUAACAUAGUGUCUUCCAAUAAGUAUCCUUUUGUAAUCUUUGAAUCCCAUUUGAUCCCCUGUUAUAUGAUUUAUUCUUUGAAUCCCAAGAAGAGAAUGAAAAAUUAAUUCAUGUGUACAAGCAUAUGAAAAGAGACUAUUAAGAUUUGGGUAUACCUUCUUUGGCUUAGUGCACUCAUGAGCAAAGUAGCCUAACUUUCCAUAGUUGUAGCAUUUCAUUUUGGCCAUAUCCUUGUCUGCAGCUCACUUACUUCUCUAGUUUUUUUUUUUUUUUUUUUCCUUUUGUUGGCCCUAGAUUUCCUACUGUACCACCAUGUGUUCCUUAUCCCUUAUGCUUAAACUUAUUAGCCUAUUGUUGCCCCACAUGAGUGGCAAUUGUGGUGUGUUGCACCCCUAAAUGCUCCAUUUUCAAUUCAAUGUGGUGAGAAAUAUCAGUAAAAGUUUUAAUAUUCUCUUUGUCUGUGAGCACUAGUUUUCCUUAUGAUUCAAGCAAAGAGCAUAUAACAACUAUGACUUGCUACUUGUUAGUCAGGUUAUUAUCGACUACAUUUAAGUCACAAAUUAUAGCUAAAAUUUCCCUCAAAUGUUCAGCCAUGGUGUGUUUAGGGUCCAUAAUAUAUUGCUCAGAUUUCAAAGUGAGCACUCACAACCUAGUUAUAAAUGUUAAAUAAUAACCAAUCUUCAGCUUAUUCUACAUGUCUUAGGGAAUGGGGCAAUUCUCAAACUCCCAUUUUAAGUCAUUAUGCAUGCUACGAAACACAGUGAAACAUGCACAAAGGUCUCUUUUAACCUAAUAAUAAUAAGCUUCCAUAUCAUAGUAGCAGUGGGCUAGAUUCCUUUCUUCAAGUUGAACCAUGAUAUUAAGGUCUCUAAGACCUCUUGUUCAUUUAACAGGUAUUGGAUUUUUCUAUGCCACAUAUCAUAAUUAUUAUCAUCUAAUUUUUUUCCUUUUAUCAAAUUAACAACGUUUUUAGUAACCUUUUCACUAUAUUUAUUAUGUAGGACACAUUAGCAUACAUUUAUCAAUUUCAACUUAGUCUAUGAUAUUCUUGUUAACAUAAUGAGAUCGAAAAUUUUGUAAUGCUCAUAACUCUCAUUAAAUGUGAACUAGAUCAUUAUAACUAAUUUAAAAUUUUAAUUUUUUAAAAAGAUACCAAUAUUCCUUAAAAAACACUAUUAGCCUAAUGGUUUUUCUAAUCUCAUUUUAAUAAUAACAAAUCAUAGUUAGUUUGCUAAUGAGUUAAAAUUAAGAUAAGUUUUAGGUAAUAAUUAUGAAAAAAAAAAUCAAAUAGAAAAUCAAUAUAAUCAUCAAGGGAUCAAUGAAGAGCAAGACUGAGUGUGCAUGAAGGUCAUUCAAGCUUAGAAAUCCUAUGUAAGAUGUUCACUUGGGUGCAGUUAGGGGUUUAAAUUUAUCCAUGCAUUGUUUUCAUAUUGGGUUUUAAGCUUUAAAAGUAAAAUUUUUAUAAACUUGAGUUUUAAUUCAAAACCAUAGGCAAAAACCUCUCAACUAGUUUUUAUAAAAGUGUUUAAAGUUGUUGUCUAAGUGUUAGAAAGAAUUGAAAUUGAAAAAGAUAGGUUUUCGAGAAAAAAAAAAUGGUCAAUCAAUCAAGAGCUAUCUCAACGACUCAAUUGAUUAGGAAACCGAUUGACCAAUUACCCUUUUAUGGUCAAGGCUUAGUCAACAAGCACAACAAAUCUUCUCUCUCUUCUAGAAGGGUUUCUUUGUUGAUCAAGAAAAACAUUUUCCCAACCGAGGUCUAGUCAAGCCCCUAAUGGUCACCUGCCAAACAUUUAAUAUCCAACGACUAGUUAAUCGAUCAAUCGAAGCUCGAUCGGGAAAGGCUUGUUGGAGCACUUUUUGGUGUCCAAGGUUGAAAACUUAUAAAUUGAGAGCUCUCAUUCUUUUAUUGCAUAGAGAACACUUGCAUUAAACUUCUUACCUACUAGUUUCUCACAUUCAAUGCUUUCUUUCUUUCUUUCUUGAUGCAUUAAAUCUCUCACUUGCAAACCCAUCUAGUGCACCCUUGUUGUUCAUCCUAAUUGCCUUUUAUUUCCUCAUUAAUUGUGCUAGGAUUGAGUGAUCUUAAACUCUCAUUUAUUGAAGUAAGGUUGAGUUUUAAGCUUCAAGUUUGAGGAUAAGACUUGAAUGAUUGCUUAUAGUGCCCAUUGGAGCCAAAGAAUCCAAUUGUAAAAACUUGGGAGCUAAGUUGAAGCUUCAAAUUAGUGGAAUCCUCAUUUAGGAAGAACUUGAGGAGAGUGAUGAUUACUACUCAAAAAGUGCUAUUUGAUAGUUUGUAAUUAAUCCUUUUAAACACUUUUGAGUAGUAGUUAUUUCCUUUUAACUCAAUUAACAUGUUAAGGACCCUUGCAAUCAUUUCUAAUCAAAUUGUGUAAGUUUUGGUGUUUUUGUUAGUAAUUUGAUCACCAAAACAAUCUAAGAUUGAGGAGAGUUAUUUGGAAUCCAUGGAAAAGCAAUGAAGAGCUCAAAUUCAUGAAGAACCAAGCUUUGGAGCUCCCUAGCCCUUUGCCAAAGUCGUUCAAAGUAUGCAAGGAGAGAAGCAAGGAGAGAGGAAAAACAGAGUGAAGAAAACAGAGGACAGCAGCUGUAGUCUUCUUUCGCACUUUUGGAGCACUUCCCGAAGUCCAUUUUCUACAUGCUAUAUACCAUUUCAAAGCUCAGGAAGUCAAGAAUCCAACGCUUCAAACCGUGUACGAUUUGGAGCUGAAAUGAGGAAGUUACAGCCUUUGGAAGAUGACUGCUCCAAGCUGAAGGAAGGAUUCAGCAAAGUGUUGCGAAAUCACCCUUUUGUUGCGGAAUGAUUUCGCAGCCUUUUUGCACAGUGCUUUGGAUUUCCCUUGAAGUUUCACGCCGCGAUGGAAGCCAAACACCACAAGAUGAAAGCCAACUUCGCAGCGGUGCGGAAUCAGCCUUUUGCUGCGAAGUAAUUUCGCAGCCCUUUGUGGAUGUCUGCGAAAUCUCGCAUACCUCAUUUUCACCUGCGAAAUGGUCCUUAGUCUGCGAAAUGGUCCUUAGUGCUUCCCGAUAUUUGUGACCGACACUUUAAGAUAUUUUUCUUCAGAUUGUUGUGUCUAAAUUUCCAUUUUCUCCUUGUAUUCAACCACUCAUGUAAUUCCUUAGCUAAGAAGUAUCCAAGGAAGGGUAAAUUACCUUCCUAUAUAAACUCCCUUGCAUCCACUGUAAUCAGGGGAUGUAAUAUGAUGUAAUCCAAAUCGAUCAAUAUAUAGAAUAUACAGAGCCUUGCUCUGUUUUUUCCUUCUCUUUCAUUUUUCAUUUCUUUUUAUUUCUAGCCAACCAAACUUUGAGGAUUUUUCCUCAGAGGAUGAAAGGCUAAGCUUUUUGUCUCUUGGAGUGAGGAAAGCCGAGUAAGUUUCCACAUGCAUAAUUUGGAAGUUUUGUUGUUUUAGUUUUUAAUGAAGAGAAAGUGUAACCCAUUAAUGGUUUUUAUCUUUUUAGUUAACUUAAAACGCCUUUAAAUCACCUGGGCCAACACUUGGUAAGGCAAGUGAUCUCCGUCCAUGGAGAUGCACUAGUUUACCCCUUGCGAGCCUUUAGUAGGUGGUUUGAAGGUAGGAUUUUCUAGAAUUGCCAACACUUGGUAAGCUUUUGGACUCUAAGGAGACAUCCAUUAGUUAUCUCUUGCGAGCUUUUGACGGGUAAUCCAAGGUUAAAGAUCACCUUGAAUGGCAAGUGCUAGGUGAGAGGUAUGAGCCAUUGCAAGGUGCAUCAGUGAGAGGGAUUUAGUGUUUGAACCCAUUAAUGGGAAGCAUUUGUACAACACCGGUUAGAGAAUUAACUAUAUGUUAAUUCUCUAAUGCGAGGAAAAGAAACAAGUGACCGGAACUCUCUUUUUUGUAUGAGGAAUCUGAGCCUAGUGAUCUGAAACUCCAAGAAACAUUUUUCUUUGUAAGUAAAAUCAAUUACUAUUUUUGGUUAGUUUAAAUCUAAACCUUUUUCAUUCAAACAUCUUUAUGUUUUCUUUUAAAGUUAACCUUGAAAUGAAAAGAAUCCAAUUCAGCUUUGAAUUAAUAUCAUUUGCAAAGUGAAAACCCAUCCCAGUGAACGAUCUUAGAGCCGCUAUGCUAUAGUAGCUUUGUCUUUGCUACCCUAGUAUAUGGUGUAAUAGGUUAUAAAUUUUGUUGAUUACUCCCUCAAUCAAGGAGCACCAGUUGGACACGAAUCAGCUGAGACACCAAUUGGGCAUGAAUCAAAUGGCGCCGUUGCCGGGGAUCGAACCUCGAAUCAAAUGGUGUCGUUGCCACUACCGCUGCUAGGGACGAAUCAAGUGACAUAGGCAAAAUUGACCGAGCCACUAUAAAAUCAGUGUUUGCAACCUCUCUAUGUCUUAUCUCUUUAUUUUUAUUAUUUUUUUUUGUUAUUGCUUGAGAAUAAUUGUCCAAAAAGUUUUUAAAACCCAAUUCUCCCCCCUCUUGGGUGUUUUUAUUAAGUUAAUUAGCCUAUAUAUAAGUUCAAUUUAAAUGGUAUUGGACAAAAAAAAAAAACUUACAUAAACAAUUCAUAUGCAAAUAAACAUUGUAUACAUUAAAAAAAAAAAAAAAAGUAAUCCAUAAAUUCAAUAACCUUAUUACCAAAAUUCUUUUAAUGAAUAGUGUAGCAACUUGAGCUGAAGUGCACUUUGUAGUAGCAUGUUUAGGCCUAUAUUUUUGGAUUAAACUUGUGCUUUUGGGCAAUCCAUUUUUUUGUGUUUGCAUGUUUGAGCACGCACUUUUGGAUUGGACAUGCACUCUUGGAUAACCCAUUUUUGUAUUUGCAUGCUUAAGCCUACACUUUUGGAUUGAACAUGUGCUUCUAGGCAGUCUAUUUUUGUGUUUGCCUACUUAGGCCUAUACUUUUAGAUUGAACCUACGCUUUUGGAUAACCUUUUUAUUAUUAUUAUAAACAAAAAUAAAAACUCUUCAAUUAAUGGACACAAAUAUUUAUUUAUUUCAAACAAAUAAAUACAAAUAGAGACAAAAACAAGCUUGAUCUAGCUAUGAUACCAAUAUAAGAUAAAAAAUUAAAACUAUAAUCCAAAAAACAUACUUAUGGAAGAUCUUUGUAGCUUGAAUUGUACUCUCUAAUAUUGAUAAUUGCUUUAGUGAGGUUGUUGUGAUUGUGAUGGAGAAGAUUAGAUCGGUCCAACGAAAAACUAGCUAUUCUGCCUAUGCAGUUAACUAUGCUUCACAUCUUUUCUCUAUCCUCUACUAACACUAGUUAUGUCGCACUUAUUCGAUCCCCAGCUCAGUUUGUAUCCCUUACUACUAUUAUUGUAUGCCCAGUCCAAACAGUACCUUGGAUAUGUAGGUUUGGAUGUCACAGCUCUUUUAUAGGAGUCCAGGAUAUAUACCUCCAGUCAGUCUCCUUGCAUUAACAAACAAAGAAAAAGAAAAUACCCAUAUUCCUUUUCUCAUACUCUCUCUCUCUCUCUCUCUCUUUCUCUUAAGUAUAAUUAAUUAAUCUAACAUACGAUAUACGAUCAAUGCCCUACCAAGACCAAGCCAAGUGAAUAUUAUUUCCAGUUUCUUUUCUCUGAAUGAAACUCAAGUUCAACACUUGGAUCUCAACCACGAUAUUUUAUCGAAAGUUCAUGAGUUUCAUAGAACGUAUGCUUCAUCAUCUGGACUAUCCAAUACAAUAUUACAUGAAUUCAAAGAUAAUGAACCCCCAAUUCCAUGCUUAUAUAUAGACGUCAACUUGUGUUAUGUAGAAAUAUUAAUAUUCCAAGUUGAUAUGUUUACACUGGGCUUUUGAGUUUUGAGUUUUGACUGGCUCUGCCUGAAAUGCAGGAAAUGCAGGGAAAUAUUUGCUUUCAUGGUUGUACAUUUGGUACAAAAAUGUUGAAAUUUCCUACCAGCUAAUACGUGGUUCUCAUGCCAGAAGCUGGAGAUAGAGAUUCAUAGAGAUUCAACCCUAUAUUAUACAACAGCUAAGCACCUCCACUAGUUAUGGAGAUUGAAGAAAAAGUCAAUUUUUGACGCGACAAGGAAGCUAUGACAUGAGUUUCCAUGAAGGAUACCUAUGAUUUUUCGUUGUAAGCUACUCUUUGUCUCUUAAUUAUCAAGGAAACAAUAGCUAAUACUUCAUCAUAUCAUACUGUAUUCUUUUGAAGUCAAUGGUACAAGGGAAAAAAAAUGCAAAACUUAGAGUCUCAGCGUCUACAAUAAAGUUUCAACUCUCUUUUAAGUGCUGACUUUUCACUGCAAUUAAAUAAAAUGAAAGAGAAAAGAAAAUUGAUAAACUAAAAUUAUAAACUAUAGUGUUAUAUAUAUAUUUGUGAAUAAUCAGACACACUUAAAAUAUAAUGUUAAAAGAAAAUUUACAAUUUAAAAAUUAUUGUUACUUUUUAAAAAAAAGUCUACUAAUUUUAAUGUAUUAUUUAUUGCUAAAAAGUUAAUUGAUCUACUUCAAAUAUGUUUACAAGAAAAAAAAUCGGCAUUAUUUACUUAUAAUUUGCUUGGCAAGUGGGUGGAAUAUAUACUUUCUUGCAAAGGCUUAAUUAAAAUGACAAGACUAUUGUUUAAUCGCCUGUUAGGUUUGGUUUGAUGGGAUUGACUACGACUUUCUUCAGAAAUUUGUUGUGAAAGGAGCAUCAUCUUCUAUAUGGUUUGUAGCAUGAUGUGAGUCCCACAAAACAUACUUUGAUUUUGUCAAGGUAACUAAAUUCAACAUGAGAAAUCAUGACCAGUUAUACACUUUCCACUCCUACGGACCACGCUAAAUAUGAUAUUAUAUGGCUGCUUUUGCUUCUAGGACAUGCAAGUUAUAUGGAUAUUUGGUGCAAUCGUUAUGGACUCGGAACAUCCCCAAUAAGAACUUUUCAAAGUUGCAACUUUACAUGGUUAAUCUAAAUUUAUAAAUCAUGAAGUAGUUGAAAUAUUUAGAGUUUUAGAAUCGUUUUGGGAAAAAUGAAAAGAAGAAAAUGAUUUCCCUUUAAUAUUUGACAAGAAUUAGAGUUUCUUUUUUAUGUGAAAUAUAUCGGAAUAAAUUUGAACUCCAAUUAAAUUUGAAUGAAGAUGAAAGUUGCAAUUUUCAAAGUUUCUUUUAUAUAUAUAUAUAUAUAUUUGUUUGAAUUUGAUUUAUGUCAAAAUAAAGCUUAACAUUAUCGAGCAUUUAGACAAUUUAUUUUUUAUUAAUGUGUAAAUACUAUUAAAUGUUGAGUUGCAUGUUCUUAUUAAUGUUUGCAUACUAUUAAGCAUUAAUUAAUUCUAUUUCUUUUUACACAUUAAAAAUAUUUAUAAAAAUAAUUAUUAUGUUUCGUUUUAUUUUACAUAAUUAAGAUAAAAUAUUUAAAAAUUAACUAAGAAAUUAGUCAUUGAAUAAUAAUUAAGAUUUUGGAUAUUUUAAAAUCAAUUAAAAAUUGCUAAUUGAAUAAUAAGUAGGAUUUUUAAUAGUGUUUGAUUGCUAAGAAAAUAUUAAAAUGUUUUUAGGUUAAGUUUCAUUAAUAACUCUUUAAUUUAUAUAUGGUAUUCCUCAAAUUAAUGAAUUUGUAAUUAAAAAGAUGAGGUUCUUCACUUGGUAACAUUGAUAUUAAGAAUAAUGAUUAUACACUUAACUUGGAUAUAAAGUGGUUGAAUCAACUACCAUGAUCCUACUUGCAUAGUCUAAGGGCUAAAUAUAAAAGGUAUGCUAACAUUGCCAUAGGGUUAAAUAAGACAAGACCAAUUUGAGAGGGUUUUUGCCCGGUAAUAAUAUCAUAACCAAUCCAAUAUAAGCUUGAUUCUUAUAAUACUAGGAUAUCUUACCAAAGACAUAUAGUCCUAAGAGUUCUACAUUUUGCUAAAUUCAUAUGGUUUAUUUUAUUGUGAAUGCUCAAUUAUUAAUACAUGUUUAACUUCUUUAUAACAAUCAUGUAAUAUAAUCCAAUCACUCUCAUGCUUACCAGUAAUAAAUUGGUUAAGCUUAACUACAUGGAUUGAAAAAUAAAUCUAAACAUUUUCUCACAUAAGAGGAGUUAAAAUGGGUGGUAACUUAAAAUUUUGCUCCAAAUACCUCUAAUAAACUAUCCUCACUAGAAGAGAGAGAUGCUUAUCAUAGAUGACAUAAGGUGGAUCAAAAGGCUAGGUGUAUCAUACUCGGGUCUUUAGAUAACAUGUUGGAACAGCAAUAUGUGUCUCAUGCCAUGACUUAUGAUAUUCUCUUCAUUUUACAAUAGAUCUUUGAUGACAAGGGUAAGUCAACUAGAAAAGUUGCUUUAAAGACUAUCAUGAACAUUAGGAUGAUAAAAGGAACUCUCAUUAAAAAUCAUAUGGUAUAUAUGAUUAGGCUCUUUAAUGAGAUAAAGAUCCUUGUAGCUAAGAUUGAUAGAAAAACCAAGGUUAAUUUGAUCUUAGAGACCUUGUCAAAUUCCUUUGAAAAUUUUGAGUUAAACUAUUCUAUUUAUGAGUGAUUGUGAAACUUGUCAGAGCUUAUGAGGGAGCUUGAGAUGGAUGGCCGAGAGGAUUCUAAAAGAUAAAAGGUAAUUACUUUAAAAAUUGUUCAAAAUUUUGAGGUAUAAAAAGUUUUACUAUCUCAAAUUUUAAAAUUUUACAUCCUCACUCUUGUUUGUUAUUUUUUAUUUAAUUCAAAAUUUUAUUCUUGGUCCACUAAGUAAAAUAUAUUGAAAGAUCCAUUAAAAAUUACUUAUUGUAGCAUUAUUAUUUUGAUUUAGAUAUGAUUCCAUUUAUUUUUUUUAAAAUAUAAACCAUAAAAAGAAAUUGUACGAUAGUCGGCAGAUAGGAGUGACUUUCUUCCAUCUAAAGGAGCAUAAAAGUUCCAAGCAUUGACGGUGUACUCAAGAAGUAUUCCUUUGUAUUCAACAGUUAGUCGGGUCCUUUCUGCUAACGUUGUGUGGUGUGGUCUUUCUUGGAUGCUGCCGAUUCCUACUUUUCAAGUUCUAAAUACUAUAAAUAAUAUCAUUAUUCUCCCAAACAUUAUGAAUCCCAAAGCCUCCCAUAAAACUUCAGAAUGAGAAACAACCUUACCCAACUCCCUUUAUUUCUCCUCUGCUGUCUGUCUUUAUGGAUUUUCUUCAUAGAGAUGGCCAUGUCACAGAACACAACAAUACCAGUUAAAGUGGGAGUGGUUCUUGACAUGGAUACAUGGCUGGGUAAGAUGGGUUUGAGCUGCAUCACCAUGGCCCUCUCAGACUUCUAUGCCUCUCAUGGGCACUACAAGACUAGGCUGGUUCUGGAAAUCAGAGAUUCCAAAAGAGAUGUUGUGGGUGCAGCUGCAGCAGGUACUCUCGUUUCAUAAAACUUAGAAUACAUUUAGAAAACAAUUGCAUUAUAGAGACAUAUAGAAGCAAAAGUUUAAACUUGCCCUCUUAUUUUCAAACAAUUAGAUAUUUUUAUUGCCCUUUUAGAUGAGCAAUUGAUUAUUAACAGAACUUUUAUCAUUUUUAAUCACAACUUGCCACAGAAAUACGAGAUUAGAAAAAUUGAUAAAUGGUGUAAAUGUUAAGCGUUUAACUAAUAGAUCGAAUUGGAUGAAACAAAAUUAUAUUCCUUCUUCUGCCAUAUCACCAUUUCCAACCUCAUAUCAAAGUUCAAGUUCUUCCUAAUUAACAUGGUAAAAUUGUAGUGAAGACAUUAAAUAAGAAAAGUUUUUGAGGAAAAAGAGUCAUGAAGUUGAACCAAGAUUAGCAUGCCCAUCAAAGAUGGCAAAAAGUCUCGUUAAAUUGUAGCACGUGUUUUCAACUAAGCAACAUUUCUUGCCUCGGAAGAUGUUUCUUUGUUAACCACACGAUGCUUCAAAGAUGAAAAAAGUCUUCAUAAAUUUGAUUUCCUCCUUGUUUUAAAAGUCACUCUAAUAUUGUGGUCAUGUUCCAAAACCGAUGCCUAUGAUCUAUGUUAUUGAGAAAUAAUGUGAUGCAGAAGUAUAUAAAAAAGAUUGAUAAUUUGUUAUAAUAAGAAGAUUGAUAGGUUGUUAACAAAUUCCAGUAUCCAUCGGACCAAGGGGAUGUAUUUUCCAUUUUUGUACCUUGUUUGAUUGUUGAUAAUAUAGUAGAAAUUGAAUGAAACUUCCGAAUUAUUAUAUUUUAAUCAUUGUGAAAUUCAGCUCUAGAUUUAUUACAAAAUGAGGAAGUUCAAGCCAUCAUAGGACCAGCAUCCUCCAUGCAGGCCAACUUUGUGAUUGGCCUCGGAGACAAGGCUCAUGUGCCCAUCAUUUCAUUUUCUGCAACUAGUCCUUCUCUUUCUUCAAUCCGGAGUCCAUAUUUUGUCCGAGCCACACUGAAUGACUCAGCACAAGUACCAGCUAUAAGGGCAAUUGUCCAAGCCUUUGGGUGGAGACAAGUUGUGCUCAUUUACUUGGACAACGAGUACGGAAAUGGAGUUAUACCGUAUCUUACUGAUGCCUUGCAAGAGAUUGACACCCGUAUCUCCUACAGGAGCGUCAUUCAUCCAUUAGCCACAGAUGAUCAAAUCCUCGAAGAGCUUUACAAGUUGAUGACAAUGCCAACCAGAGUUUUCAUUGUACACAUGUUUACACCUCUAGGCCCACGACUUUUUGGCAGAGCGAACGAGAUUGGAAUGAUGGAAGAAGGUUUUGUAUGGAUUCUAACUGAUGGGUUAACUGAUAUCUUGAGUACUUUGGAUCCAUCUGUCAUUGAUUCAAUGCAAGGAGUGUUGGGGGUGAAGCCUCAUGUUCCAAGAUCGAAAGAGCUUGAAAGUUUUAAAAUCAGAUGGAAAAGGGAAAUCCAACAAGAAUAUCCGACCAAUGAAAGCUUUGAGCUGAACAUUUUUGGACUCUGGGCUUAUGAUGCCGCUUCUGGGUUAGCCAUGGCAGUUGAAAAACUUGGGGCAACAAACUUCAGCUUCCAAAAGUCUCAUAUUUCCAGAAAUUCAACCGAUCUUGAUACUGUAGGAGUCUCCCUAAUUGGUCCAAAACUCCUCCAGUCACUAUUAAAUACUAGAUUUAGAGGCCUCAGUGGGGAUUUUCAAAUUGUUAACAGACAACUACACUCAUCAGCUUUUCAGGUAGUCAAUGUGAUACGCAAGGGGGAAAGAGGGGUAGGAUUUUGGACACCAGAGAAUGGAACUGUAAGAAAGUUGGAUUCUACUUCCAAGCCCAAUCUAGGAACAAUCGUAUGGCCAGGAGAAUCUCCCUCCGUCCCUAAAGGUUGGGUCCUUCCAACCAAUGAGAAGAAAUUGAGAAUAGGAGUACCAGUCGGCCAAGGUUAUAGUGAAUUUGUAAAGGUGACGCGAGAUCCUAGCAGUAACACAACGGAGGUCACUGGAUUUUCCAUAGCAGUCUUCGAUGCAGCGAUGGUAGCAUUACCAUAUGUUGUUCCUUAUGAGUACAUUCCCUUCGAGGGGCCUGAUGGCAAACAAGCCGGUGAUUACAACGAUUUGAUAUAUCAAGUAUAUCUCCAGGUCAGUUGAACUCUUUACCCUUCCUAGCACAUAGAGACAACUCUUGGUUGGCUUCAAUUAUAAUGAAUUUUGUCAAACUAAAAAGCUAUUGCAGUUCCCCGUUGUUGGCUUUUGAGUACAUAGGAAACAACCAAACUUGCAGCAAAUUUUCCUGCAGUGCAUAACAGAAUGGCCCCAUUGUUUAUUGUUAACAGAAGUAUGAUGCUGUGGUGGGAGAUACUACUAUUCUAGCGAACAGGUCCUUGUAUGUAGACUUUACACUACCUUACACAGAUUCUGGGUUGUCAAUGGUCGUGCCCACUAUAGAUAAAAGAAAAAAAAAUGCAUGGGUUUUCUUGAAGCCACUUACUUGGGACCUUUGGGUGACAAGCUUUUGUUUCUUCGUAUUCACUGGCUUUGUGAUUUGGGUUCUUGAACAUCGAGUAAAUAAAGACUUCAGAGGGCCUCGUUCACAUCAAGUUGGCACUAUCUUCUGGUUUUCAUUCUCAACAUUGGUGUUUACUCAGAGUAAUUUCUCUUCCACCUCCUUGAAUUUUAUCUAGCAAUUUAUCUACUUAUGUAAUAUUCAAAUACAAAGCAUAGUGAGCACAUCUCAAACACAAUCGAAACUAACUUCUAGUAUAUAUGGCCUGCUUGCUUGUUUCCCAUGACUGUAACCUCUAUUAAUAUAUGGACAUUCCAUACAAUAUGCAAGUAAAUUUCAAAAUAAUUUUUAUGUUUCAGAAAUUAUAUAUAUUUGACUUUAUAUUGAUUUUCUGGAUUGGAUUUUCUUUUUCUUUCUUAAAUUAUGUUAACAGAGGAGAGAAUUGUCAGCAACUUGGCUCGGAUCGUGAUGAUCAUAUGGUUUUUUGUGGUGCUGAUUCUUACUCAAAGUUACACAGCCAGCUUGGCUUCAAUGUUAACAGUUCAACAACUCAACCCGACUAUCACUGAUAUAAAUGAGCUCAUAAAGAAGGGGGAGCCUGUAGGUUGCCAAAAUGACUCUUUCGUUUGUGAAUUCUUGAUCGAGUCGAUGAAAUUUGAUGAGUCCAAGCUUGUAAAAUAUGAGUCCCCAGAAGAACUGGAUGAAUUAUUUUCAAACAAGAGUUCAAAAGGUGGAAUUGCUGCUGCAUUUGAUGAAAUCCCUUACAUGAAGAUUUUCCUUGCAAAAUAUUGCUCCAAAUACACAGCAGUCGGACCAACAUACAAGUUUGAUGGGUUUGGAUUUGUAAGCGUUCUCUCUUAAAGUGUAUAGAUUUUCAUGCAGUGGUUUCUGAUUUUUGAUCAUUUUUCAGGUGUUUCCAAAGGGUUCACCCCUUGUAGCUGAUGUUUCAAGGGAAGUCUUAAACGUGACAGAGGGAGCUAAAAUGCUACAAUUCGAGAAGGCAUGGUUUGGGCAAACACCCAGUUGUCCAGAGCUCACCAGCUCAGUUUCUUCGAACAGCAUCGGCCUUAAUAGCUUUUGGGGCCUAUUCCUCAUUGCUGGAGUCGCUUCAUGCGUAGCUCUCACCACAUGCAUCACCAUGUUCCUUUAUGAAAAUAGAGAUAUCUUAAUAAACUUGAAUCCCUCAUCUUCCAUAUGGGGAAAAAUUAAAGCCAUGGCAACACGCUUUGAAGACAAAGAUCUCAGGUCCCAUACCUUUAGAAAUAGUGAUCUCAGUUCAAAUCGGCCGAUGCAUCCACAUAUAUUGUUUGAAUAUGAGCUUGCUAAUAUAAAUCAUGAGCAAACAAGAUGUCAUGCCCCGUGACCCGCUCCAAGGGCAUGACAAUCAUUUCACAUGUCAAGCCCGAAAGCUCAAAGUGUAAAUUAAACAUUAUCUAGAAUAAUUCUAGAAGCUUCUCUUAGCCUCACAUGUAAAGCACCAGCUCACCAACUCCACACCAAAUGCAGUUGUAACAGAGAAUUGGGUUGUACACUCUCAUAUAUAAAUAUUUGUAAAAAAAGAUAAGAGGUUUAUUCUAGGCAAUAUUUUUUUCAUUAUGUUCUUCUCUGCCCCUCUAUUUUCUCUCUCAAAAACUCCUCUGAUUCAAUCCUUUUUUUUUUUUUUUUAAUUCAAUCAUGGUAUCAGAGCUCCAUGAGACUUACGUCACCACUCCUACCAUGUCCACCACUACAACUGCAACCAUAACUACGAAUCCAGCAAUGGCGUCUUCCUUUUUUAUUAAUCUCAACUUCACUCUGUCGAUCAAGUUGGAAAGAGGUAAUUACCUUAUUUGGAAGUCACAAAUUCUUCCUAUUCUUAGAGGUCAUGGUCCUGAUGGUUUUGUUACAGGAAUGAAACCUUGCCCGAAUGAGUUUAUCAACGUUGCAGGUGAUUCAUUUGGCCUUAAUCAAAUGGUAAAUCAAAUGGCAAAGACAAGAUCAGUUGAUCCUUGGGUGGAUGAUUGCUUCAAUGUCAGAAGGUGUUGUUGGUCAGAUUGUAGGUUGUACCACUUCUUAGCAAGUCUGAGCAGCUCUGGAGCAUCUUUUUGCCUCACCUUUGAAGGCAAGAUUACUUCAGUUGUGAAUAGAAAUGCAGACAACCAAGAAAGGCUCUCUCUCAAUGAUUGAUUACAUUAGCAAAAUGAAGUCUAUUGUAGAUAAUCUAAUAGCAUCUAGAGCACCUCUUACUGAUGAAAAUCUUAUAAUGAAUUUGUAGACUGGUGUUAGAGUAGAAUAUGAUCCAGUAUUUGUCAUUAUUGCAACACGACCAGAACUCUUCACUCUAUCAGAAGUGUGUGCACUGUUGCAGAAUCAUGAAACCCGUAUUAAGCAACUGAAUUCUUGCACACAAAUUGUCUCCAAAAUGUCUCUGCUAAUUUUACAGUAGGUGGUUCUUCCAAGGAUGGUCGUGGUUGUAGAAAUACUCAUGGGAAUGACAGGGCACAUACUAGAGGUCAUAACAGUUUUCAUUGCAGUCAGUAUUUUGGUCUAGGGCGUGGUAGUUGUGGUAGAGGUAAUGGAUUGCGCCCAACUUGCCAAGUUUGUGGUCGACAAGGACACAUUGCUAUAAACUGUUACCAUAGAUUUGAUCGGGCUUUUCAAUCUCCCCCAAGUAAUUCAUUAACUGUUAUGGUUGCCCUUCCUAAUACAAUAGCGGAUCCUUCUUGGUACUUUGAUAGUGGUGCAUCAACCCAUGUGACCAAUAAUCCAGACAACUUGAGCUUCAAAUCUUACUAUAAUGGUCAUGAUAAGGUUACUGUGGGCAAUGGUCAAGGUUUGUGCAUUCAAAAUGUUGGUUAUUCUUCCCUACCUUUUUUUCUCAAAACCUUGCAUCUCAUAAAUAUUUUGCAGCCCAAAAAUUACUAAAAAUCUCUUGAGGAUUUCUAGGUUCACUAUAGAUAAUAAUGUUUAUGUUGAGUUUCACUAAAAUCAUUGCUUUGUGAAAGACAAGAGCUCAGGGAAUGUUUUGUUCCAAUGAUCAAUUAAAGAUGGCCUUUAUUGUCUGAUACCACCUCAGAAUCCUCUAUUCCAUUGUUUCCAGUUCUACCACAGUCACUCCAAGGGAUACUUCAUUUUUUUGCCCAUGUUUCCUCUGCUGAUAAUCACACUUUUAGUCCAGUUUUGUAGUCUCUUAAAUAUAAUAAACUUGAGGUUUGGCACCAAAGGUUGGGCAAAAUGAAAACUUAUCCCCAAGUUUGUACUCAAGUCUGUUUUGAAGUCUUGUAUCUUUUCUUUACACAAUGAAAACUUAUCUCCAAGUUUUUGUAAUUCUUGUUAGUUUAGCAAAAACCAUGCUCUUCUUUUUACUACAACCAUGGCACCUCUUCAAUUGGUUCACACUGAUUUGUGGGGGCCUUCUCCUGUCAAGUCCAGUGUUGGUUUUCUCUAUUAUAUUUAUUUUAUCGAUGACUAUACUUGGUUUACCUGAAUUUAUCCAUUGAAAGCUAAAUCUAAUGCUCUAAAUGUAUUUUUUUCUUUUCAAAGUGUUUUGUGGAAAAUCAAUUCGGCUUGUGUAUUAAAGCCUUACAAUCCAACUGGGGUAGCGAGUACAGACCUUUUCUUCCUAUUCUUCUUAAACAUGGAAUUCAUUUUCGCCAUCCUUGCCCACAUGUCACUACAAGAAAAAAGGUCAUUGUUGACAUAUAUUAUCUUGAUUUAAGGUGAUAUGUGUCAAUAUUGCCUAUUUAAAUGAACAACUAUGACAUAUACAACUUGUUUAAACCAAUAAUGACAUAUAUAAAAUUUGUUGAAUUCUUUCAUGACUUAUAUAAUAGAAUCUUGACAUAUAAUUUAUAAGUCAAUGUAUUCAAGGUACUUAAAUAAAAGUAAUAAUGAUAAUAAUUUGUUUGAUAUUUGUAUAUCUAAUUUACUUACUAAGUAUUAUAAAUUGAAGUGACAACAAUCAAUUUUGAUUAAGGAAGUCAAUGUUUAUUUAAUAAAUUUUUUCAGUAAUGUUAAGAUCAAUUUUCAUUUUUUUUAUCAAAUUGAUUAAAUGAUUUUUUAGUCUAUAUCAAUAGCACUAAAAUAAAUUUUUAUAAAUAAUUUUUUAUUCACUAAUUUUAGUGAAAUAAAAUUUGCUACAUUAUGGUUUUUUUAAUAAUUGGAUGUAAAUAAAAUCAAUACUAAUAAACUAUUUUUUUAUUCAUUGAUGUUAAUGAUUUUUUUUUUUUUUUUGAGUUUGCAUUAAUAUAAUCUUUUUUUUCAUGAACUAUUUUAACUAUUUUUCAUUAUUUUUAAAUUAGUAAUUAAAUUGUAUUUGAUUUAAAAUAAUUAAUAAAUUUGAGUAAGCUUGAAAAUUAAGAUAUUUAUAAUUUUGAUCUGUCAAUUGUUCGACAUAAUAUCAGGUUUCAAAAUUUUAUUUUUUAAGUUAACUCGUACAAAUUUAGACAUUAGGAAAGAAGAAAAUUAAUUAUGGUAAAUUGAAAUUAUAAAAGUUAUAAAUAUAUUCCAUAAAUUGAUUCUCAUAAAGUUGACUCAUAGAAAAAGAAUUUAAAUUUUGGUGUGAUAAGAUUAAUGUUGGUGUUUAUUUUCUAAUCUCAUUUCUACCAUUCAUUUCAAAGAACCCUAAGAGAUCACAUUUUUCUCUCCCACUUCUCUGCCACCGCCACUCUCCAUUUUCUUUUUUUUUUUCUUCUUUCCUCCCUCAUGUUUCUUUCCCCGUUCGCUCUCCAUACCCAUGCGCCUCAUCCAUCUCAACAAUAUCGCGACUAUCAAUCGUCACCGGCAGUGAUGCUACCGAUCGACGUUGUUUCUCUCUCUCUCCCUUAUUUUUUUGUUCCUCUUUUUCAUUCUUUCUUUCUCUCUCUCUCUCACCAUGCCAUCCCUCGUCGUCGGCUAUGCCAUGGUGUGUUAUGGUAUGCCAUGGUGAGUUCGUCGAACCAGAACUGAAGCAUGGAGGCUCACUCCCUCCUCAAGAAGCAAGGAUUCAACGUGUCAUCCUAUGGGACGGGGGUGCACGUCAAGCUCCCUAAACCUUCCCUCAGAGAACCAAACAUCUACGAGUUCGGAACCCUCUAUAAGCACAUGUUCAAUGAUCUCAGCUACAAAGAUCCUGACCUGUAUCUUCUUUCUUCCAUUUCUAGGUUUUUCCUAUUUGCUUCCGGAGAAAAAAAACAUUAGCGAGGGAAAGAGAAGGAAUUAUUUAUUUAUUUAACCAAAUGGGUCAUGUGGUGGUUCUUUAGAGGAGGUUGAAAGAUAUUUGGAUCAUGACUAUGAUAUUUUUUUUUUUUAAAAAUAUUUGCCUACAUUUUCUCACUAUCCAAACAAGGAAUUUUAUAGAUGUUUGAUGCAUUGCUCUAUGUGUAUUUUUGUUUGGUUAAUUUUUGCAUUUUUGUGAAAGACUACCUAAUGUGGACCAUGUUAAAGGCUAUGGACAAUGUAAAUUUGCCUUGUCCUCUAUUUGAUAGUCGAGAAGAUGAGGGAAAAAUUGUUUUAAAUGGUUUCUUUUGGUUUUCUUUUUUGGUCUCCACCAAAGGGGGAAAUUGAAAACUUGCAAUUAGACUAGAUAAUUGUGUUAAGCUUAAUUGAAAGUGAUGCAAAACCUAAAACAAAUCAUUCAGUUAGGUUAUGAAUCUAAAACUCAAAAUUUAGCAUGUUUUCUUGCUAACUGAACAAAGCAUUUGAGUAUUUGUUUUAUAUUGAAAUUUGUGUAAAGUUCCUGAGUAGAACCUUAAACCCUUUUGAUUGACAAAAUAUGGUUAUAUUGGGGUUUGUUGUUAAUGUUCAUAUUGGAGACUAGGGCAAACCAGAAACUAAAGGAAACUCUUAAUUGUUGUAUAGAAAUCAAUACUAUUUAUUAUUAUUAUUAUUAUUAUUUAAAUUCUUGCUGAUGAUUAUUUGAUUUGCCUAGAACCUUAAAACAAAAUGCAACCUUAAUGACAACACAACUACAAGCGUAAUGGCAUCCUACCAAUGCUUAAAAGGAAUUCAUUAGUCAAAACCACACCUCAACGCUAGCAAGAUAAUGCUACUGAUGGGCCAUUCGAUGUGGUAUUCACAUUUGAAAAAAAGGUUUUCGAUAUGGUUGUUGAAGGUUAAUGUUUGCAUUUUUGUUUUGUUUCUGACGCAUCAUACAUUAUAGAUAGGUUAUUGAGCAAUCUUAAAAAUAUUUGAUUGUAGUUAGAUAUCUAAUUUCUCAAUUUGAGCUUUUUGUUUUGUUAACGUCGUUUGUUUUUUCUAUCAUAGGUUUGAGAUAGAGGUAUUGGCAAUUUCAGGGUCUUUCUAGAGGGCGGUGUUUGAAGAUUAAUGCUAGAGAUAUGGUAUCUAUAAAUUGCAUAUAUGUUUGAUGUAUUCUUGCAAUUGAAAAUACCUUAUAAUUUGAAAUUUUCUAUUUUGAUACUUGUUACUUACUUUUCUAUUAACGUGUGUCUAUCAUACUAGGUAUUCAAGAAAUAUAACAAAAAAGAAGAAGAUGAUGAAGAAUUAGUGACCACCUGUUACGAAGAUAGUAUUGUACUUUUCAAUUUAAGUUUGUAUAUUAUCUUAAUUGAAUGUUUGUAGUUAGUUUUUUUUUUUUUUUUUUGUAUAUAGAAAAUAGAGAGUAAGUAGAAAAAGAUUUAUUCCAUUGUGUUUUUAAUAUUCAAAUGUAUCUAUAAUAAUUUUUUCCCUUGAGUAAUAGUUUAUUUACAUUGUUUUAGGACUUAGUUAUUAUUAUCAUAAGUAAAUAUGUAUCAAAUUUAAUUUGGAAACAAGUUUCAUAUGGCAACAAGUUUCUUUUCCAUUAAAACUAAGAAUUAUAGUAAAAUAAUAUUAAAUUUGUCAUAGGCAACCUUGACAGAUGGCCAAUGCCCAACAUUGACAUUGCAAUAGCUAGAAACCUUGACAUAUUAUACUUAUCCUUGACAUUUGUUGUAGUAACCUUAAUAGAAGAUCAAGUUAACAUUGACAUAAGAUCAAAAAAUCUUGACAUAUGUUGAAUCCAACCUUGACAAAAGUGAAAGAAACAUUGACAUAUGUCAUACUAACAAAGAUUCGAUCAUUGGUAGAAAUAGAAAAAACCUUGACAUAUGUAAAUGUCAAGGUAGUUUUGAACUUUUCUUGACACUGGCAUAGAUGACAUAUAUAAAUAGUAACAUACCUUGAUAGAUAUACCCUACCUUGAUGGUGAAAAACUGUCAACGAAAGGCUUUUUUCUUGUAGUGUGUUCACCAACAACAUGGUCAUGCUGAGCAUAAACAUCGACAUGUAGUUGAGUGUGGUCUCACUUUAUUAGCACAGACACAGUUACCUCUCUAUUUCUAGUGGGAAGCUAUUCAUAUUGCUACCUUUCUUAUCAACAAGUUGCCCACUCCUGUCCUCCAUAUCUCCAUAUAAAAAACUCUUUGGCACCCGUCUUGAUUAUGCUAUCCUCAAAACUUUUGAUUGCACUUGUUUUCCUAACAUUCAUGCUUAUAACACCCAUAAGUUUGCUUUUCACACUAAUUGUGUAUUCAUUGGGUAUAUUGAUGUUCAUAAUGGGUACAAAUGUCUUGAUUCUUUUGGUUGUGUUUAUAUUACUUGACAUGUUGUGUUUAAUGAAAUGGACACUACAAGAAAACAUGUUUUUCCCAAUGAAAAUUUAGGGACAUAUUAAAAUUCAUCUCUAAAACUAAUUUUUCCAGACGAAAUUCUAAAUAUUGUCACUAACACCAAUUUCUUAACAACUUUUCAUGAUGAAAUUGAAAUUUUCGUCACCAAAAUUUCUAUAGAAAUAAUAACCUAAUAACAUGUUAUUACAAUUUCCCUUGAUUAAAAUUAAGCUUAGAAAUUUCCUUGGUAGCUUCCAUGCACAUUUAAUUUUCAUAUUAACAUGUUGAAAUUGUAAUGUUGUUAAAUUAAUUAAUUACAAGUCAAAUUUAGGAAAUGUCUUAAAAUAAGGGAGAUUAUGUCAAAAGUUUUAUAGAAUUUUUAACUUAGCCAUUUGUUAUUAUAACUUUCUUUACUUAAAAUUAAGUUAAUUUGAGAUUAUUGAUACUUGUAAAGUAUUAUUAUGUAUAUAUAUGCUAGAUUUUUAUUUCAACUUUUAUGUUUAUUGUGUGAUGUCAAGUUUGGACUCUUCCUAGGUAUUAUCCUUGAAAUAAAUUUUAGUUUGGUUAUUGAUAAUUUUAAAUUUCUUUGUUAUUAAAUUGAUUAUAUAGUAUAUAAAAUUUUAGAAAAGGUUAAGAAAUAAAUAAGGUUUUCUACAUUCUUAAAUUAAAAACAUUGUAGGUAAAAUUUUGGAAAUGACUAAAAAAUAGAAGGGUUUAUACAAAAACUUAAAUAAUAUAUAACUUUUUUUUAUAACUUUCCUUGCAUAAGAUUAAAUUGGGAUUCUUUGCUUUUGAAGUGUUAUCUUUUAGUAUGUAUACUAGAUUCUCAUUUAAAUUUUAAUAUUAUUAACUAUGUGAUGAAAAGCUUAUAUAUAUAUAUAUCCUUCGGUACUUGAACUAAAAUUUAGUGUUGGUAUUGACCAAUUUGAAAUUUUAAUUUUAUCACAUUGAGUGUAUAACUAAUAAAAUUUUGGAAAUGACUAAGAAAUAAAAGGGACUAUGCUGAAAUUUUAUAGGAAUUUUAAUUUUCUAAUUUGCUAUAGUUAUGACUACUUUUCUUGCUUAAAAUUAAUUUUGGGAUUAUGACUCCUUCCAAAGUGUUACAAUGUUAGCAUAUAAAUAUUGUAUUCUUGUUUGAAACUUUAUACUAUUUUUGGUGUAAUGAAAAUUUUAGGCCUUAGAAAUUUCCUUGCACACUAAAAUUUAAUUAGUCAUUGACUAAUUUGAGAUUUCAAUGGUAAAUUGAUUAUGUAGUUGAUAAAAACUAUAAAAAAAAAUGUCUAAGAAAUAUGAGAGAUCAUACCAAAAUUUUGAUAGAAAUUUUAAUUUAUUAAGCUAUCAUAUUUGGUUCUUUUUUAUUUUUGUUUUGUUUUAUUUUUCAUUUUUUAUUUUUAUUUUUUGCAUUUAUAGGAGAAAAUGUUGGAGCUCCAAUGCCAACCAAUAGUAGAUGGAGCUAUGGCCAUGACUAAGGUAGAAAUUUGUGAGAAUGUUUUAGGGCAAUGAUUAGGAUAUGUUAAUGGCCUUGGUUUUGGCCCCAAACCAACUUCUGCUUAUCAUCUUCUCAAUGCGAGGUAGAGUUGGAGUAUAGACUUUCUGAGACUCAAGCACUUGUGGAAGCUCAACAACAACAGCUUGAUACCCAACAAGAGCAGAUUGACCACUUGAAGGCCUUAUUGCAGCAACGAGAUCAACAACAAUUUGGAGAAAUCUUGUGUCAUCUACGAUCGAGCCAAGGGUCCUUAUGAUGUCUCCUUUAGGUUACACAUUUGAUGGAUCCUCAUCCUUCUUUACUCAUGUUGACUAGUUUUGUAACUAAGAUUUUAUUAAACUAAUACUUUGUUUUAUUAUGUAGUUAUAACAUAUAUAUUUUGAUGUUAUGAUCACUAAGUAUGGCUUGUUUUAUAUUAUCAAUGAAAUUGUGUAGUAUAUAUUUUUAUUUUUGAAAGCAUGUUUUAAAAUGAAAAUUUUCAUUAUAUUAUUUUCAUCAGGUUCAGAUGGCAACAAAAAAUAUAUAAUUAUAAUAUGAAAAAUAAAAAUUGUAAAUAUCUUUCCUGAUGAAAGAAUUUAAUCCCUAAAGAUAUUUCUCAACGAAAUUUUUUUGUUACAACAAAUUUUCAUAUCAUCUACAUGAAAUUUAUAAUUCAUUAAUAAUAUGUUUUAGGGACAAAAUUAUUUUGUUAGUAAAAAGAUUUGGUAACAAAAUAAAUUUGUUAGCAAAGACUUAUGGGUAAAAUUUUGUCUUGUUCAUUGCUAAAAAAACGUAAUUUUGUCUUGUUCACUAAUAAAGAAACGUAAUUUUUCCAACAAAAUAUUUCGUUAGGAAAAACCUUUAAUAACAAAUUUUUAUUUUAUCUAGGAAAAUUUUUUGUUACGAAAUGAGACUUUUUUUGGGAGUAAUAAUGAGCAUAGGGAGACGAAAUUAUUUUGUUAGAAAAAAUAUUUAUCAAUGAAAAUAAUUUCAUCAUUAUUAAUUAUUGACGACUUUUGAGACAAAAUUUGUAUUUUUAGAGAUAAAAAAUAUUACUUUUACUGAUGAAAUAUUUUGCUGGGAAAAACCUUCAAUGACGAAAUUUUAUUUUAUCAAGAAAAACUUUGGGCGACGAAGUGGGGAAUUUCAUCAAGACACUUUUAGCAAUGGGUCUAGGGCGACGAACAUGACACAAAAUAGUUUUUGUUGGGAAAUGUUUUUACAAACAAAAUUAAAACUUUUAGUGACAAAAUAUUUUAUUGCUAAAAGCCUAUUUUCUUGUAGUGAGAGUUACUUUUUUUCCUCUAAUUCUUAGUUUUAGCAUUGUCAUAUCAAUGUGUCUACUAUUUUCCCUUCUUCUCUUUACCUGUACUUUCCCCACCCACUUCCCAUACUACUCUUCAGUCUCCUUCUCUAGGCUCUUCCUUGAUUGAUCGUGGUGCAGGCCAGGUUUCCCCAAUUUCCACUACUUCUUCACCUUGUCUUCCUACUUCCUAUGUAUCUUCUAACCUAGCUUUCCCCUCUCACACCCCACAUUCUCUUACAAAUUCUCUCUCCCUUCCUCCAUUCCUUGUGUCAUCAUUUUUUUCAUCUAAUUCCCAUCCUAUGCAAACUCAUUCCAAGUCAGGCAUAUUUAAACCCAAACUUUCCUAUCUCACUACUCCUUCAUGUUUUUUCCUUUUCACCUAAACCUUCUUAUUUUGCCAAGGUCUUAUCUCAUCCUCUAUGGAAGCAAGCAAUGUAGUCAGAAUUUUAUGCCUUAACUUAGAACCAAACUUGGUCUCUUGUUCCUUACGCUCCUCAAAAGAAAGUCAUUGGGAGUAAGUGGGUUUUUAAGUUGAAGCUUAAUCCAGAUGGUUCUAUCAAGUGCCACAAGGCAAGGCUUGUGGCAAAGGGGUUUCAUCAAACACCUAGGGUUGACUUCUCUACCACUUUUGGCCCUAUCAUCAAGCCUUCUACCAUUCGCAUUAUCUUAAGCCUUGUUAUUACUUGUGGUUGGGACAUUUAACAAUUAGAUGUCAAUAAUGUUUUCCUUCAUGGGUGUCUCUAUAAAUAUGUUUUUAUGCAAUCUGAAGGGUUUGUUGAUGUCCCCAAGCCCACCCAUGUUUGUCAACUUCAAAAAGCCUUAUAUGGCCUUAAACAAGCCCUAAUGCUUGGUGUGAACGAUUGUAGAAUUGUCUUCUUCUAUUUGGUUUUCGAAACUCCCAAGCUAGCACAUCUUUGUUCAUUCUUCACAAGGGCUCCUUAUUGAUUCUUCCUUUUGUUUAUGUUAAUAACAUUCUUAUCAUUAGCAAUCAUCCCUCUGUCAUCAACACCUUCAUUGAUCAUCUACGUCAACAGUUCUCUUUGAAAUGGUCUGGCUCCCUCCAUUAUUUUCUUAGUAUCCAAGCUCUUUAAACAUCUUCUGACCUUCAGUUAUGUCAAUCCUGAUACAUCCAUGAUCUGUAGCAAUGCACUAAAAUGUUUGGUGCCAAGCCUACUUCCACUCCAACCAGCCCCAAAUAGAAAUUGAGUUGUAAUAAUAGGGCUACUUUUGAUAAUCCUACUAUUUAUCAUAGUACAAUCGGUGCUCUCUAAUAUGUCACCAUCACCAAGCCUAAACUUUCCUAUAUUGUCAAUAAACUUAAACAAUAUCUCCAACAACCUACUUUGUUCCACAGGCAAGCUUUCAAGCGUGUAUUGCAUUAUCUGAAAGGCACUUCCACUUUUGGUCUUUUCUUUCACCCAGCUCCUUCUCUUGAUCUCAUUACCUAUUCAGAUGAUGAUUAGGGGAGUGAUACUGAUUAUCAACGUUCCAUUGGUGGCUACUCCAUAUUUUUUUGUGCUAAUUUGAUUUCAUGGGCUUCCAAAAACCAAAGAGUUGUGGCUUGUUCAAGUAUUGCUUCUGAAUAUAGAGCUUUAGCUCAAGUAAUAGUAAAAGUCACUUAGUUGCGAGCCUUGUUACUUUGGGCAUAUCACUACCAUAAAGUGCAGUUGUCUGGUGUGACAAUCUUGGAGCAACAACUCUAGUUGAGAAUCUCAUGUAUCAUUAUCAGACAAAACAUAUAGAGAUUGAUGUACACUUCAAUAGGAAAAUGUGGCUCAUAAAGAACUUGAGGUGAUAUUUGUACUCAUUAUUGAUUAGAUUGUUGAUGUGCUCACAAAACCAAUUUCACAAACUUGAUUUGAAAUACUAAGGUCAAAGCAUAUUGUAUGUGAUUGACAGUUGAGCUUACGGGGAAACGUUAAGAAUAAUUCUAGAAGCUUCUUUUAGCCUCACAUGUAAAGCACCAACUCACCAGUUCCAUGCCAAAUGCAAUUACAAUAGAAAAAAUUGGGUUGCACACUCUCAUAUACAAAUAUAUGUAAAAGAAAUAAAAGGUUUAUUCUGGGCAUUAUUUUUUUCAUUUUGUCCUUCUCUACACACUACUUUAUGUUUUCUCUCUCAAAAACUCUUCUUUAUUUCUAUCUUUUUUUUUUUUUUUAAUUCAAUCAAACAUUCAUCUUGUAAUUGGAAGUUACCAAUUACCAAAUUCCUAUUCAAAGUAGUGGAACAAAAUUGUAUGAUCUUUAAAUCUCAACUUUAAAGCUAACACAUCAAUUAAAGUGUUAUUAUCCAAACAACUUCAAACUUAAACAAUUCAAAAAGUCAUUAAAUUCUAACUUUUAAACAAUGCCCAAAAAAUAAGGUUUAAACCAAAAGUCUUAAUAAUGUCAAAAUCUCAUCCUAACCAUCAUUCUUCGCCUGAACUAAAAGUGUCCAAAAAAUUGUUAGCGAAAGGGAAUGAGCUCAAAGCCUAAUAAGGAAUGUUAAUAUAGUUUCAUGGAUAAAAUAUUUUCAAUUAUGAUUGUAAAUAGGAGAUAUAAUAUAUAAUCAUUUUCAUAAAAAAAAAAUUUAGUUCAAACAUGCUAAUACAUUCAAAACUUCUCAACCAAACAUUUUCAUAUUUAUUUCAAAACAAUUUCAUAUCAAUUCCAAAAUAAAUGCAUUCAAAAUAUUUUUACUUUGGUUAUAAUCAAAUAUCAAAUGGUGCCCAGUUAGGUAGGACUUUACAAAUGGGUGACUAGCCUCAAAUUUUUUCCUUUUAAUGGGUGGCUAGUAACCUCUAACCAAACCCAUAGAGGCUAAGGUCCAAAUCAAUUACAUUCUCCACCACAAAAUGUAAAGGUUAACUAUAAUAUCUCGUUGACAAUGGUUAAAAAGUCAAAUAUUCUAUCUUAUUAACUAGGACAAAAAGGUCAACUAUUACACCCAUUUGAUUAUGGUGAAACAAACUAGAGUCAAAUACUUUAUUUUAUUUAUUCAAACUUACAAAAACAUAUAAUUUUUUUUUAUUUACAAAAUUUGCAUUAAUUUCCCUUAUCUCAAAGAAGCACUCAAAGACCUUAAAGAAAUUAAUCUUAAAGAAUUUCGUCCUAAAGAACCUAUUUCACACCUAACAAAAAUAAAUAAAUAAACAAUUAUAUAUUAAUAUUGAUUAUUUAUCUAAAUUUAUAGGUUUGAGAAUCCUAAUAAUUUCUUAUGUUAUAUCACCUAUAUUAUUUUUAACUUCCUAAUCAAUAACAAUUUAAUAAGUGAGUUUCCAUAUUUUUUUUAAAAGUUGUGUUCUUUACAAAAGUUUGUUUCUAAAAAUCUUCCAUGUUUUCUUUUUUGCUUAAACUAAAUUUCCCCAAAACUUAUUCCUUUUAGUGAAACAAAUAUCUUUUCCUAUUAUUAUUGUUAUCAUAUUUUAUUGUCUUUCUAAACAUUUUAGAAUCAUAAACAUCUUAAGCAUUUUGGAUGUAAAACUCAACUAAUUCUAAAUUUCUUUCCAUUAUAUAUAUAUAUAUAAAACAUGGAAUUUUCCUUCUUUUUAUUUUUUGUCUUUGGCACACAGUACCAUUCUAACUUACCCUUUCUACAAUCACAAGCAAUGUCAUUUUUUUUCCUCCACAAAGUCAAUAUCAAAGCAUUUUUCUUUCUUUUUUUUCUUUUUUUUUUGUCACACUCUAUUGCAAGCAACCUUGUGAUUUUUUUUCCCACCAUGAAGGCAUGUACUACCACAAAACCUUUUUUUCUUUUUUCUUUUUUCUUAUUUUCAACUCUCAAAACCCUCAACCUCCAUACUCAUGGGUAUUAUUUAUUUAUUUAUUUAUUAUUUUUCACAUCUGAAACUAUAAUUUUUUUUCUAUUUAUUUAUUUAUUUAACUAGAACUAUUCAUUUGAAUAAUACAAAAUUUUCAAUCUCCAUUAAUAAAUCAAACUAUGUUAAUAAAUUUCCAAUCUUUCUAAAACUUAAUUUAACAAACCCUAAUUUAGAUUGAGAUCUUCUAAAGAAUAUCUAAAAUAUCCAAAACUAAUUAACAAAUAUAAAAUACUAAUCUAAAGGUUAAAAUCUUACCUAGAAAAUUAAUCUUCAAAUCCUAAACCCCAAAAUCUUCAACCCUACAUUGCCCUGCAUUCUCCAAUCUCUCUAAUCUCCAUGUAAAAGGGUUUUUUUUUUUUUUUAAUAAAGAGGACAAGAGAAAUAUAAUUUAUACCUAGGGCUUUUAAGCACCGAAUGACCUUUCUACCCCUAUUAAAUUAAUUUAAUUUAUUUAUUUAUUUUUAAAUUACGUUUUUUACCCUUAAAUUGGGUUUGGUGUCACACAAGACCACUUGUAAUUGAAUAAUUGAUUGAUCAAUUCAUUUUCCUAUGUACUUUAUGUUGAUGGCAUCAUUACCCACAACCAUGAAUUUCAAAAAAUUAAAAGAACAAAAUAUGUAGUUGUACUAUAGCCAUAUGCAUUUCAGUUAACACAAUAAUGUACAUUCAAUUUGUGUCUGUAUAAAUAGGGAGAAUUGUGCUUUCAGGUGAAAUGGGCCUAAAAAUUGACCCAAUAUCCUCAUAUUGCUCAUAAUUAAUGAUAAGGAUAAGAAAUGGUGAUAGACAAAAAUACUGAUUUGACUUAUCACAUGCUCAUGCUGGUGUUUGUGGGAUCCAUCAUUUAUAUGGAUGGUAAUGAGGUGGGUUUUUUUGGAUACCCGCCUUGCCCCGCCCCUAAUAGAAUGGGUUUCCAUUUUAAUUAAAUGGGUUUGGGAAAUUUUUUUUAAACUUGGGGCGGGUUUGAGUAUUGCCUUGUCCCAUCCCAUCCCGUCCCACCCCACCUCGCCCCAAUUAUAUAUAAAUUAAUUUUGUGUUAUUUGGUUAAAGAGGUCAAAAUAACCCCCAUAUUUGCAAAUAUACCCCGCCGGUUAAAAAGCAAAACAAAAUUAUUGAUUGAGACAAGAAUGCCCUUCUUCUUUUUUUCUCUCUAACACUUACAACUUCUCAUCUUUUACUUCAUUUACAGAACGACUCCUCAUAUUUUCCAAAAAAAUUCUCUCAUCAUUUUCUUCUACUUCAUUAUCUUCCUUUGGUGCACAAAACGGAAAGCUCAUCUCCUCUUCCGCUUCAUUUACAAAACGAGUCCUCGUCUUCAUUAUCUUAUUUUAUUUCAUUAUCUUCCUUUGAUGCAAAACGAAAAUCUCAUCUCUCCUUCAAAAACCCUAGAAAAUUUCUCGUAUAUCCUCUCAUCCUCUCAUCCUCUAUUUCAUUCUGAAUCCUUGGAAAAAUUUCUUAUUCUACUUUUUUCAAGUUAUCUCAUAUUGUAUCUUCAAGCACGAAGGAAACAAUGAGUUCAUUGAAGAGUGAUAAAAGAAAAAGAUUUUAAAAAAAAGUGGCAAAAAAAAAAAUGUCAAUUGCAAACAGAAAAAAAAAAGGUGAAGCAAAGGAAAGCGAAACUACUAAACAAAAAUCCCAAUUACCAAUAGAAGAGGCAAGUGAUUCUACUAAACCAGUGAGUGUAGUCUUCACAUUUGAUAAAUUAUUGAAAUUUUUAGAGAUGUUAUACAAUUAUAUUUGAGUAUGGUUAAGUUUAUUAGUUAAAUGUUUUUAAAAAUUUAGGAUUUAUUAAAUUGUCUUCAAAGUAUAAAAUUGUUAUAUUUAUAAUUCUUUUUUUAGUUAUCCAUUGUUACCAGUUAUGUAUUUGAGUGAAUAAAUUUAGGUUUAUUAGUUGAUGUUUGAAAAUAUUUGGGAACUAUUACAAUGUGUUGAAAAAUAAUAAAUUGCAUAUUAAUAUUGUUUUAGUUUUCUGUAUUAUUAUCAAUCAUGUGUUUAGAGUGAAUUAGAUAUAUUCAAUGUAAUAGCAUCUAAUUAGGGAUAAUUUUGCAGAGAAUUUAUAAAAUUUUAGGGAUUUUUGAAAAUUUUAGGGGUAUUAUACAAUGGUGUUUGAGUAGGUCUAUGUUCUUUACUUGAUACUUUUAAAAUUUUGGGAACUAUUGAAUUGAUUUCAAAAUAACAUAUGGUAUAUUUAUAAUUUUUGUAGUUAUAUAUUGUUGUCAAUUAUGUAUGUAGAGUGAAUAAAAAAUAUAUAAUGAUUUCAUGCAAUGACAUGUGAUUAAGGAUAAGUUUUUAAAGAAUUUAUGAAAUUUUAGGAUUUUUGAACUUUUUAGGGAUGUUAUGUAAUGACAUUUGAGUAGUGUUAAAUUUGUUAGUUAAUAAUGUUUUUAAAAUUUUGGGAACUACUGGAGUGUGUUAAUCAGUUAUUGUAUAAUAUUAUAAUUUUGUAUUAAAUCUUUACUAACUUAAUUUUGUUUAAUUUAUAGACUACUACUCCCUCGACAUGUUUUAAAGUUAAAAUACCUAUAAAAGAGCACUUCCCAUCAAAGGCUGCAUGUCUAUCACACCUGAGUAUAAUAGAAAAUAUUAAAAAGAAGCUCAAUAAGGAACAAUUGGAGAGGUUCAAGGAUUCUUGCUUUAGAUAUUUUUUGCUUAUGCCAAAACUUAAAUUUUCAGCUCAAAUUGUGCACCCCCUAUUAUUACGUCAAUGUCUUAUAAAGAAGAAUGAUGAAAUGUGGUUUUUAGUAAAUUCAAAGGGAUUAAGAUUUGGUGAAGAUGAGUUUGGAUUAAUCACUAGUUUAAGUUCUGGUCCCAUUCCUCGGCAUAAUGAAACGUCAAUGAGAAUAAGGGAUGUUUACUUUAAUAGUGAAAACAAAGUGCGUAAUGAUCAUUAAGAGAAAGUUUUUCUUUCUUUUGGUGAAGUGAAAACAAAAAAAAAUGCAAAAGAAAAAUAUUGAUAAUCUUAAAGAUGAAGACAUGGUGAAAUUAGCCUUAUUGUACUUUCUUGAGCAUGUUUUACUUGGGAAAGAAGGGAAAAUUUUAAUAGACAUGCAAUGGGUUGGUCUUGUUGAUUGUUUGGAAGUUUUUAAUAAGUAUCCAUGGGGGUGGGAUUUGUUAUGAAAGAACAAUUUAUAGGUUGCAACAAGUCUUGGAGAACAGGGUGUCAAAAUACCAAGGUAAAAAACAACAAAAGGGUAAUAUAGCACAUGAGGCAUAUAGUCUAGUUGGAUUUCCAUAUGACUUCCAAGUUUGGGUGUAUGAGACUAUUCUGAUUAUCGGAAUGAAAUAUGCUAAUCAUUUUGCUAAGAGUUGCCCACGAAUUUUAAAUUGGAGUGUUACUUCCACACCGAGGUUCAUUAAGCUCCAACAAAUCUUUUUGGACUCCAAUGUGAGUAAUUUUUUUACCAUAUAUUUUGAUAGUGUUGUCACUUACAUAUUUGUAUAUGUCUAUGUUUGUUAAUUAAAUUACUUAACUUGAAUUCAAUAGUUAUCUUUGUGUUCGCUGCUUAAACCUACUCUGGAGGAAUGUCAACAAGAUUAUUACAAGUAUUUGAAUAAGUUAGGGUUAGUGAAUGGUGUUCCUCCAAAAAUUUUAAGCCAACCAACAACCCCAGAACAUGAUACUAUGGGUGACCUAAAAGAUGAAGAUCACCAGGUUGAAGCUAAUGCAUAUGUUGUUGCUACUGCUACAAUGGAAAACAAGAAGAAAAAUGAUUAUUCUAUCCCACCUUCAAUUGAAGUAACUCCACUAUCACACAUUUAUCUAUAAAUGUCAUUUUUAAUGUUUCAAUUGUAAUACAAAGUUCAAACAAAAAUUCAAAUUGAAAACUUAACCUUGGUUAAGUUAAUUAUCAAUUAAACUUACCCAUGGUCAAGUGAAGGUUACUUUGAAAAACAUAACAUAACUAUCAUAAGUACACAUCAAUUUUUUAAAAUUAUGACUAUAAUUUUGGUGUACUAUGAUGUAUGAGGAAUUAAAGUUUCAUUUGUUUAUAACAUGUGCAGAAUCUAUGGAUAGAGUUCAUGAAGCAUAUAGAAAAGUCUGAAUCAAAUUUCAAUUAUUUGAAUAAAGAACUUAAGGAAGUGAACAGAAAGAUUGACAACUUAAGACAACUUUUAUUGGAUGUUAGUGAUAUAUUUAUUGAAUUUUAUAUUUUAUUCAAUGAAAUUAUGUAUUUUAUUUCUAUAUUUCUACUAUCUUAUUGUAUGGUGCAUAUCUUAUUUUAGGUGAAGGGGCAAAAUGAGUCAUGUGCUACAGAUAAUACAAAAUUUUCAAAAUUUGGUACAAAAGGAAAAGAUAUUGGCAUGGAUUUUAAUUCAUGGGAUGACAAGUUUGAGAGUGUGAUGCAAGAUAAGGAGUAUGAGAACCAUGGCCAUAUAGAUGUGAAGACAAAUACAAAAGAAAUAACAGAUAUUGUAGUUGCAGAAAAACACAUAAUAGGGAUGGAGAAAGAUGAUGAUGUGAUUUUUAAUCCAAUUAUUGAUAUUGCCAAAUUAUUUGAUACCCCUACCGUAUCAGGCAACUUUUCGGUUUAUGUAUUUCCAAAGCAACUGGCCUCCACUAUAUUUAAGCGAAUAUGUGAGUUGAAAAAAUCCUAUUUUUUGCAACCUCCUUUCAUAGACAAAGAGAAGGAAAAUUAGAAAGGAAGGGGAAACAACAUCUGACUUUAAUCCUUUGCAAUCUAUUUCUAAGGAAGCAAGAGAAGUCUUUCAUAAGUGGUUGAGUCUUCAACAAGGGUAAUUAUCUUUGCUUUAAACUUGUAAUAGUUUCUUUUUGGCAACUUCUUUGCUUGACCAUGGUUUUUUGAUAUAUUAUGAUAAUAAGGUUUAAGGUUGAUAUUGAUUACUUGCAUGCGGACAAAGAAUGGUUUGAGUCACUAGUUCAGCAUGGUUCAUGGCUCAAAGACAUGGUUUGUAAAUGUUCUUAUUGUGUUUGCUUUUACUUAUUAGUAUAUUGUUAUUAUGAUGAAAUAGUAUAACUAAUGUUUGUUUUUUCGUAUAUGUUGUCUAGCAUAUUGAUGUUGCUUUCUACUUUUUCCAUAAGCGGAUAAUAGAAAAGCCCCAUGCAUUUUCUUAAAAUUUUACCACUACAGAUACAAUGUUUUGGGUAUGUAUAGUUUCUUUUUACUAUUGACCCUCAUAAUACUAAUUAAAUUAUGGUAGUUUAACUAUUCUUUUUUACCUUUUCUUAUAUAGAAAAAUGUGAAAGCAAGGUGGGAGAAGCAUGCUAAAAAGUGGAAUCAAUUCCAAAUGCAAGCAGAUGAUAUUCUUGUUGACUAUAUUAAUGGGCUUCACCUAAUUCCUUCUAUGAAAUGGUUUGAGGUGGACUUUAUUUAUGUCUCUAUUAAUUUUCAAAGUAUGCAUUGGGGAUUGGGAGUAGUUCACCUUGUCAGAGGAGAAUAUUUGUGUAUGACUCAUUGAUAGGCAUUAAUAGUGAUAAUCGACUAAAAGGUGUCAUAAUACCUUUAGCUAAGGUGUUACCAGGUAUUUGAUUCGUGUCCAAUUGGUGUCUUAGUUGAUUCAUGUCUAGCCGGUGCUCCUUGUUUGAGGGAGUAAUCAACAAAAUUUAUAACCUAUUACACCAUAUACUAGGGUAGCAAAGAAAAAGCUACUAUAGUAUAGUGACUCUAGGAUCGUUCACUGGGAAGGGUUUCCAAAUUACAAAUGAUACCAAUUCAAAGUGAAUUGGUACUUUUUCAUUUCAAGGUUAGCUCACGAAAUAAAACAAAAACUUUGAUUGGUAAAGAUUUAGAUUUAAAAUGACUACAAAGCAAGUGAUGGAAAUUACUUAGGAAGAAAAACAUUCCUUGGAGAGUCAGGUUCACUGGGGUGGUUCCUCAUGCAAAAGACAUAGCUCAGGUCAAUUGGUUCAUUUUCUCGCGUGAGAGAAUCAACAUAUAGUCAAUUCUCUAACCGGUGUUGUACAGAUACAUCCUUUAAUUAGAUUUCAGCUUUAAUUCCCUCUCACUGAUGCAACUUGCUAUGGUUCAUGCCUCUCACUAAGCCUUAACCAUUCAAGGUGAUCUUUAACCUUAGACUUCCCUUCUCAAGCUCACAAGAGAUAACUAAUGGAUGUCUCCUUGGAGUCCAAAAGCUUACCAAGUGUUGGCAAUUCCAGAAAAUCCUACCUUCAAGUCACCUCCCAGAGGCUCGCAAGGGGUAAACUAGUGCAUCUCCAUGGUUGGAGAUCACUUGCCUUACCAAGUGUUGGCCCAGGUGACUCUAAGGUGUUUUAAGUUAACUAAAAACAUAGAAAUCACUAAAGGAUUUCACUUCCUCUUCAUUCAUGGCUGAAACCAUAAAGCUUUGCAUUCUUGCAAUUGGAACCUUCCCCGGCAACCUUAGCUCCAAGGAACUAAAGGUUUAGUUACUCAUUCUCUGGGAAAAAUUCCUCAGAGAGUGCAUAACUUCGUAAGAAAUAAAAAAAUACAAAGUGAGAAGGUAAGGCAAAACAAAGGACCUGAACUUUACUUGCUUUUCCAAAACUUUACAAAAGGUCUCCUCUCUCUGAGAACAGGCUCCCGAGAGGUAUUUAUAUGAACAUAAUAUAAAACUAAUUAUUACAUGGAUAUUUUCUCUUUUUACUAACUUAAAAGCUAAGGAAUCUUGUAAUUGGUGGCUUACAAGGAGUAUUUUGGGAUUUAGACAACAAAAAUCUGAUGGAAAAUAUCUCCCAAUGUCAGUAGCAAACAUCGGGAAGCACUACGGACCAUUUCGCAAGAGAAAAUGAUGUCUGCGAGAUUUCGCAGACACUCAAAAAGGGCUGCGAAAUCACUUUGCAACAAAAGGAUAUUCUCACAGGGCUGCGAAGUUGGCUUCCAUCUUGAGGUUCUCAGCUUCCAACUUGUCGCAUUUAUUGGGAAACUUCAGGAGGAAAUCCACCACACUGUACAAAAAGGCUGCGAAAUCACUUCGCAACAAAAGGGUGAUUUCGCAACACUUUGCAAAAUGCUUCCUUCAGCUUAGAGUGAUUGACUUGAAAUGGCUGUAACUUCUUCGUUUCAACUCCGAAUUGCACACCGUUUGAAGCAUUGGAUUGUUAACUUCCUGAGCUUUGAAAUGGUAUAUAUCAUGCAUCAAUUGGACUUCAGAAAGUGCUCCAAAAGUGGCUGCCACGACUGUCAUCAAGAAUAUGCUUCAUGGCAGAUUCUCUUUACUUUUUCUCCUUGCAUUCCGGAUCAACUCUUGGAAAAGGGCUUCAAAGCUUUAGUUCUUCAUGUUUCUGAGCUUCCAAUUGCUUUGCCCCAGAUUCCAAAGAACUCUCCUCAAUCUUGGAUUGCUUUGGUGAUCAAAUUACUAACAAAAACACCAAAACUUAACACAAUUUAAUUAGAAACAAUUGCAAGGGUCCUUAUCAUGCCAAUUGAGUUAAAAGGCCAAAACUACUACUCAAAAGUGUUUAAAAGGAUUAAUUACAAGCUAUCAAAUAGCACUUUUUGAGUAGUAAUCACUCCCCCCAACCGACAUAUUGCUAGUUGUGGACCCGCAUUUUACACGUGCGUCCCCACUCGAUCGGCAAGACUCGCUUUUUAUUGUGAAAAAUUAAUUUUAAAAAAAAAGUUGGAGUCGCCACUUAUUUUAUUUUUAUUUUUGAAGGGAAAAUAAAACAAGAAAUAAAACCCUAAAAAAAUGACUCCAUAAUUUUUGGAAAAGCGUGUCUUUGAAAACCCAAGUCUUGGUUCGGGGAUCAGGUUACUUAUUGGGAAGGUACCUCUAGGAGGUAGCACCCCUCUAAGCCCUAAAGAGGUCUCUACUGACUAAGUUAAGGGAAGCGUGGCAAUUAAAUGGUUGAUCUCGGAUACCUAAGUAGGCUAGGUGAUUCCAAAAAAAAAAAAAAAAAAAAAAAAAAAAACAUAACAUAUCAAACAAAAUCGAAUCACAAUUAAGGAGAGUUAAAAAUGCGUACCUGGACGGCUUCCCAAGCGCUAUCAUAAAACAUAAGAGAUUAGUUUGGAGAUACAUCACACAACAUUUGUUUUAUCAAAGAUAAUCAAACAAUCAUCAAAUGUAUAUCAAGGCAAUUAAAGAGGAUAGCAAGCAUGGGGCAUACAUAUUCAUAGGGUUUAGAAAGUGGGAUAUUAGGGAACGUACCUUGGAUAGCAUAUUUAACUCUUAAUGCACCUCCCACAAAACAUGAGAGGUUAGAUACCAACAAUAAAUNNNNNNNNNNNNNNNNNNNNNNNNNNNNNNNNNNNNNNNNNNNNNNNNNNNNNNNNNNNNNNNNNNNNNNNNNNNNNNNNNNNNNNNNNNNNNNNNNNNNNNNNNNNNNNNNNNNNNNNNNNNNNNNNNNNNNNNNNNNNNNNNNNNNNNNNNNNNNNNNNNNNNNNNNNNNNNNNNNNNNNNNNNNNNNNNNNNNNNNNNNNNNNNNNNNNNNNNNNNNNNNNNNNNNNNNNNNNNNNNNNNNNNNNNNNNNNNNNNNNNNNNNNNNNNNNNNNNNNNNNNNNNNNNNNNNNNNNNNNNNNNNNNNNNNNNNNNNNNNNNNNNNNNNNNNNNNNNNNNNNNNNNNNNNNNNNNNNNNNNNNNNNNNNNNNNNNNNNNNNNNNNNNNNNNNNNNNNNNNNNNNNNNNNNNNNNNNNNNNNNNNNNNNNNNNNNNNNNNNNNNNNNNNNNNNNNNNNNNNNNNNNNNNNNNNNNNNNNNNNNNNNNNNNNNNNNNNNNNNNNNNNNNNNNNNNNNNNNNNNNNNNNNNNNNNNNNNNNNNNNNNNNNNNNNNNNNNNNNNNNNNNNNNNNNNNNNNNNNNNNNNNNNNNNNNNNNNNNNNNNNNNNNNNNNNNNNNNNNNNNNNNNNNNNNNNNNNNNNNNNNNNNNNNNNNNNNNNNNNNNNNNNNNNNNNNNNNNNNNNNNNNNNNNNNNNNNNNNNNNNNNNNNNNNNNNNNNNNNNNNNNNNNNNNNNNNNNNNNNNNNNNNNNNNNNNNNNNNNNNNNNNNNNNNNNNNNNNNNNNNNNNNNNNNNNNNNNNNNNNNNNNNNNNNNNNNNNNNNNNNNNNNNNNNNNNNNNNNNNNNNNNNNNNNNNNNNNNNNNNNNNNNNNNNNNNNNNNNNNNNNNNNNNNNNNNNNNNNNNNNNNNNNNNNNNNNNNNNNNNNNNNNNNNNNNNNNNNNNNNNNNNNNNNNNNNNNNNNNNNNNNNNNNNNNNNNNNNNNNNNNNNNNNNNNNNNNNNNNNNNNNNNNNNNNNNNNNNNNNNNNNNNNNNNNNNNNNNNNNNNNNNNNNNNNNNNNNNNNNNNNNNNNNNNNNNNNNNNNNNNNNNNNNNNNNNNNNNNNNNNNNNNNNNNNNNNNNNNNNNNNNNNNNNNNNNNNNNNNNNNNNNNNNNNNNNNNNNNNNNNNNNNNNNNNNNNNNNNNNNNNNNNNNNNNNNNNNNNNNNNNNNNNNNNNNNNNNNNNNNNNNNNNNNNNNNNNNNNNNNNNNNNNNNNNNNNNNNNNNNNNNNNNNNNNNNNNNNNNNNNNNNNNNNNNNNNNNNNNNNNNNNNNNNNNNNNNNNNNNNNNNNNNNNNNNNNNNNNNNNNNNNNNNNNNNNNNNNNNNNNNNNNNNNNNNNNNNNNNNNNNNNNNNNNNNNNNNNNNNNNNNNNNNNNNNNNNNNNNNNNNNNNNNNNNNNNNNNNNNNNNNNNNNNNNNNNNNNNNNNNNNNNNNNNNNNNNNNNNNNNNNNNNNNNNNNNNNNNNNNNNNNNNNNNNNNNNNNNNNNNNNNNNNNNNNNNNNNNNNNNNNNNNNNNNNNNNNNNNNNNNNNNNNNNNNNNNNNNNNNNNNNNNNNNNNNNNNNNNNNNNNNNNNNNNNNNNNNNNNNNNNNNNNNNNNNNNNNNNNNNNNNNNNNNNNNNNNNNNNNNNNNNNNNNNNNNNNNNNNNNNNNNNNNNNNNNNNNNNNNNNNNNNNNNNNNNNNNNNNNNNNNNNNNNNNNNNNNNNNNNNNNNNNNNNNNNNNNNNNNNNNNNNNNNNNNNNNNNNNNNNNNNNNNNNNNNNNNNNNNNNNNNNNNNNNNNNNNNNNNNNNNNNNNNNNNNNNNNNNNNNNNNNNNNNNNNNNNNNNNNNNNNNNNNNNNNNNNNNNNNNNNNNNNNNNNNNNNNNNNNNNNNNNNNNNNNNNNNNNNNNNNNNNNNNNNNNNNNNNNNNNNAAAGUCAUGAAAUUGAAAAUUAAAACCAACUAAAAUUAUGCAAUUAAAAACAUUAUGUCUAUCAUAGGUAUACAAAAAAUAAUUAAGACAUUAGUCUACAAAAUUAAUCAUCAAUUUCAUGCAAUAUUCUAUAAAAUAAAUAAAUAAAAGCAAAUAACUAACCAAAUAAUUAUAAAUAAAUAAGUAAAUGAAUAAAUAAAAUAAAUAGAAAUAAGACAUCAAGUACAUGCCAACGUUAAAAAUGCAGAUCAUGCAAAUUAUACAAGUCACGUAGGAAUUACCUAAAAGGUAACAUAGGUGGGCUAGGAUGCCUACGUGGACUUAAAGUGAGUGUGUGUAAACUGUAAGGUGCCUCAGUACGAGUCAAGGUGAAUCUAGGUGGGCCUAGGGUGCCUAAAUGGGUCAACUGUGUCUAAAAAAAAAAGUUAUCCUAAAAAGAAUAACAAAAGCCUAAGUCUAAAUUAGGGUUGCCAAGGGUCACAAUAAAGGAUCAAAUAAUCCCUCAACCAAAAUCUCUGAGGUGACUCAGAAAAAGGUAAGUGGUAUGAGUAGCCAUGGGCCACCAAGGAACUGUCGUGGAGCACUGGAAUUGAAUUUAAAGACAUGUGCUAAAGAGACAAAAUUGAGGGUCUACAAAUAUGCCCCUCUUCGGUAUAGAUCACGAGUGUAGAGAAUGUGAGUAAAAAUACGAGUAAUGAGCAGAAUGAAGUGAACUAUACCGAAGAAUUAAAGAAGGACCAGAGAUUUUGUCCUAGCACAUGAAGAGGUAAGAUCUAAACACGGGGACGCAAUCACAAAAAGGGAAUAACUUCAGGUCGUGAGCUCAAAGCUUUGCACAGAAAGAAUGACUCUGGGUCAUAAGUGAAAAAUCGACACUGGGUCAAGAGCUCUAGGCUCUAAAUGGAACAGAAAUGACUCUAGGUCAUAAAUGAAAAACGACUCUGGGUCGAGAACUCUAGGCUCUAAAUGGAAAAUCGACUCUGGGUCGAGAGCUUUGGGCUCUAAAUGGAAAAGAAAUGACUUUAGGUCAAGAGCUUUGGGCUCGAAAUGGAAAAUCGACUCCGGGUCGAGAGCUCUGGGCUCUAAAUGGAAAAGAAAUGACUCUGGGUCAAGAGCUCUGGGCUCGAAAUGGAAAAUCGACUCUGGGUCGAGAGCUCUGGGCUCUAAAUGGAAAACCGACUCUGAGUCGAGAGCUCUGGGCUCUAAAUGGAAAAUCGACUCUGGGUCGAGAGCUCUAGGCUCUAAGAUAGGAAAUAAUGACUCUGGGUCGAAAUGGAAAGUGACUCAGGGUCGAGAGCUCCGGGCUCUAAAAUAGGAAAUAAUGACUCUGGGUCGAAAUGGAAAGUGACUCUGGGUCGAGAGCUCCGGGCUCUAAAAUAGGAAACAAUGACUCUGGGUCGAAAUGGAAAGUGACUCUGGGUCGAGAGCUCCGGGCUCUAAAAUAGGAAAUAAUGACUCUGGGUCGAAAUGGAAAGUGACUCUGGGUCAAGAGCUCCGGGCUCUAAAUAGAUAGCCGAUCAGGAUACUUUCCGACUCAAGAUGUCGGGUCGAGGCCACUCACUAGUGGCUAGAAUGAUGAAAACGAAACAUCUCAGGGAUGUGAAUAAUGCAAAUGACUCCGGGUCGUGAGCUCAGGGCUCGGGGUGCUAUAAAUGACUCUGGGUCAAGAUGGAAAAUGACUCUGGGUCGAGAGCUCUGGGCUCUAACUAGGAAAGAAUGACUCUGGGUCAAGAUGGAAAAUGACUCUGGGUCGAUGAAUAGCUCUGGGCUAUGAGCUCCGGGCUCUAUGACUGAUCGGCUAGAAGGAGAAUGCGAUACGCAAACUCCAGGUCAAACCACUCAUGGGCGACCAAGUGAUGAAAGCUCAGCUAAGAGCUGGAAAGACUCUGGGUCUAUAGGAAAUGAUAGCUCAGGGCUAGCGGGCUCAGGGCCUAAGAGAAAAAAGAUAGCUCAGGGCUAUAAGACUCAGGGUCUAGAAGGAAUGGAUAACUCAUGGCUACGAGGCUCAGGGCCUAAAAAAAGGAUAGCUCAGGGCUAGCGGGCUCAGGGCCUAAGGGAAAAAGGAUGCUCAAGGCUAUAAGACUCGGGGUCUAGAAGGAAUGAAUAACUCAAAGCUAUGAGGCUCAGGGCCUAGAAGGGAAUAAUAGAGAAGACCAACUCGAAAGUGGACACGAAAUAAAUUGGCUCAAAGCCACAUACUCAAGAUGUCAAGGGUCGGACUACUGAAACCAAGAAGGGAAAUAUGCCCCAGUAUCCAGGGUGCUCACACUGCCGAAACAACCAGUAAAUCAAUCAUCCGCUGAAAUCAAUAGGUCAGAAACUGAUGCAUCGCGACAAACCUCUGAAAAGUCUAAACUGAAGGAACCCUCUAUGUCUGAAAAGCUGCUCUGUCGAUGAAUCUCAAAAGGUAAAUCUCAAAGAGUGUAUAUCAUGGCUCAUCUAAAAGUAAACCUCAAAGUGUGUAAAAUACUGCUCAUCUGGAUAAUCCAAUCUACAAGGUAACAAUGACGAAAACAAAUCUGUCUCAUGAACAUCUGGCUAAAGGAUCCACCCACACUCCUCGGGUGAAACCUGAUGCGAUCCGUCUCUAUCUCAACAAAUCCAUGUAGGGAGGCCCUGAUACAGUCGAUCGUCGGAAGCUCUGGGCUAGUGCUCAAUCUAAAACCAAGCUGGCCACUGUCUCAAUCUCAAGGAUACUCAAAGAAAAUGGGGGAAAUAUGCCCCAGUAUAAGAUCUAACGUCAAAGUCAUAAGCUAAACAACCGACAGCAGUCAUCCAUCCUCAUAUCACUGCCCAAAUAAAUCUCGUAAUGGAGAGGGGAAUAUGCCCCAGUAUGGAUAUCGGAUGUCGAAGUCGUGAGGCAAACAAACUAACAAUGAUCAUCCAUCCUCGUAUCGCUGUCCAAACACAAUCUCAUCAAGGAGAGUGGAAUAUGCCUCAGUGUGGAUAAUCUAAUGUUGAAGUCGUGAGGUAAACAAACUAACAAUGAUCAUCCAUCCUCGUNNNNNNNNNNNNNNNNNNNNNNNNNNNNNNNNNNNNNNNNNNNNNNNNNNNNNNNNNNNNNNNNNNNNNNNNNNNNNNNNNNNNNNNNNNNNNNNNNNNNAUGAACUGUCUCCAAACCCAAAAAUCCAUCAAACAUCAAUAUGCAGCAAGAGAGAGACCAAAUUCUUCCAAAAGUAUCUUCCAUAAAAGAGAACAUAGUAACGACCAUACUUCAACCAAUCUACAAAAGUCUGUCCAAGUGAAGACUGUCAAAGAUAAUGUCUGAUCUCAUGGCCUCAGGGUGGUCUUAAGACACGGGACGUAACGUAGGCCAAGGUGAUACGGUGAAAGAAAUGAAGGGAAACUAGGCUCAAAUACCCAAUGAUCAAACCCGUACCCUCGUGCACAAGAUGUAAUGCAUAGAAAAAUCUCAUGAGUCAUGGACUUAGAAGUAACCAAAGGGAAUGUCGAUAACGAAAUGAGAGAAAGGAUGAAUGGUCAAGCCAUCAAUGAAAUAUGUGAAUGAUGUCAAGAAGGUAUCAAAUCAGUAAUGGGUAUCAAUAUGUAAGGAAUGAAUAAAAGGUGGAACAAAGAUCUGGAAAGAGGUAAUGGGAUACAAAAGAAAACAAUGGGAAAGUGGAAUGAGUGAUGAUCAACCCAUGUUAGUACAAUAAAGGAAAGUCAUAUCACCAAUGAUGGAAUGGUGGGUAUAAGACAAUGAUCCGAAGACCCUAGUAAAAGGUCACUCAUCUCUCAUACAUAAUACGUAUCAACCAUGGUCCAAGAAGCAUAGGAUACCAUAGAACUCUCACAUGAACCCUCAACACUCCAAAUGCAUAACAAGAGUGGCUUAAGGAGUGAAAACUCAUAUAAAAAUCUCACAAGAACCCACAAUGACAAAUAUACCCAGUAAACAGACCUCAAAAGGUGAUAUAAGUGCCCAAUGGAGCAAGAUACCAUACAUAAACAUGUCAUUGCGUUUUUUUUUUUUUUUCUUUUUCUUUUUCUUUUUUUUCUUCUCUUUUUUUUUUUUUUUUUUUUUUUUUUUUUUUUCUUUUUUUCUGUUUUUUUUUUUUUUUUUUUGGCGCAUGCUCUGAUCAUCAAUAAGUCAAACUCCAAUGGGAAAGAUACAAGAAAUGAAUAAACUCUCUCAAAUCACUGAUGAAUACAUGAACCCCAACCCAUGAGACAACCUCUCAAACUAAAAUCUCCGAAUCAAUGCCAAAUGAUGAGAUGAAUGGAGUGAUAUGACUGCCCUCUUUGCACUAAGAUGUGAAGAAUCAUCAGCCCAAGAAAGAGAAGAGAUAAAAUGAAGCAAAUAAUGAUAAAAGCAAGAAAGAGAAUGGAAAUGUGAUGAUAACAAAAUAGAACAAACGGGGUGAUAAGGAGAUGAUGACAAGAAUGAGAAGAUAGGCCUAUAAGUCUAAAGCUCAUGAGACUUUCAUAGCAAAGCAUGCAUAUACACCAAAGGGUCCCAACCCGGGUGUAGAAAUGGUAAUCAAGGCUAUAAGAAAGAAAUAAGGCUAUAACAUACCACGUGAGGCUCAAUGGGCUAGCAAUGGUUUAAUAUAUCAAUAAAGGUGAUAAGGUGUAAGGCUAACCGAAAUGAUGGCCACCCAUCCUGCGACCACGGUCUCAAACAUAAUACUUCUUCAGCUGAUCCACAUUGGUAGGCUCUGAAAAUUGGUUUCCAUCUAAGUCUGUCAACCAUGCAGCCCCUUCUGGAGUCAACUCUCGGAUGACAAGUGGUGUACUCCAAGUAAGUCCCUAGGGUCUCCUGGAAUAGACGAAUCUCCAUAAUCAUAACUGGGCUAACAUCGUCCUCAAACACAUCAUCAACAUAAGCGGAAUUCCCCAACAUAAAUAAAUCGAAUCUCUCCUGAACUCUCAACAAUGAAUAUCUCAAGCAUAUCAAGAGAGUGAACCAUCUCUGGCUAAUCUGUGCUAGUCAUCCAACUAUCAUCCAACACAUAUAUCUCAGGCUCAUCAUGAAGAAAACCAUGUCAAUCAAAGCUCCCAUCUGAGAAAAACUAACGUCCUCUAUAAGAACUCUCAUCUGAUAAACUUUGACUCAUAAUCCACUAAACUCAUCAUAUGUACGAAGUCACCCUCAACAAUGUCACUGGCUAACUGGGUGGUGGGGGUGGGUGGUAAUGAAUCAUACGACAUCUCAUCCUGAACUGGAUACUAUCUACCUCACUGUCCAUCAAUCAUCUGGCUCAAACCUGCUAAUGCAUCUUGAAUAGAGUCAUAGUGACUGUAAGUCGAUCAACUGUAUCAUGCUGAGGAUCCAUACCUGACUGCUUUGAAACCUUGACCAAUCUAUCUCCAACUCUAAUAUAAAGAGUCGAAUCCAAACUGAAGCGAAUAACAUUCCCAUAAGGUACAAAGGCACGAAAAGAUAAAUGACAUGAAGGAAACUCAGAAAAUGUGGAAACACACUAAUCACAAUGCAGAAAGGUGGCCCAACUGAGACUCAAACAUGUACCAAUCUCUGAGCACACCAAAAGGAGACCAUGAAGAGGAUAACUGAACCCAAUUGUGACCAAGGCAGCUCUGAAGGUCCACAGAUGCACCCACGUGUAGGAAUGAAAUCUUAAUUGGGUCUAGGCUAACCUACAAGGUUGAGGUGGCUCUAUAAGAUAAGAUGGGUGGGUUAAAGGAUCCCUAGCAGAAGCGAUCGUACCCUCCGAUGGUACGCAACCCUCUGCACGCCUCCAAGGAGACGAGGUGCUUCCAUGCAAGGUGGUCAUCACCUCCACACAUGCACUUCCUCGCGUUCCCAGGGGGUUUCUUAAUGGUGAAGGCUCUCCCAUCUCUCAACACUCAGGGAUAAUCUAAGGUGCACAAUGAAGGAUGUGGGUGCAUCCGAAAAACCUAAGAUCUAAAGUGAGAUAGUGAAUGAAGACAAGCAAUCAUACAAACAUGCAAGAGAAAGGGUUGUCAUGCAACAAGCAGCCAUGCGAAGCAGAUAAAUAUCAAACAAUCAAAGUCCUAUCUAGCAUAUGUGAGAGUGAAUCAUGUUGAAGUGAGCAAGCAAUUAAGUGAUCACAUCAAACAGUCAUGCGAAUCAAAUAAAUAUCAAACAAACAAAGUCCUAUCUAACAUAUGUGAAAGUGAAUCAUGCUGAAGUGAGCAAGCAAUCAAGUGAUCAUCCAAGGCAAUCAAACAUGUCAAGAUAGCAAAACAAUCAAGCAAGCAAAUCGAAUCACCUUGCCUAGAAAAAAUGGGGUACCCUCUAAUCGACCAAUUAAAUGCCACAUUUUCCUCAACUAGUGUUCAAGCUUGAUCCUCAAGAUCCCCAGCGGAGUCGCCAAUUUGUGGGCCCGCAUUUUUCACGUGCGUCCCCACUCGAUCGGCAAGACUCGCUUUUUAUUGUGAAAAAUUAAUUUUAAAAAAAAAGUUGGAGUCGCCACUUAUUUUAUUUUUAUUUUUGAAGGGAAAAUAAAACAAGAAAUAAAACCCUAAAAAAAUGACUCCAUAAUUUUUGGAAAAGCGUGUCUUUGAAAACCCAAGUCUUGGUUCGGGGAUCAGGUUACUUAUUGGGAAGGUACCUCUAGGAGGUAGCACCCCUCUAAGCCCUAAAGAGGUCUCUACUGACUAAGUUAAGGGAAGCGUGGCAAUUAAAUGGUUGAUCUCGGAUACCUAAGUAGGCUAGGUGAUUCCAAAAAAAAAAAAAAAAAAAAAAAAAAAAACAUAACAUAUCAAACAAAAUCGAAUCACAAUUAAGGAGAGUUAAAAAUGCGUACCUGGACGGCUUCCCAAGCGCUAUCAUAAAACAUAAGAGAUUAGUUUGGAGAUACAUCACACAACAUUUGUUUUAUCAAAGAUAAUCAAACAAUCAUCAAAUGUAUAUCAAGGCAAUUAAAGAGGAUAGCAAGCAUGGGCAUACAUAUUCAUAGGGUUUAGAAAGUGGAUAUUAGGGAACGUACCUGGAUAGCAUAUUUAACUCUUAAUGCACUCCCACAAAACAUGAGAGGUUAGAUAACAAACAAUAAAAUAAGAAGUCCUAGCAUGCUUGUUAUCUAAUUAGCAUAACAAAAAUUGUCAAAGUAUAUGAAAACAAUAAUUAUCACACUCAUCCUGAGUAUAAUUCCUAAAAAAAGAUAGACAUAAUUUCAACAAGUGACAAAAAUGGCAACAAAAAUAAUUUUUGAAAAGAUUUUCUUAUGUAGGGGUUUCACCAAUCCCCAAAUUAAUAUACACAAAUUUAGCCCAGAAUUAUCCCAUUAUUUGGGACCACAAGCUUUGAUUCGUGUUUUUGUUCGAAACUAAACUUUUUGUUAGAAACCGAGAAGGAUGCAAACCGAACUAAAUAUGGUUGCAUAUUAUUUUUUUAAAAUUAAAAUAAAAAUAAAAUAAAUAAAUAAAAAAGAUUUUGAUCCUGAGGACUCUAAAUGAGUUUUUGAAAUAGAUUUUUAAAAUGAUUUUUUUGAGGAAAGUAUUUUAUUUUAAAAGGAAUUAAUUUGGAAAAAAUAAAAUACCAAACAAAACAAAAAUGAAACCUCAAAGUAAAAUUUUUUAGUAAUUAACAAAAAUGAUAAUGGUGAUGGUAGAGGCCAAUCUUCAUGAUUUUCCAAUGGCCUCUAAAAGCCAAAUUUAAUAAAUAUUCACCAAAGCAACAAACCAAACGACUUUUAGAUCAAAUAAAACUAACGAAAUAUUAAUCGGGAAUUUAUAAGGAUCAAUCAAACACAUAAAUUGAGAUAAACAAUCAAGAACUAAUUUAAAAUCAACCAAACACAUAAACAUGUAAUUAUAAUAAUGUGAAUAUAGUAACAUAAGCACAUAGAAUUCUAAGACAUAUUAACUAAUCAACAACUAGACAUUAAUAACUUCCAAAACAAAAACAAAACUAAGUAACAAGGGAUUAAGCAAAAUGAUAACCAAAAUUUAAAAAAAGGACACAUCAACUAAGUAGAAAAGCUAAAUUUAACUACUUUUAAUACAUAAGUAUAAUAACAUGGGAUGAAACUAAUUAACUAAAAUUUUGAAAAAAAAACUAUAAACUAGGACAAGAUCAGUCAAAAAUCAAAAUUAACAAACUUUUUUUUAAAACAUGAGCAUCGAUUAAACUAAUUAACUAAAACUAAAAAAAAACACACGUACUAAAAUUAGGUCAAUCAAGAAUUAAAAUUAACAAACUUACAACAUGAGAAAAGUAACUUCUAAAUUAAAUAUCUAAAACUCUAAAAAAAACACAUAAAAUAAAAUUGGAUCAAUCGAGAAUUAAAACGAACAAGCUCAAAACGUGGAUAUAAUGACAUGAGAAAGUAAUAGACUCAUCAACUAAAAAUCUAAAACACAUAAACUAAAUAGGGUCAAUCAAAGACUAAAGUUAACAAUUUUAAACAUGGAAUUAAUCACAUGGGCUCAAUAGGAAUAAUAAACUAAAAUUCUAAAAACACAUAAGCUAGAUAAGAUCAAUCAAAACUAAAGUUAAAAAAUUAAAACAUGGAUUUAAUCAAGUGGUUCAAUAGGAAUAAUAAACUAUAAUUCUAAAAACAUAACAACCUAGAAAAAUCAAAACUUGGAAUCAAGACAAUGAAUCAAAAUCAAACUAACUACAUUCUAACCUUUUCAUCCGAUUAAAAAAUCAAAAUUAAUACAUAAAAAAUCUAACUUUCAAUCCAAUAAAAAAAUUAAAACUAAAAUCCUUAGAAAUUCUAACUUACCUUUUCCAGAAUGCCUCUAUGGUGGUGCGGCUGCUGCUCUCUUCCUUCACCGUCCUUCAGACCUCUCUUUGUUCCCAGAAAAAAUCCUGUCCCUUCUCUGCUCGUUUCUUUCUUAUAUGGCAGCCGCACAUUGUAUGGAAUAUUUUGUUUCUUUUUUUCAGUGCAUUUAGACAUAUGGAAAGUGAUUACGUGUGGUUCAUAUUGGAGACUUUUUCAAAGAUUCUGCCCUGUACCCUGUUUGGUAAGUGAUUAGAUGAGUGGACUUUUCUUUCUAAAAAAAAAAACCAAAAGGAAUCUCCCUUUGCAGCCCACCAUAUGCGUGUUGUGCACAAAGUGGCCAUCUUCUUUCCUAUUUUCAUGCUAUUUUCCACGUGAUGCAUGCUCAAGAUGCAGCCAUGCCUUCCAAAAAAAUUGAGUGGUGCGUGGAGGAGAUCCCCUCGGGAUGGUGCGGCCUGUGGGAAUCAAAAUCUGGAUGUCUUGUGGGCCCCUCAAUUGUGGCUGAUUUCCUUAAGAAUCAUGGUUGGUGUGGACUGAUCAUGGUUCCAUAUCUCCUAUAUAGGCUUCCUUCCUUGGAUGCGUGCUGUUGGAGAUCUUUCAUUGCGGGCUGUGCGUGGAAUCUUCCAUUGUGGGCUGUGCGUGGGAUCUUUCACUAACAUGGUAAAAAUCUGGGAGAUAAUCCUCACUGCAACUGUCCAACAUUUCUCCAGAAAAUUAAAAAAAGAAUGGAUCUUUGAAAAUCCAUUUUGGAAAACAUGCAAGAGGAAUUAAGGGCUGAGACAUGUUGGCUUUAAAAUAAUGUACAAAAGGGGUGGCCAUGCAAGCCAUGUGAGAGUGGGCUUGGGGUCCAAUCCGAAGUGCGCCAUCUUUAAGUGGCAAGGAUCCCAUCUAUCUUCUGAUUCCAAGGGCUCCAAAACGUGCACUCCACUGUCGGUCAAUCUCAGGGUGCAAUUGUGCGGAAGGAUGACCUUUAAUAAAACGAAAUGCACCGAGACUUGCAGAAACAGUGAAUCUCGAACGCGUUUGGAAUUGAGAGAGGGUUUUGGGUUCGAGGAAUACACCAUAUGACAGUAAUAUAUUGUUGGAAGUGUGAUUAUCCAUUCUUCUCCUCAUUCUCUGGACAUCACCUUUCCUUCCUGUGCAUCUUGCCACGGAAGUCUGUUCCGUCUUCCAGAUAUGCAACUAUGUGAUCUCCAAAACUACAGCCCAUGGAAGAUUGUAGCCGUGCCUAUGGAUCCUCUCCAAUGUGUGCGUUCAAAUCUCAUGCCAAAAUAAAAUACCAAUUAAAAUCAGUAAAAGUCAUGAAAUUGAAAAUUAAAACCAACUAAAAUUAUGCAAUUAAAAACAUUAUGUCUAUCAUAGGUAUACAAAAAAUAAUUAAGACAUUAGUCUACAAAAUUAAUCAUCAAUUUCAUGCAAUAUUCUAUAAAAUAAAUAAAUAAAAGCAAAUAACUAACCAAAUAAUUAUAAAUAAAUAAGUAAAUGAAUAAAUAAAAUAAAUAGAAAUAAGACAUCAAGUACAUGCCAACGUUAAAAAUGCAGAUCAUGCAAAUUAUACAAGUCACGUAGGAAUUACCUAAAAGGUAACAUAGGUGGGCUAGGAUGCCUACGUGGACUUAAAGUGAGUGUGUGUAAACUGUAAGGUGCCUCAGUACGAGUCAAGGUGAAUCUAGGUGGGCCUAGGGUGCCUAAAUGGGUCAACUGUGUCUAAAAAAAAAAGUUAUCCUAAAAAGAAUAACAAAAGCCUAAGUCUAAAUUAGGGUUGCCAAGGGUCACAAUAAAGGAUCAAAUAAUCCCUCAACCAAAAUCUCUGAGGUGACUCAGAAAAAGGUAAGUGGUAUGAGUAGCCAUGGGCCACCAAGGAACUGUCGUGGAGCACUGGAAUUGAAUUUAAAGACAUGUGCUAAAGAGACAAAAUUGAGGGUCUACACUAGUCUCUUAGCAAUAAAGGAGAGAAAAAUAAAAAUAAAAAGUACUAUAAUUUACAACAUCAUGGUGAUCAAAAAACAAUUUUCAAGUGGCAUGAUGAUCUAACUCUCACAUGGAACAUUAAAGAAAUACAAACCCAAAUUUCAACAAGAGUUAUAACAAACUAUGCUAAACACUGUCAAUCAAGGGAAUGCAUUAUGCAAACUAAAGUUUUAAAAUCAUUUCCACUUUCAAAGAACCAAACUUUAUUCUUCCUCAAAAAUCUAUGUGUAUUGGUUCCUUAGCUUCCGAAAAUAAUAUGCUAAACUAAUCUCUCCCCCUAACCUAUCUCUUUUCAACACUUAGCAAACUGACCAAAAUCAAUAAGAAAAGAACGCAUUUUUUUUUUUUUUUUUAAGGAGGCUUAAUGGGGUACUCUUUCUGAAUUGUCCAUGUAAUGGGGGUCCAUCGAUGACUCCCAACCAAUUAAGGUUUAGGGCAUCAAGCUUUAAGGAUCUUUCAACCACUAACUCCUCGGAUUUUUCCUCGGACUUUUGAGAAUGAAUUUCUAAUACCCAAGCACCUACCAUAUGCUAACUCUACCUAUUCACCCUUGUAACGAGCAUUGAGGUCGGUGACUCCCAACCAAUUAAGGCUUAGGGCACCAGGCUUUAAAGAUUUUCACCAUAUACCCCUCAGACCUUGCUUGGGUUUCAAGGCAAGCAAACAACUUUCUUUCUUUAUUUCAAAGGCUCGUUGGCCUUUCAUAAGGUGUCUCAACUUUAUCAAAUGAGGUCAAAUGUACCAAGUCCCAAAAUUAUCCUAAGUCAAGAGGGAAAUAGCUUUUCAUCUUAUAAUCGGAAUCUAUUGUGCACAGUGUGUGAAUAGCUUAAAGUGGAAGAACUAAAUUCAAUUUCAAUAGAAGCUUCAACAAUUGAACCACUUUAGUAAGCAUAAUCCAUACUCUAAGUCAAGUGAAAAGCAACAGUUCAAUUUCUCCUAUUUUAAUUUGAAAAUUUUUCCUCAAAAUCCAUGGAGAAUAGAAUAAAAAAAGUAAAAAGCAAAAACUACAACUGAUUUACCAAUAUAAUUGUAUUACCAAAAUGACUUAGCAUACUUCCUUUAACUUAGCAUACUUCCUUCCUCAUUUUAUCCCUCCCCAACCGAACUGAGCAUUGUCCUCAAUGUGAUAUGAGUGAUUGUAAUUAAAGGGAGGAAGUGGUACCUCCUGAGUGAUAUCAAUUUCGAAUACUGAUUGGAGAAACCACAUGUUUCAAAAAGAAUAAAAGAUGUGAGAAAAGGAAAUAAGAAUAAAUUAAUUCUAAAGGUUAACAAAAAAAAUAUUAAACUUGUAUUGCUUUGAAUCCAUUUGAGUACAAUGAAAAAGAAAGGCAAUAAAAGCAAUCCCAAAUAUGGUACCAAAAUAAUGGGAUUUCUUACAAACUAAAAAACGAAAUACAUAAAAAAAACAUAGGCAGUAUAUAUAUAUAUUGAUCUGAUGAGUGGGUGGUGCUGGGGCUAGGCAGAUGGGUCUGCCUCUUCAGUAGCUGCUCUAGAUAGGGCCUGAGACUCUGUGAGAUGAAAGUGUGGCACUGUUGUGGUAGAGGUGGAGGGCUCAGCAGCUGGUGGCAGAUCAAAAUGAUGCUGGAGCUACCUUAAGAUGGCAGUGUGCUGAGCCUGGGUGGCCAACAUCUGCUCUUGGCAUGCUCGAAUGGCUGCCAUCUCAUGAGCAAGGCUGCUCUGAGAUGCUGUGAGGGUCUCCAAUGAACGACAUAACUCUCAGUAUUCAGAAAUGGGAAUGGCCAUCCUUGGUUCAGCUGAAGUGGAUGGCUGAGAUGAAGCUGGAGUAACUGGUGGAGCUCUGGGAAUGGCAGGAGCAGCAAUAGUUAUACCCUCUAUAGGUAUAUGUCGUGGGGAUGCUCUCCUAGUAGCUGGCCGUGGGCGCUCUGGCUGGUCAACUCUAUAGGUUGUCAUAUUGUUCCAUUUGUCGAGAGUAAAUACCUCUCGGCAAAUGCGCUUGCGCUCCAACUAAGGCUUUGUAGGAUACCCCAGGUGCUCCAGAAUUUGGCACAACAGCCUUGGAAAGAGAAGAGGAAUGGCAUCAGCUCUCUGCAACUUCUUUUUAUGUACCUUCUCUUCGAAAUAGAGAAGGGUUUCCAUAAUUAGAUGGUGAAGGCCGAAGAAAUAUCCCUCAGACAUCUUGAACAGGGCUUCUAACAGGACUCCUCUCCUUUGAGUCCAAUGUUGCAGUGGGUAGAGGUUAUGAUGCAAAAAUGCAUCAAUAAUAAACAUGAUUGGAGGAAGCUCCCCCCUCAACAGAUGUGAUCGUGUAGAAGCUCCUCUGGAUAGGAUAUGCACCAUUUCCAGCUCAGUAGCACUGGUCCACUCUCUAAAAUCAUCAAAAUGGCUCGCCUCAUAGGGUAUUUGCAAGGCCUCAGCUAUAUGGCGAGCUCCCAAUAUGCCAUGCCUCCCAUCAAUGGUAAAAUGAAUUAGAGUUGGAUCCCUGACCUAUUUGGUAGUCAUGGAGUGAUAAAAAUCCAUGGCUACUCUGGGGUAGAAAAAGUCUCUUGGAGUCAGCAGGUGCUCCAUAUGGUAUAUUCGCAGCAGGUGGAAUGACUGUGCAAGCUCUGGCCGCAAUUUGAAUGUAGCUAUGUCAAAGCACAGCUCAGAGUGGAAUGGCCGAGCUCUACAGUCCAAAUUCCCCUCAAUUGGAGGCUGAGUCAACAUUGGCCGCCUGAUUAUUUCUUUCGGAGCUAUUUCAGCUGGAAUUUGGGGCUCGAGAAGUGGCGGUUUAGGCUCUGCUGGCGGCGUCGGAGAUGGCACAGGAGAUGGAACUGGCGAGGGUUCCGUCAAGUCAAUGGGCUCUGAGCUUUCAACCCUGGCUCUCUUUUGUAGUGGCCGACCCCCUGACCUGGUGAGAUAACGCCUCGCCAGAGGCUUUGGCGGCGCGGGCUUCAUCGGAGGAGAAACUGCUUUUGGCCGCGGAGGCUCAGAAAUGGGACCUGGAAUGGGCUCCUCUCACGGGACUUUCUUGCGGCUUGAAGAAGAGGAAGACUUGGCCUCUCUGGUUCGCGCCAUUUCGGGUUGCUGAAAUUUGGCCGGAAUUGAUGACCGGAGAGGAUGAACGGAGGUUUGUGCGGUGUCGGACUCGAGGAAGAAGAUGAAUAGUCUGCGAGAAUGGCACACUCUCUUUUUUAAACCUUUUCGUAACUCAAAUGACUGGUAUAUAUAAAAAUAACGGAAGAUUAAGGGUCAUUUUGAGUUUCGCAUAAAAAAGCCAAUUUCGCAACAAAAAGUCAUUUUCGCAGCCACUUCGCAAUCCGUUUCGCAGCUGCGAAUUGAGUGUCACUGUGCUACGAAGUGGCACACGUGUGCCAAAAUCGCUUUCACAAUUGCGAAAUACCCUACGGGAUGGAACUUUGGUUGUGAAAUCAGGGAUUUUCACGCUUUAUUGCUUCGCAGCUGCGAAUUGGGGGCUCCUGUGUUGCGAAGUGGCACUCGUGUGCCAAACUUGGCUUUGCAGCUUCGAAAAUUUUCGCAGAGGAGAAAAUGGAGCUGCGAAAUGAUUUCACAAAGGAUGGCCGCUUUCGCAGAGAAACGUCGAUUCCGCAGCGGCUUCUUUUAGGUUGCAAAAUGGCUUCGCAGCGAAGUGCUAAUUUCGCAGAGGUUGCGAAAUCUCGCAAACCCCUGUUUUUGCUUUGUUUGCACUCUGUUUUUGGUCUGAUUUCGCUCCGAUUUCUUCCUUUGAAUUUCUUUGCAUUUUCUUCCACCUGGGAUCAUUCAAAAAGAUUAAAACACACAUAAAAACAUGAUUUAAGAUCAAAAACUAAGAUCAAAAGUAUGGAAAAAACUUGGAAAAUUACAAAAUUUACACAAUUUUUUUUUUUUUUUUUUGGACUGUGGUAAAACCAUGUCCACCAAACCCUUCUUUGCUUAGGCUUUUUGUGGCUCAAGGAGGUUGAUUUCCUCCUUUUCUGGUUUGAAUGGCUCCAUGAACGGCUUGAGACGAUAUCCAUUGACUCUAAAGGUGUCUUUGCCAUUGGAAUUCAAUAAUUCCACCACUCCAUUGGCAUAUACUUGGUGAAUAAUAAACGGGCCUAUCCACCUUGACUUGAGCUUCCCAAGAAAGAUAUGGAGUCUUGUGUCAUACAGUAAAACUCUUUGCCCUUUCUGAAAUUCCUUGUUGGAGAUUAGUUGAUCAUGCCACUUCUUCAUCCUUUGUUUUGCAACUUUGGAAUUGAUAUAAGCAUCAUUUCUUAAUUCCUCCAUCUCAUUAAGGUCUAGAUAUCUCUUUUCUCCGGCUCUGAUCAAGUCCAUGUUUAGCUUCUUUAUUGUCCACCAAGCUUUGUAUUCAACUUCCACAGGGAGAUGGCAUGCUUUGCCAUAGACAAGACGAUAGGGAGACAUGCUAAGAAUAGUCUUAUAAGCUGUUCUAUAUGCCCACAAUGAAUCAUGAAGUCUAAUAGACCAAUAUUUUCUGCUGGAAUUCACCACUUUCAUCAAUAUGUUCUUUAUUUCCCUGUUAGCUAGCUCAACUUGCCCGGAAGUCUGAGGAUGAUAAGGUGUAGCUACCUUAUGCUUUACUCCAUACCUGGAUAACAGAGCUUCAAAAGGUUUGUUGCAAAAAUGAGCACCUCCAUCACUGAUUAUGGCUUUGGGCACCCCAAAUCUCGAGAAAAUGUUCUCUAUAAGAAACUUGAGAACCACCCUGUGAUCAUUUUGUUUACAGGGGAUUGCCUCAACCCAUUUAGAAACAUAAUCCACCCCCACCAAGAUAUAAGAAUUACCAAAAGACAUUGGGAAAGGUCCUAUGAAGUCAAUGCCCCAUACAUCAAAUAACUCAACUAUUAGAAUGGGGUUCAUAGGCAUUUGAUUUCUUUUUGUUAGCUUUCCAAGCCUUUGGCAUCUAUCACAACUCCUACACAUGAUGUGGGCAUCUUUGAAAAUAGAUGGCCAAGUAAACCCUGAUUGCAACACCUUCAUGGCUGUUUUCUGAGAGGCAAAGUGGCCUCCACAUGCAUUCUCAUGACAAUGGUUUAGAAUCCCUUGUUGCUCAUCUUCGGGGACACACUUCCUUAUGAUCUGAUCUGCACAAUACUUAAAAAGAAAGGGUUCUUCCCAAUAAUAAGCAUGAAUUUUUGCAAAGAAGUGCUUCCUGUUCUGUGCAUUCCACUCACUUGGAAUUUCACCAGUAACUAAAUAAUUAGCAAUAUGAGCAUACCAAGGAGUUUUCACUAGGAACAUGAGUGAUUCUUCAGGAAAAUCAUCAUUAAUAGGCAAGGGAUGGGAAUUAUGUGUUAUAACUAACCUUGAAAGGUGGUCAGCUACCACAUUUUCCACUCCUUUCUUCUCUUUGAUUUGGAGAUCGAAUUCUUGUAACAAAAGAAUCCAUCUAAUCAACCUUGCUUUUGCAUCUUGCUUUGUCAAUAAAUACUUCAAGGCUGAAUGGUCAGUGAAGACAAUGAUGAAAGACCCCACUAAAUAAGCACGAAAUUUGUCCAAAGCAAAUACCACAACUAACAAUUCUUUCUCUGUAGUUGUGUAGUUCCUUUGAGCUUCAUUCAAUGUUUUGCUUGCAUAGUAGAUCACAUAGGGCUUCCCAUCUUCUCUUUGGCCAAGCACAGCUCCUAUAGCAAAGUCACUGGCAUCACACAUCAGUUCAAAGGGUAAUUGCCAGUUAAGGGCUCUCACUAUUGGAGUUGUUGUUAAAAAUUUCUUCAGUUGAUCAAAGCUAUUUUGACAUCUUUCAUCCCAUAUAAACUUAGCAUCCUUAGCUAACAGCUCACAAAGAGGUUUUGAAAGACUUGAAAAACCUUUUAUAAACCUCCUAUAGAACCCUGUAUGGCCAAGGAACUGCCUUACUCCUUUCACAGUUGUUGGUGAUGGCAAUUUAACAAUAAGCUCCACCUUUGCUUUAUCAACUUCAAUGUCUUUUUCAGAGAUGAUAUGGCCAAGGACAAUUCCUUGAUGUACCAUAAAACGGUAUUUCUCCCAGUUGAGCACCAGGUCUUUUUCAAUGCAUUUGUGAAGAACCGCUUCCAAAUUGAUUAAGCAUUCCUCAAAUGUACCUCCAUAUACGGUGAUGUCAUCCAUGAAAACCUCCAUAAUUCGCUCCACCAUAUCACUGAAAAUACUCAACAUACAUCUUUGAAAUGUUGCAGGUGCAUUGCAUAAACCAAAAGGCAUUCUUCUAUAAGCAUAUGUUCCAAAUGGACAUGUAAAAGUGGUCUUUUCCUGAUCCGCCACAUCAAUUUCAAUAUGAAAAUACCCUGAAUACCCGUCCAAGAAGCAAUAGAACGGAUGUCCAGAGACUCUUUCCAACACUUGAUCGAUAAAUGGCAAUGGAAAAUGAUCUUUCCUGGUUACAGCAUUCAACUUUCUAUAAUCAAUACACACCCUCCAACCUGAAGUGAGGCGUGUAGUAAUCUCUUCCCCUUUUUCAUUCUGAACCACGGUAAUCCCUGACUUCUUUGGUACCACUUGAGUAGGACUCACCCAAGGGCUAUCAGAUAUAGGGUAAAUAAUACCUGCUUGAAGUAGUUUCAGCACCUCAGCUUGCACCACCUCUUGUAAAUGAGGAUUCAAUCUUCUUUGAAGUUAACGAAUUGGCUUUGCUUCCUCCUCCAUAUAUAUAUGAUGAGUACAAACUAAAGGACUAAUGCCUUUCAAGUCAGAUAUUUGCCAUCCUAUUGCCUUCUUACACCUCUUGAGAACUUCCAUUAAACAAUUCUCUUGAUGACUGGUCAGAGAUGAAGAUAUCAUAACAGGACAUUGAUUAUUUUCUUCAAGAUAUGUAUAUUUCAGCUCCACAGGUAGAGGCUUCAGAUUGAGUUUUGGAGUUUCUUUUUCAACAGCUGCCUCUUCUUCUUUAUUGAACACAGGUAGAAUCUCUUCUAUCUUUCUCCAACUUUGUAGAGUAGCAAGCACAGUAGGGGAUUCAAACAAACCUUCCUCAAAAUCCACAAGACUUUCAUUCAACUUGUCUUGAAUAUUUUGAUUACAGUGCUCCUCCACCAGAGUGUCAAUAAUGCACAACUCUUCUGGACCCUCUUCUUCUUCCGGAGUGGUUUGCUUUUUAGACAUAUAGAAAAUAUUGAGAUCAAGUGUCAUGUUGCCAAAAGUGAGUUGCAUCAGCCCAUUCCUGCAGUUGAUGAUAGCAUUUGAGGUAGCAAGGAAUGGCUUUCCAAGGAUGAUAGGAACUAAAUUAGCUUAUUUUACAGUAGGGUCUGUAUCAAGAACAAUAAAAUCUACCGGAUAGUAGAAAUUAUCAACUUGAACCAAGACAUCCUCAAUUACCCCCCUUGGAAUUUUCACUGAUCUAUCUGCUAGAGAUAGAGUGAUUGUUGUUGGCUUCAAUUCUCCAAGUCCCAAUUGCUUGUAGAUAGAGUAUGGAAGCAAAUUCACACUUUCUCCCAAGUCUAACAAAGCUUUCUCCACUACCUUUCCUCCAAUCAUGAUUGAAAUGGUAGGACGUCCUGGAUCUUUGUACUUCAAUGGAGAUUUACAUUGUAAGAUUGCACUUACUUGCUCAGUCAAGAAGACUUUCUUGUUUACAGUCAACCCUCUUUUAAUAGUACAUAAGUCCUUUAGGAACUUUGCAUAUGUUGGAACUUGUUUAAUCAUAUCCUGCAAUGGGAUAUUGACUUUCACUUGUCUCAAUACCUCAAGGAUUUCAGAUGCAUUUCUAAUCCCCUUUUUCCCAUGCAAUGCUUGAGGAAAAGGUGGAGAAGUUGAUUUCUUCAGCAUUUCUUCCUUCAGAAGUUCCUUCUUUGGAAUUGCAUUCAUUGUUGAAUCAGAGUCCUUCUUCUUUUCACUGAUCUCUUUCUCUUUAUCUUCCAUUUCAUCCCCUUUCUUUAUCUCUUCUUCUUCUUUCUCAACAUGUGGCUUGGGUGUUGGCUUCUCAAUUUUUUUUACCACUCCUUAGAGUGAUCAAGGCUUUGACAUCUUUCAUCUGUGAUGAUUCCCCCUCAAGGCUUUCCACUUCAUGGAUACCCUUGGGGUUUUGGUGGGGUUGAGAAGGAAUCUUCCCUUUUCUUGCAGUGUGUUCAAAUUUGUAAGCCUUGAAAUUGAAUAUUGGAUGUUAUCAAACUUUUGGGCUAUAUCGUUUUGCAUUCCAUCCAUCCUUUUAUUCAAAGUACUCUCCACUCUAUCAAUUCUUUGAUUGAUUUGAGCAUUAGUGGCUUCUUGGUUUCCAACAAAAUCUCCCACUACCUUGCUGAGAUUAGCCAUUGCUUGUUCAAGACUUGAAGAUUGUUGAGAUGGUGGAUCUGGCUGUUGGUACUGAGUUGCUCUGGCCUUCCAUGAGAAAUUUGGAUGAUUCCUCCAACUUGAGUUGUAAGUAUUUCCAUAAGGCGCAUUGUUAUUGGGCUUAAAUUGUCCAACAACAUUUGCUUGAUCUCUAAACAUUUCCCUUUCAGCUAAAAUUGCAGGGCAUUCCUCCACCAAAUGUUCAUAUGAUUGACAAUUGGGACACAACUUCACUUGCACUGGUGCUUCAGCAACAACUUGCACUUCAUGUAUUCUUUUCAACUCCAACUCCUCCAAUCUUCUUGUCACAGUUGCCAAUUUUGCUUUCAUAUCAUCAUCUUCUUUCAAGGUAUACAUCCCAGCCUUAGCAUUAAAAGCACUCAGUUGAGAUUUCAUCUUACCCACUUCUCCUUUGGUUGGUUCAUCCCAUCCCCUUGAAACAUCAGCUACAUAGCUCAAGAAAUCCAUAGCUUCCUCUGGAUUUUUGCUCAUGAAAUAUCCUCUACACAUUGUCUCGAGGAGUUGCUUCAUUGAGGAGGACAUCCCAUCAUAAAAAUAGCUCACCAAUAGCCAAGUAUCAAAGCCAUGGUGAGGGCAAGCAUUUAUAGCUUCCAUAUAUCUUUCCCAACACUCAUAGAAUUUCUCAUUCUCUUUAGCUGAGAAGUUUGAAAUUUGCCUUUUCAAGCCAUUUGUUCUAUGAGUGGGAAAAAAUUUCUUGAGGAAUUCAGCUUGUAAGUCAGUCCAAGAACGGAUACUCCUUGGCCUUAAAGAAUUAAGCCAAAUUUUGGCCUUAUCCUUUAAAGUAAAAGGAAAUAACUUAAGCCUCAUCAAAUCAAUUGAAGCUCCUCCCUCUUGGAAUGUAUUACAAACAUCUUCAAAUUCCUUGAUGUGUGCAUAGGGAUUCUCACUUUCCAUCUCAUGGAAAGUUGGUAGAAGUGGAACAAGAUACGGUCUGAUCACUAGCUGCUCUGUAGGGGGCACUAUACAUGAUGGUGCACUCAUACGAGGUGGAUGCAUGCGGUCCCUCAUUGAUCUGAAUUCAUUGAGAUUGUCUUGACGACCUUGGUGACUAUGCUGAUCUUCAGGUGUAGCUUCCAUGAUAUUCAAGCUCAAUUCGAAUUCUUUGUUAUGAGGUGUAUCACAUUUAACAAGCCUUCCUCCACUGUCUCGCAUCCACUUUAGCAUACACAACUAGUAUCUAUCUGCAACUUAAAUGAAAAUAAAGGACAACAAAAGGAAACAGGCCUACAACAACAAAAUUUAAAAGAUGAACUUGGAUUAUGAAUAAAUAAAGAAAGAAUGAGAAUUAGUAAAGUGAAAGAAACGUUACCAACUGGUGAUGAAAAUCACAAGUGCUCUAAAAUGGUAUCACUAUAAACUUGACACCUUCCCCGUCAACGACGCCAUUUGAUUCGUGCCCAAUUGGUGUCUCAGCUGAUUCAUGUCCAGCUGGUGCUCCUUGUUUGAGGGAGUAAUCAACAAAAUUUAUAACCUAUUACACCAUAUACUAGGGUAGCAAAGAAAAAUCUACUAUAGUAUAACGACUCUAGGAUCGUUCACUGGGAAGGGUUUCCAAAUUACAAAUGAUACCAAUUCAAAGUGAAUUGGUACUUUUUCAUUUCAAGGUUAGCUCACGAAAUAAAACAAAAACUUUGAUUGGUAAAGAUUUAGAUUUAAAAUGACUACAAAGCAAGUGAUGGAAAUUACUUAGGAAGAAAAACAUUCCUUGGAGAGUCAGGUUCACUGGGGUGGUUCCUCAUGCAAAAGACAUAGCUCAGGUCAGUUGGUUCAUUUCCUCGCGUGAGAGAAUCAACAUAUAGUCAAUUCUCUAACCGGUGUUGUACAGAUACAUCCUUUAAUUAGAUUUCAGCUUUAAUUCCCUCUCACUGAUGCAACUUGCUAUGGUUCAUGCCUCUCACUAAGCCUUAACCAUUCAAGGUGAUCUUUAACCUUGGACUUCCCUUCUCAAGCUCGCAAGAGAUAACUAAUGGAUGUCUCCUUGGAGUCCAAAAGCUUACCAAGUGUUGGCAAUUCCAGAAAAUCCUACCUUCAAGUCACCUCCCAGAGGCUCACAAGGGGUAAACUAGUGCAUCUCCAUGGUUUGAGAUCACUUGCCUUACCAAGUGUUGGCCCAGGUGACUCUAAGGUGUUUUAAGUUAACUAAAAACAUAGAAAUCACUAAAGGAUUUCACUUCCUCUUCAUUCAUGGCUGAAACCAUAAAGCUUUGCAUUCUUGCAAUUGGAACCUUCCCCGGCAACCUUAGCUCCAAGGAACUAAAGGUUUAGUUACUCAUUCUCUGGGGAAAAUUCCUCAAAGAGUGCAUAACUUCGUAAGAAAUAAAAAAAUACAAAGUGAGAAGGUAAGGCAAAACAAAGGACCUGAACUUUACUUGAUUUUCCAAAACUUUACAAAAGGUCUCCUCUCUCUGAGAACAGGCUCCCGAGAGGUAUUUAUAUGAACAUAAUAUAAAACUAAUUAUUACAUGGAUAUUUUCUCUUUUUACUAACUUAAAAGCUAAGGAAUCUUGUAAUUGGUGGCUUACAAGGAGUAUUUUGGGAUUUAGACAACAAAAAUCUGAUGGAAAAUAUCUCCCAAUGUCGGUAGCAAACAUCGGGAAGCACUACGGACCAUUUCGCAAGAGAAAAUGAUGUCUGCGAGAUUUCGCAGACACUCAAAAAGGGCUGCGAAAUCACUUCGCAACAAAAGGAUAUUCUCACAGGGCUGCGAAGUUGGCUUCCAUCUUGAGGUUCUCAGCUUCCAACUUGUCGCAUUUAUUAGACAACUUCAGGAGGAAAUCCACCACACUGUACAAAAAGGCUGCGAAAUCACUUCGCAACAAAAGGGUGAUUUCGCAACACUUUGCAAAAUGCUUCCUUCAGCUUAGAGUGAUUGACUUGAAAUGGCUGUAACUUCUUCGUUUCAACUUCGAAUUGCACACCGUUUGAAGCAUUGGAUUGUUGACUUCCUGAGCUUUGAAAUGGUAUAUAUCAUGCAUCAAUUGGACUUCAUGAAGUGCUCCAAAAGUGGCUGCCACGACUGUCAUCAAGAAUAUGCUUCAUGGCAGAUUCUCUUUACUUUUUCUCCUUGCAUUCCGGAUCAACUCUUGGAAAAGGGCUUCAAAGAUUUAGUUCUUCAUGUUUCUGAGCUUCCAAUUGCUUUGCCCCAGAUUCCAAAGAACUCUCCUCAAUCUUGGAUUGCUUUGGUGAUCAAAUUACUAACAAAAACACCAAAACUUAACACAAUUUAAUUAGAAACAAUUGCAAGGGUCCUUAUCAUGCCAAUUGAGUUAAAAGGCCAAAACUACUACUCAAAAGUGUUUGAAAAGAUUAAUUACAAGCUAUCAAAUAGCACUUUUUGAGUAGUAAUCAGUAUUUUGCAUGCUACAUCAUAUUAUGGGAAGAGCGGUGAUCCUAAGAGUAAAGAACAGUGGGACAUUGAACGGUUGCAUGAUGUUCCUCAACAAAAGUAUGAGUAAGUAAACAAAUAUCGAAACUUCAUCUUAUCAUUUCACCUUUAUGCCUUAUACAGUAAAUUUUUUUAGUCAUCUUAAUUUUGAUUACUUGUGUUUUAUGCAGUGGUGAUUGUGGGAUGUUCCUGAUUAAAUGUGCAGAAUACUUAAUGCAUGAUCGGUGCCCGCAUUGAUUGGUUUAGAUAUAAAAUGGCAACUGAAUUGUUCUACUUCAAAAAUUAACCCAUGUAGUGGGUUUCAUUUUGAUUAUGUAAUAGGUUUAUAUGUUGUUGAGUGGUGACUAUUAUUUUGGAUGAAUUUGACUUGAUGCUCAAAGUUACAAUUUUUGUAAUGUAACUAUAACUAUCAACUUAACUAUAGUUAAGUUAUUUGGUAAUGCAACUCAACAAUUGUUAAGUUUGGGUGAAUAUUCUGAGUGUGAAUUUAACCACAAUUAAGUUCUUUAUUAAUGCAACUCAACCAUUGUUAAGUUCAGGUGAAAAUUCUAACUGUGAAUUUAAUUGUGCUUAAGUUCUUUGUUAAUGCAACUUAACUAAUGUUAAGUUCAGGUGAAAUUUCUGACUGUGAACAUAACUGUGGUUAAGUUCUUUGUUAAUGCAACUCAACUACUGUUAAGUUCAGGUGAAAUUUAUGACUAUGAACUUAAUUGUGGUUAAGUUAUUUGCUAAUGGAACUUAACUACUGUUAAGUUUAGGUGAAAUUUAUGACUGUGAACUUAACUGUGGUUAAGUUUUUUAUUAAUGCAACUCAACUACUAUUAAGUUCAGGUGAAAAUUUUGACUAUGAACUUAUCCACAAUUAAGUUCUUUGUUAAUGCAACUCAACUACUGUUAAGUUCAAGUGAAAAAAUUAACAAAGAACUUAACCACAAUUAAGUUCUUUAUUAAUGCAACUCAACCAAUGUUAAGUUUAGGUGAAAUUUAUGACUGUGAAUGUGGUUAAGUUCUUUGUUAAUUCAACUCAACCAUUGUUAAGUUCAGGAGAAAAUUCUAACUAUGAACUUAACUGUGGUUAAGUUAUUUGUUAAUUCAACUCAACCAUAGUUAAGUUCUUUGCUAAUGAAAUGAUCAUCAACUUAACCAUAGUUAAACUUAACCAAGUAAUUUAUAUGAUAAAACUAAAACAUUAACUUAAAAUUUCAAUCCAUCAUUCAAAAAAAUUGCUUUAAGCAUAUAUAAAAAUAAUAAUCUCACAAAUUCCUUCAUGGCCCUAUACAAAAAAAAAAAAGUGUAGAUACAUAGCUAAAUCAUCCCCAAAAAACAAAUUUUUGGGUAACAUUAUUAAAGUGACUAAUGACUAGUUGUAAAGAGAAUUCUUAGAUGUUGAUAUUGCUUUCAACAAUAUUCACACAACUAUGUUCAUCUCUAGGAUGUAAUGGGAUUGGUCGUUUGCAUAUUUUUCUAUUAUGCCUAUAAUCACCACAUCUACCACAACAUCGUGAACACUUAACAUCUUCAAUUGAAUGAAUUCUCUCCUUUCUUAGUCUUCCUACUGGUCGCCGAAUUUUUGGUGGUAGCACAACUCUACAAUAGAUGUCUUCCGGAAUGACCCAAUCUUUGUUGUUUCCAUUAGGAUAUAUAGACUUUGAGUAUGAAGAUAUAAGCGAGUUCUUCAUAUAGUAUUGAGAGCAUAGAGUAUAGCAUGACAUGUUUCCAUAUCUACAUGCAGCAAUAGCAUGUGCACAUGGAAUAUGGUCAAGAUCAAACACCUUACAUGUGCAUAAACAGGUUUGCAAAUUAACUUGAUUACUUACCCCAACAUAUUUGACAUUAAACUCCCAAGAGUUUAUAGGCUCAACCUCAUAACUUGAUGACUUAUUAAACCUUAAGCAUAACUCCAUGUUAGCCCAUGUAGUAAUCUCAAUUUUCAUUGAUAAUGCUUGUUGUUAGCGAUUUGAAAACCAUCUCUGAAGUAAGUUCCUCAACUCUUCAACCAUUCGCACAACUAGAAGAUCUCUUGCAUCUUUUAGUACAACAUUCAUGCACUCAACGAUCCCUGUAGUCAUGAUAUUAUAUCUUUUUCCGUUACUGUGUGACCGAGCCCAUUGCUCUACUCCUACAUCCACUAAAUAUUUGGUUGCUCUUAGAGAAAUCAUCUCUAACUGACCAAAUAUAGUAUCAAAAUCUGACAUUCGAUAUGCAUGGGCAACAUCAUGAAACAACUUAUGUACAUUAACAUUCUUGAACUUUGUUUUCAAGUUUUGCCCUAAAUGAUAAGUGCAUACGCCAUGGCUUGCAUGAGGAAACAACUUUUGUACUAUUUUUUCAAUGCUACCAUGUCGAUCUGAAACCACCACUAAAUCAUCUACAUGCCUAAUCACAUCAUAUAAUUUUAUAAGAAAUCACUCCCAAGAAGAAUCAUUUUCUGAAUCACCAAUUUCGAAAGCCGAUGGGUAGAUUUGAUUGUUACCAUCUUUGCUCACUGCAACAAACAAAGUCCCUAAAUAUUUUUACUUCAAAAAUAUUCCAUCAACUGCAAUUACUGGCCUUAUUAAUGUACGAAACCCAGAAAUACAUGUACCAAAUGCCAUAAAUAGAUACUUGAAUUGAUUGUCAACAUCAGUAACAAUAUCAGUUAUUGUCCCAAGAUUUUUUUGCUCUAGCAUAUAACAAUAAGAUGGUAAAGCACCAUAAGACUCUUCAGGUGAUCCCCUAAUGGAGUUAAGGGCAAUUUCUCUUGCUCUCCAUGCCUAAUCAUAACUAAUUUGAACACCGUACUUGUUUCAAAUAUCUCCUAUAAUGUCUUUGGGACGGUAUUGACGACCAACUUGAUAAGUUUGUCUCAUGCUUUCACCAACAACCAACCAACUACUUGCAUGACAAUUAUAACGAGACAUCAUGUCCAACCUGCAAGUGUGCAUAGGAUGGCAUUUCAUUACUUGAAAGAAGUUAAAACUUCCCAACUUAGUUGCACAAAAUCGCCAUUUGCAUUCAUUAUCAACACAUUGAAGUACCAAUAACUUGGUAGUAGAUUUUAUCAUUUUAAACUCAAACUUCUCUUUCAAGGCAAUAAUGUACAAUUUUUUCUACAGUUCUUUCUUACUAGAAUAAAUUUGCUUCUCUUCAAUAUGAUCAUCAUUAGUGCCAUAAUCACUAGUACCUAUCCAACUCAUGUCUUGGCUAUUAUUACUUACCUCCUCAAUCAUGGUUGGAGCAUCAUUCAUGGGACCAUCUUUUAUAUUCAUGAUGCUAUGAAUUUUCAUUAUUUGAGCUGCUUUGUUGCUUGAAUCCCUAUUUUCAAUCACUUGGACAUUGCUGGUCAGGUUGGUAUCCAACAGUCAUCAUCAAUAGCAUACCCAUUCAUGUUCCAUUCAACAACAUUAGAUCUCUCAAGUGGCUCAUAGUUGAAUUUUGUUAUGCUUUCAUCACCAACGACAUUAAGAGAUUCUAUUGAUCCAUCAUUUACAUGUUCAUUUCCAUGCAUAAACAUUGACUCUGCAUUAUUUUCAGAUCUUCUAUCCAUAGUGAUGCAUAAUGGAGCUGGUAACUUGUUCGUGUAAUUUAAACGAAUGAAAAAUUUAACAUCUCCAUCAUCUCUUAGUUGAAUUGGUGAUGUUGGUAUGUUACCACUAAAUGCAUACUUCAUUGAAAUUGAACACUCAACUGGAUCUAGUUGAAGAAUGCGAUACACAACUCUCAUUAAUUCAUGAUAUGAUAUAUUCUUCUUCAUUGUAAUGUCUUUACCUUCACUUCCUUUAAAGUGGUAUGUGUUUCCAUCUUGUACCCAAUUCCCUUUAUACAAAAGCAUUAUUCCUACUUCAUCAAUGACUGCAAAAAUAAAUAUUUCACUACUACAAAAAUAAUUUAUGGUGUCACUAUUUAUGGUGUCACUUUUAAAAUAAUGACACCAUAGGGUUUAUAAUUAAUAAAGGUGAUACAUCAUGUAAAAAAGCUUCAAUUGAGGUAGUUAGAUGAUGUUAGUUUUAUAUUUAUAUUGUCAUUUUUUGGGAAGUGACAUCAUAUAAAAUAAAAAUUUUUAAGUAUUACAACUCAAAGAGCCUACUUGAGCCCACUUUUAGAAUUAAUAAUGAGGGACAAUAUAUUAAAAGCCCAUUGUUUCCACAUGCCACCCAUAAUCCAAAAAAUCUCACUAUAGAAACCCUAUAUAUAAAACCAUAAUCUUUUUCUACCUUUUCUCUCACCCAUAGUCAACAUGCUCACAACCGACAUUCUUCACUUUGUGGACUCCCAGAUAACCCAAAAUCUCUUAGAUCUAUCAUAUUUUUUUUCUUUUAUUAAUGUCAUUAUAUUUAUUGUUUCAACAUCUUUGUAUUAUGGUUUUUGUGAACUGGGUUUUCUUGAGUUGUAGGGAAGAAAAUUUUAGGUUUAAACUUCUAGCAUAGAAGAAGAAACCUAUAGAUUAAUUGAUUUUUUAAUCUGAACCAAACACAUGGUUGUCUUCUUAAAAACAAGAAAAAAUGAAUGAUUUUUAAUAGGUAUUUGUGUGAGAAUGACCAACUUUCGUAUCAGGAUGCCUUGUUCACGCUAUGCUUUGUUCAUCUAAAAACCCAACUCUCCAAAACCCUAUGCUCUGUUCGCGCUACCUCUGUCUCACUCUCCGGUUUCCCCUCUCCCACUCUCCUCUCUUGCUAUCGGAUUGAUCAAAGAUUCUGAAAAUAUCUCGAAUAAAUUCCGAAAGUAUUUCCAAAAUUUAUUUUAGGUGGAGAUUCAUUAAGAUUUCGUUCCAUUUGUAUAUAAUAUAAGUGAUACAUGGUGGCUCUAUUGAAUUUGUAGAUAUGGUAUAGGUCGUAGCAGGAGUUUUUCAUCUUGGUCGGUUCAAAAAGCUAGGGUUUGUUUCACCUUUUUCUCAGAGGGAGAAAGGACGGAGAUACAAGAAACAAUCGCCCCCAUUCAUCCCAAAGGUAGUCCUGACCCGUAAUAUUACUUUUCUUCUUCUUCUUCUUCAAUAUGAUUAUCGUUUCAGUAAUCCAGAUAUCUCCAUUAUAAUUCCUAUAUCUUGAUGAAACAAUUCCAAUUUGAUAAUCUGGGCAGAUAUCCAUUUAAAUUCCUAUAUCUUGGUGAAACAAUUUCAAUUUGAAAAUUAAAUAAUUGUUAGAAUUCAGUUUGUCCUGAUAUUUCAUCAUAUGGUUCAGCGAGUAGCUCGGUGUCACCGAAGUCAAUUUCAAACCUAGAAUAGAAAAUAAAAAAUACCCCAGCUCAGUUUUCUUUCCUUUUAGGACGAUCAAAUUGGUGUCUUAUUUAAGUCUUUUUAAUUCAAGAAGACCACCAAACAUACCUCAAACCGGUGAAGGAAUACAAGUUUAUUAAGUUGUAAUUGCUCACGCCUCAUCACUAGCGUUGAAGAUGUUUUUUAAUUUGUCCUCCCACAAGCGCAUGAUAAUCCAAUUCCUUAAAAGACAGAAAAAAAUUUAUAUAUAUCAGCUAACCCUCAUUUUCUAUGUGUGAAGGCAAAGGGCAUGUAAGAAAGGACCUCUUUGAUUGGCACCCCCUUCCCAGCCAUUCCACGUAUGAUAUAUAGAGGAAAAAAGGCAUAAUUUUGUACCAAGGAUGGUCUUAAUCUAGCAACCAUGUAUUUAUAUUUUUUUUUCAUAUUCAAGUAAUAUAUGGGCAACGGGUUGUCCACGGCCAAUUGAUUUGUCAGGUAGUAGUGUGUAGGUCCUGGGCCUAACAAGUAAGCCAGAUGUGGACUACUACAACCCCUGUGGCUUAUAAAGGCUAAACUGGGGUUAUGUGAUGGAUUAGAAUUAAGUUAAUGAUAAGAAAGAAGAUUAUAGAAAUGAUUAUGGUCAAGUUGGAAAUGGAUUAGAAUUAAGACUAAAACUUUUGUUGGUGUUAUAGAGGUGAUUUUUCAUGGAGCUGAUCAUUUUCCGAGUUUUAGUUUCUUGCCUAGUAUUUUAAUGUUUAUGGAGAUCGAACGAGUUUUGUGUAUUCUUUAUAUGAAAUAUUAUAAGGUUACUAAAAUGGAGACUUGUUUAUUCAAUUCCUAUGCCAUUAACUUCUACUAAUUUGAUUUUUUUUUUCAAUGCUUUCCUCAAUAUCUAAAUUUUAAUUAUUGAAGUUCCCUAUUAUUGCCCACCCUUUUGGGUUUCUUUAAUACACAAAUUUUCCUAUAAAAGAGAGAUUUUAUUUGAAGUAAAUUGUAAGCUAGAGAAUAUGGAUUUAAUGAUUGGGUUCAUUCAACUUGCUUCAACUGAACUCAACCUAAAUUGUUUGCCAAACCACCCAUCUCUUAACUCAUUCUAGGUAAGGAAUGUUGUUUCUUUGGUUAUAUAUGAAAAUUUGAGUUUAAAGGCUCUUUUUCUACUUCCUUUUUAGCAUAUUUAGAACCCCCAAAGUGUUUUAUAGUGAUAGUAGGGCUUUGUUUAAAUGCAAGUCAUUAACUUUUUUACAAUUGUUAAUUUAAGGGCAUUUAAAGUUGUAUAUAACACUAAAAUAGAAUGAAUUGUUUUCAUACUGUAUAAUUUUAUUUUUAUUUUUUUUUAUGAAUUUAAGUACUUUAUAUAUUAUAAUAAUAAUUUUUUUUUUUUUUUGCAUAAAAUUUCUUAAAGAUGAACUUUUGUUUUUGAGUCAUAAAUUCAAAAACUAGGUCUAAUCAGAAUCUUCAAUUUAAUCGCAAUUUUUGGAAUGGAAAUAUUUGAUAUGAUGCUUGAAAUAUAAUUUAAAAUAAAUAAUAUAGAAGGAAAAGAAAAUUAAUAUUAUUUGUAAAGUGGUUGGCAAAAGAGAAAAGGUCAUAAAGUAUAGAAAAAAAGUAUUAUCUGUAACCUGCCAUUAACAUAUUAUUGUGUGUGCAUAAGUUGAGUUUUUUUUUUUUUUUUUUGUGGUAAUUAAUGGGCAGUCCUUGCUUGGACUGGUUUUGCUUUGUGGUAUGAUUUUAGUGUUAACUAUAGGUCUUGCUAGAAUUUAAGGUUUUUUUGUGACCAUUUGAGCGAAUUAGUUUUUUAUAUUUAUGCAUUAAUAAUUAAGAUUUUUUAUAUUUAAAUUGAAAUAGUUUAAAAUCUUACUUAACUUUAUAAAAUUGAAGUUGUGUCUUCCUAAAUUAAAUUCCUAAAAAGUUGUUUUUACUUUCCUCAUUAUUGUUGAAUCAAAAUACUUUAUUUUGAAAGCUUUCUUCACUUCUUAAUAUUCUCAUUCGUAUUAAAUUUAAUAGUUUCUCACAUAUUUUCUAGUUUUUGGAAGCCUUUGUUUUAGGGGCUUGGCUUUAUCCAUUAUUGUGUGCCAAGUCACCUCCCAUGUUCUUUAUUAUUUAUUUAUUUAUUUAGGUGGAAGUGUUUUUUAGGGAAAGAAUCACUAAUUGGUGUGGCUAUCUACAAAAGAGAUCAUGUAGUGUGCUACAAUUUGUUAUGUAGGUCAUACAUUUUAGAAGUUUUUUUUCCCUUAUUAAUCUUAUCUCAAAUAUGAAUGAAAACUUCAAUCGAUUUAGACAAAAAUAAACAAUAAUGAAAUUAUUACAAUAAUGUAUCCAUUAACUUACUAUAUUUACUAUUUUGAAAAUGUUAUUUUUAUUAACAAAAAAGGUAAAUACUUUCAACUUUGAAGUUCACAGGGUAAGAAUAUAGUUUAUAGAUUAAUGUAUAAAAAUAGAGUAAUAAGUCUUCUGGGUAGGUUGCUAUAACUAUUAUUUAAUCUUGUUAUUUUACAUGUUAUUUUCACUAGAUCUUUUUAUUAGUUUGAUUUUAGAGUUUAUAGAUAACGUUAUCAUAAGCCCAAGUUUAGUACUAUUUUAUUUCAUCAUCUUCAUAGCUUUUAUUAAGAAGUAAAAUGUGGUUGUUAGGAUAGAGUCCUUAAAAGUAUUACAUGACAUAAAAAUAAAUGGAUUAUUCUGAUUAUCUUUUCAUUAUCCUAUAUUUAUGCAUUAAUAAUGUUAAGCAUUCAUGCUUGGCAUCUCUUACGUGGUACAUAACUUGGGAAAUAUGUUAGAGGUUGUAGUGAAUAUGUUUUCAUGCCCUACAACCCCGAGUAAGUGACGAAUAUUAUACUUUAAUUUGAGGUUUUAUGAUUGAUUUAUAUUUAUAAUUAUAUGCUAUUUUUGUUUUUAAUGUUUUAGCUUUCAUUGGAUCUUGGUAGUGAUUGAGCCAAGGAAAAUGAUAGUCCACUAUCUUGACCCUAUGCAUCACAAACCAUGUGAUGACUUAAAGGAUAUCGUAAACAUGUAAGAUCUUUCUAUUAUUUUUUAUAAAAAAAAAAAAUUACAUUCACCUCAAACACAUUUUUUUAUAUUAUUUCUAUAUAUUAAAACAGAUAACAUUUAAUGUUAUGCAUUUUAAUGUUAUUUUCUUAUUUGAUUUCAGUUUGGUGAUAAAUAAAAAAAAAGACAUAUUCUCAAGUAGAAUUCAAUGAAAUUAGAGGAGAAUGAGCUACUUUUGUGCUACAACUAAUCAUUAAUCAUGUUGAUGCAUCAUGAUCACCAUGCAUGGUGAGUCCCUUAGCUACUACAUGAAUUUUUCCAUAGGUAUUGUAUAGCAUUGCUUAUUCUUUGAACAAUGUUUCUAUUUGAAAAAAAAAAUAGUUCUUAGAUUUGUUCAUUUAUGAUAACAUCGAUCCAUAUUUAUUUUCUUCAAUAAAAUCUAUAAAACUCAUUAAACUAUGAAAUGCAAGUAUACAGCCUUGGGAUGGUGUGGAAUGGAGAAUAAAAAGAAAGAAGAAGGCAACAAGAUUUUGGGUUUUUAAGUGCAACUCUUAUGUCAUACAUUGUAGGACAUAAACAUUACUUUAAUUGGUACUAAGAAUUUUAGAUUUUUAGAUGCGACUUUUAUGUCAUUUUAUAGUUAGUCGGUUUUAUGCUUAUAAAAUGGAGGUAUACAUGAAUCUUGGGAUCUUUAACAUUUCUAAAUCAUGUUUUGGUAUGUAGUCACUCUUCUUUUUUAGUUUUAAUGGGUUUGAUAUGUUAGACGUACUAUCUUUUUGUGAACAUUUGAUAUACAAAUAUUAUUAGAUGCUCAAUGUAUUAUGAGUUAUUCUAUAAACAUUACAAAAAAAUGAGUUAAAUGUAAUAUGAUUGUUAUAUUUAUGGACAAAAUAAAUAUACACAGGUUAAUCUUACUUGUUAAUUCAUAAGCAUUACAAAAAUCUACAACUAAAAGCAAUCAUGUCUUCCACAAUAAUUUACAAUGAUAUGACACCAUAACUCAAAGGUGAUGCAUUUAAUGUGACACCCUAUCAUCACUACAAAUAUAUGGUGUCACUUCUGAAUGCCUCACCAUUUAUCUGCUUUGGUGUCACUUCCAAAUACGUCACCAAUUGGUACCCUCUAUGGUGUCAAUGGAGAAGGUGACGCUAUGUUGUAGUGACACCCUAUGUUUAUGGUGACUCGUUAUAAAUGUCACCAUAUAUCUUUUUCCUUGUAGUGUUUCAAACUAUCACGUUAAUAAUAAAAUAGUAAAACAUAGGAUAUAUUUUUAUUAAGUUUCAACUAUAGACUAUUGAUUACUACUCACUAAGUACUCUUUUAUAGCUUGAAACUAACUGUUUUACACACUUUUGAGUAGUAGUUAGUACCUUUUAAUUCAAUUGGCACAUUAAGGAACCUAGUAAGGGUUACUAAUCAAUUUUUAGCAAGUUUUGGUGUUUUUGGUAGCUAUUUGAUCAUUGAAACUAGCCAAGAAUGAGGGAGAAUUUUGUGAAAUCCAUGGCAAUGCAAGCUAAAGCUCAAAUACAUGAAGAAUCCAAACUUUGGAGCACUUCAUAGCCCUUUGCCAAGCCAAUCAAAGAUGCAAGGAAGAAAACCAGAGGAAGAAAUCCAACAACCAGCAUUUUCGCAAACAAGCCAAGAAUGAGGGAGAAUUUUGUGAAAUCCAUGGCAAUGCAAGCUAAAGCUCAAAUGCAUGAAGAAUCCAAACUUUGGAGCACUUCAUAGCACUUUUCCAAGACAAUCAGAGAUGCAAGGAAGAAAACCAGAGGAAGAAAUCCAACAACCAGCAUUUUCGCAUGGUAGUGCGAAAUUUCGCACACCAUGCGAAACCACUUGAGGCAGCCAAAGAAUUUUGCAUACCAUGUGAAAUUUCGCAUGGUGUGCAAAAUCUUCCUGUGCACCAACUCUGUUAGAUUUUUAUCUCCAAAUAUUUUGUGUAACUUCCUAUUUUCUCCUUGUAAUCAACUUAUAUAUUUUCAUAUAUAUAUAUAUAUAUAUAUUAUUUAGUGUGUGUAACAUCUUUUGAUAUAGACACACAAGGAUGUAAUCAAAAGGAGGUUGUAAAAUUCCCUAUAGUAAGAAAUAUACAAAGCUUUUGCUCUGCCUUUCCUUCUCAUUUUGUUUUCACUCUUCUUUCUAGCCAAAGAACCUCUGAGGAUGAUUUCUUAAGGGAUGAGUGGCUAGGCUUUACGUUUCUUGGAGUGAUGGAAGCUAGGUGAAGGACCUGAAUGCAAAGAUGAGAGUUGUCCUUGCUUUAAAUGAAAGUAGUUGUUAACCAUUAAUGUUUUUAUUUCAAGGUUUAGCUUUAAAUCCCUUAAAGCCACCUUGAAUGGCCAAUACUUGGUAAGCUUUUUGGAUUCUAUGGAUGCUUAUUGCUAGAUCCAUGGAUGUCUAUUAGUUAUCAUUUACGAGUCAUUGGAAGGUGGUUCAAGGUGAGGGUCUUUAGUGCUUAAAGCCAUUAAUGGGAAGUAACUAUCAUUUUCCAUGUACCCUUUGAAUCAAAUCUUAAUUGCUAAAUAUAAAACCGGUUCGGGAGAUAACCAUCCUUUAUGUUAUUAUCCCCAACGUGAGGAGAAGAUCUAGAAUCUCCCCCUUUGUCUAAGGAACCCGAUCCUAGUGACCUACUACCCUAGUGUGAGGUGAUUUAGGUUUUAUAAAUUUUGUUGAUAACACCCGUCUGAGCUAGAAUUAAAUGGUGUCGCUGCCAGGGAUGGUGCCAAAGUACAUUGACAUGAUUUUUGGUGAACACUUGUGAUCUUCAUCACAAGUUUGGUGAUUUUUAUUUUACUAAUUCUUUUUUUUUUUUUUGUCUAUAUUUUAGCUUAUCUUUUAUUUAGUUUUUAGCUAACCUUAACUUUUUCCUAGAAUUGUAUUUCUUUUAUUUUCUUUGUUUUUGUUUCAGUGAUCUCUAGUUGUGCAUGCCCUAUUGGAUAAAAGAUUGAGGGAAGACUUGUGAAAAUUGAAACUCCUCGAGAAACUGAGUUGGAAGUGUGCUUAAACAUCAUGGAUGUUCCACCUGAAGACCAGAAUAGCCAACAUGGUCAAGAGGAUAAUUUCAAUGAGAGACCACAUGCAUCCACCUUGUAUGAGCGCACCUUCAUGCAUAGUGCCUCCCAUUGAGUAGAUAGUAAUUCGACCUCACAUCGUGCCACUCCUACCUACUUUCCAUGGGAUGGAAAGUGAAAAUCCCUACUUGCAUAUUAAGGAAUUCAAGGAGGUUUGUAAUACAUUCCAAGAAGGAGGAGCUUCAAUUGACUUGAUGAGGCUUAAGCUAUUUCCUUUCACCUUGAAGGAUAAGGAAAAGAUAUAGCUCAAUUCUCUAAGUCCAAGGAGUAUCCGAACUUGGACUGAUUUGCAAGCCGACUUUCUCAAGAAGUUCUUCCCUACUCAUAGGACCAAUGGUUUGAAAAGGCAAAUUUUGAAUUUCUCGAAUAAAGAGAAUGAGAAAUUCUGAGUGUUGGGAAAGGUAAAUGGAAGCUAUUAAUGCUUGUCCUCACCAUGGCUUUGAGACAUGCCUCUUAGUGAGCUAUUUUUACGAUGGUAUGUCUUCUUCAAUGAAGCAACUCCUAGAAACUAUGUGUGGAGGAGACUUCAUGAGUAAGAAUCCGAAGGAAGCCAUGGACUUUUUGAGUUAUGUGGCUGAAGUUUCAAGAGGAUGGGAUGAACCAAAUGCUAGAGAGGUGGGAAGAAUGAAGUCUCAACCUAAUGCUAAGGGUGGGAUGUAUGUUUUGAAUGAAGACAUUGACAUGAAGGCAAAGAUUGCAGCUAUGGCAAAGAAAUUGGAAGAGCUAGAAAAGAAGAAGAUACAAGAAGUGCAAGCUAUUUCUGAGACGCCAUUGCAAGCUAUGCCUUGUUCCAUUUUUCAAUCUUAUGAGCACCUGAUGGAGGAGUGUCCUACAAUUCCAGCAGUGAGAGAGGUGUUUGGAGAUCAAGCAAAUGUUAUUGGUCAAUUCAAGCCCAAUAACAAUGCUUCAUAUGGCAACACCUACAAUUCGAAUUGGAGGAACCAUCCAAAUUUCUCUUUGAAACCAAAGCCACCUCAGUACACACAACCUGCUCAAGCACCUCAGCAAUCCUCGAAUGUUGAACAAGUUAUUAUGAACCUUAGCAAGGUUGUGGGAGACUUUUUGGGAGAUCAGAAGUCCAUUAAUGCUCAAUUAAAUCAGAGAAUUGACAGUGUGGAGAGUACAUUGAACAAAAUGAUGGAUAGGAUGCAAAAUGAUCUAUCUCAAAAGAUAGACAAUGUCCAAUACACAAUCUCAAGGCUUACCAACCUCAACAAAGUGCAAGAGAAAAGAAAGUUCCCUUCUCAACCUCAUCAAAAUCCAAAGGAUAUCCAUGAUGUGGAGGCUCAAGAGGGAGAAUCUUCAAAGGUGAGGGAAGUCAAAGUAGUUAUCACCUUGAGAAGUGGUAAAGAGGUUGAUCAGCCCACAUCCAAGUCAAAGCAUGAUGAAGAAAGUAUAGCAGAAAAAGAAAACAAUGAGGAAAAUAAAGGAAAAAGAAAAGGGAAAAGUACAAAGAAAGAUGACCAUGAGUCUAAUGUGGAUGAAAAACCCGAGAGGAUAGUGAUCAAUGAAGAUAUGAUGAAGAAACACAUGCAGAAACACAUGCCUCCACCUUUCCCCCAAGCUUUGCAUGGCAAAAAUGGAACCAAUAAUGCAUCAGAAAUUUUUGAAGUGUUGAGGCAAGUGAAGGUCAAUAUCCCUUUGCUAGACAUGAUAAAAAAAAGUGUCGAAAUAUGCAAAAUUCUUAAAGGACUUGUGCACUGUAAAGAGAGGGUUGAAUGUGAACAAGAAAGCCUUCUUGACUGAGCAAGUGUCAUCAUACAGUGCAAGUCUCUAGUGAAGUACAAAGAUCUGGGCUGCCCUACCAUCUAAGUGAGUAUUGGAGGGACUUGUGUGGAGAAAUCUUUGCUGGACUUGGGAGCAAGUGUGAAUUUGCUACCCUACUCUAUCUAUAAGCAGUUGGGACUUAGAGAGUUGAAGCCAACAUCCAUCACUCUAUCUCUGGCAAAUAGAUCAGUGAAGAUUCCAAGAGGGGUGAUCAAAGAUGUCUUAGUUCAAGUUGACAAAUUCUACUAUCCAGUGGAUUUUGUUGUUCUUGAUACGGAUCCAGUUGUCAAAGAAACUAAUUAUGUUCCUAUCAUACUUGGAAGACCAUUCCUGGCUACAUCAAAUGCAAUCAUCAAUUGUAGGAAUGAGGUCAUGCAAUUCACAUUUGGCAACAUGAUAUCGGAGCUCUGAACAUCUUCCAUUUGUACAAGAAGCAUAUCCAUCCGGAAGAAGAAGAAGGCCUAGAGGAGGUGUGCAUGAUUGACACUUUAGUGGAGGAGCAUUGUGAUCAAAUAAUGCAGGAGGAUUUGGUUGAGAGUUUUGGGGAUUUUGAUGAAGGGUUACCAGAACCCUCAGAUUUACUUGCUACCCUGCUUCCUUGGAGGAGAAGAGAAGAAAUUCUACCCUUAUUCAAUGAGGAGGAGAUGCAAAGAGCUACUAAGGAGGAGCCCCCAAAGCUUAUUCUUAAGCCACUACCCACAGAGUUGAAGUAUGCAUACUUGGAAGAAGACAAGUAGUGCCCUGUUGUUAUAUCUUCAGCUCUUACCAUUCAUCAAGAGGAUUGUCUACUUGAAGUCCUUAGAAAAUGUAAGAAGGAAAUAGGGUGACAAAUUUCUAAUUUGAAAAGGAUCAACCCUUUAGUUUGCACCCAUCAUAUUUACAUAGAGAAUGAAGCUAAGCCAGUUUGUCAACCUCGGAGAAGGUUGAACCCUCACAUGCAAGAGGUGGUGCGAGUUGAAGUUCUUAAGCUACUUCAGGCCGGUAUUAUUUACCCCAUAUCAGAUAGCCCAUGGGUGAGUCCUACUCAAGUUGUGCCAAAGAAGUCUGGGAUCACGGUAGUGCAAAAUGAUAAGGGAGAAGAUAUCUCUACACACCUCACUACAGGAUGAAGGAUUUGUAUCAAUUACAAGAGGUUGAAUGCGGUGACAAGGAAUGACCAUUUCCCGUUGCCCUUUAUUGAUCAGAUGCUUGAAAGGGUCUCUAGACACCCUUUUUAUUGUUUCUUGGAUGACUACUCUGGGUACUUUCAGAUAGAAAUUGAUGUUGAAGACCAGGAGAAGACCAUUUUCAUGUGCCCAUUUGGCACCUAUGCAUACAGGAGAAUGCCUUUUGGCUUAUGCAAUGCACCUGCAACUUUCCAAAGAUGCAUGUUAAGCAUUUUCAGUGAUAUGGUGGAGCGUAUUAUGGAAGUCUUUAUGGAUGAUAUCACCAUAUAUGGAAGUACAUUUGAUGAAUGCUUGGUCAACUUAGAAGUUGUUCUAAACUGAUGCAUUGAGAAAGACUUAGUGCUUAACUGGGAGAAAUGUCAUUUCAUGGUACAACUAGGGAUUUUCAUUGGGCACAUCAUCUCCAAGCAAGGCAUUGAAGUUGACAAAGCAAAGGUUGAACUCAUUGUUAAGUUGCCAUCCCCAACAAAUGUCAAAGGAGUAAGGCAAUUCCUUGGCCAUGCCGAGUUUUAUAGGAGAUUUAUCAAGGAUUUCUCUAAGCUUUCAAGGCCUCUUUGUGAACUAUUGGUCAAGGAUGCUAAAUUUAUAUAGGAUGAUAGAUGCCAAAGGAGUUUUGAAGAAUUGAAGCUAUUUCUAACAACCGCACCAAUAGUGAGGGCUCCCAACUGGCAACUGCCCUUUGAGGUAAUGUGUGAUGCCAUUGACUUUGCUAUAGGAGCUAUUCUUAGGCAAAGAGAAGAUGGAAAACCCUAUGUGAUCUACUACGCGAGUAAGACAUUGAAUAAGGCACAAAGAAACUACACAACUACCGAGAAAUAAUUGUUAGCUAUAGUUUUUGCCUUGGAUAAGUUUCGUGCUUACUUGGUGGGGUCUUUCAUUGUGGUUUUCACUUAUCACUCUACUUUGAAGUAUCUGUUGACUAAGCAAGAUGCUAAAGCAAGGCUAAUUAGAUGGAUUCUCUUGCUUCAAGAGUUCAAUCUCCAGAUCAAGACAAGAAAUGAGUGGAGAAUGUGGUAGCAGACCACCUUUCAAGGCUAGCUAUCGCACAUAAUUCCCAUGGUUUGCCCAUUAAUGAUGGUUUUCCAGAGGAGUCUCUCAUGUUGGUGGAAAUUGCUCCUUGGUAUGCUCACAUUGCGAACUACCUAGUCACAGGAGAAGUUCCAAGUGAGUGGAAAACACAAGAUAAGAAGCACUUCUUUGCAAAAAUUCAUGUCUACUAUUGGGAAGAGUCAUUUCUACUCAAGUAUUGUGCGGAUCAGAUAAUAAGGAAGUACAUUCCUGAAGAAGAGCAACAGGGGAUCCUUAGGCAUUGCCAUGAAAAUGCAUGUGGAGGCCACUUUGCUUCUCAGAAGACAGCCAUGAGGGUAUUGCAAUUAGGUUUAUGUUGGCCAUCACUUUUCAAAGAUGCCCACACCAUGUGCAAGAGUUGUGAUCGAUGCCAGAGACUUGGGAAGUUGACACGCAAGAACAUGAUGCCUUUGAACCCCAUUUUGAUAGUUGAUCUUUUUUAUGUUUGGCGCAUUAACUUCAUGGGACCUUUCCCUAUGUCUUUUGGCUACUCUUACAUCUUGGUGAGAGUAGAUUACGUGUAUAAGUGGGUUGAGGCAGUCCCAUGCAAGCACAAUGACCAUAGAGUGGUUCUCAAGUUUCUCAAGGAGAACAUCUUCUCAAGAUUUGGGGUGCCCAAAGCCAUAAUUAGUGAUGGUGGUACUCAUUUUUGCAACAAGCCUUUUGAAACUCUCCUAGCCAAGUAUGGGGUGAAGCAUAAGGUAGCUACACCUUACCACCCUCAAACUAGUGGGCAAGUUGAGCUAGCAAACCAGGAGAUUAAAAACAUAUUGAUGAAGGUGGUGAACACGAACAGAAAAGAUUGGCCAGUCAAGCUCCUUGAUUCACUGUGGGCAUAUAGAACAACUUACAAGACCAUUCUCGGGAUGUCUCCUUAUCGCCUAGUCUAUGGCAAAGCAUGUCAUCUCCUUGUAGAAUUGGAAUACAAAGCUUGGUGGGCAAUCAAGAAGCUCAACAUGGAUUUGAGUAGAGCUGGGUUGAAGAGGCUCUUAAACCUCAAUGAAAUGGAGGAAUUGGGAAAUAAUGCCUACCUCAAUUCAAAAUUUGCAAAGAGAAAUUGAAGAGGUGGCAUGAUUAUUUGAUUUCUCGCAAGGAUUUUAAAAAGGGACAAAUAGUCUUGCUCUAUGACUCUAAGCUCCACAUCUUUCUGGGCAAGCUGAAAUCAAGGUGGAUAGAUCCUUUUACCAUUCACCAAGUGCAUUCAAAUGGAGUAGUGGAACUACUCAACUCCAACAACACUGGGAGCUUCAAAGUGAAUGACCACCGUCUCAAGCCCUUUGUAGAGCCUUUUUCUCGCGAGAAGGAGGAAUUCAUCGUCUUUGAUCCACAUCAAGCUUGACAAUACCAGUUUUCUUGAUGGACUUAGUCUUUCUAAAGACUAUUGAGUUCAUAUUUUUUUGUUUUAUUUUUAUUUAAGAGUUUUCCUGUAUUAUUACUUGUUUUGAUUUUGAUUUCUCGUUUUAAUUUUAUUUUAGUUUGAUUUAACUUAGGUUUUUUAUGAUCAAUUGCAGGGGGACUUCAAAGCAGUUGUCUGUGUCCUUAAAGAGGAAAAAUCAAGAUAAUUCACACACCCUACGAAAUUUUCACAGGCCAUGCCAAAUUCAUGGUUCAUUUCACAUGGGGUGCGAAAUUUCGCACAUCUUGCGAACCCAUUUCGCACACCCAGCGAAAAUAAAAACACCCUGCGAAAUCAUUUCAAACACUCUACGAAAUUUUCGCAGACUAUGUGAAAAUUUUCGUAGACCCAACACUAUUUCGCACGUUGUGCGAAACCAUUUCUCACACCCAAAGCCAUUUUGCACGCUGUGCGAAAACGAAAGGUCACCAUGCUCUCCAUUUUUAAACCCAAAGCCCCAACUUCUCCAUUUCGCAAACACCAAACACCCUACGAAUCCCUUAUUUUUCUUUGCCACCUUGCAACCUUGUCCCUCUCCAUUCGACAUCUCGCCCCGCUCAUCUCAUUUCGAAGACUCGCCCCUUCUGAGCGCAGACCCGAGGCUCAUCUUCCAUUUUCGACAUGGCACGGACCAAAAGAGCCCUUCCCAUCCCUUCACCGAGACGCACUCCAAGGUAGAAAGCCUCCUCUACUCAGGUGCAUAGUGAUUCUCCAUCUUAGGCCAUAGAGGCCCCGUAGAUUCCACCUUUCGAGGAAGGAGCAGCCACUGGUACUUCCUCUCCUGCUCUUCAGCACAGAUACGAGACGAGGAGACCACCUACUACACCAGGGGCGACUACUUCGCACCCUAAGAGUUCAGUACAGUGCUCUCAUACCAAGAGGGCCAGGACUUCAAGCCCAGGCAAGUCAUCUAGAGCUUCAUAGCCUGAACCUCCUAUAGAUUCUGAGGUUCCUUCGGACCUGUCACCGGAGUUUAUUGUCAGACGUCCGAUGCUCACAGCACCGCCCAUUGAGGGCAACUCAGAUUGCAGAGCGAGACCUUUCCACUCGGAGCUAUAUUUUGAUCAGGAGGCCAUGCGACAGCAGCUUGAGCUCCGAGACUCUUACGGCCUACUACAGAGGUACCACCUUGAGCACCUCAUGACUCCUUGUGAGUUCUUUUAUCCCAUAGUAGCACUAAACUUUUACCAGUCCAUGACUACUUGUGGCGUCUUGAGUCCUACUGCGAUUCACUUCACCAUUGAUGGACGUCAUGGUAUCCUCGAGGCUAGACAUAUUGUAGAGGCUCUUCAGAUUCCUUUCGAGCCAGUGGAUCCAUCUGCUUCCUACCAGUGGUCCCCAAUAUCUCAGAGGGACAUGGUCAGCAUUUUAUCCAAGGGGACCUCUACAGAUUCGAUCCCUCUAGGAAGGAGCUUCCACCUAGGAUACUCCUCGUAGAUGUGGUGCUACGCUCUAACCUCUUUCCCUUACAGCAUUCAAUACAAAGGCGAUGACUAUUUUGGACGCUUUAUUCCAUAUAUCAAAGGGCUUCUACUUUGGCCCGCACCACUUGAUUAUGACCUACCUCGUCCACUUUGAGGAAAAGUCCAUAGGAAGAAGCUUCAGAGGAAGGACACCAUUCCAUUACUAUUCCCGAGGUUACUAUGCCAAAUCUUGGAGUAUAUGGGCUUUCCUACUGAGCCUCGGCUCGAGCGUCGUCGCCUUUGUCGAGAGCGAUUCACUCUCGACAAAUGGAAUCAGUUGGCGGGCUAUUCUGCACCUCCAAGAGCCCCUCCCAUGGUAUCACCUCCAAUGCCCCCACAACCAGAGCAGGGCAAGCUCCUGGCAGAGACUACACCUCCAAUGCCCACACCUGAGGCUACUUCUGCUGCUCCGCUUACGACUCCUACUAUUCCACCAAUCACGCCUACUACAUCCGAGCCUUCCAUCACCAUAUCGGCUUCGGAGUUUCGCGCCUUUGUGCAUACCUUUCAAACACUCACCACCACACUUGCUGCUCUCUUCCAGCAGAUGGCUGAGAUGUGUGCCCAUCAGGACCAGCAGACUGCUAUGCUCUACCAAAUUCAACAGCACCUAGGACUUCUGCCUCCGCCUCAGCCUGAUGUUCCCGCAUCAUCAGAGCCUUUAGCUCCAGUUGAGGAUACUAUUCCACCUGAGGACACUACCACAGUAUAGGUCCGGAUUCCGCCACCUCAGGAUGCCACCACAGCUACACCAGAGAAUGCAUCAUCUCCACCUGAGGCUCCCACUACUUUAUCAUCGAACAUCUCUUUAUCUUAUUGUAUUUACAUAUUAUAUUACUAGAGAUUUGUCCUUGUUUUGAUACUUUAUAUUCUGGGAUUGGAUGUAUUACCUGAUCAUAUCUCAUAUUGUACUUUCUCAGAUAAUAUAUAUACAUCAUAUUUUUUUUUUUAUAUUUAACAUUUUUCUAUUUCCUCUACUUAUCACAAUUUUGUUUUUUGACUCAUAUGGUUUCCCCUAUACGACUCAAACUCCAUUUCAUUCAAGAGGUACCAUUUCCUCUCUUUAUUUUCACUUGCUCUUGAAACAUUAAGGGCAAUGUUGAGCUCGGUUGGGAGGAAAGUUGAGGAAGGAAGUUUUGUUAAUAAUGCUAGGUUAAUUUGUUAAUUUAGUUACUUUUUGCUUAAUUUUAAAAGUUUUUUUUACUCUACUUUCCAUGGUUAUUAAGGAAAAAUUCUCAAAAGGAAAUGGGAGAAAUCGAAUUCUUACCUUUUUACUUGAAUCUUAGAGUUUGUAUUAUGCUUAUUGAAGUUGAUGAAUUAUUAAAACUCCUAUGGAAUUCAACCUUAUUUCUUCCACUUUAAUCUUAUCACAGACUGUGCACAUUAGGUUCCGAUUAUAAGACGAAAAACUAUCUCACCCCCUAAACUUAGGAAAAUUUCGACUUGGUACCUUUGACUUUGUUUUAAUAGUGUUGGGACACCUUAUAAAAGGCCAAUGAGCCUUUGAAAAAAAAAAAAAAAAAGAACAAAGUGUUUCACUUGCCUUGAAACCCGAGCAAGGUCCGAGGGGUAUACGGCGAAAGUCUUUAAAACCUAGUGCCCUAAGCCUUUAUUGGUUGGGAGUCACCGACCUCAAUGCUCGUUAAAAGGGUGAAUAGGUGGAGUUUAACAUAUUGUAGGUGCUUGGGUAUUGAAUUUCAAUCUCAAAAGUCUGGGGUAAAAUCUGAGAAGUUAGUGGUCGAAAGAUCCUUAAAGCUUGAUGCCCUAAACCUUUAUUGGUUGGGAGUCAUCGAUGGAUCCCUGUUACAUGGACAUUUUAAAAAACAAUACCUUUAGCAUUGCACUCCUACAAUGAAAAAAAAUUGUGGAAAUAAAAGAAGUGUGUUCUUAGCCUAUUGGAGGUUGGUUAGUUUGCUAAGGUUUGAGAAAGAACUAGGCUGGGGGGAGAGAAUAGUUCGACAUACUAUAAUCGAAAGCUAUUAAGCUUAACACUUAGAUUUUUGUGAAAAAAAUAAGGUUUGGAUCUUUGGGAGUGAAAAUUCUUUUGUUGCUUAAAUGUUCAUAAUGCCCACUUUUUAUAAAUUGUGAUUAAGCAAGGUAUUUGAUGACUCUUGUUGAAGGUUGGGUUUUGCCUCUUUGAUGUUCCAUGAGAGAGUAUAAUCUGCAUCAUGCCACUUGAAAUUUUUUUGGAGUGAUUAGCAUGAUUUUGUAAAUUAUUUUACUGUUCAUGUUUCUUUAUCUCUCCUUCAUUGCUAAGGGACUAGCAAUAUGUCGGUUAGGGGGAGUGAUUACUACUCACUAAGUACUCUUUUAUAGCUUGAAACUAACUAUUUUAAACACUUUUGAGUAGUAGCUAAUAACUUUUAACUCAAUUGGCACAUUAAGGAACCUAGCAAGGGUUACUAAUAAGUUUUUGGCAAGUUUUGGUGUUUUUGGUAGCUAUUUGAUCAUUGAAACAAGCCAAGAAUGAGGGAGAAUUUUGUGAAAUCCAUGGUAAUGUAAGCUAAAGUUCAAAUACAUGAAGAAUCCAAACUUUGGAGCACUUCAUAGCCCUUUGCCAAGCCAAUCAGAGAUGCAAAGAAGAAAACCAGAGGAAGAAAUCCAACAACCAGCAUUUUCGCAUUGCUGUGCGAAAUUUCGCACACCAUGUGAAACCGCUUGAAGCAGCCAAAGAAUUUCGCAUACCAUGUGAAAUUUCGCAUGGUGUGCGAAAUCUUCCUGUGCAUCGACUCCGUUAGAUUUUUAUCUCUAGAUAUUUUGUGUAAUUUCCUAUUUUCUCCUUGUAAUCAACUUAGAUAUUUUCAUAUAUAUAUAUUUUUUAUAUAUUUGGUGUGUGUAACAUCUUUUGAUAUAGACACACAAGAAUGUAAUCAAAAAGAGGUUGUAAAAUUCCCCAUAGUAAGAAAUAUACGGAGCUUUUGUUCUACCUUUCCUUCUCACUUUGUUUUCACUCUUCUUUCUAACCAAAGAACCUCUGAGGAUGAUUUCUCAGGGGAUGAGUGGCUAGGUUUUACGUUUCUUGGAGUGAUGGAAGCUAGGUAAAGGACCCGAAUGCAAAGAUGAGAGUUGUCCUUGCUUUAAAUGAAAGUAGUUGUUAACCAUUAAUGGUUUUUAUUUCAAGGUUUAGCUUUAAAUCCCUUAAAAUCACCUUGAAUGUCCAAUACUUGGUAAGCUUUUCGGAUUCUAUGGAUGCUUAUUGCUAGAUCCAUGGAUGUCUAUUAGUUAUCAUUUACGAGCCAUUGGAAUGUGGUUCAAGGUGAGGGUCUUUAGUGUUUGAAGCCAUUAAUGGGAAGCAACUAUCAUUUUCCAUGAACCCUUCGAAUCAAAUCUUAAUUGCUAAAUAUAAAACCGGUUCGGGAGAUAACCAUCCUUUAUGUUAUUGUCCCCAACGUGAGGAGAAGAUCCGAAAUCUCCUCUUUUGUCUAAGGAACCCGAUCCUAGUGACCUAAAGCUCUAAGAGACCUUUUCUCAGUAGUUAACUUCACUUAUUAUUUUUUCUUAACUUAAAAUCAAUCUUUGCAACCACAAUUCCAUUUUCUUUAAAAGCUAAUUUUCAUAAGGAAAAACACCAUUUUAUUUCUUUCACUAAAGUCAAUUGUACGAUGAAACCCCAUCCUUGUGGACGAUCCUAGAGCCACUAUACUAUGUUAGCUAUGCUACCCUAGUGUGAGGUGAUUUAGGUUUUAUAAAUUUUGUUGAUAACACCCGUCUGAGUCAGAAUCAAAUGGCAUGACUGCAAUGGGGACGAAUCAACUAUGCAAUGAAUCUUAAAACAUAUAUUUUUAUUUUUAUUAAAUAACUCACUACAUAACAAUAUGUCAACAAUUCAAUCUCAGUUUUUCAGUAUAGUUAUAUAAAAACGGAGUUUUGCUUUGAAUAGAAACACAUAAACUCAACUUAUGUUAAGUUAAACCUGACAAAUAGCAAAAAUUGUUAUUCAAUGCAACAAUGCAACACUUCCCAUAAAUCAAAUAUCCAAACGAACAAUAUAUAACUACAAUGGGUAUUAAUCAUACGAGCAAUACUAAAACCGUAAUAAUUCUCUAUGCAUGUGAUUUAUUGCUUACCAUCAUAGGACCUUGCCAUAUGGAUAAAUCUUUUCAACUUCUUUUGAACAAACUUUUCACUUUUUUAGAACUAACAAUGGAGUCUCUAUUUUUUACCUACAAUGUUGAAGUGAGAUUUUGAAUUUUCAAGAAACAAAAAGAAAUAAAAUGAUAAUAUAAAAAAUAAAUUGUUGGUUGCUUACAUUUUUUUCACAUUUUCGUGACCAAGAAUGAAGAAUAGAUGAAACAAAGGUAAGAAGUUAAACUUGUUCUCUGCAAGAACAUAAUCUGCUAUAAAACAAAGGGAAAGGGAAAGUUGUCUUAAAGAGAAAAAUAAGGGGUAUUUUUGUCUCAACCAGGUCAACUUUUUUGCUUUUUGACUGGUGGGUUAUAUUUGCAAAUAUGGGGGGGGGUUGGGUUAUUUUGACCCCUUUAACCAAAUAACCCAUUAAUUUUUAUUUUACUAUUUUAUAGAUAAUAAUAAAAUAUUUUUUAAUAAAAUAAGUUAUAAAAAAAUAUAAUAAUUUAAUUAUUUAUAAAAUAUAUUUAUUUUAAUGUAAUUAAAAAAAUAUAAAAGUAAUUUAAAAAAAAAAAAAAAGUUGAACAGGGCGGGGCGAGACGAGUAUGGGAAUUUCUCAUACCUACCCUGUCCUACCUCGCCCUGUUUAAUUUUUAAAAUGAGACAAGGAUGAGAAUUAUUUUAAAUAAAUGGAAUGAGAUUGAGAUGGGGGCAACCUGUCCCAAACCCGCCUCAUUGUCAUCCCUAAUCAUUUAUGAAACUCUCUUGUCAUUAUUGCACCACAUUUCACAUGCCUAGCACAAUUCUUCCUUAUUUUAAUCGUUGUUUGGAUUUUUCAUUGCUUUUUAAACUCUUUUAUAAAUAAUUGAAAAUUGGCAUUAUUUUCUAUUUUUAAAUUAUAAAUAAACAAAAAUUACAUUAAUGAUUCAAAAUCUAUUUUGAAAAAUACUUUCUAAAAAAUAUGUUAUUUAAAUGAAUAAAAACUAUCUUUUACAAUUUAGAAGUAAAUAAUUUAAUGAUUAAAAUACUAUUUAAAAUAAACAUAUUCAUUGUUUUCUUUUCUUUUAUACUAAAAAGCAUUUAAAGGUUUAAUUUUUUUUUAAUAUUCCCAAAAUAAAAAGUUUAAAUUUUCUUUUAAUUUCUUCUUUCCUUGUUUUAAUAACUUUCUGAACAAAACUUCUAACGAUAACAUAUAUGAAAUGUUACGAAUUUGUCUAGUAAGGAAUUUUUUUUAAUGAUUUGAAUUAAUUGAAAAUUUAUCAAAAUAAGAAAAAAAAAAAAGGAUAGAGAGUUUUUAAUUUAAAAAUUCAACUAAAAUGUUUUCGUAUAACCUAAUUUUAGAAGUGGUUUGUGUCAGUACAUAGUAUAGUAAAGAUUGAAUUUUUCUUUUAUAAAAGAGUUGAAUGAUAUAAUUGCUCAUUUUAGAUUAAAACAAGUAGUACAAAAUUAUCUACACUAUGUUUGAGUUUGGUUUGAAAACAUUUUUCUAGUUUUUAUUUUUUUAUUUUUAAAAAAAAUAAAUUUUAUUUUCUAUAUUUUCUCUUUUCGAAAAUACAUUUCAGUGAAAAAAUAAAAACUAAUUUUAAAAAUGAAAAUUGAAAACCUAGUUUUGUACUAUUUUUUUUUUUUGUAUAAAAAUAAAAAAAAUUCAUUUAUUGAUUAUCCUUUUUAGUUUUUUUCAUUAGUUAUUUUAAUAAUAAACUAAAAAAAUAUAGUGUGUUUACAAUUAAACAAAGGAAUUGGUCAAUUGUGUGUGUUUUUGUAUUACUAUCUUUUACAUAAAAAAAUAAUGAAAUAACUAAAUUAUAUAUAUUUAUUACUCUUUUUAAUUUUAUUUUCUAUAUUAGUUCUUUUUUUGUGUAAUAUAAAAUUUUAAUAUAUCCAUAAUUAACAAAGUAAUGGAUUAAUUGUACACAUUUGGACCCAUUAAAAUAAAUUACUUUAUAAUUUAAAUAAAUAAAAUAAGAUAAAUUUGGAGUUAUUUCUAUUUGCUAACAUAUCUUACAUUUAUAUUUUUUAUGGUUAAAUAAAUUUUUUAUUCUUUUUUUUUUUUACUUCCAAAAAUAAAAUGAAAUAAAUAAAUGAAUUUGGGCUUAUUUCUCUUUUCUAACAUAUCUUAUAUUUAUAUUUUUUAUGGUUAAAUAAAAUUUUUAUUUUUUUCUUUAUUUCCUAAAAUAAAAUGAAAUAAAUAAAUAAAUUUGGGCUUAUUUCUAUUUUCUAACAUAUCUUAUAUUUAUAUUUUUUUUAUGAAUAAAUAAAUUUUUUUAUUCUUUUGUUCUAUAUUUCUAAAAAUAAAAUGAAAUAAAAAAAAUUGGUGAGAUAAUAGUUUUUAAAUAAUUUCUGCCUUAUUUUUAAUUACAUUUUGCAUUGAAAAUAAAAUAAAAGUGUUUUAUUUGUUUUACUUAUGUAAAAUGUCAAACCAUUGAAAACAUAGUUCAUAAACCCAUAUGGACAUAGUUUAUGCAUGUAUAUGCAAUUUAUAUCAUUGUACAAGGGUGUUAUACUAAUUAUAUAAAGCAAAUACGCUAAUUGCACAAGGGAUGUACAAGGCUACCCUUUGUAAAGGAUUUCAAUUGAUUUUGAAUAACUUUUUUUUUUUUUUUUCUGAUCAUCCAGGGACUACACCCUCUCCAACCCAUGGACGAAAAUGUUGGGAUAUAUCGACGAUAUAUCAUGUAUCAGAGGCUGACAACACGAUUGUGGAGAAAAAUCGGAUGGGGGAAAAUUCGGCAAAAUAUCGUCAAUAUAUCACUAAUUUAUCGACGCAAGGCAAUAAAUCAUCGAUUUUUUCAAUAAAUCGGCUGUAACGGGAGAAAAUCACUGAUAAAUCGUAGAUUUUUUGGCGAUUUUUUUUCUCCUCUCUAGCGUGAUCAGACAACACAAAUCACGUCUGCGUUAAUCUAACAACCCAAAUCACGCCCGCCAUGUUUGCCUACAAUGGUCAUCCAUCCAAUGCCCCAGAUUCAAUCUGGGUUUGAUCCAACGGCUAGGAUGAGAUUCGAAUAGUAAAAUCAUGAUCCAACGGUUAGAUUUCGCCCAGAUUUUGAUCCAACGACCAAACUUGUUUUUCAAUGGUAAAAUCAUCUUCCAACGGCUAUUUUGGCCCAAAUUUUUCCUAUAAAUAUCCCAUUUUGCAUCCAUUUCAUCCACCUCUGAUUUCAUUCUUCCUUUGCUCCCUCAUUACUCCAAAUUUUUCUAAGGUUACUCAAUUGUUCAAUUAUUUUAAGGUAUGCUUGUUUUAAAUUGUAAUUAAUUUUGUUUUCAAUUGUAAUUAAUUCAUGUAUUUUCAAUUAAUUGGUAUAUUUGCAAUAUGGAUAAUUUAAUGUUAUUUUUACAUUCAAUUGUAAUUAAUUUGUAUAUUUUUAUUGGAUUAAAUUAGGUUAAUUUGAUUAUUUAAUUAUAAAUGGAUAUGUUUAUUUUAGAUGAUUAUUUAAUUUUAUUUUCACAUUCAAUCUAGUUAGAAUUAGAUUCAACUAGUUAACUUAGCUUAAUUAUUUAAUUAAUCUAAUUAACAUGAACUAGUAUAUUUGAAAUAUCAAAUAUGUUCAUUUUUUAUGAUUAUUGUGAUUUAUUUUCACAUUCAAUUAUAGUUAAUUUCUAUAUUUAGUAAAUUUUUUCAUAGAAUUAAAUUUAGAUUCAAAAAAUUAACUUAUCUUAACUAUUUAAUUAAUUUAAUUAACAUGAGCUAGUAUAUUUGGACUAUCAAAUAUGUUCAUUUUUUAUGAUUACUGUAUUUAUUUUCACAUUCAAUUAUAGUUAGGUUUUAUAUUUAGUAAAUUUUUCAUAGAAUUAGAUUUAGAUUCAAAAAAUUAACUUAGGUUAAUUAUUUAAUUAAUUUAAUUAACAUGAACUAGUAUAUUUGGAAUAUCAAAUAUAUUCAUUUUUUAUGAUUAUUGUAUUUAUUUUCACAUUCAAUUAUAGUUAGUUUCUAUAUUUAGUAAAAUUUUCAUAUAAUUACAUUUAAAUUCAAAAAAUUAACUUAGCUUAAUUAUUUCAUUAAUUUAAUUAACAUGAACUAGUAUAUUUGAAAUAUCAAAUAUAUUCAUUUUUUAUGAUUAUUGUGAUUUAUUUUCACAUUCAAUUAUAGUUAAUUCCUAUAUUUAGUAAAGUUUUCAUAGAAUUAGAUUUAGAUUCAAAAAAUUAACUUAGCUAAUGAUUAUGUAAUUUUAUUUUCACAUUCAAUUAUAAUUAAUUAGUAUAUUUUGUAGAUUUCUCAUGGAUUUAAAUUUAGUAAACUAACUUAGCUAAAUUAUUUAAUUAAUUUAGCUAUUAGCAUAAAUUAGUAUAUUUUGAAUAUGCUCAUUUUACAUGAUUAUUUAAUUUUCUUUUCACAUUCCAUUGCAACAUGUUAAAUUUAAAUGUUUACUUAAUUUUUGUUUACAUUGAAAUCACUUUCAAGUAUAUUUUUUUUGCAAUAGAUUUAGCAUGGCUAGUGGAGGUGGUUCUCCCAUGCCAAGGCGAGAUCCAGCUUAGAAGUAUUGUUCACUAGUUGAAGGGAACAUAAAUGAGACAAUUUGUAAUUUAUGUGGGUUGUUGAUGACAAGUGGAGGCAUCAUGCAAUUUAAGUUCCAUUUAACGUAUAAUGACCCACAUAACAACACCAAAAAGUGUCCGAGAGUGCCUCCCAAAGUGAAAGAAGAGAUAAGAUUGAUGGUGCAUGACAAAAAUAAAGCAAAAGUAAAGAAAACUGCAGAUAUUCAAGAGAUUCAUGCUCAAUUACGUGGCACAAUGUGGACUAGUGAUACACAUUUGAUAGACGAAGAUGAUGAUGAUGAAGAUGUUGAAGAUGGAUUUGUGUAUAUCUAUUUGACAAAUAUGCACCCAAAUAAGCGGGAUGCAUAUCAAUUUGUAGUGUGUACCUCGAAAGCGACAUAAUGGGAAUGUCAAUAAUAUGAGAAUAUUGUAGGAAGCAAAUGUAAAAUGGGGAAGUCUUCACAGUCUACUGGUACACCAACGACGAUGCAAAAAUCACAAAGUAUGCGACAUUCGAACCAAUCACCCCCUAUUGCCCUUUCGCUCUACAAGUCUUCUACAGACAAAAAAAAUAUUAAAUAUAUAUUGAAGGGUGGUUCAAUUCAAGAAACGAUGGGAUGCUUAAUUAGCAAAUUCUUCAUUUAUGAGAGUGUCACACCCCAAAAAGCAAAGUAUCAUCACUUCAAGAAUAUCAUAAUUGGUGCACAACAAGUAGGGAAUUACUAAUUUUUGAAUUGUUAUAUUGUUUUAGACUUUUAGUAAGUAUAAUGUUUUGUGACAUGUUUUAAAUAUUUGUUACAUAUGAAUUGCAGGAAUGGGAAUCGAACUUUCAUCUCCAUACGAAAUAAAGAACAAGAACUUGGGAAUGGAGUAGAAAGAAAUGGAAGCUUAUGUGAACCAACAAAGAGAAAAAUGGAAGACAUAUGGGUGCACAAUAAUGUCAGAUGGAUAGACAGGGCCCAUACAAUUAAGUAUUAUUAAUUUCAUAGUUUAUUCAAAAUGGACCACGGUGUUCCUUAAGUCAAUCGAUGCAUCGAACAAUAUCAAAGACCACAAGUAUAUAUAUGAGCUAUUGAGGACUAUUAUAAAAAAAGUCGGUCAAGAAAUGGUGAUCCAAAUUGUCACAGAUAACGGGUUGGCGUUCGUGAAAGCAGGGAAACUAUUGAUGAAGAAGUUUAACUUAUAUUGGAAUUUGUGUGCGGCGCACUGCAUCGACUUACUCUUUAAAGACAUUGGUAAAAACCCUAGUAUUACAGAUAUGAUAAACAAUGCUCGCAAGAUAACCAACUUCAUUUACAACCAUGGUUGGUUACUUGCACAGAUGAGAAAGUAUUGUGGUGGAGACAUUGUUCAACUAGGAGUUACAAGGUUUGCUACUAAUUAUAUUGCUAUUGAUAGUCUUCUUAAAAAAAAAAAAAUUGUUUAUGAGUGAUGAAUGGGCACAACACAAGCUCAGUUGGACAAAAACUAGAUGAGAUUUGGAACAAUUAUUGUUUGACCAUGCGUAUUGGGACAAAGUGGCAAAAAUAGUUUCAUUAUAUGAGCCAUUAUACGUGGUGCUUCAACUUAUGAAUUCUGAAGUUGUUCCCACAAUGUCAUUUGUGUACGAGCUUAUGCUCGUGAUGAAAAAGAACCUUAUUCAUCAAGGAGCUAGAGAUUGGAUCUUCAAAAUAAUAAAAGAUCGUUGGAAGAAAACAUUAAAACAUCCACUUCAUGCAACAAGUACUUAAGUACUAUCUAUCUUUAUAAGUUUUUACUAUGUAUUUAAUUUUCUCUAACAAAAUACUAAAUCUACUUAAUUUUAUUGUAUCAUACUUCUUAAAUCCAAGAUUUCAAUAUAGGUGUGGAGUUGGUAGUAAUCCAAAACUACUGCAAGUGGUCCAUAAUGUUUUUGUAAAAUUAGACCCAACUACUGAAUCGCUUGGUCAAAUGAGGUAAAUAAAAAAUUGUUAUUUUUGUCAAUAAAACAAUAAUUUUAUUCAUCAAUUUAUUUGAACAUUUACUAAAAAAAUAUGAUAUUAACAAAUUAAAUGUUGAAUGCAUAGCUUGUAUUUUUUCAAGAUGCAAAAAGAGGAUUGGGUGAUCAAGCGGCGAUUGCACCAAGGUCAACCAUGGUGUCCGGUGAGUAUUUAUUAGAAAAAAUUGAUUAUCAUUAUUUUCAAUUCACCAUAAGUAUUUAUAUAAUUAUCAAAUUGGUUGCAACUAAAUGGUGGUUCAUGUAUGGGAAUCAAACUCCUACAUUGAGAAAGUUAACCAUCAAAGUUCUCUCACAAAUUGCGUCAUCUUUUGCCUGUGAGAAAUAUUGAAGCACAUUUGCUCUCAUCCACACAAAGCAACGAAAUCGUUUGGCUUACCCUCAACUGGAGUAAUUAGUUUUUUGUUACUAUAAUAUGAGGCUAAAGUUACGCAAUAUGGAGACAAAAAAUGAUUGAGUUGCUGAAAAAGAUUACCUUAAUCUUCUUGACAUUUCAACCGAGAUGGGUGAAGAAGAAGAUAAUCAGUUGUUCCAAUGGGUUAGGCCUAUACACUUGGAUGAUGAAGUUGGAAAUCUUGAUCCACAAAUUGCUGCUCAUGGUCAAGAAUUUGGAGUUAAUGUUGAACGUGUGUUGUCCGAUCAAGUUUACUCUAAAAUUUUUAGCAAAGAUACUGAUGAUUCAUUUUAGGCUGCAUUGAAUUCCCACCAAGAGGUUGACUCCACAAGUGUUGGCCAUAGUAGUAGACCUAGUGCUGUAGGUACUUCUGCUUCUGGUUACGAUGGUUCAAGAGGUGGUUCUGAUGAUGGAGGUGAUAAUGCGAGAUGAGAUAUUUGGGAACGUCAACAAAGUCAAUACCCAAUCAGCCAAUUUACAUGUGAAAAUGAUUUUACAUACUGGACACAAAAUGAAGACCAUGACUCUAGAAGAGCUGGUUUAGGCAUAAGAGCUAUUGGGAAGCCCUAUAGAGGAAGAGAACGAACAAUGGAACCAUAUAACGAGGAGUCACUUUCAGGGAGUUAUGAAUCUAUGAGUAUUGGGACUCAAUUUAAUGACUUCUCAAAUGAGGCUAACGUUUACCUUCCUCAUGUGAUGAGUUAUGGUCAACCUUCAAGUUCAACCGAUGAAGAGUAUGGUAUGUCACAUUGCUCCCCUUCCACACAAAUUUCAUACCAAGUUCCAUAUCAAAUGGAAUGAGGAUUUAACAUUAACACAUGGGUGAACCUUGAGUAUCCUAUCCAUGUAGAGGCAUUGGGCAAGACUCAAGAGAUAUAUGCAUGACAUGUUAGAAUUUUUAACCAAUAUUAUCGAGGCUCAUUGAGUUGGUACCAAUAUUGUCUCCAACAGCAAGAUGAGUUUCCUUCAUCUACCAAUUCCAUUGAACCACAUCGAUCCUCAUUUUGGUACUAAAGGGACAUUGCAAUGUAAUGUGUAAAAAUUAUUGAUAUUUAACUAAAUGAAGUAUUUUAUGUGACUUCAUAAUGAGUGUACAAUUACAAACUUAACAUUUCUUAUAGAUCGACAUAAUAUAAUUACAUCUAAUAUCGCAAAUUAUAUCAUACAUAUAUCAAAUUCUUCAAUAAAAUAACUUUAUAAUGUCUAUUAUACUUCUAAUUAUAUUGUUAUAAGGUUUUUCUUGCAUUUCCAUGAGUUUUUAGCAAUUUUAGGCAUACCAAUUUUUUUUCCAAAAUAUCCGUCGAUAUAUCUAUAAAAUCGAAGUACCGAUAUAUCCAUGAUUACCAAUAUUUUUAUCCUUACUCCUACCACGCAUUCUUCCAUCAUGUACUCAUCUCAUGUAUUUUAUUUAACUCACAUAUGGCAACUCGAAUACUUACCCCAAUAAUGAUGUUUGGGGAAAAUUUUUGUUUUUACGUCUUAUAAUCUUUUCUAAACCAAACCAUUAGAAACAUAGUUCACACAUCCUAUGUGGGCACAUAAUGUAUGUAUGUGGAUUGAAUUUGCACCAUUAUACAAGGAUGUUAUACUAACUAUACAAGACAAAUGUACUAACUAUACAAAGAGUACACAAGGCUACCCUUUGUGAAGAAUUUCAAUCAAUUUUGAUUAACUUUUUUUUUAAUCAUUCAAUGAUUGUGCACUCUCAUUCCUCCAUCACACACUUAUCUCAUGCAUUUUAUUUGACUCACAUAUAACAAUUCAAAUACUUAUCCCAAUAAUGAUGUUUGGGGAAAAUUUUUUGUUUUUACGUCUUCCAUCAUUUUUUAAAUCAAACCAUUGGAAACACGAUUCACAAAUCUUAUGUGGACACAUAAUUUAUGCAUGUGUAUAGAAUUGACAUCAUUGUACAAGGGUGUUAUACUAAUUGUACAAGACAAAUGUACUAAUUAUACAAAUGGUGUACAAGGCUACCAUUUGUGGAAGAUUUCAUUCGAUUUUGAGCAACUUUUUUUUUUCUUGUCAUUUAAGGAUUGCACACUCUCAUGACACAUAGUCAUCUCUUGCACUUUAUUUAAUUCACACAUGACAAUUCGAAUACUUACCCCACUAAUAAUGUUUGAAGAGAAAAAAAAAAUGUCUUCCACCAUUUUAUAAACCAAACCAAUGGAAACAUGGUUAACCUACCUAUUGGCACACAUCAAGUAAGGGGUAUAUGGAAUUUGCACUAUUGUACAAGGUAUUUACACUAAGUGUACAACGUAAAUAUACUAACUGUACAAGGGGUGUACAAGGCUAUCAUUUGUAAAGGAUUUCAACUGAUUUUAAAAAACUCACUUGCUUAUUUCCCUCGGCCAAGGAUGGAGGAUAUUCUUCACACACAUUGGUUAAUCAUACAUUCAUCUCAUGCACUUUAUUUAACACGUAUAUUGUCAUUUGAAUACCUACCCCACUAAUGAUGAUCGUGAAACAAAAUUGUACAACAAUUUUUCCCUUAUUUAAAAUUAAACCAAUGCAAACAUGAUUAACUAAUCUAGGGGUAGAUAUUCACAAGGCAAUGCAUGGAAUCUAAGUCAUUAUACAAGGGUACAUGCAAGGAGGAAAAUGUCGUUCGACACAAUAUUUCAUGGAGAAAUAUCGGUCCGACGAUAUCUCGCAAUAUAUCAGUGAUUUUCCUCGAUAUAUCGCAUGGUCAACAUGGGUCAACGAAGUCAAACGCACUACAGUGAAGUCAAAUGUGUUACAGUGCCCCUCCCCUUUUGCUUGAAAUUGCUUCUGAGGGGAUUUGAACCCUAAACCUUUUGGUUUGGGGUUCACUCCACUUGCCAUCUGGGCUAACUUGCCCUUGUAAUAUAAAGUGCACCAAACAUAUAUAUACUUAAACUCAUUAUAUAAAGAAAAUAUUAAAAGAAUAUUUUAAAGAGCAAAUUAAUUAUAAUUAUUUUAUAAUUAAAUGCAAAAUUUUCUUUUAAUUAAUUACCAAAAAUAUAAAAAUUAUAUAAUUUUCUUCAUAAUGUUUUGAAUAUCAUUAAUAAUUAAUUAAAAAUUAAAAAAUUAUAUAUAUAUAUAUAUAUAUAUAUAUAUAUAUAUAUAUAUCAUAAUUUAUUUUAUAUUGUUUAAUACAAUUGAAUUAAAUGGAUCAUAUUUUAAUAUUAAUAUAUAUUUUAAAAUUAGACAUAUUAUAAUCAAAUAUCAUAAUAUUAUAUAUAAUUUAAUAAUAAAUGUACACUUAUAAAAUUCAUAUUUUUAUCGAUGCAUACAAUAGUAUUAUCAAAUAUGAUAAAUCAUGUUAUACACAUAUCAAAAUUUUCAAUAAAAUAACUUUAAAAUGUCUAUUAUACUUCUAAUUAUAUUAUUUUGAGGUUUUCCUUACAUUUUCAUGAGUUUUUAACAAUUUUAAGUUUACCGAUAUUUUUUUCCAAAAUAUCCGUAAAAUCAAAGUACCGAUAUAUCCGUGAUUACCGAUAUUUUUAUCCUUGGGUACAUGUUACACUAACUAUACAAAACAAAUUUACUAAUUGUACAAGAGGUAUACAAGACUAUUUUUUGUUAAGGAUUUCAAAUGAUUUUAAAAAACUCUCCUGUUUUUUUCUUGUCACCCAAGGAGUACUAUACAAUCUCUCCACUCAAAUUCCCUCACCUAAGAAUUGUUUUGACUCUUAUUUUUAAAUUUCAUUAUCAAAAUUUUGUAAUUAUAUAUUUUGUUUUUAUAGUUUUAGCAAUAUUCUUUCUUUCCACUCCUUUUUUGUGAAAUUUUAUCCAAAUGAAUCUAUAUUUAAAAUUAUAAUCAUAUUUAUCAUUUGUUUUUACUUAGAUUAUCUUAAAUUCUUUUAAUAUAUUUAUACUCAUUUAUUUAAAAAAUGAAAAACUAAUUUUCUUUAAACAUGUUCUAUUACCUUUCAAAUAAAAAAUUAAAUAAGUUGGAAAGUCAAUAAAAGAAAAAUUAAAUACCACUUUCAAUAAUUUUUAAAUAAGAUUUUAUAUAACACAUUUUAUUUGAAAUUUCAUUUCCAAAGUUUCAUUAAAAAAAUUUGUGUUGACAAUUUUCUUGCUAUUAGUUAAAAUACUUUGCAAUAGUUUAUUUAGAUAAGAAAAAAUAUUAAUAUAAUAUUAAAACUUUAUAUUUUAGUUAUUUUCAAUAAAUUUAUCUUUUAAAAUUUUUUAAAAUUAAACAAAUUUAAAUUUUAAAAACUAAAGGGAAAUAUUAAAAAAAAAAAAUUAAGAGUGAAGUGAUAGUCAAUUAAAGAGGAAUAGAAGAGGAAAACGUGUAUCCACUUGCAAUGCUUAAUUGGAAUUGGAAGAAGAGUUUGAAUUUAGAAAGGGGCAAUUGUAGAGGAAAAUAUAAAAUCAUAAACUAAUAGCAAUUAAUACAAUUGUCAAUGAUAUAAUAAUUGAAUGAAAAUGGGAAUAUAAUUAUGAAAGAUUGUUAUAAAAUAUAAAUGUAGAUUGGAAAAAAAAAACUAUAAAAAGAAAACAAAAAACAAAACAAAAAGGCAUAAAUGGAUAAUGGGGAAUAGAAAAGGAAAAAGAAAAUACAAAGAAAUAGAAAUUCACACUCACUAUGUGUAGGGAUUAAUGAAGGAUAAUAUUUUUCAACUUAAUUUUUAUACUUUAUUUGGAUCUUAAGUUUAAAUGUGGGUGAUAAGAGGAUGUUGGACCAAUUUUCAGAUCCAUUUAACUUAAAGCCUAAUUCUCCAUAGCUUUUGAAAAUUUAAUUAAAAUAUUUUAAAAAAUGAUUGAUUCAAUUUCUUUUAUAUUUAAAUAGUUGAAUGUACAAGGUUUUCUACAUUUUUGUUAUGAAAGUCAUUUUAUUAUAUAAAAUUAAUCGCCAAAUUUAGAUUUGUCUUACAUAAUUAUAAUGUAGAAAAUGCUACUUAUCUUUACUUAUUUCAUAAUUUAUUUUUCCCCAUAUUGUUAUGGAAUAAAUUAGUGAAUGCCAAUAAUUCUUUUUUGUAUUAAUAAUGUAAGUUAAUUAAGUUACAAAAUAUUAUAAGAACAUACUUGCCUAAACAAAUAUCAUAAUUAAAAGUUUUUUUUUUUUUUUUUUUUUUGCAAUACUAUGAGCUUUGGGCCCAAAAAUUAUAAAUAACAGUUCACUAGCUAGAAAGAUAUAUAUCCUGCUUAAAAGUGAUGUGGCAUUAUAAAUACAAAUUUUGUGGCUAAUUUUUUUUUUUUUAAAUAUACAUUUACUACAAAUGUAUGUGAUUGUUAAAUGUCAUCCAUUUGCUAUGAACAAUAAUUUUUCACUGAAAAAUUGUUUUGCUAUGAAAUAAACUGUCAUUGCAAAAAGCCACUUCUUACCAUAAAAAUAUCUUCAUAGCUAAAAGCGUAACGGAAAAUGGAGAAAUUUGUUGCAGUGAAUUUUCCAAAAGCUUGCCGGAUCAGUUUAAUCCAAGAUCGUAUUGAAAAGGAUGAUCGAAGUGAACUGAAUUAGUCAACGGUUCAUGGCAGGACUAGGACAGGGCGGUCCGGUUUUCAAACCACCCGCAGAUAUGACGCAUAAUAUUGUUUUAGAAUCUAAAUUAGUCAACGGUUCCUACAUUUUUUACAGGACAUAGAUGUAAAAUUCACGAAUUUAAUGCUGCCUGACACAACAGGUCAACUUCCUGUGUCUUAUCUGCAUCCAAAAAAAUCAACAUUUUUAAAGAGUGUCCUUACACUAGCUACGUGGUGGACAUUGCUUCCCCACACGCAAGAUCUUCGCCAAUGAGGGGAAUGCAAGGACCGAAUUCAUUUUCAUGGUUAUUCUUUAGUGCCGAUAAACCACUAAUUCUGAAGGAUGUAAUUUUUUGUGAGAAUAAAUACUUUAUAUUUUAAAAAUUAUCAUUUUCAACUCAAGGGUUGCCACGUAUCAUCAUAAACCUAUUAAAUUCCACACGCCCGAGAUCACCAUGUGAAUGCAAUACUGCCAACUGCCACCCAACACAUGGUUGUCAUGGCUGCACUAUUGAAUAUUUCAACUAUAUGCUACAGGCGAUGAAUAGCGACAUGGAGUUCAACAAGAAAACCCGUGUCUCGUGACUUUACUAAUACUGGGUCAAAAGCAAACGCAGGAAGUAAGCUAAAAUGUGUGUUUUCGUGGAAGAAUAUUUAGAAGGAUACAUUCUUAUCAUGAUUUCAUCAUUAUAAGUUAGGUUUUCUUAUAUAAUUAAUAUUUUAAGAGAUUCAAUCUUUUGAUCGCCUCAACUCGCCCAAGAAGUGUCGGCUGGGUUUUGUUUUCACUACUAUGCAUCUGGGUCUUGUUACAGUGCCUUCGGUUCUAGGCUUCUAAUUCUUACUUUUUCAAAUUCUAGACCCAAUAAAUGAACUGUAUUCUGCAUUAUUGUGAAUCACCAAGCUUCCCAAAAGUAGCUCAAAGAUGAGAAACGACCCUGCCCAACUGGGGUUCUUCCUCUUUUUUCUCUCCCUAUGGAGACUCUUUAUAGAAAUGGCCAUGGCACAGAACACAGCAAUCCCAGUUAAUGCGGGAGUGGUCCUUGACUUUGAUACAUCACUUGGAAAGAUGGGUCUGAGCUGCAUCCCCCUGGCCCUCUCAGAUUUCUAUGCCUCUCAUGGUAACUACAAGGCUAGGCUCGUUCUGAAGACUAGAGACUCCAGAGAUGUUGGUACAACUGCAGCAGGUACUCUUAUCUCUGUUCUUCUUGCUCUCUCACAGUAGUAAUUAAGUGUUAUUUAAGUGUUAUCUGACCUAAUCUAUUAGAGUUUCUUCAUAUAAAUAUACCUUAUUUUGUUAAAACAAACACACAUUAAAUUGUUACUACCAUUAUUCUUAUGUGUAUUAAUAAUACUCUUGAGAAUGUAACUUUAUUUGAAGUUGAAUCAUAGUGUUGACCACAUCCCUCAAAACGUUGAAGAGUUCACUAAGGGCUAUGAGGUGUUAUGUCCUGGAUGUGAACGAUGUAGGUGUUGAUCAUUACAAGACCUCGGGGAGAAACAUCCACUCUAGGUAAAUCUAUGUACUUAGUUCUUUUAGAAUUAAUAGAUUUGCUCUAUGAUCACUUAAAUCCAUGAAUUUUAUACUUAUAGAGUUUCUAGUAUAUUUUAUAUGUGGUUUUCCAUGUACAUCACAUGCCCCUUGUGUGAUUGAAUUUUAUUUUGAUAUUUGAUUAUCACAUAUUCAUUACAAAAAAAUUAUAAAUGAGAAAAAAAAAAAUCAAAAUUUGGGGUUUAAAACUUAUGACUUCUUAUUUACCUCUCUCUAAGUAGUUUCAAGAAUCAAGAUAUAUAAGAAGUAUCAAAUUAUAUUAAUUCAAUUUACUAAUCCUAAUGUGAAGAAGUUUCAAUUUAUAGAUUUUGUUUUAAACCUAUAUUUCUACUUAUCCAUCUAUAUAUGCACACUCAAAUGAAAAAAUAGCAUGGGACUUUGAGGAAACAAACAAACUUCGUCUUUGGGGUGGUUAAUUGCUUACUAGUUUUGGACACAGGUUCAUCUCUAUCCAUCUUAAAAACUUCUGUUUGAAAGAAGAAUCAUCUCCACUUGAUUUGAAAGAAGAUAAAGGAAAAAGGCAAAUGCUGAAUUUUCAUUCUCUCAAGUUGUAUUUUCUGGUGGGCCUUCAACAUGAGAAUAACAAGGAAAUCAAAAGCUUUAAUUUCUUGUGACCCCUUUAAAUCUAUAGCUUCAAGAUGGAUGAAAUGAUAAAAAUAUUUUUAUAAAUUUCCUCCAAGUAGAGAAAAUGAAAACAAAGGGUUUAUUCUCCGUCCCUUCCCUUUCUUUCUCCUUUUUGUUCAAGUAUAAUGACUAAAGCAAAGCAGUGAUUUGAAUUUUUUUUUUUUUUUUAUCAGUUAAUGCUCUUACAUCUAAUGACACAUGAGACCCUUUAAAUUCCAAGACCAAGACAUUACUUGCAUUUUAUUACUGUUUUUUUUUUUUUUGGGAAUAAUUCAAAUUCAACUCUCUCCUACCAUGACUUUGCCCUAAUGGUCAUAAAUUUUGAGAGCCAAGCAUAUACCUCAUGACCUAGAAUUUUUUACUAUAUUGUUGUUGUACCUAUCACUAGAAUUUAGAGAGAGAGAGAGAACUACUCUAAUGCUUAUUAAUUAGGAUUUAGGCCCAUUGAAAUUGGAGCAUGUGUAAUGCAGGUAGAAAAAGACAAAAUUCCAAGCUGAUGUGAUGUGAAUUUCACUUAUAAUUUGUUCAAUCUUAUCUUCAAGAUAGAAAAUUGUAAGAAAAUAUUUGUCAUUCAUUUUGUACAAACAUAACCAAAAUGCAUGUGAAGCACUACUAUCAAAUGCUAGUAAAUUUGAAAUAACUUGUAGUUUGACUGUUGAAGAUGUGAACUUCUACAUGUUCCAUACUAUUGCCAACCAACACAUGAUUUCAUGGUGAAGUUGAGGAUUGGAAUUCCACUAUAUAGAAUACAGGAAAAAUACUAUUGGAUGGUAAAGCUUGAAUUAAUCUUAUGACCCUACAUAGAAGAUGUUCGAGAGAAAAGAUGUUCGAGAUUCUCCGGUGAGUUUGCAAUGAUUGAGCUUGUAGCUGUUAAAAGAAAAUUAAUUAGUUUUCAUUAGUGAGAGAAAAGAAAAAGUGUACGAUUGCAAUUGAGAGGAAAUUUCAUUAGUGAGUGAAGUAAAAAAAAAAAGUUUAUCCGAAAAGAAAAUGAAUUAUUGAUGUAAUUUUUGUGUGAAGUUGAUAGACUUCUAACCCAAAUGGCCCUAUUUUAUUAAAUGAAUUGCAGGAUGUACCUUGUUGAGCAUACAAUAAAUAGGUCGUCUUCCUCUUAAAUUAUAAUAUCAUAUCAUAUUUUAUUAUUAUAUUCGAAAAAUAUCUGAUAAACAAGAGGUUUUGUACCCUCGUUUGAUUGCUGACAGUAGAGUAUAAAUUUAUUCAUUCAUUUAAAUGUUUGUUUAUCGUUUGAACCUGCAUGCUCCUGAACUCAGCUGUAGACCUCUUACAAAAUGAAGAAGUGGAAGCCAUAAUAGGGCCCGGAUCAUCGAUGCAGGCCAACUUCAUGAUUGGUCUUGGAAGCAAAGCUCGGGUGCCCAUCAUUUCAUUUCUGCAACAAGUCCCUCUCUUUCUUCGCUUCAGAGCCAAUAUUUUAUCCGAGCUACCCUAAAUGACUCAACUCAAGUGCCGGCAAUAAGGGCAAUAGUCCAGGCCUUUGGAUGGAGAGAAGUUGUGCUUAUUUACGUGGACAACGAGUAUGGCAAUGAAGUCGUACCGUCUCUGACUAGUGCCUUGCAGGAGGUGGACACCCAUGUGACCUACCGGAGCGCCAUUCAUCCAUCGGCAACUGACGAUCAAAUCGUUAAAGAACUUUACAAGUUGAUGACGAUGUCAACUAGGGUUUUCUUUGUGCAUAUGCUUACGCCUCUUGGCUCCCAGCUUUUUACCAAAGAGCUUGUAAAGUUUUAAAAUCGGAUGGAAAAAGAAAAUCCAAGAAGAAUAUCCAACCAAUGAAAUCUCUGAGCUGAAUAUUUUUGGACUAUGGGCCUACGAUGCUGCUUCUGCACUAGCCAUGGCAGUUGAAAAACUUGGCGCGGGAAACUUCAGCUUCCAAAAGACCACCAUUUCCAGAGAUUCAACUGGUCUUGAGAGUAUUAGAGUUUCCCCAGUUGGCCCAAAUAUUCUCCAUUCACUAUUAGGUACUCGAUUCAGAGGCCUUACCGGAGAUUUUAAAAUUAUAGAUGGGCAACUACACACAUCAGCUUUCCAGAUAGUUAAUGUGAUCGGUGAAGGGGAAAGAGGGGUUGGAUUUUGGACAACAGAGAAUGGAAUUGUAAGACGAUCGAAUACUACUUCUAUGGCCAAUCUAAGAGCCAUUAUGUGGCCAGGAGAAUCUACUUCUGUUCCUAAAGGUUGGGUGUUUCCUACCAAUGGAAAGAAGUUGAAGAUAGGGGUUCCAGAGAAAAAGGGUUUUUGUGAAUUUGUAAAGGUGACGCGAGAUCCUAUCACUAAUAAAACAAAGGCCACUGGUUACUGCAUAGCUAUCUUCGAUGCCGUAAUGGCAACAUUACCAUAUGCUGUUCCUUAUGAGUACGUUCCCUUCAAGAUGCCUGAUAGAAAGGCUGCUAGUAACAAAGAUGAAUUGUUUCAAGGACAUGUUCUGGUCAGUCAUACUCUUUAGAUUCCCUAAUACAUAACAAUUUUCAUUCAACUGUAGCCAUCAACUGUCAAAUAGAGGGAAAACUGCCAUCCUUUUGCAAUGAAAUAUCUCACCGCCAAUUUUACCUUUACUUUUAUCAUGAACAGAAGUAUGACGCUCUGGUGGGAGAUUUUACUAUUCUAGCGAGCAGGUCCUUGUAUCUAGACUUUACAUUGCCUUACACCGAUUCUGGCGUAUCAAUGAUCGUGCCGAUCAUCGAUAACAGAAGUAAAAGAGCAUGGGUCUUUUUGAAGCCAUUAACUUGGGACCUUUGGGUGACAAGCGCUUGUUUCUUUGUCUUCAUUGGCUUUGUGAUUUGGACUCUUGAACAUCGAACAAAUGAAGAUUUCAGAGGGCCUCGUUCACAUCAAGUUGGCACAAUGUUCUGGUUCUCCUUCUCAACAUUGGUGUUUGCUCAGAGUAAUUACUCUUCCACCUCCUUCAAUUUUAUCUAGCAAUUUAUCUACUCUUGUAAUAUUCAAAUACAAAGCAUAUUCAGUACAUCUCAAACAAAUCGAAACUAACUUCUAGUAUAGCCUGCUUGCUUGUUUCCAUACAAUAUGCAAGUAAAUUUUAGGAUAAUUGUUAUGUUUCAGAAACUAUAUAUUUGCCUUUAUAUUGCUUUUCUGGAUUGGAUUUUCUUUUUCAUUCUUAAAUUACGUUAACAGAGGAGAGAAUUGUCAGUGACUUGGCUCGGAUCGCGGUGAUCAUAUGGUUAUUUGUGGUGCUGAUUCUUACUCAAAGUUACACAGCCAGCUUGACUUCAAUGUUAACAGUUCAACAGUUCAACAGCUUAACCCAACUAUCACUGAUAUAAAUGAGCUCAUAAAGAAGGGGGAGCGUGUAGGUUACCAAUAUGGCUCUUUCGUUUAUGAAUUCUUGAUCAAGUCGAUGAAAUUUGAUGAGUCCAAGCUUGUAAAGUAUGAGUCACCAGAAGAACUGGAUGAAUUAUUUUCAAAAGGUGGAAUUGCUGCUGCAUUUGAUGAAAUCCCUUACAUGAAGGUUUUCCUUGCAAAAUAUUGCUCCAAAUACACUGCAGUUGGACCAACAUACAAGUUUGAUGGGUUUGGAUUUGUAAGUGUUCUCUCUUAAAGUGUACAAAUUUUCAUGCAGCGGUUUCUGAUUUUUUAUCAUUUCAGGUCUUUCCAAAGGGUUCACCCCUUGUAGCGGAUGUUUCAAGGAAAGUUUUAAGCGUGACCGAGGGAGCUAAAUUGUUAGAAUUUGAGAAGGCAUGGUUUGGGCAAACAACCAGUUGUCCAGAGCUCACCAGCUCAGUUUCUUCAAACAGUAUCGGCCUUAAUAGCUUUUGGGGCCUAUUCCUCAUUGCUGGAGUCGCUUCAUUUGUAGCUCUCGUCGCAUGCAUCACCACAUUCCUUUAUGAAAAUAGAGACGCCAUAAUAAACUUGAAUCCCCCAUCUUCCAUAUGGAGAAAAAUUAAAGCCAUGGCUACACGCUUUGAUGACAAAGAUCUCAGGUCCCAUACCUUUAGAAAAAGUGAUCAACUUCCAGACAAGGGGCAUCAAAGCCAUGGAUGCAGUUACAGCCUCGCCAGCUACACCAACUUCCCUCCAAGUCCAUCAAGCCUUCUGAUCCCAACACACAGCGAUUUUGCCUUCUUUGGAGAACAAGGAACACCUUCUUCUGGACAUGGUGAUCCAGUCAGUCCAAAUCGGCCGAUGUCUCCUCACAUAUUGUUUGAAUAUGAGCUUGCUAAUUUAAAUCACGAGCAAACAAGACCGCCUGUAAUUGAAUAACUGAUCGAUUACUUCGUUUUUCUUUCCUGUGUAUUUUAUGCCGGUGGCACCAUUACCCACAACCAUGAAUUUCAAAAGAAAAAAAAUGUAGUUGUACCCCAUAGGCAUUUUAGUUAACACGGUGAUGUACAUUUAAUUUGCGGCUAAAAUUAAAAAUAAUAAAUAAAUAAAUAAUUAUUUACUACAAAUUUAUGUGAUUGUUAAAUGCCAUCUAUUUGCUAUGAACAAUAAUUCAUCACUGAGAAAUUGAUUUGUUAUGAAAUAAAAUGUUAUUGCAAAAAGCCAUUUCUUACCAUAAAAAUACCUUCUUUAGCGUUACGGAAAAUUGAGAAAUUUGUUGUAAAGAAUUUUCCGAAAAUUGAGAAAUAAUCGAAGUGGGACUGAAUGUCCAGGACUAGGACAGGGAGGUCCAGUUUUCAAACCAUCGCAGAUAUGACGCAAAACAUUAUUUUAAAAUCUAUAUUAGUCAACGGUUCCUACAAUUUUGACAGGACACGGAAGACCCAUUACUCAAGCCAUUACUUGCGCAUGCUUUUCUUUUUUUUUCUUUUUUUUUUGGCUUUUUAAAUGAAAAUCAAACUCAACCUUCCCACAUUGAUUAUUGCCUUAGAUUCCGUCAAAAUCACGAAUUUAUUGCUGCCCAACGCAACAGGUCAACUUCCUGCAUCCAAAAAAAAUCAAUAUUUUUAAAGAUUGUCCUUACACUAGCUACGUGGUUGACAUUGCUACGGAGGGAAUGUAAGGAUAGAUAUUCAUUUUCAUGGUUAUUCUUUUGUGCAGAUAAUCCAUUAAUUCUAAAUGAUGUAAUCUCUGGUGAAAAUAAAUAUUUUUUAUUUUAAAAAUUAUAAUUUUCAACUGAGUGGUAGUCACGUAUCAUCAUUAAACCUAUUAAACUCCAUUUCCACGCACCCGAGUGCAGAAGAUGAUAAGUUGACCAUGUGCCACCUAACACACAGCUGGGGAUUAUUGGAAUUCUGCUACAGGCGAUGAGUAGCUCCGUGGAGUUCAUCGUGAAAACCUCUCUCUUAUGAAUUUUAUGAGUCAAAUGCUAACGCAAGAAGGAAGCUAAAAUGUGUGUUUCCAUGGAAGAAUAUUUAUAAGGAUAUAUUCUGAUCAUGAUUUUAUCAUUAUAAGUUACACUUUCUAAUUUAAUUAAUAUUGUAAGAGAUUCUAUCUUUGACCGCCUCAACUCGCCCAAGAAGUGUUGGUUGGGUUUUGUAUUCACAACUAUCCAUCUGGGUCCUCUUGUUACAGUGCCUUCUCUUCUAGGCUUCUAAUUCUUACUUUUUCAAAUUCUAGACCCUAUAAAUGAGCUGUAUUCUGCAUUAUUGUGAAUCACCAAGCUUCCCAAAAGUAGUUCAAAGAUGAGAAACGACCUUGCCCAACAGGGGUUCGCCCUCUUCUUUCUCUCCCUAUGGGUUCUCUUCAUAGAAAUGGGCAUGGCGCAGAACACAACAAUCCCAGUUAACGUGGGAGUGGUCCUUGACUUUGAUACAUCGUUUGGAAAGAUGGGUCUGAGCUGCAUCCCCAUGGCCCUCUCAGAUUUCUAUGCCUCUCAUGGUAACUACAAGACUAGGCUCGUUCUGAAGACUAGAGACUCCAGAAGAGAUGUUGUUGGUGCAGCUGCAGCAGGUACUCCAUCCCUGUCUCUCUCGCUCUCUCACUUUCUCCUUCAUCAAUGUUUAUGAUUAAUCAUCUCGUUUGGAGCAUUGUUGAUGGAAUGAGAUUAGAAUUGCAUUAGUAUUACUGAGAAAAAUGAAAGCAAGUGAUCUUUAUCAGUCACCCCCAUUUGGUUUUCAGGAAAAAUCCCCUUACUCUUUGAGAAUUAGAAAGCAUAAUUCGAAGUAGUUCAUCAUUUGGGAAGUAAUUUUUUGAGAUACCUGCUCUGAUAAAGUGAGAAAAUUAUGAAAUUGACAUUGAAUCUUCAGCCCGUAAUUUUUUUGACAUUGAACAUUUUCUAUCUCAGCUUAGAGACCCAAAUGAAAGUUUUGAAAUAUAAAAUAUACUAGUAUACCCAAUUAAUUCUCAGCACAGCUCUUCACCAGAUGAAGAAGAUGGUUGGUCGUUUAACAAACCACAUUGUCAACUGCCGAUGGCAAAAGGUCUCCAUAAAUUGUGCCAUGGUCUUUUAACAAGGCAACUUUUCGUGACCAUAUGGCUGAUGAAGAGGUCAGCUGACAGUUCAAUGGCGGCUAAAAGUCUGUCGAAAAUUGCGGAUGGGAUUUAAAAAAAAUCAGGCAAGAAUUGGGUUUUGAGCCCAACUAGCCCAAAAAUUGACCAAAUAUCCAUAUAUCAUUCACAUUUAAACCCAAUACUCAAUUAAAGCGUAAAAAUUAAGUUAAGGAUAUUAUUCUUCAUUAAUCAGUAAAAUACCCUUAACUCGUACAUAUAGUUAGUGUAAUUUUUUUUUUUUCCCUUUUCUAUUCCCAAUUAAGUAUUACUUAUUUUUAAUUUUUUUUUUUCCUUUUAAAGAUAUUGAAUCUUUUUACUCUUAUUAUAAGUAAGGAUAAAAAAAUUUCAUAUAAAAUUUAAUGGAUAAUCAAUUAAUGAAAUUUAAUUCUUUUUAUUAUUUUCAUAUAAAAAAUAGUACUAAACAAAGUUUUCAAUUUUUCUUUUUAAAAAUAGUUUUCAUUUUUUAAUUAAAUGUUUUUUCUAAAAGAAAAUAUAAAAAAUAUAAAUCAUAUUACCAUUUUUUUAGAAAGUAUUUUUUAAAAUAGUUUUUGAACGUAAUUUUUCUUUAUUUAUAAUUUAAAAUAAAAAAUAAUGCUGAUUUUUAAUUAUUAAUAAAAAAAGUCCUAAAAAAUAAUGAAAAAUUCAAAUGGUUGAAAUAAAAUUAUUAUGAUUAUAUGAAUAAUGGUACAAUAAAUAUUGAAAAAGCUUAUGUGAAAGGUCAAUGGGUAUUUUGGUCUUUUAAUAUCUUAUAUCAUUUUUAUCAAUUAUGUAAGUUAUAUGGACCAAACCUUAAUUUUUGGGUCCAGCUGAUCCAAAACACAGUUGUCUCAAAAAUCACCCCCAUACUGUGGCUGCAGUAGGUCGUAGAGAAUAUAUAUUUGACUUUGCACUGAUAUAUAUAAAUAUUACCGUGUCUUCACGAGUUAAGGCAAAGUAGGAAGUUACCAAAGGUCAAACACGUUGCCUCUGAUCCAUGAUGAUAAGAUGUCAGUUUUUUCAUCUGAUGAACAUGAUCUGUUGUUUGAUCUACUGGAAAAGAUCCCUUUGUUAAUGUCUCAUAACAGAGUAGGAAGAUUAUUGGUAAUCUGUUGGUGAAAUUUUAUAUCUAUUUUGUUAUGUUUGCAUGUCUGAUUGCUGAGAAGGAUGUUAGAAAUUAAGAAUAUAUUAGAGUUUGCUUCUGUGUUUUUUAUUAUUUUGAACAUUUUGUGGUACUCAGCUCUAGAUCUAAUACAAAAUGAGGAAGUGCAAGCCAUCAUAGGGCCAGGGUCAUCCAUGCAGGCCAACUUCCUGAUUGUCCUGGGACAAAAAGCCCAGGUUCCCAUUAUUUCAUUUUCUGCAUCAAGCCCUUCUCUUUCUUCCCUCAGGAGUCAAUACUUUAUCCGAGCCACUCUAAAUGACUCAGCUCAAGUACCAGCAAUAAUAGCAAUUUUCCAAGCCUUUGAGUGGAGAGAAGCUGUGCUUAUUUACGUAGACAAUGAGUAUGGGGAUGGAAUUAUACCUUAUAUGACCGAUGCCUUGCAAGGGAUUGAUGUCCGUGUCACCUACCGUAGUGUAAUUUCUCCAUCAGCCACUGAUGAUCAAAUUGGUGAAGAGCUUUACAAGCUGAUGACAAUGCAAACUAGAGUUUUCAUUGUACACAUGGUUACGCCUCUCGGCUCUCGCUUUUUUACCAAAGCAGAUGAGAUUGGAAUGAUGGAAGAAGGCUAUGUUUGGAUACUAACUGAUGGGCUAACUGACCUCUUGAGUACUUUGGAUCCCUUAGUCAUUGACUCAAUGCAGGGGGUGCUGGGCAUAAAGCCUCAUGUUCCAAGAACAAAAGAGCUCGAAAAUUUCAGAGUCCGAUGGAAAAGGAAGUUCCAGCAAGAUCAUCCAAAAGAUGAGACCUCUGAGCUGAACAUUUUUGGAUUAUGGGCG
RNAcentral lists this long non-coding RNA (271910 nucleotides) under Vitis vinifera (wine grape). RNAcentral describes it as "long non-coding RNA (VVIN_LNC001005)". The record is from RNAcentral. Lineage: Eukaryota; Viridiplantae; Streptophyta; Magnoliopsida; Vitales; Vitaceae.